UUAACUCUGCUGCCUAUCAUCAUAAGAUUACCUAAUUUUACAAUCUAAUGAAAAUGGUUAAGUUUAAUACAAUGAAGUUUACAAUCAAGUGGAAUAAAUUUGAUUAAACAUCGUUUGAAGAUCAUAUAAAAUAAAGGAAACAAAGUGUAAACCUUAAAAUAAAGCCUCAAUGCCUUCAACUGCUAACUUGAGUCGGAGCUUACAAGCAACACGUAAAACAAAAAACAACAAUACAACAUAAUGUAUAAUGUCAAUAAAUACAAUGCCAUGAACAUUAAAAUCCGAUCCACCCCAUCCUUGGCUGAUAUGCCUUGGCAAGACAUUUACGAAAAUCAGUAUCUUUCACUUGAAGGAUCAAUCGAUUAGCUCGGAUACGUCCCCAAAAGUAUCCGAGAGGUUGAAUUGAUACACAAUGAAACUGUCAUGCUCUAGUUGGAAGCUUCAAGCACAGUAUAAUAGCUCGAAUCACAGCCACGUUUUCUUACUGCUGGAAUUCCGGCACCCCCUUAACAUCAUUCUCCCAAAACAGUGACUGUAAAUUCACAACGAAGAAUCACCGUAUGAAGCAAAUGGUUAUGGAAAAUCGCAUCGUUUGUUUCAAGACACAAACACCACACUGCAACCGCAUAACAUGUUCAGCUAAGAUCAACAACUACAGAUUUGUGUAAAUAAUGCAAUAUAAAAUAAUCAGAGUAGUAUAAUUUGUGUUUUCUCUUGUAGUAAAAUCAUAGUUUAGGAUUAGAGAAAGUGACUGUAAAGACAAAGUUUCGAAGCUCAUAAAAAUGAAUGCAUGAACCAAAUGGAUUAAAUCCAAAUUAUAUGAAGAACAUAAGGUGAUAGAAUAGUUAAUGCUUAGUGACUAAAGUCCCUGAUUGCCAAUUCCAGUAUUCAUCCUUUCUAUCCAAAACGAGAGUAAAACUCUGGAAUUUUAAUCACAAAAAUCAAAUCAAAGUUCAAUCUCUGAUAAUCUAAAAUACAAAAAAAGGAAAAUUAAUUCAAAUUUCAGCCCAAACUCAUAUGAUAAUGAAGUCAAAUGGCUCUACCUUGAAACCAACUCAAACUAAACCCAAAUCAUUUGUUUUUAAAAAAUCAGAUGGCCAUGAGGGUUGUAAAAGAUCACAAUGAAACAAAGGUAAUUAAGCUCACCAGGAAGGCUAAAUUGGAAAGAGCUUAUGGCUCCUCCAAAGGUCCUGUUAGAAAAAGGCAGCAGCAACAAUGAACAACAAAGAGCAUAAGCUCAUGAAAACAGCAAGCAAAACAAUUGAUAGGCCAAAGAAAAAAGUAACCGAAUGAGAGGUUCUGCUGCUUUCAUUUUCAUUUCAAAAUAUAAAGGAGUUACAAAAAUAAUAAUAAUAAUAAUAAUAAUAAUAACAAGUCAGUUACCUAAACACGUAACUGCUCUUACCAAAUUUGGCAAGUUGCCAACUAAAAUAUUACAAAAGAAAAGCUGAAAAAAUUCAGCUGUUACAUCCAUCAUUUUCAAAUCUAAAAGUACUAGCUUUAGAUAGCCAACUUGUUAACAUCACAAAAAUACAAAACAAAAGAAAGUUGCUUCUGGUUCAAUCUUCAAACAGACAUGUAAGCAUUACUGCUGCUGCUCACGAUGCUGGUGGUUUGUUGCAUUGCAGGCCAAUGCUCAAUAGCUCCAACAACCAGAAAGCAUUGAAGCAAAGUUGAAUGAUAUCAACUAGGAAAAUCUGUUAACAAAUUGCAAUACUGCCUCGACGUCUCAGUUCAAUCACAAAUAAUGGCAAUAACUCAAUAGAAGAAAUUAGAAGCUUACUCAUCUGCCAUUAAUGUCAUCUUGACUCUGUUUCCUCAUCUGCUUCUCUUAAACCAAUCACUGACAUCUUCAUUCCCUUCACAGAAGCAUAUUUAAAAUGUCAAAGCUUAAUCUCUAGUUUUUGGCUGACUUAUACUACAUUGCUUUAAACUCUGCAAAUAAAAAGCACAUCUAUAACGUGAGAUAAAAAAGAUUAGGCAUAGCGCACAACCUUACAUUAACACUUGAAAUUUAGUGGAACUUGUUUUUGUUGGUGAGAAGAAGAUAUCAUAUCAAACCCACCCUUAAUCUGCGAUUACAAUUCCAGUAUAAAUAGACAUGAAUCAUAAAUCAACGAAUCAAGAUAUCAUUGACGGAAAAUGCAAUGAGUAUAUUGAGAUACCAGAUGAUUAAAUCUCUACUUUUCAAUGAAGCUGAAUGAAGUCCUCCACUGAUCCUAUGGAGUCAACUGCCAAAAAGAAUAAAGCAUGAAUCUUAAUAUCACCUCACCACAAUGCUGCUUAAACAACUUGAAAGGCAAUAACAUACAAAGAGACUUCAUCCCCAACUGAUCUGAUGAUCAAAAUCCAAGAUAAGAAAAUAUCAAUUCCAAUGGCUCUACCAUGGAACCAGCUCUUCACUUCAAACUAAAAUCAUUUAAUAUUUUUCCAGUAUCUUCUUGGGUUCCUCAAUGGGAUAAACAUAAGCUCACCAAUCCAACUUGAGAAUGAUAGCCGUCAAACGCUUGCCUCCAGCUCCAUGUGUUCAUACCACAAAAUUUGAGAUACGAGCAACUCUCGGAAUUUCUUUGAUAAAUCUAGAAAAAAUAAGCAUUAGAUGAACCUAAAAUCAAAAUAAUAAGUCAAAGGUAACUUACUUCUCCACCAAGACUGAAUUGCCAGAGCCCAGAAAAGGUAUUCAAAAGAUUCCUUCAAUUUUGCGUUGAACCAUCAUAUGAAUAGACCAGUAAGGCAAAUCUGUUGACAACUUGCAUUGUCUCAAAAUAUCAGUUCAAACACAUAAAUAAAAUAAGCAUCAAGUAAAAGAAAUUGAAGCUCUUACAGCUUAGGUGUUCCUCCUUAUAUGGCUAAAGCUCCAACUCAUUAUUGGCUAAAAAUAUUUUGCAUUGGUCACAAACUUAAACUUUAAUACCAGAAAUUUCAUGGGAACUUGUUUUGUUGGUGAGAAAGAGGAUAUCAGAACCAUCCAUAAUCUGCAAGUUCUGUUGAGUACCGAAUCUCACAACAAAUAGGAAACACCUACUCCUAAAUCAACAUAAAAGCAAAGGUUAUAAGAGAAACCAAUCUUUCUAAUUAACAUGAAAUCAUGUAAUCAUGAGUUGAUGACAUAUGAGCACCGAUGUUAGAAACUAAACAAUGAGGCUGAAUAAUUUAAGUAUGAAUCUUAAUAUCUAAAUUUGGGCACCUACCACUAACCCCUAUUGAUAAUAAUCUAAAAUGACAUACUUUUAUGAGCUAAUUACAUAUAUAUUUUGAGUACGAUCCUAUUAAUUUGGGCUGUUUAUGGAUAUUUUAUCAAUUCCAAAGCAGGAUCUUUUUGCUACUGUAUUGAAAUCUCUCCAGUUGCCAUUCAAUUUUCCUCCAAAUCAAUUAAUAUGGAGAAUUUCCUUCUUGGACAAUAUAUUCUAUACCUACAAAAGAACACAGACUCAACAGGGGAAUGGAUAUGAGAAAAAUAAUAAGAAGAAACUACCACAAACUACAGAAAAAAUUUCCAUUUUAUGUUCAUAAACUAUGCUUUUAACAUUUACAAUGUGGAACUACAAGUUUUCAGUUUCUCGAAGAUGGUAAAGCACCUUCUAAAUGACUAGCAAUUUAUAAAGCAGAGCAAGUUAGCUUCAUUCUGGUUUGUUUUAAUUAAGUAAAUUGAAAUUUUAGUUUUAACAAUUGUGAAAAACAAAAGUAUGGCAAUAUGAAAAAUGACAUAAAAAAACUGAAAAAUGUAUGAUAAUAUGAAAAAAUGAGAUGAAAAUGAAAACCUUACCAAUGCAUUUGGAUGGCAUAAUUGAGAAGUUGUAACUCCUGAAAACCAGAGGCAAAGAUGAAAAGAAAUAAAAACUUCGAAAGUCAUCACGCCGUUUUUUCCUACCAUAUCUCGCUGCCCAUUUCAUAGCUAGGGAUCCAAUUUUGAGCAUGGCAUUUGCCUCAAUGUUAUUAGUUGACUCUUGAUUCAAGUUGAAACAAUUACAGAAUAGCAUGCAAAACACAUUGUAAUUGUCAUCAUCAAUUAAAGAAUCAAACUGAUAUAAACUUUGAUCUGCAAAGGAUACUUUUUCUAAUGAUGUGCAGUCAUGUACACUCAAGCCUUGCAGAUAUGGUGGAAGCUCUGAGAGUAAUUUGAGGCUCUUGCAACGAUCCAUCCACAUAUACCUAAGGGUUUUAGACCUCAAGCUUGGUGGGGGCACAUCAACAGUGGGAAACUCUCUUGAAUCGAACAGGGAGAUAUUACACUGUAGCUUUGGAAUACUUGAGCCGCUCAUCUCUAACUCCCUAGGAUUACUUAAAGAGUCUAUAGACAAGGCCGCUUCUUCAAUUGGAGUGUCAGAUAACUUUAACCAUAUUAAGCCUCUCGGGACUUUCGGAAAUUCGACCAUUGGGCAACCACUAAUAUCCAGUCGACGAAGGGAUUCCAACUUGAUCGAUGCAUUUUUUACCGCUUCGCCUUUCACUUUUAAGUACACGAGAUUACAUAAAGGGUCGAAAGAAAAUAACACUUCUUCAAUUUGAGUGUGUUAAACUUCUUGGGACUUUUGGAAUUCGGACCAUUGGGCAACCACUAAGAUCCAGUUUAAGGGAUUCCAACUUGAUCGAUACAUUUUUUACUGCUGAGCCACUCAUAUUUAAGAUCUGAAGAUUACAUAGAGAGUCGAAGGCAAGGACACUUCUUCAAUUUGAGUGCCAGAUAAAUUUAAUUCUAUUAAGCUUCUUGGGAUUUCUGGAAAUUUGAUCAUCGAGCAUUCACUAAGAUUCAGUUUACGAAGGGAAUCCAACUUGAUCGAUACAUUUUUGCCCGCUGAGCCACUGAUAUUUAAGUCCUGAAGAUUACAUAGAGAGUCGAAAGGCAACGACACUUCUUCAAUUUGAGUGCGAGAUAAGUUUAAAUUUGUUAAGCUUUUUGGGAUUUCUGGAAAUUUGAUCAUUGGGCAAUUACUAAGAAUCAAUUCACCAGGGAGUUCCAACUUCGAAAUAUUGAUCGAUACUUUUUUUACCUCUGACUUGCUCAACGACAAUCUCUGUAGUUUGUGGAGAUGCUCAAUUGAAUCAGGCACUUCUUCUAUUUCAGUUAUUUCUAAACCCAAAGAACAAAAGUGUCUUGGGACCUGAGGAAACUUCUUGAGCCUAUAACAUCCCUCAAGGUGAAGCUUAUCAUGAUGAAGAGAUGCCAAAUGAUUGAGGCAAGGAAGUUCAACCAAACUUUUACAUAAAGAGCAAUCAAGGAGUUCAAGGUUGAUGGCUCCUGAAAGAUUAUGUAUCUUCAUUAAAUUAGCGCACCAUGAAACGUCAAUUUGCCUUAAAUUAACAAGGUCCUCUAUAGAAAAAUUAACUGUAUUACUUUUAAGCAUUAAAAAAUGAAAAGGAAAUGAAUAAUUAUAAUACUAAAAAAUAAAAUUUUAUAUUUGAUGUGUUGGGCGUAAAUUCAGCCACAAUUACUAGAUCAUGUCACUUAUUUAAAUAAAUUUAAAAACUUUAAAUAAGAUGUUAUUUGAUACAUCAAAUAAUAAAUAUUUUUUUUUCCUUAAAAAAAUUUUUAGGCAAAGAAAAUAUGAAAGCACAUACCAUACGAUCAUCUUCAUUCCAAAGUUGUUCCAUAUUACCACGUCGUAAUAUCAAUACGACAAGAUUCUUUGAAUUAAAACUUGAUAAAGUUUUGAAGGGAAGAGAUAUACUAUCAACUUUGUUUGCAUAUUGCGGUGGAGGUUCCCAUAAAGUAUGUGCAAAAUACCUGAUGUUGAUAUAUCUAAGCUUAUGCAUCUUCUCAAAACCGGUAGCGCAAAAUUGUUGAUUACCAGUUUGAGUUACAUCUAACUUUAUUCCUUUAAAAAACUCAGUCACCUGAUAAAUAAAAAAUCAUAGAUUAACAUAAAGAAAUUUAUCGACAUUCUAUUAAAUCAGUCAUAAAAAUGCAUUAGAUAUUUAACUAACCCAAAAAACUUUUAACAAGAUUCCAUGUUGUAUCGUAAGACAUUUGGUCAUUAUGUUUAUGGUAAGAAACAAAUAAUUUUAUUUUUUGAAAUAAUAAUUAAAAAAGAUAAUACAUGGUACACAACAACAUCUAUUAAACCUACCAAAGAGUGAAAAGAAAAUAAAUGCAAUUAACACUUACUUUAUCAUAUUUGAACACCUCUUCCAUGUCUUCACAACUCCACAAUCUACUUCGCUUUCCGGGGCAUUCAGAUUUUCGCAUAACAAUGUCCUUGCCCAUCUCUUCAACCAUGUCAUGCAUAAAAACACAUCCAUAUUUGUUCUCAAGUAGACACUUGUCGACCAAUUUACUUAUUCCACAUGUUGCACCCUUAUAACAAUUACUUAGAACUUUUUCUACAUAAUCCAUGGCUUGCCCUUUAAAGAUGCAUGCUAGGUCAAGAAAUAUAUUAUUUUCUUCCUCAUCUAGCUCAUCCAAGCUACUCUUCAAAAUAUGUGAAAUUUUUAAUUUCGACAUCGUAUAUAGUUCAGAACCCAAAACUUUAAGAGCAAGUGGACUACCUUGGACAUAUUCUACAAACUUGCAUGAUAGAUCUCGAAAAUCAACUACAGGAUUCAACAACUUAAAUGCAAAUGUAGAAAAAAGUUGAAGAGAAUCAUUCUCAUUCAACUCCUUAACCUUAUAUAUGCGGUGAGCUCUUCGAUUUUUUAGUACUUGUCUAUCUCUAGAUGUUACAAUGAUUUUACUUCCAGGACCAAAAUAUGUGACACCCAUAAAAUCUAUUUGGUCUGGGUCACUAACAUUGUCAAGGACAAGAAGUACUUUUUUAUUAUUCAGCCGCUCUUGAUAAGGGUAACCUAUGGAAGGGGUAUCAAUACAAAUUUCUUUUUCGUUUAACAGUUUGGAAAGAAGUUCAUUUCGUAAAGAUUCAUUCCCCUGUUUUUUUAUUUUCUCACUAAUGUUUUGAAGAAACAAACGACAUUCAUACUUCGGAAAGACUUCUUUAUAAACAGCAUCAGCAAGGGUAGUUUUGCCAAUACCACCCAUUCCCCAAAGUCCUAUUACACGCACGUCCACUUGCUCAAUCAACCCCAAAAUCAUCUUCUUUUGAUCAUCUAUUCAGACCAAUUCUUCAGAAACACUUCUACAAUUGCUAUUCAACUUUUUUAAAACAUAUCCAACCACAUCUUUAAUGUACUUAGUUUCAGAUCUAGAAAAUGAUUAAAAAAACCAGCCGUCAAAAGAAAGAUAUGUCAAAUAUAAUAAGAUGAAUAUAUAUAUAUAGUUACCUAUCGAAUUUGCCUCCUUCUAUAUGCCACCCUUUUAACGUACGAACUUCAGUGAAGGUGUCUUUCGAUCGCUUCACUUCAUCAACCGGCCUCUUUGAUUCAUGCUCUCCGAAGGAUGUUGUUGAAGUUGGCCAGCAUGCUGCCUUGUUGCACCAGAAACAGCCCGAGCCAGUGAAGUUGCAGCAGAAGAUCAAGCUACUGUUGCCAUUUUUUUUCUUCAAGUGAUGUUUUGUAACUUAGUUGGAUUAAAAACUAAGUAGCUUUUGUACUUGAUGUUAUUAGGUGAAGAAUGAGCUGUUAAAUCAGCUUUACAAAGUGUACAAGUUAACUUUAUCAAGUUUCAAUGUGCUUAGUGGUAGUAGGUAUUGUUUAGGUGAUGAUUUUGUAACUCAUUGACCAGCUCAUUAUUGGAACCCACCCAUUGUUUGAAAAGUCAAAAAGGGUGGGCACCGAAAGUAGAAAGUAAAAUUGGUUGGCAAGUUGGGUUAAAAGUUGGCAUGGGAUAAUUGCAAUUUUGGUCCCUAAUUGUAUAGGGACAUUGCAAGUUGAUCCUUGAACCUCAACUAUAAAUAGGCCUAACCAUUUCUUACUUUCUUCAUCCCACACUUGCCAUUCUCUACUUAAGGCAAUUGUUCUCUCUCCCUAUUUGUAAACUUUCACUUGUAUUUUUGGAGUGAAAUAUAUUUGGUAGUGCCCGAGGACGUAGGCAAAAUUUGCUGAACCUCGUUAAAAUUCUAGUGUUCUUUAUUUUUUGUUCUGCAUAUUUUGCAAGUGUCAUUGUAGUGAUUUAUUGUGCUAUUAAAUUACGAUAGAGGGAUAUUCUGGCUAGGAAAGAUCUGGUAUGUAAGCGAUCCUCGUGAUCCACCUCUCUUUCCUGGGAAUUGAACUUAGUGUGAUUUUUCAGUACAAUAAUUUUACUCUUUCACACGCUUCCGCGCAACAAUUGGUACUAGAGCCAGGUUCGUACUUGGGGAAUACGACCGUCUACGGUACUAUUUACGUAUACGGCACUAUUUAUGUAUAUGGUACUAUUCACGUAUACGACACUAUUUAUGUAUACAGUACUGUUCACGUAUACAGUAGUUGGGAUUGAGGAGAAAAAUGGCAGCAGCAUCGUCAUCAGCAAGGACUACUGUGACAAAUGCAAAAUUUGAAGUAGAGAAAUUUGACGGUACCAAUAAUUUUGGUAUGUGGCAAUGUGAGAUCCUGGAUGUCUUAUGUCAGCAAGAGCUAGAUAUAGCCCUUGAAGAAAAACCUGACAAGAUGGAUGACAAGGAGUGGGCCAAGAUCAAUAGACAGGCGUGUGGUACAAUCCGCUUAUGUUUGGCCAAAGAGCAGAAGUACUCUGUCAUGAGGGAGACAUCAGCGAAGAAGUUAUGGGAUACACUGGAAGAAAAGUUUCUAACGAAAAGUCUUGAAAAUAGGCUUUAUAUGAAAAAGAAACUUUAUCGAUUCACGUAUGCACCCGGUAUGUCGAUGAAUGACCAUGUGAACUCAUUCAAUAAAAUUUUAGCAGACUUGCUAAAUUUGGAUGAGAAAUUUGAAGAUGAAGACAAGGCAUUAUUGUUGUUGAAUUCCCUUCUUGAUGAAUAUGAUCAUCUUACCACCACAUUGCUUCAUGGGAAGGACACGAUCACAUUUGAUGCAGUCUGUAGCGCGUUGUAUAGAUCUGAGACUCGAAAGAAAGAUAAAAGAGAUCACAGAGAUACAACCGCAGAAGUCUUAACAGUAAGAGGUCGUUCACACAGCAGCAAAUCUGGUAGAAGGGGAAAGUCCAAAGGGAGACCCGCCAAAGAUGAAUGUGCCUUUUGCCGUGAAAAAGGGCAUUGGAAAAAGAAUUGUCCUAAGCUACAAAAGGGCAAGGCUAUUUCUAAUGCAUGUGUAGCGGAGCAUGAUGAGGAGUCAGACUUUAGCUUGGUUGGCAUGGCAAUGGCAUGUCAAACGGAUGAGUGGAUUUUGGAUUCAGGAUGUACUUACCAUAUGUGUCCUAAUAAGGACUGGUUUUCUAGUCUUAAAGAGCUAGAAGGUGGAAUUGUUCUUAUGGGCAAUGAUAGUGCUUGUAAGAUAAUGGGAGUGGGUACAGUCCAAUUGAAGAAUCACGACGGCUCAAUCCAAGUCUUGACAGAUGUUCGCUACGUACCUAGCCUGAAGAAAAAUCUCAUCUCAUUAGGUGCCCUAGAAUCUAAAGGGCUCACAAUCACUUUGAGAGAUGGAUUACUAAAAGUAGUAGCUGGGCAACUGACGGUGAUGAAAGGCACAAGAAGAAAUAACUUGUAUUUUUUAAAUGGAAGUACAGUUAUUGGAUCAACAUCAACAGUUUCUACAAAAGAUGUAGAUUCAGAGGCUACCAGAUUAUGGCAUAUGCGAUUGGGACAUGCUGGUGAAAAAGCUUUGCAGACAUUGGUGAAGCAAGGCUGAUUGAAAGGUGCAAAUUCUUGCAAAAUGGAAUUCUGUGAACAUUGUGUUCUAGGCAAGCAGAAGAGGGUAAAAUUUGGUCCAGCAAUUCACAAUACGAAAGGAAUUCUGGACUACGUUCACAGUGAUGUGUGGGGACCUACCAAAGUAGAUUCUUUGGGAGGUAUGCACUAUUUUGUUACUUUUGUUGAUGAUUAUUCAAGAAAAGUAUGGGUGUAUCUAAUGAAAAAAAAAAGUAAAGUUUUGGAUGCAUUUCUGAAAUGGAAGAAGAUGGUGGAGACUCAGACUGGUCGAAAGGUCAAACGACUUCGAUCAGAUAAUGGUACUGAGUACAAAAACGAUCCAUUUCUACAAGUAUGCCAAGAUGAGGGCAUUGUGCGACACUUCACUGUUCGGGAUACACCACAGCAAAAUGGGGUGGCAGAACGAAUGAAUCGAACUAUACUGGAGAAAGUUCGAUGUAUGUUGUCCAAUGCUGGAUUGGGCAAAGAAUUUUGGGCUGAGGCAGUUACAUAUGCGUGCCAUCUAAUUAACCGUUUGCCAUCAGCUGUAAUAAAUGGAAAAACUCCUAUGGAGAUGUGGACUGGUAAAUCUGCUACUGAUUAUGAUUCUUUACAUAUAUUUGGUUCCACUGCAUAUUAUCAUGUAAAAGAAUCUAAGUUAGACCCAAGAGCAAAGAAAGCAUUAUUCUUGGGUAUAACUGAUGGAGUAAAAGGAUAUCGUCUCUGGUGUCCUGAUACAAGGAAGAUUGUUUUCAGUAGAGAUGUGACUUUUGAUGAAUCAACCAUGUUGAAGUACAAGGAUUCACAAAAGGAUGACAAAACCAGUAGUACUUUGCAGCAGGUGGAGCUUGAAAAGGUUAACGAUGAUCCAGCUAAUAUUGAAGGGACAAAUGAUGAAGAGGUUCCUACCCAAGAACCUCUACAGCAACAAGAUUCAAUUGCAUAUAGAAGGCCAAGAAGAGAGAUUCGUAAGCCAGCUCGCUUUGAUGAUAUAGUGGCCUAUGCACUUCCAAUUACAGAUGAUGAUGUUCCUUCUACUUACACAGAAGUAAUAAGUAACCCUGAUGGUGUAAAGUGGAAGCAAACAACGAAUGAAGAAAUGCAGUCUCUUCAUAAAAAUAAGACCUGGGAGUUGGUGACACUACCCAAGGGAAAGAAGGCAAUUGGAUGCAAAUGGGUAUAUGCAAAGAAGGAAGGAUUUCCUGAUAAAAAUGAAAUUCGAUACAAGGCUAGAUUAGUAGCAAAGGGUUACGCUCAGAAAGAAAGAAUAGACUACAAUGAAGUGUUUUCUCCAGUUGUGAAGCAUUCGUCUAUUCGGAUUUUGCUAGCCUUGGUUGCGCAAUAUGAUCUUGAACUAGUUCAGCUUGAUGUGAAGACCGCGUUUUUACACGGUGAUUUGGAAGAGGAAAUCUAUAUGACUCAGCCAGAUGGAUUCAAGGUUGCUGGAAAAGAAAAUUGGGUUUGCAAACUGACAAAGUCGCUUUAUGGAUUGAAGCAAUCUCCGAGGCAGUGGUACAAGCGAUUUGAUCAGUUCAUGAAAGGGCAAAGGUAUACAAGAAGUAAAUUUGAUCAUUGCGUGUAUUUUCAGAAGCUACAAGAAGGAACUUUCAUAUACUUGCUCUUAUAUGUUGAUGAUAUGCUAAUAGCAUCUAAGAGCAAAGUUGAGAUUGAAAGAUUGAAGACUCAACUCAAUCUCGAAUUUGAGAUGAAAGAUCUAGGAGAAGCUAAAAAGAUUCUCGGCAUGGAAAUAUGGAGAGAUAGAGCUCAUGAUAGAGUUAGCUUGUCUCAGAAGCAGUAUUUGAAAAAGGUACUACAGCAGUUUGGCAUGAACGAGCAGACAAAACCUGUAAGUACCCUGUUGGCUUCUCAUUUCAAGCUUUCUGCACAACUAUCUCCUUCGACGAAUACGGAACGAGAAUACAUGUUGCAAGUUCCGUAUUCUAAUGCAGUGGGUAGCUUGAUGUAUGUAAUGGUGUGUACAAGACCCGACAUUUCACAGGCAGUUAGUAUAGUGAGCAGGUAUAUGCAUAAUCCUGGAAAAGGACAUUGGCAAGCUGUGAAAUGGAUUCUACGGUAUAUUCAGAAGACCGUGGAUGUUGGAUUACUGUUCAAGCAGGAUAAUGCACUUGGUAAAGGUGUUAUUGGGUACGUUGAUUCUGACUAUGCCAGUGAUUUGGACAAGCGAAGAUCAACCACCGGUUAUGUGUUUACACUUGCUGGAGGACCAAUAAGUUGGAAGUCUACACUACAGUCUACAGUUGCAUUGUCAACCACAGAAGCCGAGUACAUGGUUGUAACAGAGGCUGUAAAGGAGGCUAUUUGGUUACAAGGUAUGGCUAAAACCUUGGGGUUGGUUUAGGAGCAUAUUAACGUGUAUUGUGAUAGUCAAAGUGCUAUUCAUUUAGCAAAGAAUCAAGUCUAUCAUGCACGUACAAAACAUAUCGACGUACGAAUCCAUUUUGUGCGGGAAAUUAUUGAAGAGGGGAAAAUUUGUCUUCAGAAGAUCAAGACUGCAGAUAAUCCCGCAGAUAUGAUGACCAAGGUGGUAACAUCAACCAAGUUCGAACAUUGUUUGAACUUGAUUAAUAUCCUGCAAGUUUAACAGUUGAAGAAGGCACUAUCAAGUAUUGUUGUCAAAGGCAAAAAGAAUUGUGUGAAGAUAAGAUUAUCCUAAUCAAAUCUUCAAGGUGGAGAUUAUUGGAACCCACCCAUUGUUUGAAAAGUCAAAAAGGGUGGGCACCGAAAGUAGAAAGUAAAAUUGGUUGGCAAGUUGGGUUAAAAGUUGGCAUGGGAUAAUUGCAAUUUUGGUCCCUAAUUGUAUAGGGACAUUGCAAGUUGAUCCUUGAACCUCAACUAUAAAUAGGCCUAACCAUUUCUUACUUUCUUCAUCCCACACUUGCCAUUCUCUACUUAAGGCAAUUGUUCUCUCUCCCUAUUUGUAAACUUUCACUUGUAUUUUUGGAGUGAAAUAUAUUUGGUAGUGCCCGAGGACGUAGGCAAAAUUUGCUGAACCUCGUUAAAAUUCUAGUGUUCUUUAUUUUUUGUUCUGCAUAUUUUGCAAGUGUCGUUGUAGUGAUUUAUUGUGCUAUUAAAUUACGAUAGAGGGAUAUUCUGGCUAGGAAAGAUCUGGUAUGUAAGCGAUCCUCGUGAUCCACUUCUCUUUCCUGGGAAUUGAACUUAGUGUGAUUUUUCAGUACAAUAAUUUUACUCUUUCACACGCUUCCGCGCAACACUCAUGUUUGGUAUUUGUAUUGGCUUCCAUUUUUAGUGUUUCAAAAGCUUAAUUCUGCUCUUGAAUUCUAUUUUUGUUUCUUCUGCAAGCCUUGAGCCUUGUUUCUCAAGUCUCAGCAAAACUUGCUUGCAUAUUAUUCAUAACACCAACAGAUGUCUUAAAAGUCCCACCAAUAUUUCGCACAUGGGAGGGAUCGACAUGGUACAAGAUAGGAAGAACAGUAUGCCCUUGAGUCUUUUUACACUUCAUGAUCUGAGAGAGUUCACCUAAGCAUGAUUUCGAAGAAGCAUAGCCUUUAGAUAAAACAAGGAUUGAGAGAUUUGAGGCUGCAAUUGCUUGAGAAAGUGCUUGUCAAAGUUGCUCCCUUUUCUUUAGUUUUUCUUCAUCGAAGAAUACAUUCAGUCCCGUGCCUUUCAAAGCUUUGAGUAGAUGACUGGUGAAGUUAAGGCGUGUGUCUUCACCUCUGAAGCUCAAGAAAACUUGGUGCUUCAUUUGACGAGAAGAAGAUGAAGAAGACGCCAUGAAAGAUUAUGGAUAUGUGAGUGAGGCAAAGAGAAAAAUUUAUAGCAAGGGAGCUUUGGUUUGCCUUUUGAAGAAGAAAAGUUUAAAAUAUGGAUCCAUCAUCAGUGGGAACCUUUUAUUAAAUGGAUUUUUGGUUGAAUUUUCGAACAUAUUAAAAUUUAUUUCUUUUUUUUUAUACAAAGCCUAUAGCUACACGUAAUUCUUUCUCACCUUUAAAUAAAAAGAAAAGACACGUUUAAACACACUCGAACUCACAUCUUUAAACAUUUGUGUGAUGCUAUUAUUUUCUAUUAAAGGUUGUCAUUAAUAAGCUAUUUAAAUUCCAUCACUAAGAAUAUAUUUUUUUCAUCACUUAAAUAAUGGCUUUAAUUAGAGAUAGAUUCUAGUGUCACGGGGCUAGAACUUCCGUCUCGCGAUCCGUGCGGCCUUAGGCGAUCCGUUCAUCCAAACUCGCCUAAGUCAGCUUUUACUCAAGUGAAGAUUCCUUAAGAACUCCUCCAAGGCACCGAAUUGAAGAGCGGAAGCGAUUUAUGCCAAAAGAAGAAUAAUGAAAGAACAAGAGAAAGUCACAGAAAAGAACACACCCAAGGUGUUUGAGUAAAUGCUCUCUGAAUUCUAUUACUCUUAAGAAUUCAAUCUUACAAUGGAUGAGUACAAAUGAGGGGAGGCUCUCUAUUUAUAGUUAAGCUCCCCUAAAAUCGACGAUCAAGAUACAUUUACAUCAACGGACGAGAUUAACCAUAUCUCUUAAUUUUAGGGAUUUACAAUAUUUGUCAUAUCAAAUCUAAUCUAAUCUUUACAAGAUAUGAUUCUCUCUAUCUUCUAAGAUUAGUUACCAAAAUUAGCCUAAGUUGCCAUGUCUUCAUUAUCGAGCUAACCAGGCUUCAAUCUGAUAGGUUUCUCCAACAAUUCUUUGAAUCGGGUCAGUUCUCGUGGGCUAAAUGUUCUCCAUUUAAUCGAUAGACCUCCAUGGGGCACAUCUUGUGUCAUGGUCACGGGCUUUAGACUUUGGCCCGUGACACUAGCACAUUCAGAUAACAUAAUUACGUAACAAAUAUAUUUAUAAAAAUUUACAUAAAAAAUAAGUGAAGUUCAUACAGGCAUAGGAGUCCCAUCACCUAUUAAGAGAGGGAAUGUACUUGAGUAUGGUGUAGACUUAUUCAAAGCAAAGGCAUCUCGACAAACAUGGUGCAUUGCCCCUGAAUCCAGAUACCAAGACGAAGUUCCUAUAGGUAUAGGAAUAUACGAAUCAUCAUUAUCAAAAUUGGACCCAAAAUAAGUGACAUUAAUAUUAGACCCAGUAGAGUUAGAGACAUUAGACGCAUGUAAAUCAGGUAUUCGAGGUAAUCCAAUGCAUGGAUCUGACCCAAUAUAAACACAAGCUCUUAGUUUUGUCCGCCAGGGAAUACACAACCCAUUUUAUGACCCAAAUGUAGUACAAACACCACCAUCUGAAGGCUCAAGCCCUCGUCCAUGACCAAGAGGGCUUGCAAACUCCACACAAUUAAAUGUCGGCCCAUUUGGAGAAACAUUAGCAGUCGACCCAACUGGAGAAAAAUCACCCCCAAAGUCCUAGCAUGGGCCAGAUGGCCUAGCACGCACAGACGGCCCAAGAUUUUGGCCAAUGGCCUAGUGAACCCAGUUACAAGCCCAAAAUACGGACCUAACCCAGUAAACUGCCUUAUGACCAGGCUCAAACCGCUGCUCAUGACCAAGCCCAAAUGGUUGGCUUAACCCAGCAUAAUGCCUAAGCGGUAGGCCUGCUCCAUCAUCAAACGCAAAAAAAGGGGUUAAAAACCCUAGUGUAUGACAUAUACAGGGGAGGCACAGCAGACAAAUGACCACCCUACCAUUUACCAGAAAGAAAUCGUGACUGCACCGUCUACGAAAGGCCACCAAACUGACUAGAGACGGGCGAUAGAAACGAGAAACCAGCAUCCAAACCCUGCCUAGUACGAUCGGUCGAAUUUGAAGCCCAGGCCACUAAUGCCAGGCCACUGUAGUCGCGAUUAUGACAAUAUUAAAAACGUUGAGCUAAAUGCCCAAACUGACCACAGAUCUAACAUUGGAGUUAGGAUCGAAACCUCUUUCCACAACCACCAGUAAGGGACGGCCACCACGCACAGAGUCCACCACCGGUGGUGACGGAAUAGUCUCCAAAAGGUUAGCAUGAAACGGCACCUCCUGAACCACGCGAAUUUAGCAACUUCCAUACUCCAACAACUCAUCCAUGAGGUGUUGUAACGGUAAGGCUUCCGACAAGAAUGACGCUAAGGUGAGCAUGGCGUUGAACUCCGGUGGUAGGCCCACAAGUACGAUCUCCAAUUUCUCUGCCUCCGAGAUCCAAGAUCGACAAGCCUCGAUUAAAGCACAGGUAUUCUGAAUCUUUACUACACACUCCUUUAUCGACAGAUUACCUUUCUUAAGCGAAUGUAAAUCAUGGCGAAUGCAAGAUAACUUGACACCUGUGGCGGUAGUGAAAAGGCAAGUGGCAGUGUUCCAAACAUCGCACGCCAUCCUAGCAUAUGUAAAAGAAGACAACAGUGAAGGACUAAUAGUAGAAAAUAACGAGAAAGAGGCAAGUAACCUAUCCUGCUGAACUAAUGCUGAGGCAUCUGGAUUUGGAACUAGAGAUCCCUCCGAAGACGGCACAAAAUGCGGCAGAACAGGUAACGUUCCCUCCAAAAAAAACCAUUGAAUUCAUAACCUUCAAUAAUCAAGUGAAUAUGUUGCUGCCUCUGUCAAUCAUUGUUGUCCGACGUUUACCAUGUUAAUAUCUACAAAAACUUGAAAGAAAAAUAGAAUAUGCAGAGAAUGAUUUUUGUAUUAUUAUCUUGAAUUUAACCAGUACAACUAUAGUAUUUAUAAAAUGUGUAUGAGUAACUGCUGCUAACAAUUUCACUUAACAACAUAACUGCUUGUAUAACAAACUAAAAACUAAUAGACUAAUAGAGUCUUUAUCUAUACUCUAACACUUUAAACAGAGCAAGUUAGAUUCAUCCUGGUUGGUUUUAAUUAAGUAAAGCACUUCAUUUUCUAUCAUAGGCAAUUAAUUUAAAAGUUGAAAAUUUAGUUUUAACACCUAUGAAAAACAAAAAUAUGGCAAUAUGAAAAAUGAAAUAAAAAAUCGAGUAAUAUGAAAGAAUGAGAUGAAAACCCCUUUAUGCAUUUAGAUGACAUGAUUGAGAAGUUGUAACUACUGAAAACCAGAGCCAAAAAUGAAAGGAAAUAAAAACUAUUGAAAUCGUUUAGGGCAUCCAUCCCCUUCUUCACCAUCAUGGCUAAAGCGUCUUUUGGUUUCGGCAGGUCUCAUUUCUGUAGCAUCAGCAUCACUCUCUGCAUCUACGUAAAAUACAUGAACACCACAUCUCUCCACCUUGAUAAAUUUUUCUGCUGCUUCUUCAUAAUGAUGGAAAUUUUUGAUGCAGAAAUCAAAUGAUGCCUCCUCAUAAUUCUUGUCUCUUUUAACCAUUUUGAUGCUAGAUAGAAUAAACACGUGAUCACCCAUGCAUUUCUCUGACUCAGAAGCAUCCAAGAAAGAUAUGGUACUUUUGAACUUUUUAUAACCACCAUCAGCGGCUGUAAGUUAGUAGCCACAAAUACAUUUAAGACUUCUCAAGCGAGGGCAGUGAGCGAGAUCAGCCACAAGGCAGAUAACAAAAACCAAAAAUCUGCUCCCACCACCCCCAUUUGGGGCUAUCUUCAAACUUAAGGAAGAAUUCAUACUCUGAUACUUGAACUUAUUUGUUGAAAUUUUGUUUCUUGGGAAACAACAAAUCAAACUUGGAAGGAUAUCACCCAGGUAUUUCCUACCAUAUGUCGCUGCCCGUUCCUUAGCUAGGGAUCCAAUUUUGAGCAUGGCAUUUGCCUCAAUGUUAUUAGUUGAUUCUUGAUUCAAGUUGAAGCAAUUACAGAAUAACAUGCAAAACACACCAUCACCUUCAUCACCUAACGAACCAAACUGAUAUAAAUUUUGAUCUGCAAAGGGAACUUUUUCUAAUUACGUGCAGUCAUGUACAUUCAAGUCGAGCAGAUAUGGUGGAAGCUCUGAGAGUAAUUUGAGGCUCUUGCAACGAUCCAUAUGCAUAUACUUAAGGCUUUUGAACCUUAAGCUUGGUGAGCGCACAUCAACAAUUGGAAAUUUAACGAUUAUACAACCACUAAGAUGUAGAGAAGAAAGGGAUUUCAACUUUGAAAUAUUGCUUGAUACAUCUUUUACCAUUGAGUUUGUCAAGGUCAACCGUUGAAGUUUGUCGAGAUGCUCAAUGAAAUCAGGUACUUCUUUUAUUCCGGUUUAUGAUAAAUCUAACUCAUAAAAUUUAUUUGGGAUCUCCGGAAACUUCUUGAGACUACGACAUCCCUUAAGGUGAAGGGUUUUAAGUGAUGUCAAAUGGUUGAGGCAAGGAAGUUCAACCAAACUUUUGCAUUUUUCACAGUCAAGUCUUUCAAGGUUGAGGGCUCCUAUUAAAUUAGGGAUCUUCUUUAAAUUUUUGCAACUAAAAAGUUUAAUUUUCCAUAAAUGAACAAGAUCCUGCACAUGAUGAGAAUAUAAAGUAGUUAGAGCAUCAUUUACUUAGACUCUAUCAAAAUAAAAAUUUAUAUUUGAUGUAUUGGGUGUAUUAAUUCACCCACCAUCAAUAUCAAAUUGCUUAUUAUAAAAAAAUAGAAUAAAAUCUUUUAUAUAUAUUUUAAAAAAUUAAUAAAAAUAUGCUAUCAUAAGAUUAAAUGUUAUAUCAAUUAUAAAUUAUUUUUCUUAAAAAAUUAUUGGAUGAAGAAAGUAUAAAAGUAUAUAUACUUGAUGACCUUCGUUCCAAAGUUGUUCCAUAUUUUCAUGUGCUAAUCUCGAUACAACAAGGUUUUUUGGUUUAAAAUUUGGUGAUAAGAUUUGAAGGGGUAAUAAUCCCAUUGAAGAUACCUUAGCUCAUCCAGAAGAGAUAUAAUAUCAACUUCGAAUGUAAGUAGCUUCUUAUAAUACUUAUGCUCUUUUCACAACAAAUUCUAAGGAGAAUAGAAGAAAAUAUAUCUAAGAUUAAUCAUGUUUUCAAAAACAAAAGGUUAGAAUAAUAGGUUAUCCAUAUGUGACAUGUCUAACUUUAUUCCUUGAAUUCGAUCAGUUCUCUGAUAACAAAAAUUAAUUUAUCAAAUAUUAUCCCGAAAAAAUUUAUAGACAUUCCAUUAAAUAACUCAUAAAAAAAUAAUUAUAUUAGGAUAGGCAUAGACUAAUUGAGCACUUUUAGGAAUUUUUACAUACAAAAAUUGUUUUCUUUUCUUUUGUUUUUAUUUUUUCAAAUCAAUGCAUUAAGGAUUUAACUAAGUCAUAAACCUUGAGCGGAUUCUACAUUAUAACUAAGACAUAGUCAUUAUGUGUCAUUAUGCAUCAAUUCCGUCAGACCGGGCCCUUGGUGCUUAAGAAAACUUGAUGCAUCAUUUGACGAGAAGAAGAUGAAGAAGACGCCAUGAAAGUAUAUGGAUUGUGAGAUUGAGGAAAAAGACCACAAAUAAACCGUGGGAGCUUUGCUUUUGUUUCUACUUUUUGAAUGGUAAGAAGAAAAAGUGACUUUAUUAAAUGGGGAUGAGAUUGAAAGUGUUUCUGUUAGGCUGAAGCAUAGCUAAUUUGUCCUAAUCCAAGGCUCGAAUAAGAAAAAGAGUCUUACAUUUCUUCCUAAACCUAUUUUUCGACCCUCAUAUUUUUUUACCUAAAUUCUCUUAUAUUUUAGAUUAACCUUCAAAUUUAAAUGAAUAGUUCGGCCACUUGAAUAAAUCUACUCUCGAUUUACAUAUUGGCAGUAGUACUUUUUAGUCUAAACCCACCCAAAUUAUAAAAGAACCUUUGGUCUAAAUCAAGCUAGCUUAAAUCAAUAAAAAAAGCCUUCAAUUUUGUCUAAAUUUAUUUUUUUAUUCAAAUUCUCUUAUAUUUUGGAUCUUUGUUAGUAAUACUAGCCGCUACCCUUAGUUGAAUAUCCAAUUUAAAGGGACUGUUUUUCUUGCCUAGUCAGUGAAAUAAUUGUUCCAUUGAUUAGUGUACUAUUUGGUCCCCGACGCCCCACAAUUAAGUUCACGUGAUAUUGAUUUUCAUGUGUUUUUUUCCUUACCUUCAUUCAUUGAUUGCAAAAAAGCAAAUCAAUACUAUGCUACAAAACUGUCAGUCAUCCUCUUGGUUGAAUUUUCAUGGAAAACCUGCAGAUUACAGUCUUAUGGCUGUAACUUCAUAAUGCACCAAAGCAUGAAAAUUCACCACUUGAUAUGCGACGCACAAUUUUUAUGUUUUGUGGGUGAUAAAUAAGAUACUUUAAACUCCUAUCAUCCAGUUUGGUUUUUAUAUAAGCACUUCAUUUUCUAUCAUAUGAGAUUAAUUUAUUUAAAAAUUGUGGAUGCAAGCUUACAACAUCUAUCACUAGCUAAUUUGUAAUGCUAAUGGACCUGAAUUUGUGUAAUUACUGCAAUUUAAAAUAAUCAGAGUUGUAUAAUUUGUGUUUUUUUCUUAUAGUAGAUCAUAGUUUAGGAUUACAGAAAAUUAUUUUAAUUACUAAGCUUCGAAUCUUGAACUUGAUGGAUAUCAUCACAUCAGAACCAAUGUACAAACCAAUUCUAAAACAGAGUAGAACUCUGGAAUUUUAAUUGCAAAAAGGGAAAAUUGAUUCAAGUUUUAGCCCAAACUGAUGUAACAAUCAAGUCAAAUAGCUGUACCAUGAAACCAACUUUUCAUUUUAAAGUUCCAACUAAAGCAAAAUCAUUUGGAUUCUUUUUUUCCAGGUGUUUAUGUUGGGUUCCUCUGUGGGGUAAACAUCAAUCUAGCUUAAGAAUGAAAACUGUGAUAGGGUUGGCAUUGAAAAUAACACCCAGGCUCCAUGUGUUCAUUCAGCGAGUUUUGAGAUGAGAGCAACUCUGCCAAAUUCUGAAUGCAUUUAUAUGGUCCAUUGAUAAAUCAGGGGAAAAGAAUGCCAUGAGGAUGCUAAUAAUCAGAAUGAGUCAAUAGUAAUUUGCCCAAGAGCAUAUGCUUCCUCUCAAUGGGAUAAACAAGGCAACUCUGUUGACAAGUUGCAGUACUGCUUCAAUAUCUAAGUCCAACCACAAUAUAAAUAAAUCAUUCAGUAGAAGAAAUUAAAGAGCUUAAAAGCUUACUUGUUACAAACAUCUGUUAUUUAUUCCCUCAUAUGCUUUCCUUACAUCAAUCAUUGCCAUCUUUAUUCCCUUCACAAUAAUCUCUAGGUAAAAGGGCACAUCUAUAAAUGUGGAUUUUGUGGGAACUACAUUUUUUGGUGAGAAAGAACAUAUAAAAAAACCACCCAUAAUCUGCAACUUCAAUUCCAAUAGAGUAUUGAAUCUGUGUCUGGCUUGACUAUCAUGCAAGUUUUAUGAAAUCUACAGAUCACAGUCAUAAAAAAUAGAACAUAACAAAUAGAAAAUACCUACUCCUAGAUCAAUAUAAAAGCAUAGGUUAUAAGAUUAACCAAUCUCGAAAAUAUGUUGACUAUAUUUAGGUAAUAGUUGGUAGGUUUACCUUGUUGAGAGCUGGACUGCAAUACAACAUGAAGCCAGCAGUAAGCUACUGUCGAGACCAGCAGCACCUACAGAGCUCAGCUCAUUUUGCUUGGUGUGCAAGAAUGAUUUUUGGACCGAAUGAAGCAACCAACAUUGUUGUUUUGUUUUGAUGUAAUUUGGUCUGGUUCAAUCUUAGUUUGCUUGUAAUGUUAGUAGAAGUUAAGUUAGUGAUAAGAUCUUUUGAUGUAAUGGCUGAUUGGUCAGCUAUAUUUGAUUAAUUUUUAGCUAGUGACUAGGUCUGUAUUAGUUGGGGCAGUUAAAUACAUUAGGUAACUGUCAAUGUAUAUUGUAACUUCUUUUAUAUUUCAAAUUUGAAUGAAAAAUUAGUAAUGUUCAGUUAUAAUUUUUUCUGAGUGUUCAAACUUUGUUCACUGCUUUUGUUUUGCUUUUCUUUUUGCUUCGAUUCCUCUUGCUUCUGUUUGCAAAUCUGUUUGGUGUUUGUUGCCAUUGUUCCAACAAAUGGUAUCAGAGCCCAAAUCUUUGAGGGGCCUUUGUAUGCAAUCUGUUGUGUUCAAACUUAAACCAACAUCAAAAUUUAAAAUUUGGAAAGAUCGAAGCAUUUAAAAUCAGUCUAGCAGGAUGAGUUUUACUCCACCACCUCCACCAGUGUUCACUGGAGAAAACUAUCACAUUUGGAUAGUUAAAAUGAAGACUUACCUCCAGGCACACGAUCUUUGGAGUGUGAUCGAGAAUGAUGCUGAACCACCUCCAUUGAGUGCCAAUCCCACCAUUGCACAGAUGAGACAACAUGCUGAUGAGCGAGCCAAGAAGCAUAAGGCUAUGGCUUGUCUACAAAAUGGAGUCUCUAAUGUGAUAUUCACUCGCAUCAUGGCCUGUGACUCACCAAAACAGGCCUGGGAGAAGCUGAAGGAGGAGUUCAUGGGGACUGACAAGACAAGGCAACAGCAGGUGAUCAACCUCAGGAGAGAUUUUGAGAAUGAGGAUGAAGGAGUCUGGGACCAUCAAGCAGUACUCAGACAGGAUAAUGGCCAUUGUCAACAGCAUUAGGCUCCUGGGAGUGGACUUCACAGAGAGCAGAGUUGUUGAAAAGGUCAUCACAACUCUCCCUGAAAAAUUCGAGUAAAAAAUCUCUUCACUUGAGGACUCGAGGGACUUAUCAGCCAUAUCAUUGUCUGAGCUGAUAAACUCCUUGUAUGCACUUGAGCAAAGGAGGGCAAAUAGGUAGGAGGAGAAUCCUGAGGCUGCUUUCCAGGCUAAAGCCAGUGAAGGCUCGAGUGUGAAUGCAAAAGGCAAAAAGUCUUGGCACAAUAGGAAGGCCAAGUCAGGAAGAGAUGAAGCAAAAAGGGUGUUUCCACCAUGUGUUCAUUGUAAGAAGGCAACACAUUCAGAAAAGUAUUGUUGGUUUAGGCCAGAUAUUCAGUGCAGAAAGUGCAAACAGUUUGGCCAUGUGGAGAAGGUGUGCAAGGGCAAACCAAAGGAGGCUGCUCUGCAACAAGCUAGACCUGCUGAAGAUAUGCAAGCUCAAGAGGAGCAUGUAUUCACUGCAACCUAUUUUGUUGGCACAACAAAGGCCAGCAAUGAUUGGCUACUAGACAGUGGCUGCUCACACCAUAUGGCAGCAGAUGAGAAGCUGUUUAAGAGCCUAGACAAAAGUUUCCACUCGAGGAUCAGAAUUGGAGAUGGCAAGCUGAUUGAGGCUAAGGGCAAGGGCAAUGUACUGGUUAGCACUGGUUCAGGUAACAAGCUGAUCUCUGAUGUGCUCUUUGUACCAGACUUAGAUCAGAACCUACUUAGUGUAGGCCAAUUGGUUGAAAAAGGCUAUACUUUGGUCUUUAAAAAUAGUUGUUGUAUUGUUCAAGAUAUGAAUGGUCUGGAGCUAGUCACAGUCUCUAUGACUGAUAGGUGCUUUAUGCUAGAUGUUAGCCAAGUAGAAAGAAAGGCAUGCACUAGUCUUGUUGAUAGUACAAACUUGAGGCAUAGGAGAUUAGGCCAUGCCAAUUUCAGAUCCAUUGAUCUGUUGCAUAAACUGAAUUUGGUUGAUGAUAUUUCAAAAAUUGAGGUUAGUGGAAAUGUUUGUGAAGUUUGUCAGCUUGGUAAGCAAGCGAGACUGCCUUUUCCUACUAACAGUGUUUGGAGAGCUCAACAUAAGCUCGAAUUGGUGCACUCUGAUGUUUGGGGCCCUAUGAGAACAUCUUCAAUCAGUGGCAACAGGUAUUUUGUCCUAUUUAUAGAUGAUUUAACAAGAUUAUGCUGGGUCUACUUCUUGAAGCAGAAGUCAGAAGUGUUUGAAGCCUUCUACAAAUUCAAGGCUUAUGCUGAAAAUCAGUUAGGCUGCAAAAUUAGAGCCUUGAGGACUGAUAAUGGCUCUGAAUAUGUGUCUGAGAGAUUUCAGAAGCUUUGUGACACUGCUGGAAUUCAUCAUCAGCUUAUCACAGUUUAUACUCCUCAGUAGAAUGGAGUUUGUGAAAGGAAAAAUAGGACUGUGCUGAACAUGGCUAAGUGUCUCUUGUUUCAAAGCAAGCUUCCAAGUCAGUUUUGGGCUGAGGCAGUCAACACCUCAGUGUACUUGCUCAAUAGGCUGCCAACUCGAGCAGUCAAGGAUAAAACACCUUUUGAGGCUUGGCAUGGAGUCAAACCAAUUGUGACACACUUGAAAGUGUUUGGAUGUGUGUGUUAUGCUCUUAUUCCAGUAGAGAAGAGGACCAAGCUUGAGAGCAGGGCUACAUCAGGAAUUUUUGUAGGCUAUAGCAGCAACAAGAAGGGUUAUAGGGUGUAUGAUCCUACAGCAAAGAAGGUCUCAGUCAGCAGGGAUGUAAAGUUUGAUGAGGAAAAGGUGUGGAAUUGGAAUGGUGCUGAAGCUGACAUGUCUGAAAUGGACCAGUUGGACUUGGUUAUUGAACCUAUGGAAGAGGGACCAGGAGAAGAUGCUGUGGAUGACACACCAGUGUGGGGAACCAGAACUUUAACUGAUGUCUAUCAGAGGUGUAAUGUUGCUGUAAUUGAGCCUUCAGACUUUGAAGAGGCUGUCAAAGACAGAAGAUGGAUGAAAGCUAUGGAAGCUGAGCUGGAAAUGAUCAACAAAAAUCAAACAUGGGAAUUGGUGAGCAUACUAGAACACAAGAAGGUCAUAAGAGUUAAAUGGGUGUACAGGGCUAAGUACAAUGCUGAUGGCUCACUGAACAAGCACAAGGCCAGGCUUGUGGUGAAGGGCUACAGUCAGCAAUAUGGUGUGGACUUCUUGGAGACAUUUGCACCAGUAGCCAGACUGGAUACAAUCAAGCUAUUAUUUGCUUUAGCAGCUCAGAAGCAGUGGAGAGUUCAUCAAUUGGAUGUGAAGUCAGCAUUUCUAAAUGCCUUUCUCAAGGAGGAGAUCUUUAUUGAGCAACCUAAAGGUUUUGAAGUUGCUGGACAUGAGGACAAAGUGUACAAGUUGAGGAAGGCCCUUUAUGGCCUGAAACAAGCACCAAGGGCCUGGUAUGACAGAGUUGAUGCUUACCUGACCAAGCUUGGAUUUGUGAAGAGUCUUAGUGAGCCUACUCUGUAUGUUAAAAGGUCAGAAUUUGAAACCUUGCUGAUUGUCUCCUUGUAUGUGGAUGAUUUGUUAGUGACAGGGAGCAAGGUUGAGCUCAUUGAUGAGUUCAAGGUUCAAAUGCAGCAAGUAUUUGAGAUGACAGACUUGGGAAUCAUGACAUACUUCCUUGGUAUGGAAGUGCACCAAUCUGAUCGAGGCAUCUUCAUCAGCCAACACACAUUUGCCUUGAAGAUCCUUGAUAAAUUUUGUAUGCAUAACUGUAAAGCAGUUAGCACACCAGUGGCUCAAGGAGAAAAGUUGACAAGCAGUGGUGAUCAGCAAAGGGUGGAUGAAAGACACUAUCGAAGCCUAGUAGGUUGCCUGUUAUAUUUGACAGCAACCAGGCCAGACAUCAUGUAUGGUGUUAGUCUGCUAUCGAGGUUCAUGCACUGCUGUAAUGAGACACAUUUGAAGGCUGCAAAAAGGGUUCUUAGAUACAUCAAAGGGACAGCUAACCUUGGGGUAAUGUUUGAAAGUGGAAAAAAACUGAAAUUGGAAGGUUAUUCUGACAGUGACUGGGCAGGAUCCCUUGAUGACAUGAAGAGUACUUCUGGAUACUUCUUCACACUUGGAUCAGGCAUGUUUUGCUGGAGCUCAAAGAAGCAACAAACUGUUGCUCAGUCCACAGUUGAAGCAGAGUACAUUGCUGCAGCAGUCAAUCAGGCCAUUUGGCUUAGAAAAUUGCUUCAUGAUCUCAAUGAAAUACAAGCUGAUGCAACUAAACUUUGGGUGGACAACCAGUCAGCAGUUGUCAUAGCCAAGAACCCUGUGUUUCAUGGUAAAACUAAACAUUUUAAAAUAAAGUUGCAUUCUGUUAGAGAGGCUGAACAAGCAAAGGAAGUCAGCCUUGUGCAUUGUGGCUCGGGGGCACAAUUGGCUGACAUACUGACCAAGCCCUUAGGAGCUAGUCGAUUUGAAUUAUUGAGAAAUGCAAUUGGAUUGUGUUGCAUAUAGUCCAAGGAGGAGUGUUGAGAGCUGGACUGCAAUGCAACAUGAAGCCAGCAGUAAGCUACUGUCGAGACCAGCAGCACCUACAGAGCUCAGCUCAUUUUGCUUGGUGUGCAAGAAUGAUUUUUGGACCGAAUGAAGCAACCAACAUUGUUGUUUUGUUUUGAUGUAAUUUGGUCUGGUUCAAUCUUAGUUUGCUUGUAAUGUUAGUAGAAGUUAAGUUAGUGAUAAGAUCUUUUGAUGUAAUGGCUGAUUGGUCAGCUAUAUUUGAUUAAUUUUUAGCUAGUGACUAGGUUUGUAUUAGUUGGGGAAAUUAAAUACAUUAGGUAACUGUCAAUGUAUAUUGUAACUUUUUUUAUAUUUCAAUAUUGAAUGAAAAAUUAGUAAUGUUCAGUUACAAUUUUUUCUGAGUGUUCAAACUUUGUUCACUGCUUUUGUUUUGCUUUUCUUUUUGCUUCGAUUCCUCUUGCUUCUGUUUGCAAAUCUGUUUGGUGUUUGCUGCCAUUGUUCCAACAUACCUUAGCUAACAUGAAUAUAAAUUAGAAAUCAUGAACUGAAAUAUUAUAUAGAUAUAUAUAUAUUUACCAACUUUCAAAGGAAAUAUGAAACAUAAAUCAAUGGGUGAACAAAUCAUUGAAGUAAAAUGCAGAUAGUAUUGAGAUGCAAUAUGAUUAAAUCUCUACUUGCUGCCUAUGGCAUGAGUACCAAUGGUGGAACCUAACCAAUUAAGCUAAAUGAUGUCCAUCACUGAUCCUAUGAAUCAAAACCAGCCAAUAACAAGUCACCUGUCAAAAAGAAUUCAAGUAUGAAUCUUAAUCUCUCCUCACUACAAUGCUCAAACAAUAUCAGAGCAGUAACAUAAAAACACACCAUUACCUUCAUCACCUAACGAAUCAAACUGAUAUAAAUAUUGAUCUGCAAAGGAAACUUUUUCUAAUGAUGUGCAGUCCUCUACAUUCAAUUCGAGCAGAUAUGGUGGAAGCUCUAAGAGUAAUUUGAGGCUCUUGCAACGAUCCAUAUGCAUAUACCUAAGGCUUUUAAACCUCAAGCUUGGUGAGCGCACGUCAACAGUUGGAAAUUUAACGAUUGGACAACCACUAAGAUCUAGAACUUCAAGGGAUUUCAACUUUGAAAUAUUGCUUGAUACAUCUUUUACCAUUGAGUCUGCCAAGGUCAACCGUAGAAGUCUGUCGAGAUGCUCAAGGAAAUCAGGUACUUCUUUUAUUCCGGUUUGUAAUAAAUCUAACUCAUAAAAGUUAUUUGGGAUCUCCGGAAACUUCUUGAGACUGCGACAUCCCUUAAGGUGAAGGGUUUUAAGUGAUGUCAAAUGGUCGAGGCGAGGAAGUUCGACCAAACUUUCGCAUUUUUCACAGUCUAGUCUUUCAAGGUUGACGGCUCCUAAUAAAUUAGGGAUCUUCUUUAAAUUUUUGCAUCUGAAAAGUUUAAUUUUUCGUAAAUGAACAAGAUCCUGCAGAUAAUGAGAACAUAAAGUAGUUAGAGCAUCAUUUACUUAGACUAUCAAAACUGGUGUUACUUGCACGCCACAUUAUCUUUUUGAAGAAAGCAAUGAGUUUCAAACUCUGAAGAGAGUUUUUUAUAUACAGCCUCAGCAAGGGUUGUUUUGCCUUGUCCACCCAUUCCCCAAAGUCCUAUUACACGACAGUCUUUUUGCUUAAUCAGCUUCAAAAUCGUCCUUUUCUGAUAUUCUAUUCCAACCAAUUCUUCAGAAACACUUUCAAACCCAAUAUUCGUCAACUUUUUUAUAACGUAUUCAACAACAUCUUUAAUGUACUUGGUUUCAGGUCUAGAAAACAAUAAAAAAUGUAAAUAAGUAAAUAUGAAAUCUAAAACAAAGAUAAGUUGAAAAUAACAAGAUGAGAAAAAUAUAAUUACUUGUCAAAUUUGCCUCCUUCUAUAUGCCACCCUUUUAAUUUACCAACCUCUGCAAAAGCAGUUUUCCAUUGUUGUACUCUAUCAGCUGGUUGCUCUGAUUCAUGCUCUUCGAAGGAUGUCUUAAAAUGCCCACCACUAUUUCGCACAUCGGAAGGAUCAACAUGGUAAAAGACGGGAAGAACAAUAUGUUUGUCAGUGGGAUUGUGCUUGCGAUCCAUGAUGUCAGAAAGUUCACCUAAGCAUGAUUUUGAAUAAGCAUAGGCUUUAGAUACAACGAGGAUUGAGAGAUUUGAGGCCGAAAUUGUUCGAGAAUACGUUGGUGGAAGCUUCUCUCCUUUUUUCAGUGUUUCGUUAUCGGGGAAGACAUUAAUUCCUACUUUUUCCAAAGCAUUGACUAGGUGAUUGGAGAAGUUGAGGCGUGUGUCUUCACCUAAGCUUAAGAAAACUUGAUGCUUCAUCAACUUUUGCAUAACAUACGCAACAAUAUCCUUGAUGUACUGGGUUUCAGGUCUAGCAAAUAAUAAAAGAAGUAUAUAUAUGAAAUCCAAAACGAAGAUAAUUCAAAUAUAAGGAGAUGAGACAAAUAUAGUUACCCAUCCGACCUGCUUCCAUCUAUAUGCCACCCUUGUAAUUUACCAACUUCAGCAAAAGCAGUUUCCCAUUGUUUCACUUCAUCAACUGACCUCUUUGUUUUAUGCUCAUCAAAGGAUUUCUUAAAACUCCCAUCAAUUUUCACCACAUCAGAGGGGUUAACAUGGUAAAAGAUGGGACGAACAAUAUGUUGUCCGAUGCUUUAGCGGUCCAUGAUGUCAGAGAGUUCAACCAAGCAUGAUUUCGAAGUGGCAUAGUCUGCAGACAAAACGAUGAUUGAGAUAUUUGAGACUGCAAUUGCUCGAGAAAGUGCUUGUGAAAGCUGGUCCCCGCUUUCCAGUUUUUCUUCAUCGAAGAAAACAUCAAGUCCCUCGUCUUUCAAAGCUUAAAGUAAGUGAGUGGUGAAAUUAAGACGCGUGUCUUCACCUCUGAAGCUCAAAAAAACAUGAUACUUCAUUAGAGUAGAAGAUGAAGAAGAAGAAGCCAUGAAAGAGUAUUGAUAGUGUGCUUGAAGCAAAAGAGAGAACAAAUAUAGCAAGUGAGUUUUGCUUGGGUUGUGGUAUUAUUGUAAGAAGAAAAAGUGUAAAUGGGAAAGAGAUUGAAGGCCUAGGCAAAAGCACAGGCGACGACUUGAGCUUAGCCAACUAUCCUUUCGUCAACACAGGUGUUACUUGAACGCCACAUUAUAAACUGCACCGCCCAUGAAAUUAGCCAAUUCGGAAAGGGUCAAAUCUUGUUUCAGGUCCCUCUACUAUUCUCAAAUUUGAGAUUUAGUCCUUCUUUAAAAUGAUCUCUUUCUUUUUAUGUUGUCAUUAAUUAAUUCAAAUAGGUAAGGUUGUUAACUAUUCAGGUUAAAAUUUUAGAGUGGAUAAAAAAAAAUCUUUUAUCAUAAAAGAUUCUUGUAAUUUUAAGAAAAAAAAUCAUGUUAUAGUAUUAUUUAUUUAUAUUAAUUAGUUACACAAAAAAAUUAUUUAAAAAUCUUUAAUCAAAAAAGAAAUUCUAGAGAAAGGUUGAGAUAACAAGAGAAACAUGUGGAUUAUCAUACAUGUUUAUCAUUUUUCACUAUUUUUUUAGAAAAACAUUUAUAGUAUAAUUUUCAUUUUGAGUUAUCAAACAUGUUUAAAAUUUUAAAUUACUAAAAAUAUAAUUUCUCAAUUAAAAUUUUUAAUAUUAGUAAAGUUAAGCUAAACAUUUUACGUGAAGAUUUGAUUGGAGAAGUGUUAAAAUCAACUUAAUUGAACGUGACUAAUUUGAUCAAUGUGUUAAAAUGAUUUUUAUCGAUAAAUAAUAUAUUUUAGCAAUUAUGAGAGAAGUUUAAUUCUUAAUUGAUAAUUUGAAAACUUUUCAUUACCUUUCAUGAAUUUUCUAUCUAAGUUGUCAUGACUUAAAUUUUGGGGAGUAUUUUUUUUCAAGCCAAAGACUUUUUCUUUUGGAUCUUGAGAAGGCUCGUGUUAUAUAAAAAAUGUGUAACGAUCCGAUAGUCAGGGUGUCGAAAAGUGUAUUCUCGAGACUUUUAUCCCGUAAAUCGAACUCAUAAAUAUUUACGAAACUAGUUGUGUAGUUAAUUAGGUUUCAGUUAAGUGAAUUCGCUCGAAUUAAAAGUAAUUAGGUAUAAGGACUAAAUUGCAUAUAGGGUUAAAGUUGAAGUAUAGAGCAAAGAAUAAUUAAAGGAACUAAAGAAUUGCUUCUUUAGUAGGACGGCAUUAAUUAAAGUUAUCUCAAGUAUUAAGAAAAUAUAUAUUAUAUAAUAAUAAAUCCACAUUAAGUAAAAGAAAAAGAAAGACAAAGUCAAGAAAUUAAAAAGAAAGAAAGGAGAAAAGAAGAGACGCAAGCAAGGCUAUGGCCCCAAAAUUUUCCAAGUUUAAUUGGUUAGUAUAUUUAACUCUAUUUCUUGUAAUCUUCAUGUUUUUGGAAUCCUAGUGCUAUGUAUUACUCGAUUCAUGUUGAAAUUUUAGCAUUAAUUGAGUUUUUAAAGGUUGCUAAUGUUGAAUAAUUUUAGUAUUAAUAAUUAAAUUGAUAGAUUUUAAGCUAGAAGUGAAAAAGGAUUAAAUUGUAAAAUAGAUUGUAAAAUUUGAGUAAUAGGGACUAAAUUGUGAAAUUUUCAAAGAUUAGGGAUUUAAGUGAAAAUAGGAAGUUAAAUUUAGUUUAAAGUAGAAUUUGUAUGAAAAUAUAUAAUUAAAUGUGAAGAAUAAAAAUUAGUUUUGGUUUAGGGGCUAAAUUAAAAUUUAGGCAAAUAUUGAGUAAAAAUUAAAAUAUUCAAUAUGAAAUUGAAUUAUGUUGUAUUGAUGAAUUUUCAUUGUUUUAAUUCUGUAGCUAACGUCGUACCGGAAUCCUCGAUUAAAAAAGGAAAAGAUAAGGUCGACGUCGAAUAGUUCGGAAUUCUUGGUUUGUAUUUCUAUAAUCUGAAUUAAGUUGUAAAAUUAUUGCAUUUUGAUUUAUUGUAUAUGGUAAGUAUUGAAGGUGAAAACUAUUGUGUUUUACAAUUGAAAUGGAUUGAUUCAGUAAGUCAUAAAUUUAUUAAAUUUAUAUGAAUUGAAUUAAAUUCAUAUGUAUAUAUGUGAUAAUGUGAUUAUAUGAAAAUUUGAUAUUGGAUAUUGGUUAUAUUUGAAAAGUGAAUUGGAACUCUAUUAACUGUAUUGGGCUAAGUUGGAUAUAAAUGACAUGCCAUAGGAUAGGAAGAGUUCAGGAAUUUAUUUGACUUUGAUUCGAUAAGGCACUGGGUGCCAAUUUACUUCGGUUUAACCGAUGAGACACUGGGUGUCAAUGUAUAUAGCACUGGGCGCAUAUUACUUCGGAUUUAUCCGAUGAGACACUGGGUGCCAAACUGGUGUGUUGGUUAAAUCCGUGUAUCCGUCCGAAUCCAAGUCGCGUUAAUAGGGUAAUUAAAUAAAACGAUACUAUGAUUGAUAUUGGAUGAUAUUGCAUGUGAAUUGAAAAUGAGAUAGUGAAUUGAAACAUGAAAAUGAGAUACAUGAAUUAUGUAUUCAUGAAUUGGAUAUGGAAUAGAUCAUGUUAUGUGGAUCAAAUUGUGAAAAGCUAUUAUAUAGCAAGUGAUGAGAAUUGAGUAUGGUAUGAAAUGGUGCAUUUAUGAAUUGAGUAUUAAAUGGCUAAUGUCAUUGUAUGAAUAAAUGUGGUUUUAAUUACUCAAUUGUCCUUAUAAUUAAUAUGUCUAUAUUAUAUUAUUAUAUUUUUAAAUAUUCAGAUUAUAAAAUAUCACUGAGUUUUACUCGAUGUACGAUUUUGUUUUCCGUGCGCAGAUUAGGUACUUAACUUUUGAUCGCCAAUUCAGAAUCCAACAACGAUCCUAACCUCAAAUGUAGUGAUAUUUACCUUUUGUGUUGGCAUGUACCUAGGGUGUCUAAAUAACAGUUAUUUUGUGGAUUGAUUGUAAAUAAGGUUAUAAGCUUAAUAUUAGUUCGAUAUAUAUAAACGUGUUUGUUUUUGAAGCCAUAUUAUAUCAUGGUAUAUUGAAUUAAACCUAGAUAUGUGUAUGUGAGUUUAAGUUGAUGUAUAAGUGCUCAUGAACUAGGCAAAACGAAUUGAAUUUGGUAUUUUUAUAAUUUGGAUUUGAAUGAUGCUUUGAUGAUAUGUUUUGAUGCUAUAAAUGUGGUACCAAUGAGGAUACAUUGGUUAGGCACCUAGAAUGAUUGUUUUGGCAUGUUUUGAAUGUUUUUGAUCAUGUUUUGAACGUUGAAUGAAUGGUUUUUGAGUUAUUUAAUGUCCUAACUUGUAAGAAAUGGUAAAUUUGUUAUUUAAGGCACAUUUUAGGUCCAUACGGCCAAACACACGGGCGCGUGACUCGGUCGUGUAAGACACAAGGCUAGCACACAGGCGUGUGAGACCAUUUUGAAAGGGAACACGGCCUGGCACACAGGCGUGUGGCCAAAGUCAGGGAAUUACAUAGGCAUAGACAUGGGCUGGGACACGACCAUGUGUCCCUAUUUCAAAUAUUUGAAAACAAGUCUUAAAUUUUAUUUAAAUUUACUUUUAAACUUCAUAUUUUAUACAAUAUCUUCAAAUUUGAAUGAUUAAUUUUUUAUUUUGGUAGAAAAGAACUUAGGACUAGCCUAAGGGAACAACAAGAUUACACCCUUUUUACCAAGGGCAGUCGAGAAACAAAACCGGCAAAAUCCUUGAAAGGCAUCGAUGUCAAACCACCAUGAAACAUGGAGGACAAAAACGAGGUCAGGAGCACCCCUCCCACCAUUGCAGCGACUAACCUCAAACAACUUACACUUAAAAUGCCUUCAAAUCAACUUACAAGCUAACUUUAAUUAACUAAAAAGAUAGUUCUCUUUUGUUCUAAAGUUCAAUGUAAUGUCAAACACCCCAGACAAAUUCCAAAGCCUAAGACAACAAAUUGUGACAAUGUGACAGCUAAACAGUUAAAAACAUACCUGGAAAACAACAUGAACUGGUGCGGAGAAGAACAAUCUAGGUAAAAGAUGUAAUAAGUCAAUGAAAGAACUCAUUUCUGGUUCAUGUUACCUUAGUGUCCAACUAUGAGUGUCGAAUCCACAUAUUCAACACUUGCACGAGAUCAUAGUAGCAAAUACGUGUCCAACUUUAAAACACCCAUUUAACAUAAAUUUAUGAAUAUAGCCUGGUCCUUGACCUAUUACCCCCUAACUAUACCCCUCCUUUUCCAUAAAAAAAAAGAUUAAAUUACCUUAAUAAGAUGUUAUAGGCAGCAUUGUAGUAUGUAAUUCAGCUCAAUUCCCUACUAAAUUCCCAACAUUUGCCACCAAUAUGAUUUUAAAACACCAUAGUCAUACAUAAGUCACAAGCAAAACUCAUUCUACCAUAAUCUUAUACGGUGUUGUCAACAGUGCAAGGUGCACCGUAGACGUUAGAACCAUUAUAUUGCCUUGAGUGCAAGGUGCAAAAAGACUAGCCUGAGUGAAGUAAAGCGCAAUAUACAUAUGUCCAUUUUUGGUGUCUACACACACAAACAUAUAUGUUUAUAUAUAGCUUAAGAUAUAUAAUAAACUCUACAUUGUGGUCUUUAUCUACAACAUAUGCAUAUUAUUUAUUGGUCAAUAUACAUGAUUUCUUAUCAUCCAUGUCUGCUGUUGAACACUCAUGAUUGAGAAGUACAGAGUUUGAUACUGUGCCUUCCUUACUAGCAAAGGAAUAUCAAAUGAAAAAAGUGAAAAAUAGAAGAAAGUAAAGGGAACUUCAAUGAGGCAGUUUUUUCUUAAUGCCUAUUGUCUUACAAAAGAGUGCGCCUAGGCACACUGCGCAUGCAUCAGAUUAAACGAGCCUGACCCGAAAGGGUCUCACACACUUCUAUUAUCUAAUGCUCAGGCACGAGGCACCAGAGUUCCUAGGUGCACACCUUAACAAUACUGAUCUUCUAAAUGUGUUGCAUCCAGUUCAACAUAUGCAGAUAAAAGUCUUUUUUUGUAUAGCUAAAGCUCAAAGCAUACUACCCAAAUAUCUGUCAUUCCCUCUUGACUCUGUUUUUACAAACUCUACAGGUCAGUCAUAUAAUUCUAAGAGAUAAAGCACAACAAAAAACAACCACCUAGAUCAAGAUAAAAUCACAGAUUAUAACACAAACCAAUCUCACACAUGAGAAAAUCACAGAUUACAACAAAAAGCAAGCUCACACAUAAGCAGACUUUUAAAUUAACAUAUAGAUAUAGGGAAUAGUUGGAUGGAAUAAAAAUCAGAAAUCAGGUGAUCCGAAUUAAUAAAAUAUUCCCUAACUUUUAAAAGAAAUAUGAAACAGAAAUCAAUGGAUGAAGAUAUCAUUGAAGUAAAAUGUAGAGAGUAUUAGAUACGAGAUUAUUAGGGUUUAAUAUAGUUGUGGUAUACGUUAGUUUCUGUUAUAGCAACUGUUAUAGUUAGUUACAGUAGUAGUUAAGGAACGGUUUAUCCUAGCAUUAAAUAUGUGUAACACACUCAAGUUAAUCAUCAUGAAUACAGCAUUCUAUUUCUUGAAUACUCUGAAUCUUAACAUGGUAUCAAGAGCUAGGUUUCUUUUGUUGUAAACAAAGUUUUUUUUCUCCUUUUUUGAUGGCUACAGAUGCUGUUCUAGACGGAGUGCAAGUACCUGAGACACCUCGACACUCUUCCAACACUAGGGAGGCUGCACAUUCACAGGGAAAUGACGUGGUUUGUGCAUCGACAGUCCAUUAUUUCUCCAAGCAUGACACCAUCAAACUGUCAUCACAUAACUUUCUGUUAUGGAAACAUCAACUUUUGUUGAUUCUUGAAGGAUAUGGGCUUGAAGGGUUUGUUCUCGGUACUAUUUCCUCUCCUCCUGCUGUUGUUGUUGAUUCUGAUGGUCAACAGGUCGAAAAUCCAGCAUUUGUUGUUCAUAGGAAACAAGAUAAGUUUCUCGCUUCCUGGCUAUCUUAGUUCAUCUCACUAAUGCUAAAACUAGUUGUGCUAUAUGGAACACCAUUGAAAAACGGUUUAGUGCAAAGUCCUCUCUAAAGAUCUCGAGCAUGCGUCAUGCGUUAUAUUCCCUAAAUAAAACAAAUCUUUCUGUUAAAGAUUACAUGGCUAAGGUGAAACAGCUUAGUGAUGAUUUAACUGCUGCUGGGAGUCCUAUAUCUGAGCAAGAACAGAUAAGUGUCAUCUUAGCUGGUUUGUCGGUUGAUUUUGAGUCUGUUCGGAUAUUUUCCUCUGUUACUCCUCUCUCUCUUGACUUGUUAACUGAAAUGUUACUCGACUGUGAAUCACGUCAAUUGGAGUUGUCUACAGAAGGUUCUUGUCAAGCAAAUUUGGCAACACGACAAUCUAGUAGUGAGGCUGUUUUGAAACAGUCCUCUGAGUCUUCAAACUAUUCUCAAGAGUCUAAACAACCCUAUAGAGGACAGGGUCAAGGUUUCUCUCAGGGACGAUCUCGUAGUAAUGGUCGGGGUUGGUCUCGUAGCAAGCCACAGUGCCAAUUGUGUGGUAAGGUGGGGCAUCUGGUUCAAACCUAUUUUCACAGAUUUGAUGAAAAUUUUUCAGGUGUUGCAGCGUCCGAUACAGUCCAGGUCAACUGUCAUCAACUGCAUGGCUCUAGUUGCUCUUCCUCGGCUCCUGCUUGUCAAACAGUCUUACAUUGCUGUGGUUCCUCUAGUCACUGUCAACCGGCUGUAACUUCACAAUCAGAAUCUGUUUGGUAUCCUGAUUCGGGAGCUACAAACCAUAUUACACCGGAUGUGUCUGGUCUCACUAAUGCCGCUCCAUAUGCAGGUACGAGUCAUGUCACUAUGGGUAAUGGUGCAUUUAUUUCAAUUGCUAAUGUAGGCUCGUCCUCUCUCUUAACUGGUACAAGACUUCUCAAGCUGCAGAAUGUGUUACAUGUUCCUGCUGUAUGUAAGAACUUGAUGUCUGUUGGGCAAUUUGCAAAGGAUAACAGUGUUUAUUUUGAAUUUCACCCAUUCUUGUGCUUUGUGAAGGACAUUCAGACAGGGAUGACGCUACUCGAGGGCCACAUGCAUGAAGGUUUAUACCGUUUCCAAUUCACCACGCCCACUUCUGUUGCUGCUCCGUCUCCUUUGAAAUCUAGUUCGAAACGCAGUUCUACUUUGGUGAACAGUGCGCAGCUGUCUUCUACUUUGUGGCACGAUAGACUUGGCCAUCCUUGUAAUGGUAUUUUAACCCGGGUGUUAAGAUCUUGUAAUAUUCCUUAUAAAAAAUGUUUUGAGUCAUGUUUGUACAGCCUGUCAAGUGGGAAAAGCUCACAAGCUUCCCUUUUCUACUUCAAACACUUUGUAUUCGGUCCCCUUUGCACUUGUGGUAUCCGAUGUAUGGGGGCCUGCACAUUUACCUUCAAAUGGAUUUCGUUACUACAUCUCCUUUGUUGACAUGUAUAGUCGGUAUACCUGGCUCUACUUUCUCAAAAACAAGUCUGAUGUGACUCAGUGUUUCUUGGAUUUUCAUCAGAUGGUACGAGUACAAUUUGGUUGUUCUAUUAAAAGUCUCCAAACGGAUGGGGGAGGUGAAUAUCGUGCUUUGUCUCCGCUCUUAUCUCGGCUUGGGGUUCAGUACAGGAUUACAUGUCCGUAUACCUCGAAGCAAAAUGAUGUUACCGAGAGGAAACAUCGUCAGAUAGUUGACAUGGGGUUUUCGUUGUUGGCACGGGCCAGCAUUCCUCUCCAGUUUUGGUUCCAUGCUUUUGUGCAUGCUGUUUAUCUGACUAACAGGCUUCCUACUCCGAUUUUGGGUCAUUUUAGUCCGUAUGAAGUGCUUUAUAAAGUCAAACCAGAUUAUAGCUCACUCAAGGUGUUUGGAUGCUCUUGCUUUCCCGAUCUUCGACCUUUUUAACGACAUAAAUUGAGCUUUCGUUCACAACAAUGUGUUUUUCUUGGGAUGGUACCUCACACUAAAGGCUACCGGUGUCUUGCUGCUGAUGGUCGAAUAUUUUUGUCGAGGCAUGUAAAAUUUGAUGAAACUAAGUUCCCUUAUCAUGAUGAUUUCAGCAAGGAGUUCCCAGAAAUAAGGGAAAAUCGGUGUACGUAUGUUCUUCCGUUAGUCACACCCAAUACUGGUGUCAUCAGCCAAGCACAACCUCUCUUGCGCUCUAGCCUGGGAACUGUUUCAGAUCAGUCACAUCUUAAUCAGCAUUCAGCUAGUACUUCAGCUGACUCAACUACAGGAGUUUCUUCUGAUCAGCUGAUUUCACAGCAACCAUCUCUCGGUAUGUUUGUUGAUCCCAUUACAAUAGUUGAGGAGUCUACUGUUGGUGAUCAGGCUGAACAGACUGUAGCAACUUCAUCUACUGCAAUACCUUCCAACUGUCACCCGAUGCAAACUCGCUCCAAGAGUGGUAUAUUUCGACCGAAAGUUUUUUCUUCUGUCCUAGAUGAGACCGAGCCUUCUACCAUUACAGAAGCUUUUCAGAGUCCUGCCUGGACUGCAGCAGCCAAUGAUGAGUACAGUGCGCUGCUUGCCAACCACACAUGGGAUCUUGUCUCCUUACCAGCAGGUCGUCGUGCUGUUGGUUACAAAUGGAUUUUCCGGAUUAAGAGACAUGCGGAUGGAACCAUCGCUCGGUACAAGGGCAGAUUAGUUGUUAAAGGGUAUUUGCAAGAAGCUGGGGUGGAUUUUCAGGAAACAUUCAGUCCUGUUGUCAAACCGACCUCCAUUCGAGUUGUUAUAGCAUUGGCCGUGUCUCUCAAUUGGCCUCUUCGGCAAGUAGAUAUAAACAACGCAUUCUUAAAUGGGGAUUUAAGUGAGGACAUCUACAUGGUUCAACCACCGGGUUUUGAACAAAGUGGCUCAAAUGGUGAACUUCUGGUCUGUAAGUUAAAAAAGGCUCUAUACGGUCUCAAGCAAGCUCCUAGAGCUUGGUUUCAGAAGCUAAGGGAAUUUUUAGUUUCCAUGAACUUUGAAGUAUCCAAAGCUGAUGGCUCUCUCUUAAUCCUUCGAUCAGGAGAACGGUUGAUGUAUGUGCUAGUUUAUGUUGAUGACAUCAUUGUCACUGGCAAUGAUGCUCAGGCUAUAGAUCAGUUUGUCAGUCAAUUGAAUGCUCGAUUCUCUUUAAAGGACCUAGGAAAACUUAACUAUUUCCUAGGCAUAGAGGUUCAAUACUGUUGAAGUUGGUCAGCAUGAAGCCAACACUCGAUUCCAUACAGGCCAUGAAGACCAAGCAAAGCUGGAACAGAUGCAAGGGCUGCUGAUGCAAGCUCAUUUUGUUCAUUUUGUUAUAUUUAGUUGAUGAAAUGAGUGUUAGUUCAUUUCUAACUAAGUUAGCUUUCUGAUUGAUGUAAUUAGCUUAUGUAUGAGCUGUAAACACAGUUUUGUAUAAGUUUACAAGCUAAGAUUUCAAGUUUCUAUGUAAUUAGUGGAGGUAGGUAAUUACUUGUUGAUUUUGACAAGCCUUAUGCUUGAGUUAUGUACUGGCUUCAAGCCAUUGUUUUAUGUAUGAAUGAAAUCAGUUUUGUUCAUCAAUAUUUUCUCAAAUUUUCCCAGCUUAUUCUCUUCUUUCUUUAACUCGAAAUUGUUUGUUUGCUCAGCAAGUUUUGAGGCUUGCUCGACAAGAUACUUGCUGAGUCUGCUUGAUUCUGUUGUUGCACCAACAAUUGGUAUCUAGAGCCUAUUUCUUAAGGGAUCUGUUACUCAAUUCCAUGGCUUCAUCAAGCUUUUCACCAGCUGCACCUCAAGUCUUCAAUGGAGAAGGCUAUCACAUAUGGGUGGUCAAAAUGAAGACCUACCUGCAGGCUUUCUAUCUGUGGGAGGUGGUCAACUUUGAUGUUGAACCAGAGCCACUUAGAGCUAAUCCAACAGUGGCUCAGAUCAGGCAGCAUGCUGAUGAAAGGACCAAGAGGCACAAAGCUAUGUCUUACAUCCAAAACUCAGUGUCUGAUGUAAUUUUCACAAGGAUUAUGGCCUGUGAAUCACCAAAACAGGCCUGGGACAAGUUGCAGGAAGAGUUUCAAGGGACAGAGAGGACAAGGUAGCAACAGUUGUUAAACUUGAGGAGAGAUUUCGAGAAUUUGAAGAUGAAGGAAGAAGAAACUGUCAAGCAAUAUUCUGACAGGAUUAUGGCUGUGGUUAACAGCAUCAGGCUCCUUGGAGAGCAGUUCAAUGAAGCUAGGAUAGUGGAGAAGGUUAUAGCAACUCUGCCUGAGAGGUAUGAGGCAAAAAUCUCAUCUCUCGAGGACUCAAGGGAUCUGUCCACCAUCUCCCUGACAGAGUUGAUCAAUGCUCUAUAUGCUCAAGAGCAGAGGAGAGCAAGCAGACUGGAGGAGCACCAAGAAGGUGCCUUUCAGGCAAGAACAAAUACUGCCUACAAAGGCAAGAAGGCCUGGAGAGACAAGCCAAAGAAUGAUGCUGCAAGGAGAGAAGGUCAGACUUGCAAGCACUGUAGAAAGGCUGGUCAUUCAGAAGAAAAAUGCUGGUUCAAUCCAGAUGCUGUGUGUCAGCAUUGUAAGAAGAAGGGUCAUGUUGAGAGAGUCUGUAAGAGUAAGACUAAAUCGAGGCAAAAUCAGUUUCAACAGAUGAAAGCUGAGGCUCGAGUAGCUAAGGAGGACAGUGACCAAGAGGAGCAAGUCUUUGCUGUGUCAUGCUCAGCUGCUCAGGAAAGGCUCUCAUCUGGUUGGCUCCUAGACAGUGGAUGCACCAACCACAUGACACCUGAUGCUGCAAUCUUCAAGUCUUUAGACAGAAGCUGCAGAACUAAAGUCAAGAUAGGAAAUGGUCAUUUUAUUCAAGCUGAAGGCAAGGGUGAUGUGCUGAUAUGCACCAUUACAGGUACCAAAGUGAUUUCAAAUGUGCUGUUGGUGCCUGAAAUUGACAGAAACCUCCUCAGCAUAGCUCAGUUGCUGGAAAAAGGUUAUUCAGUUGUGUUUAAAGACCACCAGUGCCAAAUCAGUGAUCCAAGUGGAUCCAAACUGAUGGCAGUCCCUAUGGCUGAUAAGAGCUUUGUGGUUGACUGGACAAAAAAGUCAGACAUUGCCUACACAGCCACUUCAGAUGAAUCCAAGCUGUGGCAUCAAAGACUGGGACAUGCCAACUUCAGAUCGAUGGCUCGAAUGGUCAGAGAGGACCUAGCUGAAAAUUUCAUCAACUCAGUGGACCAUGAUGAUGUAUGUGAUGUAUGUCAGCUAGGAAAGCAGGCCAGACUCCCUUUUCCCUCGAAUCAAGCCUGGAGAGCCUCUGAAAAACUCCAACUGGUGCAUAAUGAUGUGUGUGGCCCUAUGAAGACUGAGUCAUUAAGUGGAAACAGGUAUUUCAUACUGUUCAUUGAUGAUUUCUCGAGAUAUUGCUGGAUUUACUUUUUAAAACAGAAAUCAGAAGUGGCCUCAGUGUUUUGGAAGUUCAAGACUGCUUCUGAGACUGAAACAGGCUGCAAGCUGAAGACCAUAAGGUCUGAUAAUAGGACUGAGUACACCUCAGCUCAGUUCCAAGCCUUCUGUGAUAAGGCAGGCAUCAAACAUCAACUUACCAACACAUAUACACCUCAGCAGAAUGGGGUAAGUGAAAGGAAGAAUAGGAGUUUGAUGGAUAUGGCCAGGUGCUUGAUGAUUCAGAAAAAUCUGCCUAAAGCACUAUGGGCAGAAGCAGUUAACACUGCAACAUACAUUUAAAAUAGACUUCCAACCAAGGCUUUGGAUCAAAAGACCCCAUUCGAGGCCUGGUUUAGCUUCAAGCCAUCAUUGGCUCAUCUGAAGGUCUUUGGAUGCAUCUGUUAUGCACAUGUACCUGCUGUUAAAAGGGACAAAUUGUCUGAAAGGGCUCGACCUGGUGUUUUGGUGGGGUAUAGCACUGUUAAGAAGGGCUAUAGGAUUUUAGAUCCUUCAACAAACAAAGUGUCAAUAAGCAGGGAUGUGGUAUUUGAUGAGAGGUCAUGUUGGAACUGGGAAAGACAUGAACCUGAAGAAGUUUCUGAAGAACUUGCAGUAGACCAAGCUGAGCCAGACCAAAAUGUCCCUGAAAUGGAUAUUGAUGAUGAACCAGUCAGAGGAACAAGGUCAUUGGCUGAGGUUUAUGAAAGGGCUCAUGUAGCCAUAGCUGAACCAAGCAACUUUGAAGAGGCUGAGGCUCAACAAGGGUGGAAGCAGGCAAUGGCUGAGGAGAUCAGCAUGAUUGAGAAGAACCAGACCUGGAAAUUGGUUGAAAGGCCAGUCAAAAGGAAGGUGAUUGGGGUGAAAUGGGUGUACAAAGCCAAGCAGAAUGCUGAUGGUACCUUGAACAAGCUAAAAGCAAGGCUAGUGGUCAAGGGGUUCAGUCAGAGGUAUGGCUUGGACUACUUGGAGACCUUUGCACCAGUGGCCAGGCUCGACACCAUCAGACUGCUGAUUGCCUUAGCAGCACAGCUCGAAUGGAAGAUCCAUCAACUUGAUGUGAAAUCAGCCUUUCUGAAUGGUUUCUUAGAUGAAGACAUCUAUGUUGAACAACCACAAGGGUUUGAAAUAGCUGGCAGAGAGCAUAUGGUCUACAAAUUGAAGAAGGCCCUAUAUGGCUUAAAACAGGCUCCAAGGGCCUGGUACAGCAGAAUCGAUGGCUACUUGACUGAUCUGGGAUUCAAUCGAAGCAAGAGUAGCCAACACUGUAUGUCAAGAAGCAAGGGACACAAACACAACUCAUUGUCUCCCUAUAUGUUGAUGACCUGCUGGUGACAGGAGGAGAUCAAGCAGUGCUGGUUAAUUUCAAGACCAAGAUGCAAGAGGUGUUUGAAAUGUCUGAUCUUGGGGAGAUGUCCUAUUUUCUUGGAAUGGAGGUGACUCAAGCACAGAAUGGGAUAUUUUUAAGUCAGAAGAGCUUUGCCACAAAGAUUCUGACCAAGUUCUCCAUGCAAAACUGCAAACCAACUAAAACACCUGUUGCUGUUGGAGAAAAACUAUCGAGCCAAGGAGAUUUUGAGAAGGUAUGUGAAACUACCUACAGGAGUCUAGUUGGUUGUUUGCUAUACUUGACUGCCACUAGACCAGACAUAAUGUAUGCUGUAGGAUUGCUCUCAAGGUUCUUGCAUUGUUGCAAUGAGAAGCAUUUCCAGGCUGCCAAGAGAGUGCUCAGAUAUGUCAAAGGCACUUUGGACUAUGGCUUAAGGUACAGCAAGAAAGGAAAUCUAAAUCUAGUUGGGUACACUGAUAGUGACUGGGCUGGAUCGAUAGAUGACAUGAAAAGCACCUCAGGGUAUGCUUUCAACCUUGGUUCAGCUAUGUUCUGCUGGAGCUCGAAGAAGCAAAGUCUGGUGGCACAAUCUACUGCUGAAGCAGAGUAUGUGGCAGCAGCAAGUGCUGUCAACCAAGCCAUUUGGCUUAGGAAAAUCCUGGCUGAUUUGAAUAUGGAUCAAAGGGAAGCAACAGAGAUCUUCUGUGACAAUCAAUCUACUGUUGCAAUUGCCAAAAAUCCUGUGUUCCAUGGAAGAACAAAGCAUUUUAGCAUUAAGCUAUAUGUUGUUCGAGAAAUGGAGCAAGCUCAGGAAGUGAAGCUAAUUCACUGCAAUUCAGAGGACCAGCUUGCAGACAUUUUGACUAAAGCCCUUAAUGUCACAAGGUUUGAGCAUUUAAGAAGAAAAUUAGGUGUUUGCACCAUGCUAACCAAGGAGGAGUGUUGAAGUUGGUCAGCAUGAAGCCAACACUCGAUUCCAUACAGGCCAUGAAGACCAAGCAAAGCUGGAACAGAUGCAAGGGCUGCUGAUGCAAGCUCAUUUUGUUCAUUUUGUUAUAUUUAGUUGAUGAAAUGAGUGUUAGUUCAUUUCUAACUAAGUUAGCUUUCUGAUUGAUGUAAUUAGCUUAUGUAUGAGCUGUAAACACAGUUUUGUAUAAGUUUACAAGCUAAGAUUUCAAGUUUCUAUGUAAUUAGUGGAGGUAGGUAAUUACUUGUUGAUUUUGACAAGCCUUAUGCUUGAGUUAUGUACUGGCUUCAAGCCAUUGUUUUAUGUAUGAAUGAAAUCAGUUUUGUUCAUCAAUAUUCUCUCAAAUUUUCCCAGCUUAUUCUCUUCUUUCUUUAACUCGAAAUUGUUUGUUUGCUCAGCAAGUUUUGAGGCUUGCUCGACAAGAUACUUGCUGAGUCUGCUUGAUUCUGUUGUUGCACGAACAAAUACACAGCAGAAGGAGUAUAUCUAUCGCAAAUGAAGUACAUCCAGGACCUACUUUGUAAAGCGUCUAUGGAUCGGUCUAAUUCUCUUCCUACACCGAUGGUAACAAACUGUUACCUUUCAGCCAUAGGUGGAAAUCCAAUCAAUGAUGAACAUCAGUACAGAAGUAUUGUUGGCGAUUUGCAGUAUGUGGUGAUAACCAGGCUCGACAUUGCCUACUCCGUAAAUAAGGUGUGCCAGUUCAUGCAUAAGCCGUUAGACAUGCAUUUUCAAGCAGUCAAAAGAAUAUUGCGGUAUCUACAAGGGACGAUGCACUAUGGCUUAAAGUUUACUCGAGCCUCGCGGUUUCUUCUUGAAGGCUAUUCAGACGCUAGCUGGGGGUCUGAUGUUGAUGAUCGUAGAUCAACUUCAGGUUAUUGCAUCUUUUUUGGAGGAAAUCUGAUCUCUUGGAGUUCCAAGAAAUAGCAAGUGGUCUCCCGCUCCACUGCAGAGGCAGAAUACAGAAGUGUUGCUCAUUAGGCAGCUGAGAUAACAUGGGUACAGUCAUUAUUACGUGAGUUAUGUGCUCCAGUGCAGCCAAAGGCCUUGAUCUGGUAUGAUAGUUCAGCAGCAGUGGCAGUAGCUGGCAACCCAGUUAUGCAUUAAAAAUUCAAACACGUAGAGCUAGACGUAUUUUUUGUCAGAGAAAAGGUAGCCGCAGGGGUCCUUCAGGUUGGACAUGUUCCAGGAUCCUAUCAGAUAGCAGACAUCCUAACGAAACCACUGCCUUUGUCUGUCUUAAAUAAGUUUCGAGGGCAGCUUUGGGUUGUGAAUAUCACGUGAAAUGAGUUGUUUUUGGUAGCAAGCUGUUAGAUAAGUAUGGGGAAUAUUAGGGUUUAAUAUAGUUGUGUUAUACGUUAGUUUCUGUUAUAGCAAUUGUUAUAGUUAGUUACAGUAGUAGUUAAGGAACGGUUUCUCCUAGCAUUAAAUAUGUGUAACACACUCAAGUUAAUCAUCAUGAAUACAGCAUUCUAUUUCUUGAAUACUCUGAAUCUUAACAAGCACCAAUGCUGCAAACUAAAACAAUUAGGUUGAAUGAAUUCCACCACUGAUCCUAUGAAUUAAAACCAAUCAAUAUCGAUAAAAAACCAUUAUUGUAACUGUAUAGAAUUAUGUUGGAACAAUGACAGCAGCAAACAUCAAAGCAAAUUUGCAACUCAGUGUUUGCAAGACUGAAGCAAGAAGAAUCAAGGCAAGCAAAGCAUCAAAAAUCAAAAUACUCAGCAAUGUUUGUGACUGAACAUACAUCAUUUUUCAUUCAACUUGAAAUAUAUAAAAGAGUUACAAUUGUACAUUGACAGUUACCUAAUGUAUUUAACUGCCCCAACUAAUACAAACCUAAUCACUAGCCAAAAAAUAAUCAAACAUAGCUGACCAAUCAGCCAUUACAUCAAAAGAUCUUGUCACUAACUUAAGUUUAACUAGCAUUACAAACAAACUAAAGUUGAACUGAAUCAAAUUACAUCAAAACAAAACAGCAAAGUUGGUUGCUUCAUUCAGUUCAAAAACCAUUCGUGCGCACCAAGCAAAACGAGCUGAGCUCGAUAGCUGCUGGUCUCGACAGUAGCAAGCUUUUGGCUCCAUGUUGCAUUGCAGUCCAGCUUUCAACACUCCUCCUUGGACUGUAUGCAACACAUUCCAAUUGCACUUCUCAAAGAUUCAAAUCGAGCAGCCCCUAAGGGCUUGGUCAUUAUGUCAGCCAAUUGUGCUCCUGAGCUGCAAUGCACAAGGUUGACUUCCUUUGCUUGUUCAGCCUCUCUAACAAAAUGCAAUUUGAUCUUAAAAUGCUUAUUCUUGCCAUGGAACACAGGGUUCUUGGCUAUUGCAACUGCAGACUGAUUGUCCACCCAGAUUUCAGUUGCUUCAUCUUGAGUUUCAUUAAGGUCAUAAAGCAGCUUUCUUAGCCAAAUGGCCUGAUUAACUGCUCCUGCUGCAGCAAUGUACUCUGCUUCAGCUGUGGACUGAGCAAUAGUUUGUUGCUUCUUAGAACUCCAGCAAAACAAGCCCGAUCCAAGUGUGAAGAAGUAUCCAGAGGUACUCUUCAUGUCAUCGAGAGAUCCUGCCCAGUCGCUGUCAGAGUAGCCUUCUAAUUUCAGUUGGUUCUGACUUUCAAACAUUACACCAAAACUAGCAGUGCCCUCGAUGUAUCUAAGGAUCCUCUUUGCUGCCUUCAAAUGUGCCUCAUUGCAACAAUGCAUAAAUCUUGAUAACAGGCUGACACCAAACAUGAUAUCUGGCCUGGUUGCUGUUAGAUACAACAGACAACCAACCAGGCUUCGAUAGUGCCUCUCAUCAACCCUCUGCUGAUCACCACUGCUAGUCAGCUUUUCUCCUUGAGCCACAGGUGUGCUGACUGCUUUACAGUUAUGCAUGCAAAAUUUGUCUAGAAUCUUCAAAGCAAAUGAGUGUUGGCUGAUGAAGAUACCUCGAUCAGAUUGGUGCACUUCCAUGCCAAGGAAGUAAGUCAUGAUCCCCAAAUCUGUCAUCUCAAACACUUGCUGCAUUUGGACCUUGAACUGAUCAAUGAGCUCGAUUUUGCUCCCUGUCACAAGCAAAUCAUCCACAUACAAGGAGACUAUCAGCAAGGUUUCAUGUUCUGACUUUUUAACAUAUAGAGUAGGCUCACUAAGGCUCUUUACAAAUCCAAGUUUGGUCAGGUAGGCAUCAACUCUGUCAUACCAGGCCCUUGGUGCCUGUUUCAGGCCAUAGAGGGCCUUUCUCAACUUAUACACUUUGUCUUUAUGUCCAACAACUUCAAAACCUUCAGGUUGCUCGAUGAAGAUCUCCUCCUUGAGAAAACCAUUCAGGAAUGCUGAUUUGACAUCCAAUUGGUGAACUCUCCACUGCUUCUGAGCUGCUAAAGCAAACAGCAGCUUAAUUGUAUCCAGUCUUUCCACUGGAGCAAAAGUUUCUAGGUAGUCAACACCAUACUGCUGACUGUAGCCCUUCACCACAAGCCUGGCCUUGUGCUUGUUCAGUGAGCCAUCAGCAUUGUACUUGGCCCGAUACACCCAUUUAACUCCUAUGACCCUCUUGUGUUCUGGUCUGCUCACCAACUCCCAAGUCUGAUUUUUGUUGAUCAUUUCCAACUCAGCUUCCAUAGCUUUCAUCCAGCUUCUGUUUUUAGCAGCCUCUUCAAAGUCUGAGGGCUCAAUCACAGCAACAUUGCACCUCUGAUAAACAUCAACCAAAGUUCUGGUGCCCCUCACUGGUAUAUCAUCGACAGCAUCAUUACUUGGUCCUUCUUCUGCAGGUUCAGCAACCAAGUCUAACUGGUCCAAUUCAGACAAGUUAGCCACAACACCAUUCCAAUUCCACACCUUUUCCUCAUCAAACUUAACAUCCCUGCUGACUAAAACCUUCUUUGCUGUAGGAUCAUACACUCUAUAGCCCUUCUUGUUGCUGCUGUAGCCAACAAAGAUUCCUGGAGUUGCUCUGCUCUCAAGCUUGGUCCUUUUCUCCACUGGAAUAAGUGCAUAACAUACACAGCCAAACACUUUUAAGUGUGUUACCACAGGUUUGACUCCGUGCCAAGCCUCAAAAGGAGUCAUAUCCUUGACUGCUCUAGUUGGCAGUCUGUUGAGCAGAUACACUGAGGUGUUGACUGCCUCAGCCCAAAACUGACUUGGAAGCUUGCCUUGAAACAAGAGGCACCUGGCCAUGUUCAGUACAGUCCUAUUCUUUCUCUCACAGACUCCAUUCUGUUGAGGAGAAUAGACUGUUGUGAGCUGAUGGUGAAUCCCAGCACUGUCACAAAGCUUCUAAAAUCUCUCAGACACAUAUUCAGAUCCAUUAUCAGUCCUCAAGGCUCUAAUUUUGUAGCCUGACUGAUUUUCAGCAUAAGCCUUGAAUUUACAGAAGGCUUCAAACACUUCUGACUUUUGCUUCAAGAAGUAGACCCAGCAUAACCUUGUUAAAUCAUCUAUAAACAAGGCAAAGUACCUGUUCUCACUGAUUGAAGGUGUUCUCAUAGGGCCACAAACAUCAGAGUGCACCAAUUCGAGCUUGUCUUGAGCUCUCCAAGCACUGUCAGCAGGAAAAGGCAGUCUAGCCUACUUACCAAGCUGACAAACCUCACAAACAUUCCCACUAGCUUCAAUUUUUGAAAUGUCAUCAACCAGAUUUAGCCUAUGUAAUAGAUCAAUAGAUCUAAAAUUUGCAUGGCCUAGUCUCCUAUGCCACAAGUCAGUGCUUUCAACAAGGCUGGUGUAUACCUUUCUUUCUAUUUGGCUAACAUCCAGCAUGAAGCACCUAUCAGUCAUAGAGACUGUGACUAACUCCAGACCAUUCAUGUCUUGAACAAUACAGCAACCAUCCUUAAAAACCAAUGUAUAGCCCUUUUCAACUAAUUGGCCCACACUAAGCAAAUUCUGGUCUAAGUCAGGUACAAAAAACACAUCUGAGAUCAGCUUGUUACCUGAACCAGUGCUAAUCAACACACUGCCCUUGCCUUUAGCCUCAAUCAGCCUACCAUCUCCAAUUCUAAUCCUCGAGUGGAAGCUUCUGUCUAGGCUUUUGAACAGCUUCUCAUCUGCUGCCAUAUGGUGUGAGCAGCCACUGUCUAGUAGCCAAUCAUUGCUGGCCUUGGUUGUGCCAACAAAACAAGUUGCUGUGAACACUUGCUCCUCCUGAGCUUGAAUGUCCUCAGCAGGUCUAGCUUGUUGCAGAGUAGCCUCCCUUGGUUUGCCCUUGCACACCUUCUCCACAUGGCCAAACUGUUUGCAUUUUCUACACUGAAUAUCUGGCCUAAACCAGCAAUACUUUUCUGAAUGUGUUGUCUUCUUGCAAUGAACACAUGGUGGGAACACCCUUUUUGCUUCAUCUCUUCCUGACUUGACCCUUCUAUUGUGCCAAGGCUUCUUGCCUUUUGCACUCACACUCGAGCCUUCACUGGCUUUAGCCUGGAAAGCAGCUUCAGGAUUCUCCUCCUGCCUAUUUGCCCUCCUUUGCUUAAGUGCAUAUAGGGAAUUUAUCAGCUCAGACAAUGAAAUGGCUGAUAAGUCCCUCGAGUCCUCAAGUAAAGAGAUUUUAGACUCAAAUUUCUCAGGAAGAGUUGUAAUAACCUUUUCAACAACUCUGCUCUCUGUGAAGUCCACUCCCAGGAGCCUAAUGCUGUUGACAAUGGCCAUUAUCCUGUCUGAGUACUGCUUGAUGGUCUCAGACUCCUUCAUCCUCAAGUUUUCAAAGUCUCUCCUGAGGUUGAUUACUUGCUGUUGCCUUGUCUUAUCAGUCCCCAUGAACUCCUCCUUCAGCUUCUCCCAAGCCUGCUUAGGUGAGUCACAGGCCAUGAUGCGAGUAAAUAUCACAUCAGAGACUCCAUUUUGCAAGCAGGCCAUAGCCUUAUACUUCUUGGCUCGCUCCUCAGUAUGUUGCCUCAUCUGUGCAAUGGUGGGAUUGGCUCUCAAUGGAGGUGGUUCAGCAUCAUUCUCGAUCACACUCCAAAGAUCAUGUGCCUGGAGAUAAGUCUUCAUUUUAACUAUCCAAAUGUGAUAGUUUUCUCCAGUGAACACUGGUGGAGGUGGUGGAGUGAAACUCAUUCUGCUAAACUGAUUUUAAAUGCUUCAAUCUUACCAAAUUUUGAACUUGCUGUUGGUUUUGUUUCGAACACAACAGAUUGCAUACAAAGGCCCCUCAAAGACUCGGGCUCAUGAUACCAUUUGUUGGAACAAUGACAGCAGCAAACAUCAAAGCAAAUUUGCAACUCAGUGUUUGCAAGACUGAAGCAAGAAGAAUCAAGGCAAGCAAAGCAUCAAAAAUCAAAAUACUCAGCAAUGUUUGUGACUGAACAUACAUCAUUUUUCAUUCAACUUGAAAUAUAUAAAAGAGUUACAAUUGUACAUUGACAGUUACCUAAUGUAUUUAACUGCCCCAACUAAUACAAACCUAAUCACUAGCCAAAAAAUAAUCAAACAUAGCUGACCAAUCAGCCAUUACAUCAAAAGAUCUUGUCACUAACUUAAGUUUAACUAGCAUUACAAACAAACUAAAGUUGAACUGAAUCAAAUUACAUCAAAACAAAACAGCAAAGUUGGUUGCUUCAUUCAGUUCAAAAACCAUUCGUGCGCACCAAGCAAAACGAGCUGAGCUCGAUAGCUGCUGGUCUCGACAGUAGCAAGCUUUUGGCUCCAUGUUGCAUUGCAGUCCAGCUUUCAACAAAUUAAGCAUGAACCUUAAUAUCUGAAUUUGGGUACCCACCACAGCCUCCAGCUGCCUUCAACUUGAUAACAAACAUAUAAUCACAUAAAGAUCACAUUCUAUCAUAAUCUUAUAAAUGCAUCUAGUUCAACAUAAGCAAAGCACGAUGAAGCAAGCAGUGUGAAUCACACAGUGUCAAUCCUAAUUUCCAAGUUCAAUCGCCUAUGAUCAUAUUCAAUAAAGCCAGAAAGAAAGCAUUCAAUAAUUAACUAACAAAAACAAAAAGAUUAAACAUAAAACAAACAGAAAAUGUUAAAACUUAGAUUUAUUCUUGAAGCAGAAGAAAUUAGCACAUAAUAAACAUCAAGUUGUUCUCAGCUCACAUUUUAUUUGAUCAUUUUAAACCCAAACAUUAAAAGCACAGACAAGUUAUCAGAUCACAAAUUAUAUACACAAAUAUCUAUAAAUAUAAGCUAAGGAUCUGCUACUAAUUCCCAGUUGACUCUCUGUUUUGAUAUACAUAUAUUAUGUUUCUUUAAACUCUCCAAGGAUCUGCAAGUAAAUACCAAACACUUUGAUCAAUAUAAAAGCAUAGGCUGCAACCUAUAAGGAAAACCAAUCUGACACAUACGAAAUAGUUGGAAGGUUUAUAUCAGCUAACAUGAAUAAAAAUCAGAAAUAUUUAAAGGAAAUGUGAACCAUAAAUCAAUGGAUUUAUAUAUCAUUGAAGGAAAAUGCAGUGACUAUCAUCAUAAUCAAAGUACAUGCAUCAUAAAAUAAAGUGCACCUUUGUCUCAUGUACAUUGGCUCUACCAUGAUAUCAUUUGGAUUUGUCAUAAAAUAAAGUGCACUUGUCUCAUGUACUUGGCUCUACCAUGAUAUCAUUUGGACUUGUACAACUUCUUUUUCUGGUUCAUGUACAUUCCACAGAAGAACAACUUCCGCAAAUUCUUGAUUUUUAGUCCUUUGAUAAAUCUGAGAAAAAGAGUGGCAUGAGGAAGCUAAAAAUCACAAUGAGUCAAAGGUAAUUGAAGAUUCAAGGAAAGUAAUGAUUACCUAUUCCUCAUUUUUUUAAAAGCUAAAGCUCAAAAUAUCUUUUCUAAGAUCUGCUAUUCCCUCAUGAUUUUGGUUAGGCAUCCGCUUUCCGUACAACAAUCACUGCCAUCUUCAUUCCCUUCAUCGUUGCAAAUUUAGGAGGUCAAAGCUUAAUCUCUAUGUUUUGGCUAACUGAUACUACAUUGCAUUAAGAAAGUUGAGACAAAAAAGCAUAUCUAUAAUGUGAGAUAAAAAUGGUCUUGCAUUCGUCACAACCUUGACACGAAGACCAGAAAUUUCAUGAGAACAUGUUUUGUUGGUGAGAAAGAAGAUAUCAAAGACAACCCUAAUCUGCAAAUACAGUAGAGUAUCAAAUAUGCCAACAGCUGCACUUUCAUGCAAGUUUUACAAGAUCUACAGAUUUAGUGGUAUCUAUCAUGCAACCCUAAUAUUUGAAUGAGUUGCGAUUUAGUGGUAUCUAUCUCUUGUGGUUCAACCUGUGAACCACGCUAAUUUAAAUUUAGCAAUACGAAAUUGCUAUUUACUCUGAUAUUAAUUACUUACUUUUAUGAUUAAUCUAAUAAAAUGAUUAGAGUAAACUACAUCCGCAAUCAGUUUUUAUUUUGAUCACACAAUUAUAAAAGAACUAAUGUUUUUGAGAUUUGAUUUGUUGGUCACUCUACCAUUUAAUUGCUAUCUUUUUCUUUAUUUGUAUAAUAAUAAAUUUAACUCUCUAAUGUUUGUACAUUUUAUCAAUUUGAUUUCUAGCCUUUAAUGUUGAUAUGUUUUGUGAAUUUAGUCUUUAUUCUAAAAAACUCAAAUUAAAAUUAAAUUUUUAAAAAUUAAAAAUUCAACAUUUAUAAGUACCAAGUGGGGAGGAGGUGCCAAGUCUAGGAGCCAAAUGAGUAUUUAAGUCAUAAAUUCAUUAUAAUUUUUUUUAAUUUUUAUAAUUUUUUUAAAUGUUUUAGAAUCAGGAUUAAAUUGACAUAAUAUGUAAAUGUUGAGAGUUGAAUAUAUUAAAAUUUGUAGAAUUAAGACCAAACUAAUGGAACGGAUAAACAUUAGAGGACUAAAAUUGUUAUUAUGCUAAUAAAAAAGCCACAUAAGCCUUCCAUUAAUGAUUUGAUGACUAAUUGACAAAAAAAUCACAAUUCAAAAAUGUUAGUGACUUAAUAGAAAUUUGUUAUAAUUAGAUGACCAAAAUCUUAAAAACAGUUAUCAUAGUUGGAUGACUAUUUGUGUAUCCAAAUGAAUCAAUUUUAACCAUAGAUUGACAAAAAAGAAAGUCAAAUUUCAAAAAUACUUACAAUUAAAUUGAAUAUUUUAUAAUUGAAUGACAAAAAAAUUGAUGCGUCGUUGACAGCACAAAAAAUAUUCUAUCACUAAAAAAUAAUGAAAAUAAUAGUAUAAGGGAAGUAAGGUCAAAUCCUUAAAUACUGGACUUGCAUAAGUUCCUGUUCAUCGAGAUCCCAAGCAGAAUCGUGCCCAAGAAAAAUGGUGUACGUGAAAAAAAAUAGAAUUAAAAGUUUGGUUGAAUUAAGAUUGUGUAAAUUGAAAUUGAAAUUAUAAAAAUAAAUAGAGUUGAGAAAAGAUAGUUUUUGAUGGAGAGAUUCCCCAGUUAUCUCGAUCCUCCUUGGGUUCAAUCCUAGGCUUUUAAAUGUUCUUUAUCAUAAUAGAAUAAGCCAGUUAUAGUGAAAGAGGAUGCCUACAAACACCAGCUCCACUUAGAUUUUAGACUUACGAUAUAGAGGAACCUGACUCUAGCCAACCAUCACUUUUGUGAGAAAGUCUUACACUAGAUCAUCACUUCUUAAUGGUGAAUACUACACCAUUUUGUUUCUUGGGCUCAAUAACCACUGAUGGAGUAGGCUAACGAACCGACUAUGCAACCUUCCCAAAACAUACAAAGUGACCGCCUUUGCACAAGAUGAAAAAAUCACUUUUGAAGGAACAUGGACGGAAGCGUCAGUCUCGUAGUACGGAGAAACGAUGAAUAUUCUUUGAAAAGGCUAAGUGCGGAUUCUAAGCCUCAUGAACCCUUUUUGGGGAAUGUCAACAACCUUUGGCUAAAUGAAUUUAGUAGCUCAUGCUUACUUAAUAAAAAUGGAAUUUUAUUGGAUAAAUAAAAGGAACAAAAGCUAGAGCUUUUUGGGAGAGGGAGCUUUUACAAAAAAGAAGAGUGAAAUUUGUGUCAAUCCAUCCCCUAUUUAUAGUACUUAGAAAACCUAGUUUGUUUCUAUUUAAAUUCUAAAAGAUAAAUAAAUAUAAAAGCUAAAAUUAAAUCUAAAUAAUAAUAUUAACAAUAAUCCUAAUAAAAUUCAAAUUUAAAUAUAGUCUUGUGUUUAUAAAAUCUCUUCUUUGAACUUUUUCUCUCAAGUCUUCCACAUUUUUGCACCACUUCUUUCCUAUUUAGCAUGCUGACCCAUUUUGUCUUCAAAUUCAUGCUUUUUCCCCCAAAUUUCCCUUUUCCUUCAAUUUAGUCCCUACAAGAUAAAAAAUCAUAAAUAGCUCAAAUUAGUAAGAUCAUACUCAAAAUAAAUCUGUAAUUAAUACAUAAAAAUGUAAUUCCAGAGUAUUAUAAAAAACUCUCAUAAUUAAGUGAAUAUGUACCCCAAACAAAUAUCGUUUCAUUCAAUAAUCUCUAAUCAAAUACAUUAAUUUAAGUGACAAAGCAAUUGCUUUGAUUACAUUAAUUUAAGUGACAAAGCAAUUGGUUUGAUGAUAAUAAGUAGAUUAAAUUUGGGUAGUAGUUUAUGUAAUAAAAAUUGGAUGGAUGGGGACAUGGGGUCAUUUCUUACACUAAGAAAAUCAUUAGUGGAAUGCCUUGGGCAUAUUCUACAAAUUUGUAAUUUGAUAUAUCUCGGAAAAUCAACAGUAGGAGAAAUAGAAAAAAGUUGAAGAGAGUCAUUCCCAUUUAACUUGUUUAUCCUCAUGUAUUUGGCUUUAACUCCCAUUCUUAGUACUUUUCUAUCUCUAAUUUUAAGAUUACCUAAUUUUACAAUCCAAUUCAAAUGAUAAUUUAAAUUAAAAUGAAGGUACAAACCAAUUUCAAUGUUGCAUCCUAUCAAUUCCAAAACAGAGUAAAACUCUGCAAUUUUAAUUAUCAAAAGGGGAAUUUGAUUCAAGUUUUAGCCCAGACUGAUGUAACAAUCAAGUUAAAUGGUUGUACCAUGAAACCAACUCCUCACUUUGAAGUUCCAACUAAACCAAAAUUAUUUCGAUUUGCUACAACUUUCUUUUUUCCAAGUGAUUAUGUUGGGUUCCUCCAUGGGGUAAACAUAAAAGCUCAUCAAUCUCGAGAAUGAAAAUUGUGAUAGGGUUGGCAUUCAAAAUAGCAUCCAAGCUCCAUGUGUUCAUUUAACAACCAGUACCUCGAUUAGUUCUUGGUCUAAUUAGCCAGUCCGGUUCAAAAAACACCAAUUUUGAUCGAUAAAAUUACUUUUCUAAUCUUGUCAGGUCGAGCAAGCAGAUGAUGAAGUUCAAAAACAGAAUUAUUUGUCAACGUCUUGAUCUCAAGCAAACAAAUUUCAAGCAUUGUCAAUAUUGCUAGACAUUAUAAAAGAUAAAAAGGAAAAAAAUAGAAAGAAACAUAAAGAGAAAGAAAUAAUGUGAAAGAAAAAAAAGAAAAUUAAAGAAUUAAAAAAAUAUUUUUUAUGUUUAUAUGAUGUGACGGUUUAUUAUUGGCUGAGAUUUUUUUUAACAGAUAUAAUAUUUUGAUGUAAAAUGAAUAAUAGAAACAUAAUUUAAGUACCACUUAUGAUAAAGAAAAAUAGAUAUCAACUCGAAUUUUCAAAGUAUUUGAUGUUUUAAUUGGUUAACUUAGCAAGACAAUGUGAUCUUCCCUCUAUUUUUAUUUUUCUUUGUUUUUUCUCCCUCUUUUAAACCUAUCUUAUUAGAAUCAAAUGUACAUUAAUAAAAAUAUGAAGCCCCAUUGGAAGACCAUGAUCACUUUGAGGUUACUCUUUAUAUUUAUAAUAAUCCCAACUAAUUUAGUCAAUAACAAAUAGAUUAUUUGCAUCACAAUUUUGUCCCAUUGGAAGACCAUGACUUUGAGAGUACACACCAAUCACCAAACCCCAUGCACAACACAUAAUAUAAAACUAAUUGCAUAAGGAUCAAAUUCAUAUAGUAUGCUGCAAUGGGUAAUUAAAUAAAUAAACAAAGCCGGCCAACCUCUUUUCAACCUUUCUUCAUUGGAAUCAACUGUAUAAAUAUUUAAAAUAAUAUGAAGCGUAGUUUAUCAAGUAAACUUGACAAUGCUGUUAUGUUUAGAAUAAUUUGCUAAGCUCAAGUCAUCGCCUAUGCUUCUGUCUAACAAAAUCACUUUCAAUCUCUUUCCCAUUUAAUAAAACCACUUUCUCUUCCUACGAUAGAAGCAAAGCAAAUCAAAGUUCCCUCAACGUAUUUUGUUCUCUUUCAUGGCAUCUUCUUCUUCUCUUCCUCCUCCUCAAGUGAAACACCAAGUUUUCUUGAGCUUCAGAGGUGAAGACACACGCAAUAACUUCACCAGUCAUCUACUCAAAGCUUUGAAAGACACGGGAUUGAAUGUCUUCUUCGAUGAAGAAAAACUAGAGAAAGGGGAGAAACUUUCAGAUGCACUUUCUCAAGCAAUUGCAGCCUCAAAUCUCUCAAUCCUCGUUUUAUCUAAAGACUAUGCUUCGUCAAAGUCAUGCUUAGGUGAACUUUCUGACAUUAUGGAUCGUAAGCGUAAGCCCACUGACAAACAUAUUGCUCUUCCCAUCUUUUACCAUGUUGAUCCAUCCCAUGUGCGAAAUAUCGGUGGGACUUCUAAGACAUCCUUUGAGCAACAUGAAUCAAAGAGGCCAGUUGAUGAAGUGAAGCGAUGGAAAGUCGUCUUUACUGAAGUCGGUACAUUAAAAGGGUGGCAUAUAGAAUGAGGCAAAUUCGAUAGGUAACUAUAUAAAUGCAUAUGUAUUCAUCCUUUUAUAUAUGACAUAUCUUUCUUUUGACUAUUAAUUUCUUCAAUUGUUUACUAGAUCUGAAACCGAGUACAUUAAAGACGUCGUUGAAUAUGUUUUGAAAAAGUUGAAUAGCAAUUGCACAAGUGUUUUUGAAGAUUUGGUUGGAAUAGAUGAUCAAAAAGGGAUAAUUUUGGGGCUGAUUGACCAAGUGGACAGUCGUGUAAUAGUGUUGAAGCUAUGGCCUGCAGUGCAACAGAGAACCAGUAGCAGAAAAUUGAUCAAAGACCAGCAGCAGCAAAUUGUAUAAUUUGAGCUGCUACACUGUUUUGAAGUAAAGUAAUGAAGUUGGUUCUCUUGGAAGAUCACAUUUUAGAUGUUUUGUUCCUAUGGAACUUUGUUCAAUUCUUUUGUAUUUUGACAGCAAAGUCAGUAGGAAAAUUGACUGAUGUAAUAGCUGGUAUGCCAGCCUUCUUUUGUAAUCAACUUGCAUUAUUUUAGUAUGUAUUAAGUAAGGGCAGUUAAGUUAGUAGGUAACUGUCAAACAUUACUUGUAACUCCCAUAUAUUCAAAAAUUUGAAUGAAAAAUACAUGACUUCAGUUACAAUUCUUUGCUGAGUUUUUUUUAGUUCUCUUUUUGCUUCAUUUGGUUUGCUUCUUUGUACUGUCAUUUAUCCAACAAAUGGUAUCCAGAGCUUUCAGUCUUUGAGGGCCUUGGUUGUACACUGUCAUUAAGCAAAUUGUAUUUGAAACAAAAGAAGAAGAGGUUGUUUUGCUUGCUGAAAAAUGAGCUUUACACCACCUCCUUCACCUGUCUUUGCUGGAGAAAAUUACAACAUCUGGGCAGUGAAAAUGAGAACAUAUUUGCAGGCACAUGACCUGUGGAAUGUUGUUCUCAAUGACACUGAGCCACCACCACUAAGAGCCAACCCGACCAUAGCCCAGAUCAGGCAGCACAAUGAAGACUGUGCCAAGAAGUACAAGGCUAUGUCGUGCAUUCAAAGUGGGGUCUCUGAUGUUAUUUUCACAAGAAUAAUGGCUUGUGACACUCCAAAACAGGCCUGGGAUAAACUCAAGGAGGAGUUUCAGGGGUCUGACAAGACCAGGCAACAGCAGCUGAUCAACAUGAGAAGAGACUUUGAAAAUCUCAAAAUGAAGGACUCAGAAACCAUCAAGCAGUAUGCUGACAGAAUCAUGGCUACUAUCAACAACAUAAGGCUGCUUGGGGAAGAAUUCAGUGACCAAAGAGUGGUUGAGAAGGUCAUAACAACCUUGCCAGAGAAGUAUGAGGCAAAAAUUUCUUCUCUGGAAGACUCAAGGGACUUGUCAACAAUCCCUUUGACAGAGCUUAUAAAUGCUCUUUAUGCUCAAGAGCAGAGAAGGGCAAAUAGGCAGGAGGACCACUAUGAAGGAGCUUUUCAGGCUAGAGGCAGAGAAAGCUCAAGUGCAAACUUAAAUGUCAAAGGCAAGAAGCCUUGGACUGAGAAGAAAAAGAAAGAACCUGUCAAAAGGAAGUUCCCACCUUGUGUCCAUUGUAAGAAGACUACUCAUCUUGAGAAAUACUGCUAGUACAGACCAGACAUUCAAUGCAGAGCCUGCAAGCAAUUUGGCCACAUUGAAAAGGUCUGUAAGAGUAAGUCAAAAACACAACCACAAUUUCAAAGCCAAGCUCAAGCUGCAGAAGAGGUUGAAGCACCAGAAGAGCAUGUUUUUUCAGCAUCAUGCUUUGCAAGCUCGAGCAAGGUUAACAAAAUUUGGCUGAUUGACAGUGGAUGCACCCACCAUAUGGCUUCUGAGAAGAGUAUAUUCAAGGAGCUUGACACUACCUUCAAGUCCAAAGUCAGAAUUGGCAAUGGUGAGCUACUAGAGGCAAAAGGGAAAUGCAAGGCUUUGAUAAGCACCAAGUCAGGUAUUAAAACCACUUCAGAGGUUCUCUAUGUACCUGAUAUUGACCAAAACUUGCUAAGUGUUGGCCAGCUAUUGGAGAAAGGCUAUUCUCUAAUUUUUGAAGGCAAGAACUGUUUGAUCAAAAAUGCUGCUGGUGAAGUGUUAACCACAGUGGCUAUGCAAGAUAGGACUUUCAUUGUAGAUGUGAAUCAGCUUCAGGCUAAAGCAUAUGCAUCUCAGUCUGAUGAGACUGAUUUGUGGCACAGGAGGAUGGGACAUGUGAACUACAAUUCUCUGAAUAUGAUGCAAAAGAUGGAUUUGGUCAGUGACAUGUCUAAAAUUGAGCCAAGGGAUGCUGUGUGUGAAGUCUGUCAGUUAGGAAAACACACCAGGUUACCAUUUCCUGUCAACAAAGCAUGGAGAGCUCAUGGGAAGCUUCAGCUGGUUCAUACAGACAUUUGUGGACCAAUGAAGACCACCUCCUUAAAUGACAGCAGGUACUUUGUACUUUUUAUUGAUGAUUAUUCAAGGUUCUGUUGGGUGAAUUUUUUAAAGCAUAAGUCAGAUGUUUAUGGUUCUUUUUGCAAAUUUAAAGCCUUGGUUGAAAACCAAGCAAAUUGCAAAUUGAAAUGUUUGAGGUCUGACAAUGGUUCUGAGUAUGUAUCUCAGAAGUUCCAAAAAUUGUGUGAUGAUGCUGGAAUUCAACACCAAUUGACUACUGUGUACACACCACAACAAAAUGGUGUCUGUGAAAGGAAAAACAGAACAGUCCUUGAUAUGGCUAGGUGUUUGUUAUUUGAGGCUAAAAUGCCUAAUGCUUUUUGGGCUGAAGCUGUGAAUACAGCUGUUUACUUGUUGAAUAGGCUGCCAACUAAUGCAGUCAAGGGUAAAAUACCCUUUGAAGCCUGGUUUGGACAAAAACCAUCUGUCUCACAUUUGAAGGUAUUUGGUUGUCUAUGUUAUGUGUUGGUACCUGAGGAGAGAAGAACCAAGUUGGACAGGAGGUCCAUGCCUGGGGUGUUUGUUGGCUACAGCAAUGUGAAGAAAGGAUACAGAGUCUUUGAUCCACUGACCAAGAAGGUUGUAGUGAGCAGAGAUGUGAAAUUCAGUGAAGCAAGUAGCUGGAAAUGGGAUGGAAUUGAAGCAAAUUUGCCCGAGGGAGAACAGAUUGAUGUUGAUCUGCAGCAAGCUGAAAAUGAAGAAGUAACUGAAAAUGGCUAUGAUGAUGAACCUGUUCGAGGCACCAGGACAUUAACAGACAUCUAUGAGAGAUGUGCAGUAACCAUAGUAGAGCCUUCAUGUUUUGAAGAAGCUGCAAAAGAAAAGUGCUGGCAGGAUGCUAUGGAAACUGAAUUUAAAAUGAUUCAGAAAAAUGAUACAUGGGAGCUUGUGGAUAGACCUGAAAAUAGAAGAAUCAUUGGUGUCAAAUGGGUCUUUAGGACUAAAAACAAUGCUGAUGGUACUUUGAACAGACACAAGGCUAGAUUGGUUGUAAAAGGUUAUAGUCAGCAGCAAGGGGUUGAUUUUUCUGAAACCUUUGCACCUGUUGCAAGGUUGGAUACUAUCAGAUUACUGCUUACUUUGGCAGCUCAAAAGCACUGGAAGGUGCAUCAUUUAGAUGUUAAGUCAGCUUUUUUAAAUGGCUUUCUUAAUGAAGAAAUAUUCAUAGAGCAACCUGAAGGUUUUGAGGUCUCUGGUGAAGAACAGAAGGUUUACAAGUUGAAAAAGGCCUUAUAUGGCCUAAAGCAGGCUCCAAGAGCCUGGUAUGAGAGGAUUGAUGGCUACUUGGCAAGGCUUGGGUUCACAAAGAGUGUCAGUGAGCCUACACUCUAUGUUAAGAAGGAUCAGGACGAAACCUUGUUAAUUAUUUCCUUGUAUGUUGAUGAUUUGCUAGUCAUUGGCUGCAAAGAUAAACUUAUUGAAGACUUCAAGAAUCAGAUGCAACAUGUCUUUGAAAUGACUGACCUUGGUCUAAUGACCUAUUUCCUUGGUAUUGAAAUCAGACAAGGAAGUGAUGGAAUUUUUAUAAGUCAGCAGACUUUUGCUUCCAAGGUACUGGAAAAAUUUUGCAUGCUGAAAUGCAAAUCAGUUACUACACCUGUUGCAUUGGGGGAGAAAUUGUCAAGUGCCAGUAAGCAUGAUCGAGUAGAUGAGAAAGCAUAUAGAAGCUUAAUUGGUUGUCUGCUUUAUUUAACAGCAACUAGACCAGACAUUGUCUAUGCUGUUAGUCUACUUUCAAGGUUUAUGCACUGUAGUAAUGUGGCACAUCUGAAAGCAGCAAAAAGAGUGUUAAGGUAUGUCAAAGGUACCAUCGAUGCUGGUGUGAAGUUUUGGAGGGCAAAGGAGCUGAAACUUGUAGGCUAUUCUGAUAGCGAUUGGGCAGGGUCAGUUGAUGACGCGAUGAGUACUUCAGGUUAUUUUUUCACCUUAGGCUCGAGUGUUUUCAGCUGGAGUUCAAAGAAGCAACAAACUGUUGCACAAUCCACAGCAGAGGCUGAGUAUAUCUCAGCUGCAGCAGCAGUAAAUCAAGCCAUUUGGCUUAGGAAGAUUUUGGAUGAUUUGAAUGAAAAUCAAGCUCAGCCUACUAAGAUUAGAGUGGAUAACCAAUCAGCUGUGGCCAUAGCCAAAAAUCCAGUCUUCCAUGGUAAGACUAAACACUUCAAAAUCAAAUUUCAUUUUGUUAGAGAAGCUGAGCAAUCGAGGGAGGUUAGCUUAGUUCAUUGCAGUUCAGAAAUUCAGUUAGCUGACAUUUUAACUAAACCAUUGGGAGCCAACCGAUUUAAUGCUUUGAAAGAAAAGAUUGGUGUUUGUUGCAUACAGCCCAAGGAGGAGUGUUGAAGCUGUGGCCUGCAGUGCAACAGAGAACCAGUAGCAGAAAAUUGAUCAAAGACCAGCAGCAACAAAUUGUAUAAUUUGAGCUGCUACACUGUUUUGAAGUAAAGUAAUGAAGCUGGUUCUCAUGGAAGAUCACAUUUUAGAUGUUUUGUUCCUAUGGAACUUUGUUCAAUUCUUUUGUAUUUUGACAGCAAAGUCAGUAGGAAAAUUGACUGAUGUAAUAGCUGGUAUGCCAGCCUUCUUUUGUAAUCAACUUGCAUUAUUUUAGUAUGUAUUAAGUAAGGGCAGUUAAGUUAGUAGGUAACUGUCAAACAUUACUUGUAACUCCCAUAUAUUCAAAAAUUUGAAUGAAAAAUACAUGACUUCAGUUACAAUUCUUUGCUGAGUUUUUUUUUAUUUCUCUUUUUGCUUCAUUUGGUUUGCUUCUUUGUACUGCCAUUUAUCCAACAAAUAGGACUUUGGGGAAUGGGUGGUAUUGGCAAAACUACCCUUGCUGAUGUUGUAUAUAAGGAAGUCUCUCCAAAGUUCGAAAGUAGUUUGUUUCUUCAAAAUGUUAGUGAGAAAAUAAAAAAACAGGGGAAUGAAAUUUUACGAAAUGAACUUCUUUCCAAAAUAUUAAAGGAAAAAGAAAUUUGUAUCGAUACCCCUUCCAUAGGAUACCCUUACAAUGAGAGGUUGAACAAUAAAAGAGUACUAGUUGUCCUUGACGAUAUUAGAGACCCAAACCAAAUAGAUUUUAUGGGUGUUAAACAUUUUGGUCCUGGAAGCAAAAUCAUUGUAACAUCCAGAGAUAGACAAAUACUUAACAAUGGAGGAGCUAAUAAAAUACAUGAGGUAAAGAAGUUAAAUACGAAUGACUCUCUUCAACUUUUUUCUACAUUUGCAUUUAAGCAGUUGAAUCCUGCAGCUGAUUUUCGAGAUCUAUCAUGCAAGUUUGUAGAAUACGCCCAAGGUAAUCCACUUGCUUUUAGAGUUUGUGGUUCUAAACUAUACAAAAAGUCUAGAAAAGAAUGGGAAAGCGAGGUGGAUAAACUGAGGGAAUGUGCGCAACCACAAAUUGUACAGAUUUUGAAGAGUAGCUUUAAUGGGCUUGAUGAGAUAGAGAAGAAUAUAUUUCUCGAUGUUGCAAUCUUCUUUAAAGGGGAACGAAGAGAAAAUGUAGAAGAAAUUCUCACUUGCUGUUAUAAGGGUGUAGAUGGUGUAAUAAGGAGCUUGCUUGACAAGAGCUUACUUGAUACCAAAAGUUAUUCAGAAAUUUCUAUGCAGGAUAUGCUUGAAGAGAUGGGUAGAGACAUUGUUCGUCAAGAAUCUAGAAGACCUGAAAAGCAAAGUAGAUUAUGGAAUCCUAAAGACGUGGAUCAAGUGCUCAAAUAUAAUAAGGUAACUAAGUGCUAAUAGUCUUUGGAUUGUAUAUGUUGUUCAUAUAUUUGUUGAUUUAACAAGUGUAUAAAUUCAAUUAAUUAACAAUUUUAGUUAUUUAUAGUUAUUUUCAAUGUUUAACUUAAAUGUUCUUUUAUCUGUUAUUAGGGGACUGAUUUAACUAAAGGAAUAAAGGUAUGCAUGUCUCCUACUGAUAUUCGACGGAUAAGCCCUACUGCUUUACAGAACAAGCACAUCUUCGAUUUAUCUACUUUUCUUUGACUAAAUGGGUUGGGGGAUUUGCUUAUGACCAAGUUUAUGAUAUUGCAUACCUUCCUAAUGAGUUAAGGUGUCUUUGUUGGGAUUAUUAUCCUUUCAAAUCUUUAUCAUCAAAUUUUAAUCCAAAGAAUCUUGUCGUAUUGAGACUACGAGGUAGCAAUGUGGAAUAACUUUGGGAUGAAGAUGAACAUCAGGUAUAUACUUUUUUUAUUUUCUUCAUUCAAGAUUAAAAAAAAAAGUUUUAAAAUUGAUGUAUAUAGCAUCUUAUUAAAAAAAAUUAAAAAUAAAUACUAAAGAUUUAGAAGAAACAAUUUCAUUUGAUUUUUUAAUGGUGAAUGAAUUUAUUAUACUACAACAGCACAUCAAAUAUAUUAUAAUAAUUUAUUUUUGAAGUAAUAUAGCUAAUUUAUAUUAUCAUUUGGUACAGGAUCUUGUUAAUUUAAGGCAAAUCGAUGUUUCUUAUUGUAAAAAAUUAAGAAAGAUCCCUAAUUUAUUACGAGCCAUCAACCUUAAAAGAGUUAUCGGUAGUUGGUGUGAUAAUUUGGUUGAAAUUCCAUGCCUCGAUCAUUUGGAAUCUCUAGAUGAACUUGAAUUGGAGGGAUGUUGUAAUCUCAAGAUGUUUCCCACGGUCUCAAAUAUCUUUUCGGAGUUAGACUUAUCGUAUACUGGAAUAGAAGAAGUGCCUGAUUCAAUUGGGUAUCUCGACAUGCUUGAAUGUUUGGAUUUGUCACACUCAAAAGUCCAAAGUGUAUCAAGCAAUAUUUUAAAGUUGAAAAAGCUUGAUGAUCUGGAUCUUAGUUAUUCCAUGAUCACUAAAUUGCCGGAAACCCCAAAGAACUUGACGUGCUUAAACUUAAGUGGGACUAAAAUUAAAGAAGUGUCCUUGUCUUCCAACCCUUUAAGUAAUCUUCGGAAGUUGGAUAUGGGCUUCUCAAGCAUUCAAAAGCUACAGUGCAAUAUCGCCCUCUUUUGUUCAGGACAGACAACAGUUGAUGCGCCCUCACCAAUCUUGAGGUUUAAAAGCCUUGGAUGUUUGACAGUGCAUGAAUGCAACAGUCUUAAAUUACUCUCCGAGCUUCCUCCAUAUCUGCGGCAAUUGGAUGCGAAUUACUGCCUAUCAUUAGAAGAAGUAUCGUUCUCAACUCAACAUCAAGAUCUAUAUGAACUUCAUUCUAGUUUUGAUAAUUUUGACUGCUACAUGUUAUUCAACAAUUGCUUCAGCUUGAAUCAAGAUUCAAUUGAUAACAUUUGGGCAAAUGCCAUGCUCAAAAUUAGAUUCCUAGCCAAGAAAUGGGUAUCAAAAUAUCGUCUUCGUCCACCAGUUUUUUAUUCAUGUUUCCCAGGAAACGAAAUUCCAUCAAAUAAGUUCGAAUAUCAGAGCAAUCAUUCUUCCUUAAUCUUGAAGAUAGCCCCAAAUGGGUGUAAUGGGAGCAGAUUCUUGGUUUUUUCCAUCUGCCUUGUGGCUGACCUCACUGAACUUCUCUUGGAUAGUUCUGAAUUUAUCUGUGAAUGCCAAUUGACAGCUGCUAGUGGUGCUCGUCAUGAAAAGUUCAAAAGUGUGUGGCAAGGCAAGCAAUAUCAUAGCGCAUCGAUGGUGUUCAUGGGUGACCAUGUGUUGAUCCUAUUUGGUGGUGAUAUGGUUAAAAAAGACAAGGGUUAUGAGCAGGCAACAUUUGAAUUCUACCUCAAAUACAUGGGCGAAGAAAAUAUGAAGGUGAAGAAAUGUGGUGUAGAUGUAUCUUACGUGGAUGAAGAACCUAGGCACACUUAAACACAAGUAAGUGGGUUUCAUUUCAGUUAACUUGUGUGGAAAUAAACUGCUUUAGAACCAAAAUGACAUCUAACUUGCUCUGCUUUAGAAAUUGCUAAACCAUUUUUUCAAGAAACUGAAACCUUGCAGUUCUACCAUGUAAAUGUUAAAAGUAGAGUUUGUGAUAAUUCUACAUAACAAGGGAAAUUUGUAAAGAGUUUAAGGGUUGAAUUUCUUUCUAGAAAUUAUAGUUUGUGACAGUUGCUUAUUUGUUUACUUAAAAGAGUUUAAGGGUUGUGUCUGUUUUUUUUUUUCAGGUACAAAAUAGAUUGUGAAGAACGAAAUUGGAGGGCAACUGAAUAUUUGAAUAGAGUAACAAAAAGUUUCUGCUUUGGAUUUCAUAAAAGUAUCCAUAGGAGGACAUGGUGGGCUCCCGAAUUCAGAUAUUAAGAUUCAUACUUUAAUUCUUUUUUGACAGCUGACUUGUUAUUGCUUGGUUUUAAUUCAUAGGAUCAGUGAUGGACAUCAUUCAGCUUCAUUGUUUAGUUUCUGGCAUUGGUGCUCAUGACAUAGGCAGAGUAAGUAGAGAUUUGAUCAUCUUGUAUCUCUAUACUCAAUGCAUUUUCAUUCAAUGGUAUAUUGACUCAUUGAUAUACAUUUCAUGUUUCGUUUAAAAGCUAGUGUUUGAUCACCUGAUUUCUGAUUUUUAUUAAUGUUAAUCAGAAAGAUUGGUUUUUUCUUAUAACUUAAGGCUUUUAUGUUGAUGUAAGACUAGGUGGUUGGUAUUUUCUGUGCAUUGUCUUUUAGAAUUAUAUAACUUUGAUCUCUAGUGGUCUCGAUGUCAAGGUUGUGACCAAUGCAAGACAAAAUUUAUCUAACAUUAUAGAUGUGCUUUUCAGUGACAGGGUUUAAUGAAUUGUAGUAUAAGUAAGCCAAAACCUAGAGUUUAAGCUUUGACUUUAGAAAUUUGCUACUAUCGGGGGAACGAAGACAACAAAGAGUGUAGAGGGAAUAAAUGGCAGAUCUUUGCAAAGGCCAUUAUACAGAAAACGAGGAAAAAGUAAGCUUUUAAUUUCUUCUGCUGAAUGCUUGCUUUAUAUUAUAGUUGAACUAAUAUCUUGAGGCAGUACUGCAACUUGUCAACAAAUAUGCCUUCUGGUUUUGGAGCUUUAGAGGAAACAUGUGUUCUUGGCAAUUUAGCCUUCCUGGAAAGGUAAAUUACUUUUGAUUCAUUGUGAUUUUUUAGCAACCUUACCUCAUGGCCUUCUUUUUCCUGAUUUAUCAAUGCAUCAUAUAAAUCCAGAAUUGGCAGAGAUUGCUUUUUCCCUUAACUUGUGGAAUGGACACAUGAAGUUGGAGGUUAUUUUCAAUGGCAACUUUGGACUGUAUUCGUUCUCCUGCUAGAUUGGUGAGCUAUUUUGUUCGAAGUGAAGAAUUGGUUUCAUGGAAGACCAAUUGGAGUUGAAAGCAGGGUGAAAGAGAUAUUGUAUCGGCUUGAAUUUCUUCUAUUGAAUGUGUUGGAGUUAAAACAGAAGCAGACAAGCUCAGCUUGAGUCUUGUGCAACAAGCCUCGAUGCUUGCUGUGCAAACAAACAGAUUCGAGCAAGAAGAGAAAAAAAAAAAACUAAGGAAAAAUGGAGAUAGUUUGAAGAACAAAUCUGAAUUCAUUCAUAAGUGAAUAAUGGCAUAAUGCCAAUACAUAAAACAAAGCACUAAGCUUGUCAAAAACAGCAAGUAAUCACCUAAACAUUACCUACCUCCACUAAUUACAUGGAAACUUGAAACUUAAACUUGUAAGCUUGAACAAAGCUGUGUUUACAGCUCACACUCUAGCUAAUUACAUCAAUCAUAGGCCUAACUUAGUUAGAAAUGAACUAAGAUACAUUUCAUUAACUAAAUAUAACAAAAUGAACAAAAUAAGCUUGCAUCAGCAGCUCUUGCAUCAGUUCCAGCAUAACUUGAUCUCCAUGGCAUGCUUGCUGUUGAGUGUUUGCUACAUGCUGGCCAACUUCAACAGAAUGCUUGCUUUAUAUUUUUAGUUGAAGUGAGAUAUUGAGGCAGUACUUCCAUUUAAUCCAGAAUUGUUAGAGUUAGAGGUAAAUUUAAUUUAAUUCAAUCGAGUUGUUGAUGAUAAUUCGAUUUAGUUAUUUUUUUUUUUAGAGUUCAAUUCUUACUCACUUAUGGGACCUUUCUCUUUUUAUUUUUGCUUACAGUAGAUAUAAAGAAGAGCGUGCAUAUUAGUGUUUGCAAGCUAUUUUAGUUCUAUUAAAAAGCUAGAACUCAUUUUAGUAAUUAUUGAGUUGAGUUCGAAUUAAAGUACAUAUAUAUUUACAGUUUUCAUUUUUUUUUUGUAGAAAAACUUGUAUCGUAAAGUUUUCAUUGUGGGUUAUUUAAUGUGUUUAAAAAUUUAAACUAUUGCAAAUAUUAAUUUUCAGUUUUUUUCAACAAUUUAUCAAACAAGAUCUGUAUUAAUAUGACAUCAACUUAAUUAAAAUCUUUAGAAUUAGUAAAUUAAAAUGCUUAAUGUCAAGGUUUAAUUGGAGAAGUGGUUAAAGUUCUUAUUUGACACUUGAGUAAUGUGGGUUUAAACCUUGUCAAUCUAAGUUCGGCUCAGAUAAAAAAAAAUCUUAAAUAUUUUCUAAACCUACUUUUUGAACCUCAUAUUUUCUAUCUGAACUCUCUUAUGUUUUAAACAAACCUUCAAGCUAGUUCAACCCCUUGAAUAUAUCUACUCUCCAUUUGCAUAUUGCCAGUAAUACAAGUUGCUAUAUAAUAAUAAUAAUAGUUGUCUCAAAAAAAUCUUUAAUAAUAUAGUAAAGUAAGAUAUAAGUUAUAAGACGUUUGGUUCAUAAUUGAUUAAAUAAAAACUUGUGGGUUACAAUGAAAUUUCUUAUAUUGUGGGUGGGUGUUUUUGUCUAAGCCCACCCAAAAUAAGAGAACUUUUAGUUUAAAUCAAAGUUGAGAUGGAUUAAAAAAAAAUCUAAAAUCUUGUUUAAUUUUACUUUUAGGACAUCAUAUUUUUAUUCAAAAUUUCUUAUAUUUUGAACAACCUUUAAAUUUCAACGAAAAAUUUGGCUCUACUCCUGUUUAUUGUUGGUAAUAUGUUUUUCUUGCCUAAUCUGUGAAAUAAUUGUUCAAGUAUUGAUUAAUGUACUAUUUGGUCCCCCACGCCCCACAAUUAAAUUCACAUCAUAUUGAUUUUCUUGUGUUUUUCCUUAUCUUCAUUCAUUGAUUGCAAAAAACAAAUCCAUGCAAUUCUACAAAGCUGUCAGAGUCAUCCUCUUGGCUGAAUUUUCAUGGAAAAUCUGCAGAUUACAGUCUUAUAGCUGUCAUUUCAUAAUGCACCAAAGCAUGAAAAUUGACCCCUUGAUAUGUGACUCAUAACUUUUAUUUUUUGUGGGUGAUAAAUUCCUGGUUGGGUUUUAUAUAAGCAUUUUAUUUUCGAGAUUAAUUUAAAAUUUAAAGAUCAUUAGCUAAUGGACCUGAAUAUAAAGAUCAUUUGAAAUCCAAAAACAUGAUGGAUCAGACAUUGUUAUGGUAGCUUAAACGUUUUUAGAAUUAGCAAUGUAUAAUUUAGCCAUGGACCUUAAUUUAUGUAAAAUUAGGAAAUACAAAAUUGCAAUGUACUUUAAGAUUACCUAAUUUUACAAUCUAAUUAAAAUGAUAAAGUUUCAUACAAUGAUGUUCACAAUCAAAUGGAAUAGAUUUGAUUAAACAUCGGCUGCAGCUUACAAGCAACACAUGAAACCAAAAAAACAACAAUGCCACAUAAUGUAUAAUGUCAAUAGCCACCAUGUCAUGAACGUAAAAUCCAAUCUACCCCGUCCUUGGCCGAUAUGCCUUAGCAAGACAUUAACAAAAAUCGAUAUCUUUUGCCUGAAGGAUUGAUCGAUCAACUUGAAUACAUCCCCCAAAGAAUCCGAGGUUGAAUUGAUACAAAAUGAACCUGUCAUGCUCUAGUCCGAAGCUUCAGACGCAAUAUAAUAGCUCGAAUCACAAACACGUUUUGCGACCGCUGCAAUUCUAGCACCCUCUUAACAUCAUUCUUCUGAAACAGUGACUGUAAAUUCACCACGAAGAAUCAAGUCAAAUGGGUGUACCAUGAAACCAACUCUUCACUUUGAAGUUCCAACUAAACCAAAAUCAUUUGGAUUUUUUCCCAAGUGUUUAUGUUGGGUUUCUCUAUGGGAUAAACAUAAAAGCUCAUCAAUCUAACUUGAGAAUGAAAACUGUGAUAGGGUUUGCAUUGAAAAUAACAUCCAGGCUCCAUGUCUUCAUUCAACGAGUUUUGCGAUAAGAGCAACUCUGCCAAAUUCUGCAUGCAUUUAUAUAAUCUAUUUUAAAUCAGGGGAAACGAACACCAUGAGGAUACUAAAAAUCAGAAUGAGCAAAAGUAAUUUACCCACGAGCAUAUGCUUCCUCUCAAGGGCCAAAAUCCAGAAAGCAAAGCUGGAUUGGGUAAACUCUGUUGACAAGUUGCAGUACCGCUUCAAUAUCUCAGUUCAACCACAAUAUAAAGAAAUCAUUCAGUACAAGAAAUUGAACAUCUUAAAAGCUUACUUGUUUCAAACAUCUGUCAUUUAUUCCUCAUCUGCUCUCCUAACAUCAAUCAUUGCCAUCUUUAUUCCCUUCAAAUUACCAAAUUCAAAAGGUAAAAGCUUAAUCUCUGGCUAAAAGGGCACCUCUAUAAAUGUGAGUGAGAUCAAAUGGAUUUUGCAUUGAUUCGCAACCUUCACCUUAACACCAGUAAUUUUGUGGAACUUCAUUUGCUGGUGAGAAAGACGACAUCCAAACCACCCAUAAUCUGCAACUUCAAUUCCAGUAGAGUAUUGAAUCUGUGUCCCGCUUGACUUUCUUGCAAGUUUUAUGGAAUCUACAGAUCACAGUCAUAAAAUUCAAAAUAACAAAACAUAACAAAUAAAGCCUCUUUUGUGUAUCACUAUUGGCUUCCUCAAAAAAAGCUUCUUCGGCAGAGUAAAAACUGCCGUCGGAUUCAUCAUUGCUCAUCUCAUUUAAGUUGGAGUUUUCACUGGAUUCAACAUUGCCAUCGGCACAACUCUUUGCACCCACGUAAAAUACAUGAACACCGCAUUUCUUUACCUUGAAAUCAUGGAGACAUAUUUUUUCACCCUCUUCAUUGUAGCUAUAACUUCUGAUGUAGAAUUCAAAUGUUGCCUCUUCAUAAUUCUUGUCUUCUUUAACCAUAUCCUCUUGAAAUAGAAUCAAUACGUGAUCACCCAUGCAGUUCCACUCUGACUCUAAACUCCCACGGUCAUAUAACACACUUUUGAACUUUUCAUAACCACCAACACCAUCACUACAACUAGAGACUGUCAGUUGGUAUUCACAGGUAAGUUCAAGUUUUCCGAAACCACUACAGUGGGUGAGAUCGGCCACAAGGCAGAUAGCAAAAGCCAAGAAUCUUCUCUUACCACACACAUUUGGUGCUAUCUUCAAUGUUAAGGAAGAAUACACGUUCUGGGACUCGAACUUAUUUGCUGAAAUUUCUGUUCCCGGGAAACAGCAAACCAAUGAUGGAAGAAAAAUAUUUUGCCCUGCCCAUGUCUCUGCUAUGGAUCCAAUUUUGAACAUGGCAUUUGCCUCAAUGCUAUCAAUUGAAUCUUGAUUCAAAUUAAUGCAAUUGAAGAACAUCAUGCAUAACUUAUACGGAUCACCAAGAAAACCGUGUUGUUGUAUGAACGAUACUUUUUCUAAUGAUGGGCAGUCACGUGCAUCCAAGCGCCAUAAAUGUGGUGGAAGAUCUAAGAGUAAUUUAAGGCUCUUGCAAUGAUUCAUCGUCAAAUUUCGAAGGCUUUCAAACCAUAAGAUUGAUGAGGGCACAUCAAUGGUUGGAAUCUUUCUUGAACCAGAGAGGGAAAUAUUGCACUGUAGCUUUUGAAUACUUGAGCCGCUCAUAUCCAAGUCUGCAAGAUUACCUACGUAGUCGAAAGACAAGGACACUUGUUCAAUUUGAGUCUUUGAUAAGUUCAAACUACAUAAGCUUUUUGGGAUUUCUGGAAAUUUGGUGAUUGGGCAAUGACUAAGUUCCAAAUCAUAAAGGGAUUCCAACUUCAAAAUAUUGUUGGACACAUUUUUAACCCUUGAGUUUCUCAACCGUAAUCGUCUAAGCCAGAUGAGAUGUUCAAUUGAAUCAGGCACUUCCUCUAUUCUCGUUCCUUCUAAAUCCAAGUAAUGAAAAUGACUUGGGAUCUCAGGAAUCUUCUUGAGAUUAUGACAUCCAUCAAGAUCAAAACUUUCAAGAGAAGCCAAAUGAGUCAGGCAAGGAAGUUCAACCAAACUUUCGCACCCCAUACAGCAAAGGCUUUUAAGGUUGAUUGCCCCGAGUAGACUAGGAAUCUUUCUUAAAUUCUUGCAAUCAAAAAGGUCAAUUUCCUUUAAACUAACAAGAUCCUGGCAAAGAAAGUAUAAAACAGCUAUGUUACUUCUAACCAUCGUCUACAUGCUUUGGGCAUAUUGAAAUUUAAAAGAAAAAUUAAUUAUUACACUGAAAAUAAAAACUAUAAAUAAUAAUAAUAAAAAAUAAGAUAUCAUUGUAUGGUUAUCUAAUACAUCAACUAUAAAUCCUUUUUUUUUUAAAUAAAUUCUUGGAUAAAGAAAGUAUGAAAGAAUAUACCUGAGGAUUAUUUCCAUUCCAAAGUUGUUCCAUAUCACCAUGUGGUAAUUUCAAUACAACAAGAUUUUUUGGGUUAAAACUUGAGGAUAAAGAUUUGAACGGGUAAUACUCCCAACAAAGAUACCUUAGCUCAUCAGGAAGAGAUACAAUAUCAACUUGGUCUGCAAGUAGCUUUUUAUUCCAACAUUCCCCAAAUUUUCGAGGAAGAUAAAAGUGGAUAAAUCUAAGAUUUAGCAUAUUCUCAAAAACAGUAGGAGAUAACUUUAAAUUAUCAAUUUGAGACAUGUCUAACUUUAUUCCUUUAAUUGCUUCAUUUCCCUGAUAACAAAAAAAAAAAUUUAUCAGCAUAAAGAAAUAUAUAGGAAUUCCAUUAAAUAGAAGUAAAUAGACUUAGACUAGUUGACCAUACCUUUCUAUUGCAAAAAUUUUGACAUAUAUUAAAAGUGUUUAAUUUUGUUUUUUUAAAAGCAAUGUAUUAUUAGAUAUCUAAUAAUCAAUAUUGAUUAUUAUGUGUAUGGUAGGUAAAUAGAUAUCUUCAUUUUUGAAAUAAUAAUUAAAAGAGUUAAUAUUUGACAUGAUGUUCGUGUAUAGAUUUAUAAAUAUACCAUUAAACUUACUUUAUUGUAUCUCAGCAUUUGAUGCACAUUAUUAGGACUCCAUAGUCUACUGCAAUUUCCAAUGCCUGUAGCUUCUUGGCGAAUAAUAUCCUUGCCCAUCUCUUCAAGAAUAUCAUGCAUAGAAAUAAUUAGAGGUCUUCCUGCAAAUGCUGAUUGACAUGUUGAUGCUGAGCGAGGCCGUCUGAGAUCUUGAAGUCUGAGAUCUUCCUCAAGCAUAUCUUGAAAAUGGAUGGUGUCAAGUAGGCAUUUAUCCACCAAAUUGCUUAUUCCACACACUGCACCAUUAUACAAGGAACAUAGAAUAUCUUCUACUUCUUUCUUAUAUUUCCCUUUGAAGAAACAUGCUAUGUCAAGAAAUAAAUUCUUCUCUAGUUCAUCUAGCUCAUCAAAGCUACUCUUUAAAAUUUGUGAUAUUUUUGGUUGGCCAUAUUCCUUUAGUCUAUCCACCUCGCUCUCCCACUCUUUUCUAGAUUUCGUAUAUAGUUUAGAACCCAAAACCUUAAGAGCAAGUGGAUUGCCUUGGGCAUAUCUUACAAAUUGGUUCGAUAGAUCUCGAAAAUUAGCAGUAGGAUUCAACUGCUUAAAUGCAAAUGUAGAAAAGAGUUGAAGAGAGCUUUUCUCAUUUAACUCAUUGACCUUGUGUAUUUUUUCAGCUCCUCCAUUCUUGAGAACUUGUCUAUCUCUAGAUAUUAGAAUGAUUUUACUUCCAUCACCAAAAUGUUUAACACCCAAGUAAUCUAUUAGGUCUGGGUCAUCAACAUCAUCAACAACAACAAUUACUUUUUUAUUGUUGAGCCUCUCUCGAAUAAAAGCGGACCCUAUGGAGGGGGUAAGUACAUCAAUUUCUUGGUUUAAUAUUUUAGAAAGAAAGUUAUUUCGUAAAGACUCCAUCCCUUGUUUGCGUAUUUUCUCUCCAACAUUUUGAAGAAACCAACAACUUUUAAACUUUGAAGAGAUUUCAUGAUAUACAACAUUAGCAAGAGUAGUUUUGCCUAUACCAGCCAUUCCCCAAAGCCCUAUUACACGACAAUCGUUUUGAUUAAUUAGCUUCAAGAUUGUCUUUUUCUGAUAAUCUAUUCCAACCAAUUCUUCAAAAGCAGUACUGGAUUUGUUAUUCAUCAGCUUUUUUGCAACAUAUUCAACGAUAUCAUUGAUGUACUUGGUUUCAGGUCUAGACAACAAGACAAAAUGAAAGUUAAAACUAAAAUAAGUCAAAUAUAAGAAGAUUAGAGAAAGAGAGUUACCUGUCGAACUUGCCACCUUCAAUAUGCCACCCUUUUAAUUUACCGACGUCAGCAAAGGCUUCUUUCCAUCGUUGUACUUGAUCUAAACUUUUUGAUUCAUGGUCAUUAAAGGAUGUUUUGAAACUGCCACCAAGGUUCCGCACAUCAGAAGGAUCAACAUGGUAAAAGAUGGGAAGAACAAUUUUUCGUCGAGUGAGCUUGCAGUACAUGAUGCAAGAAAUUUCAGCCAAGCAUGAUUUCGAAGAAGCAUAGUCUUUAGAUAAAAUGAUGAUCGAGAGAUUUGAGGCCAUAAUUGCAUUUGAAAGUGCUGGUGAAAUUUGCUCCCCUCUUUCCAAUGUUUCUUCAUCGAAGAAGACAUUCAGUCCCGUGUCUUUCAAAGCUUUGAGUAGAUGACUGGUGAAGUUAAGGCGCGUGUCUUCACCCCUGAAGCUCAAGAAAACUUGGUGCUUCGUUUGACGAGAAGAAGAUGAAGAAGACGCCAUGAAAGAUUAUGGAUAAUGUGAUUGAGGCAAAGAGAGAAAAUUAUAGCAAGGGAGCUUUGGUUUGCCUAUUGAAAAAGAAAAGUUUAAAAUAUGGAUCCAUCAUCAGUAGGAACCUUUUAUUAAAUGGAUAGGAGAUUUCUGACGAAUCAAAGGAGAUUCGUGCAUCGCAAGGGAGGGGCACAGUAGAUCGGAAAAUACCUUUUGGAUGGAGGACACUCCGGCGUUGGCGAGAGAGACGGUGGCUGCAGAGGAGAUGAGAAAUGUUCCCCGAACGACUGAAUGAUGUGUUUAGGGACGACCGGACUGGCCUGAUGGUUUACUGGCGGCCACGCUUCAGUCACCGGAGAAGUUUUUUGAUGGUGGGUCUGUUUUCUACCGGGUUUCCAAUUAAUUUUUACUUUGUCGGUUCCAGAUGUCCUUUGGAAUUCUCUAAACUGAUAAAUGUUGGUUGUUUUUUAUUCUUUGGAUUACUUUAAUGGAGAUAACGGUUUUACCCCUCAAAAAAAAAAAAAAGGAGAUUCGUGCUUAUCAAAAAAGUAACAUAUUUAAAAAAAAGUUAUUGUUGGUUGAAUUUUCAAACAUCUUGGGUCAAAACUUAGGUUUGAAUAGCGUUUAAUUUACCAAUUAAAAAUAAAAUAUUAAAAUUAAUUUAUGAGAAUAAAUUAUAUUAGAAUGACAAAAGUAUAAUUUGUAGGCACUAAUAAAAUCAUGCCACGGCAUUAAAAUUUAUAGAUAACAAAGAUUAUUUUACACUCAUUUAUAUCUAAUAUCUUCUCUAACUUAAUUUAACUUUAAUUAAAUUAUUUAAAAUAAUUAAUUUUUUAAAAUUAUAAACAAAUCUUUUCUUCUUUUACAAAAUUUAAUCAUUUUAUUUUUUUCCAUAAGUUAAUAUUUUUAUUUUUGUGCAACCAAUUUUUUUAAAAGAAAAGAUAAAUUUUGUGCAAUUUUUUUCAUGACAUUGACACAUAAUUUUAGUAAUUAUUUUACCUUAAACCUCGAGAUUUAGGAUUUGGGUUUGAGAUUUAAGGUUUAAGUUUAGUGUUGAGGUUUAAAGUUUAGGUUUAGAGUUCAAGGAUUUAGAGUUUAGGGUUUAUGGUUCAGGUUUGAAGAUUUAGGGUUGUAAGUUACAAGUUUAGGAUUUAGGGUUUGGGUUUAAGGGUACGAGUUUGGGGUUCGAGAUUAUCAAAAUUAUGUGUCAAUGACAUGAAAGAAAUUGUCUAAAUGUAAUUAAAUAAUUGGAAAAGGACUAUAAAUAAUGUGGUGGGAAGGGUCCAUAAAAUAAUUUCUCUGUAGAUGGGUGUAUAAUAAUAAUUUUAUGUCUUUAAAUUUUAACAAUGUGUCAAAAUUUUAUUGGUGCCUAAAAAUCUUAAUUUUUAGAAUAUCCUUAUGUAAGUUAUUCCCUUAAUUUAUAUAUUCUUAUAAUUAAAAUUUAUUUAUUUUUUAUACAAAGUCUACACAUAAUCCCUCCCUAUCAAAAGAAAAAACAUAUUUAAGCAUACUCAAAUUUACAUCUUUCUAAUUGUUACAAUAACAACAUAAUCAAUUUGAACAUCCGUGUGAUGCUAUCCUUUUUCUUGUUUGCUGUUAACUUCUAUCACUAGGAGUAUUUCGUUACUUUUUGUGCAUCGCUUAAAUAGUAGCUUUAAUUAUACCUAAAUUAUUAGGUAUUCAUUAUACGGGUGAAAAAUCAAAAUUAUAUAAUAAAUAUAUUUAUAAAAAAUUAAUUAGCUUUUAUUAAAGUAGUGCAAAUGUUAAAAACUGUUAAAAGUUUUUUUUUUCUCCGCCAAAAUAAAAAAAAAAUUUAUUAAAGAGAAGUAAUGGUCAAAACAAACCAAAUGGUUAGAAACUAAAAACAAAACAGCUCAACAUUCAAAAACACCAACUUCAUUCUUGAAACUCAAGCCCUUGCAACAUUCAAAAAUCAAGAUAGCAAAGAUCCCAAAUAGUAUUCCAAAACCUCUCAAGACACACCUAUGCGUUACGCCAAGUGUUAAGUAUGACUCCGAUUUCAAUCAAAUUUGAGAAAUAAUUUUCUAGUUAAACUCUGUUUAUUUGUUUCAAUCAAACACUGAUUAGUUUAGAUUAUUUUAUUAUUAUUUGAAAUAUGAAUUUAGCUUAUAAAUAGGUUCUUUUAUAACCAAAUCUAGUUGAUGGAUAUUAAGUAAAUUUCAAAGCACAAAAUAUUGGUGCCCAAAUUAGUUUGGAUUAUUAUAAUAAUAUAAAAUUAGGCCAUAUUUAGAAACAAAUUAAAAAGGUAAUCCUCUUUUAAUAAAUGUGAGAAAUAGGUCGUACGGCAGCAUUAGUAGUGGAGCUUUUAUUUUAAUGCCACGAUCGAGUGAGAUUAAAAAAUUGUCUUAUUUUAAUUAAGGUUUGGCUCAUUGUAUAUUUUUUAUUUAAACUUUCGUAUUUUAGACAAAACUUUUCAAAUUUCAACAAAUAGUUUGUCCCUUCAAUAAAUCUACUAUCAAUGGAACUCUUUUCCUUGCCUAGUCUCUGAAAGAACUGAUUAAUUGUACGAUUUGAUUCCCACACCCCCAAAGUAUUGAUUCGUUGAUUGCAAAAAAUUUGCUACAAAGAUGCCAAGAAUCUUCUCCUUUUUCCAGGAAGCAACAUAAUUAGGAAUUUCGCUGAAUUUACAAAGAAAAUCUGCAUAUCACAGUCAUACAUAUUGUUCCAAAAUGCAUAAGGAAAAGUAAAAGUUGAUAAUGCACCAAAGCAUGGAAACUCACUUUUUUUUUUGUUUUUGGUGAGGUGAUAAAGACGAUACAUUAAACUUAUUAAUAAAAUAUUUGUAUUGGCUGAGAAAAAGAAAAGGUUGCUUUUGCUUUUGACAUCAAUUUCAAAAUGACUAAUAAACAGCACUUCAAAAUAUCAUCCAACCUUCUUUCUUUCCUCGAAGCUACAUAUGUAGGAAUUUGGAUAAAUCAAACCAGAACCACCCCUGGGCUGAAUUUUCAUGGAAGUUCCACAAAAAUUGGCACAUCACAACCAUACAUAUAGCUUGUAAAAUGCAAAAGGAAAAAGGUAAGUUGAUAAUGCACCAAAGAAUGAAAAUUCUAAAUCACAAGCUAUUUGUACAGCAUGUGAUUCUGGUUGGUUUUAAUUAAUUAAAGCACUUCAUAUUUCUAUCAUUGGCAAUUAAUUUAAAAGCUGGAAAAUAAUAGUUUAUGUGUUAGAACGUAAAUGUUGAGUAAAAUAUUAUUCAACGUGCCAAUAUUGGCACAUUUGCUAAAUAGGUCGGGUCUUGGGCAAGACAUUUUAGCCUUGCUCGAAUUUGACCAUUUCUUUUUUGUUGUUAUUUACUGCUGUUAUAUUGUUGUUUUGCUACAAGCUCAUUUGACGAGAAGAAGAUGAAUAAGAUGCUAUGAAAGUGUAUAGAUUGUGAGAUUGAGGAAGAAGAGAGGAAAGUACACAAAGGGAGCUUUGGUAUCCUAGUAUUAAAUGACAAAUGAGAAUAUGAGAUUUAACAAAGGCAACGAGUGGAGGAGAUCAGCUAAAUUAUCUGAGUCAAGAAAAUUGUCACUCUCACACUUUCCAGGAAAUGACAGUCUUCUUUAUUUGUAUAUUUUACCCACAAAAGUCAAGGUCUUCCAAUGGCACAAUGUUCAGCAAAUGGUUAAAAUCUUAAAAGAGUCCUUGAACUAGUUUACUUUUGUUGUACCCAAAUAAACCCCUAUGUUUUUAUCUGUGUUUAAAUUAGCCCUUAUUUCAAGUGACAUGUUAAUUUUAUUGUAUAAAGCAAUACAUUAGAUAUUUAAUUAAUUUAAUAAAACCCUUAGUAGAUCCAUGUAAUAACUUAAGAUUAGGGUUAGCAUUUGAUAAAAAUAAUUGAAAAGAAAAUUUUAAUUAAUCAAAUUGGUGAGUUUUAUUAUUUAACUAAAUUUUAAACUACAACAUAUAAAUUUGAGUGUAUAUAAAGAUGUAAAAUUGUCUAAUGAUCGAACUUAGAAUUAGUGCCGACUAAAGACUUAAUUUGCCACUCUACUCAUUUUCCGAUUGAAAAUUUCCCUUUUUUUCUUUUUUUUCUGUCAUAGAUAUGAAACAUCGAUAAAAGAAUAUAUUGGAAGAGUAUAGGGUAAGAAAUACUUAUUUCAGUUGUUCUUAUUUAUUCAUUUUCAAAAAGUAUAGGGACUCAAAUGACAAUAAAUAUAAAUAGUGAGGGCUAAUUUUGAUAAAAAAAUCAUCAACAGAAUAAUGAUGUGUCUUUUUUUUUAAAUUAGAAUAAGAAUAAAUUAGUCCUCAACGUAUAUACGUUUUAUAAAAUUAAUAAAAUAUAAACAUUGAGAGUUAAAUUUAUUAUUAUUUUAAUUAAAAAAAAAAGACCUAUCAUGCUUCCGUUAAUGCUUCCGUUAAUAAUUAAUAAUGGAGGAAUGAUUAAAACAAAAACAAAAAAAACUUGAUGUUAAUAACGUUGGUGAUGAAGUUAAAUUUUUGUAUAGUUAUAUGGUUAAAACAAAAGCACUCUAAUACUUAGGUGACCAAUAGUGCUGUUUAAUUACCAUAUAGAUUUAUAAAUUUACUGUGACAAAUGUUAAUUCUAUUACAAAUUAUUUAAAAUCUUUAUUUACAUACCAUACACAUAAUGGUAGGUUGAGUAAAAUUCAAUUUUCUCCUUGAAAAAAUAAAAAAGAAAUUAAAUUUUUGGUUCGAUAUAUUCCCUUAACUUAUCCAUCUCGCUUUAUUAGCUGUAUAUCACAGCCAUGUUGCAAGCCUAUUAGCUGUGUGAUGCAGCCACGUCGCAAGUCUGCUGCAACGUUCUUUGUCUCUAUUCUCCAUUCUGUUGCAUUUUUGACCAUCAAGUCUCCCAAAAACAACAAUCUAUUGCAGUUUCUUGUAAAUCUUAAAAAAGAAAAAAUGUUAUUUGGGAGCUCUCCUUGAGACUACGGCAUUUGUGAAGAUUAAGUGAACCUAGAGAUGCCAAAUGAUUCAAGCAAUAUACAUUCAAUGUCUUCAAGGUUGAUGGCUCCUAAUAGUUUCGAGAUCUUCCUUAAAUUCUUGCAACCAGAAACGACAAAGAGGCUCAAAUUAACAUUAGUAAUAUAAAUUAGCUAUAUAUUAUUUCUAAGCACCAUCCACAUACAAUGGGCUAAAUAAAAAUGAAAAGGAAAAAAAAAACAUUAAUCAUAAAAAAGUUUAUAUUUGAUGUAUUGUCUGUAUAAUCCCACCUACCAUUAAUAGAUCAACUUGUUUCUUUCAGAAAUAAUAUAUAUAUUUUUAUUUUUAGUGGCAAAUGUUUUAAUAAGAUGUCAUACAAUAUAAUUUACUGGCACAUCAAUUAGAAUCAUUUUUAUCUUUUAAAAAAAAUUAUUGGAUGAGCAAAGUAUGAAAGAAUAUACCUAAUGAUCAUCAUCAUCCCAAAGUUGUUCCAUGUUGCCAUUUGAUAACUCCAACGUAAUAAGAUUCUUUAGAUUAAAACUUGAUAAAUUUUUGAAGGGACAAUAACUCCACCGAAGAAGCCUUAAUUCAUUAGGAAGAGAUACAUUAUCAUGCUCCUUUGCAAGUAGCUCUUGUCAGAGUUACUUGAAUAGAAGUAGAGAUAUUUAAGAUUAACCAUGUUCUCAAAAGUAGAAAGAUGUAAUCGUAGCUCAACUUUGAUUUGAGAUAUGUUUAGCUCUAUUCCUUCAAUUGAUUCAAUCCCCUAAUAUAUAUAUAUUAUCAAGCAUCCGUAUAGAUAAAUUUAUGGUUGUAUUAAAUCACUCAUAAAAAAAUAAUUAUGUUAAGAAAGGCUUAGACUAAUUUAGCAUACUUUUUAUUUACAUGAACUUUCAGCCAUAUGAAGUGUUUAACUUUAUUUUGUUUUUUUAAGGCAAUGCAUUAGAUAUUUAAUUAACCCAACAGAAUGAUAGAUACUUGAGUGGAUCCUAUGUUAUACCUUAACUCAUUAGGAAAUAUCUUUUUACGUACCCCAUGUUCAAACCUUUCCAUAAGUACAUAGAAGAAAAAAAAUAUCUAUAGUUAUAUAUGUAUGCUCUAGAAAAUAAUAGGAUAUAAUUGUAUGUUAUCAAUUUAAGACAUGUCUACGUUUAUUCUUUAAAUUGGUUCAGUCCCAUAAUAACAAUAUAUAUCAAGUCAUAAAGAUAUUAAAAAAAUAUGUUUUUUCAAAGCGAUGAAUUAGAUAUUUAACUAACAUUUAUACCGUAAAACAUUGGCCAUAUCAUAUGAAGACAUCUUAUUAAAAAUUCUUAUUUGAAGUAUAGAUUUGCAUUUGAUAAACUGACAUAAUACGAUUCAUAUACUAUCAAUGAAGAAAAUGAUGACACAUAAUUAAAAAUAAACUUGGAUCUUUUUAAAAUCUGAUUAUCUUAUCAUAUGAUUUAUUGAUAGUGCAUUGUGCGUCAGAUUAAACUCUAAUUGCAGUAACAGACAAAGAAAUUUCAGCCUAAACUGAUAUGAUAAUCAAAAUUCAAGAUAAGAAGCUAUCAACUCCAAUGGCUCUACCAUGGAACUAAUCCAAUCUAGCUUGAGAAUGAAAACUGUCGAAGGUUGCAUCUAGCUCCACGAGUUCAUCCCGCAAGUUUUGAGAUCUGUUGCAAAUUCUGGAUUUAUAUAAUCCCAAUGCUAAAUAUGGGAAAAAAUGGUGAGGAUGCUGAAGAUCAUUAUAUGAACCUAAAAUCAUAAUUAAUAAUAAGUCAAAGUCAAAGGUAACUUACUUCUUCACCAAGACUGAAUUGCCAGAACCCAGAAAGGGCCUCAAAGAUUACCUUGAAGUUGUGUUCACAAAUCUGUUGACAACUUGCAUUGUCACCAAAUAUCAGUUCAAGCACUUGUAAAAAGCAAGCAUUCAGCAAAACAAAUUGAAGAUCUUACAGUUCAGGUUCUCCUCCUUGAAACCAUUUGGAAUGUUUGAGAAUCUCUUUGUGUCCCAUUUGACACCAAAAUAUUCGUAUUGUUUAUUUAAGAUUGUUGGGCGUUAGUUUUCUAGUAUUCAAUAAAAACCCAGAAUUUAGAAAUGCCUUUAUGUAUGGGAAAACCCAAAUGGCAACAAUUUUAUUGAAACAAACCAACAUAUCACAAUUGAUGUAAUACAAUAUAUAUAUCUCGUACAUUUAUUCCAAUCAAGUAGAACAGAAUUAUAUAAUUUUUGCAGAAUUUAAAACAAUUAAGUCUAAAAAUAUAAUCCUAGUAAUGAAUUACAGUCACGUUACAUUCAUUAAUGACAUUAGUGGAAUUUAUAAAGUAUGCCUUAAGUAGUGCAAACCCUGUUGCCAUCUUGAAUUGUCCUCUUCCUCCAAUCACCGCAACCUCACGUUCUACCUCUCGUAUCGGAUUCCUUGAAAAUAUGCUUAAAGAGCUGCCAUUAAACUUUCCGGUAGUAAAUGCGAAAUCUACAUACAUCACCGCAUCGGUUGUAUUUGUUCCGGCAAAGACCGCAAGUCCCUGAGCAUUUCCAAUCACCUCAGAGUCAUGCUCAGGACCUAUCUUGAGGGGAUCAUCAAGGGCAUAUAGGGUAGCAAAUGGCACUGAUGAAUUAUUGUCGUUGCUUGGGAUGUUAGCUUGGGCUAUCACCACUGCUGUUGGGUUUUCUCUGCCGAGAGUUUCAUGAAAAAAGAAGUGAAGAUGGGUGACCUUAACUGGCUUGGGAUGAUACGGUCGGCUCUUCGAGUAGUAUUGGCACUGCACUGCUACUAGGGAGAGGCAGACGAUCAGAAUCCAAAUCAACAUCAAUGUUCCUCUCAUUGUCUCCGCUUUACUAUAAUUUCUUGUAGAUGAAAGCUAAUAGAAUGAUCACGUAACAGAAGCUUGGUCUAAUUAGCUGCUUGAUUACUUAUGAUCCACACCAUUCUGUCUAUAAAUAAGAAUCUCUCCACUUCAUAAUUAGAAUCGUCAACUAUUCUGUUAUUAAUUUUCAAUUGGAAGACUUUUCUUAAUAAGAUUUUUCAAUAGCUAAUGUUGAAUUUUUUAGAAUUUGAAUAAAAUUGAUAGAAGUGCAAGCAUAGAAAACCUAAAUUUGUUAUUAGACCGAAAAAAAGUUCACAAUAAACUUCGGUUUUAAAAAGCUGCCUGAUUAAAUCCAAAAAGAAUUAAUAAUUAGAUAACUAAAAUAGAGCGAACUGAAUGAUUAAGUGUAUUAUUGUAGAAAAAAUAACAAGGAAAAAAAUGUGGGGCAUUGUAAAGCAAGUUAACAAUUGUUAUCUUCAAUCCAAAUAGUUGAUUCGCAAGACUGAAAGCUUGGUUGGCUUUUUGUUUUUUUUUUUUUUUCAAUUUUGUCUGCAUUGGGUUUUUUCGUUAAAAAGUAAAAACAAGUUAGGAUGGCAUUAAUUCAAUAAAAAUAUUUAAUAUUAAUAAAUAUUAAAAAUAAUUUUAUUUAUUCAAAUUCAAAGCAUAUUUAGCAAAAAAUAAAAUAGGUAAUUCUUAAAAAAAAAUGUAUAGUCUUUUAUCAACCGCACAACUCAAACCCAAACCACAUCUGAGAUGGUUAACACCCUUGACCAUCAAGCCAUCACAUGAGGCUCACUAAGCAUUUCGUUUUAUACAAUAUCAAAGGUGGAGAUGGAGUAACACAAUUUUAAUCCGUGCUAAACUAAUAUUUAAUAAAAGUCUUAAUCACUACUUCAUACAAGUUUUAAAAUAAAAAUCCUAGACAUUUCAUUAAUAUCAUUAUUUGAUUUUAGUUUUAAAUAUUUUGCUUAAAUUAGCAUGAGACCAACUCUGAAAUUUCAUAAGUUUGUGAACAAUAAUGUUGACUUCUGCACAAUUUGGCAUUUAGGUCAAUUGAAGUGAGUUUUCUUAUAAUUUUCCAAAGAAUAUUAUUUACUCUUACGCAUUUUUGGGUGAAUUGAAGCCGAAAAUGAAGAAAAAAAAACUAAAAUUUCCUACAAUUUCUAAACAAUAAUAUUCACUUUUACACAAUUAAGUUAAUUAAAUUGAAAUUUCAUUCUUAAUAUUGAUUUUUCUUUGAGAAGUCAAAAAAAUUUAUAGAUGGUCAAAAGCAAAGACUAGUAAAACAUCAAUUAAGACUCAAUGCAAAAUAAAAGUGUCACUAAGUCUUUAACCAACGUUGAAAUUAUUGUCAUUGUUUGGAAUUAGGACAAGAUUGAAACAUUAUGAGUUUAAGAAGAUUGAAACUUUGAAAGGUCACAUGUUAUGAUAAUUUCUACCAAAACGUUGAACAUUAUAAUCAAAUGUUUUCCCUUUCCUGAAAAAGAAUUUUAAAAAAUAGUAUAUUGUAUUAUUCUGUUAUUUGUGUGAAUUUUGCAAAUGAAAGGAUUGUUAUUUGUAUUUUUUUUAAUAUAAUGCCUAAGCCAGUAAAAUUCCUCCUAGUUAUUGUAAAAGCUAAUUGAGUUUAGAUUUAAUCACAAUUGAGUUUAAACUUUCCAAAGGGAAAUUUAGACAUGCAUUUAUGUAUGGGAACAAUUUCAUUGAAACAAACCAACAUAUCUCGUACAUUGAUUCCAAUCAAGUCGAACAGAAUUAUAUAAAGAUGUAAUCUUAGUAAUGAAUUACAGUCACGUUGUAUUCAAUAACGACAUUAGUGGCAUUUAUAAAGUAUGACUUAAGUAGUGCAAACCCUGUUGCCAUCUUGAAUUGUCCUCUUCCUCCAAUCACCGCAACCUCACGUUCUAUCUCUCCUGUCGGAUUCCUCGAAAAUAUGCUUAUAGAGCUGCCUUUAAACUUACCGGUCGUAAAUCCGAAAUCUGCGUAAAUCACUGCAUCGGUUGUAUUUGUUCCGGCAUAGACCGCAAGUCCCUGAGCAUUUCCAAUCACCUCAGAGUCAUGCUCAGGAGCUAUCUUGAGGGGAUCAUCAAAGGCAUAUAGGGUAGCAAAUGGCACUGAUGAAUUAUUGUCAUUGCUUGGGAUGUUAGCUUCGGCUAUCACCACUGCUGUUGGGUUUUCAUUGCCGAGAGUUUCGUGUAAAAAGAAGUGAAGAUUGGUGACCUUAACUGGCUUGGGAUGAUAUGGUAGGCUCUUCGAGUAGUAUUGGCUCUGCACUGCUACUUGGGAGAGGCAGAUGAUCAGAAUCCAAAUCAACAUAUAUGUUCCUCUCAUUGUCUCUCUGCUUUACUAUAAUUUCAUGUAGAUGAAAGCUAAUAAAAUGAUCACGCAACAAAAGCUUGGUCUAAUUAGCUGCUUGAUUACUAUGAUCCACACCAUUCUGUCUAUAAAUAAGAAAUUCCCCAAUUCAUAAUUAGACCCGUCAACUAUCUCCUUCGACGAAUACGGAACGAGAAUACAUGUUGCAAGUUCCGUAUUCUAAUGCAGUGGGUAGCUUGAUGUAUGCAAUGGUGUGUACAAGACCCGACAUUUCACAGGCAGUUAGUAUAGUGAGCAGGUAUAUGCAUAAUCCUGGAAAAGGACAUUGGCAAGCUGUGAAAUGGAUUCUACGGUAUAUUCAGAAGACCGUGGAUGUUGGAUUACUGUUCAAGCAGGAUAAUACACUUGGUAAAGGUGUUAUUGGGUACGUUGAUUCUGACUAUGCCGGUGAUUUGGACAAGCGAAGAUCAACCACCGGUUAUGUGUUUACACUUGCUGGAGGACCAAUAAGUUGGAAGUCUACACUACAGUCUACAGUUGCAUUGUCAACCACAGAAGCCGAGUACAUGGCUGUAACAGAGGCUGUAAAGGAGGCUAUUUGGUUACAAGGUAUGGCUAAAACCUUGGGGUUGGUUCAGGAGCAAAUUAACGUGUAUUGUGAUAGUCAAAGUGCUAUUCAUUUAGCAAAGAAUCAAGUCUAUCAUGCACGUACAAAACAUAUCGACGUACGAUUCCAUUUUGUGCGGGAAAUUAUUGAAGAGGGGAAAAUUUGUCUUCAGAAGAUCAAGACUGCAGAUAAUCCCGCAGAUAUGAUGACCAAGGUGGUAACAGCAACCAAGUUCGAACAUUGUUUGAACUUGAUUAAUAUCCUGCAAGUUUAACAGUUGAAGAAGGCACUAUCAAGUAUUGUUGUCAAAGGCAGAAAGAAUUGUGUGAAGAUAAGAUUAUCCUAAUCAAAUCUUCAAGGUGGAGAUUAUUGGAACCCACCCACAUUGUUUGAAAAGUCAAAAAGGGUGGGCACCGAAAGUAGAAAGUAAGAUUGGUUGGCAAGUUGGGUUAAAAGUUGGCAUGGGAUAAUUGCAAUUUUGGUCCCUAAUUGUAUAGGGACAUUGCAAGUUGAUCCUUAAACCUCAACUAUAAAUAGGCCUAACCAUUUCUUACUUUCUUCAUCCCACACUUGCCAUUCUCUACUUAAGGCAAUUGUUCUCCCUCCCUAUUUGUAAACUUUCACUUGUAUUUUUGGAGUGAAAUAUAUUUGGUAGUGCCCAAGGACGUAGGCAAAAUUUGCUGAACCUCGUUAAAAUUCUAGUGUUCUUUAUUUUUUGUUCUGCAUAUUUUGCAAGUGUCAUUGUAGUGAUUUAUUGUGCUAUUAAAUUACGAUAGAGGGAUAUUUUGGCUAGGAAAGAUCUGGUAUGUAAGCGAUCCUCGUGAUCCACCUCUCUUUCCUGGGAAUUGAACUUAGUGUGAUUUUUCAGUACAAUAAUUUUACUCUUUCACACGCUUCCGCGCAACAAUUAUACUGAUGAAGAGAUGCCAAAUGAUUGAGGCAAGGAAGUUCAACCAAACUUUCACAUUUAUAGCAACCAAGGAAUUCAAGGUUGAUGGCUCCUAAUAAACUAGGAAUCUUCCUUAAAUUCUCGCAAUAUGAAAUGUCAAUUUUCCUUAAAUUAACAAGAUCCUGUGCAGAAAAAAUAACUAUAUUACUUUUAAGCAUCAUCUACUUACUUUAGGUAGUAAAAAAAUGAAAAUGAAAUAAAUUAUAAUACUAAGAAAAAUAAAAAUUUGCAUAUGAUGUAUUACAAUUAAUAGAUCAAAUAAUGUCACUUAUUUAAAUAAAAUAAAAUAUUUUUAUAUUUAUUUUUAAAAAAAUUAAAUAAGAUACCAUAAGAAUAUUUUAUACAUCAAAUUAUAAUUUUUUUUUGUUCAAAGAAAGUAUGAAAGUACAUACCAUAUGAUCAUCUUCAUUCCCAAGUUGAACCAAACUUCUACAUUUAUAGCAAUUAAGGAGUUCAAGGUUGAUGGCUCCUGAAAGAUUAGGCAUCUUCCUUAAAUUCUUGCAAUUUGAAACGUUAAUUUCCCUUAAAUUAACAAGGUCCUGUGCAAAAGAAAGAAUAAUUAUAUUACUUUUAAGCAUCAUCUACUUACUUUAGGCAGUAAAAAUUGAAAAAUGAAAUAAAAUAAUUAUAAUACUAAGAAAAAGAAAAGAAAAUAUUUUAUAUUUAUUUUUAAAAAAAUUUUAAAUAAAAUGUCUUCGUAUGAAUAUUUCAUACAUCAAAUUAUAUAAAUCCUUUUUUCUUCGAAGAAAGUAUAAAAGCACAGACCAUAAGAUUAUCUUCGUCCCAAAAUUGAACCAAACUUUCACAGUCAGAGCAAUGAAGGAGUUCAAGGUUGAUGGCUCCUGAAAGAUUAGGUAUCUUCCUUAAAUUUUUGCAAUUUGAAACGUUAAUUUCCCUCAAAUUAACAAGGUCCUGUAUAGAAAAAUAUUUGUAUUACUUUUAUGAAAUGAAAAGAAAAUAAAUAUUUAUAAUACUAAGAUAAUAAAAAUUUAUAUUUGAUGUAUUCAGUGUGAAAAUUCACCCACAAUUAAUAGAUUAAAUGAUGUCACUUUUUUUAUAUAAAAUAAAAAAAAUAUUUCAUGUUUAUUUUUAAAGAACUUUAAAUGAGAUUUCAUUAUACGAUUAUUUGAUAUAUCAGAUUAUAAAUUGUUUUUCCAUAAAAAAAAAUUUAGAUGAAGAAAAUAUAAAAGCACGUACCAUAUGAUCAUCUUCAUUCCAAAGUUUUUCCAUCUUGCCAUAUCGUAAUUUCAACACGAUAAGAUUCUUUGAAUUAAAACUUGAUAAAGAUUUGAAGGGGAAAUAAUCCCAACAAAGAUACCUUAGCUUAUUAGGAAGAGAUACACUAUCAACUUGGUUUGCAAGUAGCUUCGGGUUCCAAUCCUCUUUCUCAAUCUCAGGUUUAUAGAAGUAAAUAUAUCUAAGAUUAAACAUGUUCUCAAAAACAGAUGGACAUAACUGCAGCUUAUCAAUUUGAGACAUGUCUAACUUCAUUCCUUCAAUUGAUACAGUCCCCUAAUCAUGAAAAACAAUUUAUCAAGUAUCAGUAUGUAUAGAUAUAAAAGUGUUCAAUUUUAUUUUUCUUUUUUUAAAAGCAAUCCAUUAAAUAUUUAACCAACCCAAUGAACAAUUGAGUAGAUCCCAUGUUAUACCCUAACACACUUGUCAUUACUUGUAUGGUAAGUAAACAAAUAUUUUAUUUUUUGAAAUAAUAAUUAAAAUGAUUAUCAUUUCAUACAAUGUAAAUACAAACAAUUAAACUUUUAACAUAUUAAAAUAUAUAAUUAAUUGAAUUUAUAUAUUUACAAGAUAUCAAAAAUAACAAAAAAAAUAAAAAAAUAAUGGAAGCGGAUUGAGUUUUAGCUCGAUUGACAUGGAGUUUAAGAGUGCACUAUCAUCCUAUUUAAGGGUUGGAGAGAGGCUAUGGGUAAUUUUAGCCAUUGUAUCAAAAAGAGGAGAUAUGAUCCGUAUCUAUAAUGAGAUUGUUAAAAAAAGACAACGAAAAAAAAUGUAAAUACAAUUAGCGCUUACUUGAUUAUAUCUAAGCACUUGAUCCACGUCUUUAGGAAACCAUAUCCUGCUGCACUUUCCCGGGUUUUCUUUACAUUUUUGGCGAACAAUGUCUUUGCCAAUCUCUUCAAGCAUAUCAUGCAUACAAAUAUGAUAACCAUCUAUACUAUCAAGUAAGCACUUGUCGACUAAGUUUCUUAUUCCACACAUUGCACCCAUAUAAUAAUUACUUAGAAUUUUUUCUACAAUAUCCAUUUUUUCCCCUUUCAAAAAGCAUGCUACGUCAAGAAAUAUAUUCUUCUCUAGCUCACCCAACCCAUCUAAGCUGCUCUUCAAAAUCUGUGAAAUUUUUGGUUCGACAUAUUGCUUUAGUUUAUCCACUUCGCUCUCCCACUCUUUUUUAGACUUUGUAUAUAGAUUAGAACCCAAAACUUUAAGAGCAAGUGGGCUACCUUGAGCAUAUUCUACAAACUUGCAUGAUAGAUCUUGAAAAUCAGCAACAGGAUUCAACAACUUAAAAGCAAAUGUAGAAAAAAGUUGAAGGGAAUCGUUCUUAUUCAACUUCUUUACCUCAUGUAUGUGGUUAGCUCUUCCAUUUCUAAGUACUUGUCUAUCUCUAGAUGUUACAAUAAUUUUACUUCCAGGACCAAAAUAUUUGACACCCAUAAAAUCUAUUUGGUCUGGGUCACUAACAUCAUCAAGGACAAGAAGUACUUUUAUAUUAUUCAGCCUGUCUUGGUAAGGGUAGCUUAUAGAAGGGGUGUCAAUACAAAUUUCUUUUUCGUCUAGUAGUUUGGAAAGAAGUUCAUUUCGUAAAGACUCAUCCCCCUGUUUUUUUAUUUUCUCACUAACAUCUUUAAGAAACAAACGACAUUCAAACUUUGGAGAGACUUCCUCAAAUACAGCAUUAGCAAGGAUAGUUUUGCCAAUACCACCCAUUCCCCAAAAUCCUAUUACACGGAUGUCCGCUUGCUCAAUCAACCCCAAAAGCAUCUUUUUUUGAUCAUCUAUUCCGACCAAUUUUUCAGAAGUGAUUCUAGGCGCACUAUUCAUCAAUUUUCUUGUAACAUCAUCAACUAUAUCCUGGAUAUACUCGGUUUCAGAUCUAUCAAAGAAUCAAAAAGUAAGUAUAAUUAUAUAUGAAAUCUAAAACAAAGAUAAGUCAAAUAUAAGAAGAUGAGAAAAAUAUAGUUACUUGUUGUCUUGUAUAUGAAUUCCUUUUAAUUUCCCGACUUUAGCGAAGGCAUCUGUCCAUCGUUUCACUUCAUCUGUGGGCCUCCUUGAUUCAUGGUCUUCAAAGGACGUUUUGAAACUCCCACCAAGAUUCCGCACAUUGGAAGGAUCGACAUGGUAAAAGAUGGGAAGAACAAUAUGUCCUUCAGAGCGAUUACGGUCCAUGAUGUCAGAAACUUCAGCUAAGCAUGACUUCGAAGAAGCAAAGUCUUUAGAUAAAACGAUGAUUGAGAGAUUUGAGGCUGCAAUUCCUUGCGAAAGUGCUGGUAAAAGUUGCUCCCCUGUUUCCAGUGUAUCUUCAUCGAAGAAGACAUUCAGUGCCUUGUCUUUCAAAGCUUUGAGCAGAUGCGCGGUGAAGUUAAAGCGGGUCUCACCUCUGAAGCUCAAGAAAACUUGAUGCUUCGUUGAACAAGAAGAUGAAGAAGAAGCCAUGAAAGUGUGCUUGGUUUAAUUAGGACUGAUUUUACCGCUUUGUUUACAAGUAGUUACUAAAUGCUUUCAACCCUUGUUAUUUCAGCCCUUGUGUGAUAUUUAGUAAGCCUUGACUGUGUUAUGCUGGGGUUUGGUGAUUGGUUUCUAAUCUCAAAGUCACAAAUUUGUGAUGCAAAUAAUGUGUUUUUUUAUUGACUAAAUUAGUUGGGAUUAUUAUAAAUAUAAAGAGUAUUGUCUAGUUUGCUUGCUUGACUACCCUUCCUCUUUUUUUAAUGUACAUUUGAUUCCAAGAAGAAAGGUUUAGAAAAACAGAGAAAUAUAAAAACAAUCCGAAGGUUGCGUACUCAAUUAUGCUUCUCUAUUUUUUUUUCUCAAUCAAUUUUAGGAAUUUUAUUAAUAAGGAAGAUCACAUACUCAUGCUAAGUUAACCAAUUAAGACCAACCAAUAACUUGUCAACUACCAAUUAAAACAUCAAUUAUUUUGAAAACGUGAAAAUAUCCAACUUCAACUUUUUUUCCUAAGUUAAAUCUAAAUUCUUUUUUUUUUUUAUCAAAAGUCGUAUUUCCCUGUUACUUAUUUUACAUCAAAAUGUUAUAUCCGAUAAAAAAUUUCUACCAAUAAUAAAUUGUCACAUCGUAUAAACAUAAAAAAAUAUUUUUUUAGUUAUUUUUUUCUUUUACAUUAUUUCUCUCUCUAUUUUGUUUCUAUUUUUUCUCUUUUCUUAUCCUUUAUAAUGUCUAGCAAUAUCAAUGCUCAAAAUGUUUUUUUUUUAUCAUUUUCAUUCCACAGUUGUUCCAUGUCACUAGAUUGGAGAUUGAGUUAGAGAAUUUGCAUAAUUGCCAUGUUAAAUUCAUUAGCAAUAUAGGCUCGCCCUACGGUUGUUUGAGUGCAGCCGCUCAGGGUUCAAGGUUGAAAGAAGCUCAAAAAAUAUUUUUUUUUUAACUUUUAAUGUGAAAAAAAAUGUAGGCUAAAAUAAAUUAAUUAAAUGUUUAGAACUUUCAAUUUUUCACCAUAAAUGUUUCAUCUCCUAAGACCUCAAUAAUUUUUCAGCUUUUAUCGUAUUACAUUUUAUAAUUUUUCUUAAAAUAAGACCCCAAUUUAUUGUUUCACCUACCUGGAGUUCAAAACAUGUCAAGAACAAGCAUGUGAAACAAUGUUUUGCAUUUUUCAACCUCAAAAUUUGAAUAUUGAAUUUGGACAGUGAAGAAUAUAUGUUAGAGCAUGGAUUUUUGGAGAAUUUAGAAGCUAAAUAAAGCCUCACGCUUAGCUAGUUCAUACAAUUACUUUUUAAAGGUAUAAUUAGUCUGUCAAAAGUUUUCUACUAAAUUAAGCAUUCACAAAUUGUCUAACAUGUGGUUUAUCCUCAAUUAAUCUUCUUCUAUAGUCAACAUCCAUAAUUGAAUUACGAGGUAUGUUAUUAUUUUAGAAAGAUUAUUCAUAGAGAAAUUUUAUUUCUUGGAAAUAAUAAUUCAUUACAAUGCAGCAUAUAAGUGUAAUCCGUCUUAGCAAUUCAGUUUGGCUUCCGAUAGUUCUUUGACAGGGGAUUGGGUACAUCUUUAUACUGAUGGGUUGUUAGGUUGGAGUCUGGCUUUGCUGCUUCAGGGGGUCAUCUGUGGGGAAAGAGGAGAAUAGAUUCUUGGUUAUAACCAUUAUUUGGGGAGUUAAUGUUCAGCUUUUGAGGCUGAACUUUGGAGUAUUCUUAAAGGUUUGGCACUUAUUAUGGAACGGGGGUAUAAGAAUAUUUUGGUCCACUCGUAUAGUUUGGAAAUUAUUACAGCUAUACCGACUAGUUGCUUAGAAAGUUCGCCAUCAGUUUUGGUAAGAUGAAUUCACUUGAACUUACAAACUGUUAAACAGUGGAACUUCACACAUAUUCCAAGGGAGAGGAAUAGACUUGCAGAUAGUCUCGCUAAAAUGACUUCAGGAAGCAAUUCACAAGAACAACUAUUUGUUAGGAUCCUAGAGGAGUUCUUCGAUGAAUUUGGGUUUGAUAGAGUAGUUGAGUUUUCCGUUGUAAUUACUUAGGUUAGGAUUUAGGCUAUUUUUUGCACCAAAAAAAGAGUUAGUAAUGUCAUGCACUUGUAUGUUGAUCAAGCACUCAUUUCUUAUCAAGAUAUGCUUCAACAACUACCCAAUAAUUUUGAUGUUAUGACUCCUUUUCUCUUUUGGGUCGAUAGGGGAUUACUUUGUUGAUGUGAUAAUAAUUCCUAAUUAUCGUAUAAUCCAACCACAAUAAAAUUUAGGAUGCUUCCUAAAUGUCCCCAAAAUAUCCCACCGAAGACAUAUAUUUGUUUUUCUACUCUUGGAUUUGGGUUGGAUCAUUUCCCCCAAAAUAUUAUAUUUUAAUGCUACGUUCGUUUGAAUCAGUUAUAUGAAUAUAAAUUAAUCAAGGAGUCAACUAUAAUUUCCGGACAGAAAUUCACCCCAACUCUUGAAUAAAAUUCUUUUUUUAUGUUAAAUUUUAAUAAAUAAAAGAAAUCGAUAAUAUAUGAAAUUUAAGUUGUAUAAUUCUACAUAUAAAAUUUUGAUUUUGAUUCAAUUAUACAAAUUAAUAAAAAUAAAUUAAUCAAAUAAUUUUCGUAUAUGGGAUAGAUAAUGCUGAAUUUUGAUAAUUAAGAUUUGUGUUUCUUCGUCACUUUUAAAAGGAUGGUUUACCAAGUAAACUUGACAAUUCUCUUAAAUUAUAAUAAUCCCAUCUGAUUUGACAAUAAUAUCUAUUUAAUCACCAUACCCAACUAAUGAAAUUUCAUUCCGGUCCAUAAAAAUAUAUGAUUUGCAUCACAAUUUUGUCCUACUGGAAGACCUUAACUUUGAUAUUACACACCAAUCACCAUUUCUCAAACAAAUGUUGUGUGUACCUAAACUUUGAAUUUUUAUCAAAUUUUUUCUUGGAAUCAAGUUUUUUUAUAAAAAACAAAAAUUAAAUACGCUUGAUGAUUACACUAAUGUUGAAUCUUGAUAAUUAAGAAUUAUGUACCUAUCAUUUCUAAAUAUUUUUUUAGAAAAAUAUACGUGAAGCAUAGUUUAGCAAGUAAACUUGACAAUGCACUUAUGCUUAUAAUAUCCCAACUAAUUUGAUCCAUCAUUAUUUUUAGGUUAAACUACACAAGUAAUCAUUAAACUAUUAAUGUGUUUCCACUUUGAUCACCCAAGUUUAAAAAUAAUUCUAUCUUAACCACUAACAUGGCUAAAGAUCCAAUUCAACAGUGGCACAAAUAACCAAUCUUUCUAAUGGAUCUAGAUAUCAUUGAAGGAAAAUGCAGCAAGUAUUGAGAUACCAGAUGACACCAAUGCUGGAAACUAAACAAUGAAGCUGAAUCGAGUCCACCACUGGUCCUAUGAAUUAAAAAAACCAACCAAUAACAACUCAGCUGUCAAUAAGAAUUAAGCAUGAAUUUUAAUAUCUGAAUUUUAAGAACACAGACGCAAGAGGGGAAUGAAGAUGAGAAAAUAAUAAUAAUAAGCAACAAUCACAAACUUUUGAACAAAUUUCCAAUUUUUAUGUUCAUAAAUUAUGCUUUUAACAUUUACAAUGUAGAACUACAAGGUUUCAGUAUGGUAAAGCACCUUAUAAAACACAAGUAAUUUAUAAAGCAGAGCAAGUUAGAUUCAUCCUGGUCGGUUUUAAUUAAUUAAAGCACUUCAUUUGCUGUCAUUAAUUUAUAAGUUGAAAAUUUACUAUUAACAAUGGUGGAAAACAAAACUAUGGCAAUAUGAAAAAUGAAAUGAAAAAAUUGAAAAAUGUAUGAUAAUAUGAAAAAAAUGAGAUGAAAAUGAAACCCUUACCUAUGCAUUUGGAUGAAACUCCUCAAAAGCAGAGCCAAAAAUGGAAAGAAAUACAAACUAUUUCAAUCUUUUAAGUCCUCAAUCCCCUUCUUCACCAUCAUGGCUAGAGCUUCUAUUGUUCCCAGCAACUCUCUUUUCAGUAGCAUCUGAAUCACUCUUUUUAUCCACGUAAAAUACAUGAACACCACAUCUCUCCACCUUGAUAUACUCUUCUCCUCCUCUUCCUAAAUCCAGAAGUCUGACGUAGAAUUUGAAUGAUGCCUCCUCAUAAUUCUUGUCUUCUAUAACCAUGUCGAUGCUAGAUAGAAUGAACACGUGAUAAUCCAUGUACUUAUCUGGCUCAUGAAGACUGAAGUGAGAUAUCUCACUUCUGAAAUUUUCACAACCAUCUCCACCAUUGCCGCCACCGGCAGCUGUAAGUUGGUACUCACCAAUAUAUCGAAGUAAAACGUCAUGGCGGUGAGCGAGGUUAGCCACAAGGCAGAUAGCAAAAACCAAAAAUCUGCUCCCACUACCCCCAUUUUUGGAUAUCUUCAAACUUAAGGAAGAAUUCAAGCUCCGAUACUUGAACUUAUUUGCUGAAAUUUCGUUUCCUGGGAAACAGCAAAUCAAACUUCGAAGGUUAUCACGAAAGUCUUUCCUACCAUAUGUCGCUGCCCAUUCCUUAGCUAGGGAACCAAUUUUGAGCAUGGCAUUUGCCUCAAUGUUUUUAGUUGACUCUUGAUUCAAGUUGAAGCAAUUACAGAAUCGCAUCAAUAAGUUAUGAUCUCUGCAAAACUCAUCAACCAAAGAAUCAAACUGAUAUAAAUUUUGAUCUGCAAAGGAUACUUUUUCUAAUGAUGUGCAGUCAUUUGCACUAAAGACUUUCAGAUACGGUGGAAGCUCUGAGAGUACUUCGACCUUUGGGCAACCAUUAAGAUUCAGUUUGCGAAGGGAUUCCAACUUGAUCGAUACAUUUUUGACCGCUGAGCCACUCAUAUUUAAGUGCUGAAGAUUACAUAGGGGAUCGAAAGGCAACGACACUUCUUCAAUUGGGCAAUCACUAAGAUCCAAUUUACGAAGGAAUUCCAGCUUUAAAAUAUUGAUGGAUACAUUUUUUACCUUUGACUUCCCCAACCACAAAGUUUCAAGUUUGUGGACAUCCUUGAUUGAAUCAGGCACUUCUUCUAUUUCGGUUUCUGACAAAUCUAAAGAACAAAAGUGACGUGGGACCUGAGGAAACUUCUUGAGACUAUGACAUCCGUUAAGAUGAAGACACCACCCACUAAGAGAUGCCAACUGAUCGAGGCAAGGAAGUUCAACCAGACUUUUACAGUUAGUGCAAUCAAGGAAUUCAAGGUUGAUGGCUCUUGAAAGAUCAGGCAUCUUUCUUAAAUUACUACAAUUUGAAACGUUAAUUACCGUUAAAUUAUCAAGGUCCUGUACAGAAAAAAUAGCUGUAUUACUUUCAAGCAUCAGCUACCUGGUAAAAAAUGAAAAGGAAAUAAAUAAUUAUAAUACUAUAAAAAAAUAAAAAUUUAUAUUUGACGUAUCGGUGUGAAAAUGCACCCACAAUUAAUAAAUCAAACAAUUUCACUCAUCUAAAUAAAAUAAAAUAUUUUAUAUUUAUUUUUUAAAAACUUUAAAUAAAAUGUUAUCAUAUGAAUAUUUAUACAUCAAAAUAUAUUUUUUUUCAAAAAAAAGUAUGAAAAUACAUACCAUACAAUCAUCUCCGUUCCAAAGUUCAACCAAACUUUUACAGUUAGAGCAAUCAAGGUAUUCAAGGUUGAUGGCUCUUGAAAGAUUAGGUAUUUUCCUUAAGCUCACGCACCCAUUGAAGUCAAUUUGCCUUAAAUUAACGAAAUCCUGUAUAGAAAAAAUAAGUGUAUUACUUUUAAACAUCAACUAUUUAGUAAAAAAUGGAAAGGAAAGAAAUAAUUAUAAUACUAUACAAAAAUAAAAAUUUAUAUUUAAUGUAUCCGGCGUGAAAAUUCUCCCACAAGUAAUAAAUUAAACGAUGUCACUUAUCUAAAUAAAAUAAAUUAUUUUAUAUUUAUUUUUUAAAGACUAAAUAAAAUGUUAUUAUAUGAAUAUUUGAUACAUCAAAUUAUAAAUCAUAUUUUUUGAAGAAAAGUAUGAAAACGCAUACCGUACGAUCACCUUCAUUCCCAAGUUCAACCAAACUUUGACAGUCAGUGCAAUCAAGGGAUUCAAGGUUGAUGGCUCUCGAAAGAUUACAUAUCUUCCUUAAAUUAUUGCAUUCUGCAACGUAAAUUUCCCUUAAAUUAACAAGCUCCUGUAUAGAAACAAUAUUUGUAUUACUUUUAAGCAUUAACUACUUACUUUAAGCUGUAAGAAAUGAAAAAGGAAAUAAAUAAUUAUAGUACUAAGAAAAAUAAAAAUUCAUAUUUGAUGUAUUGGAUGUCAAAAUUAACUCACAAUUAAUAGAUCAAAUGAUGCCACUAAUUUAUAUAAAAUCUUUCAUAUUUAUUUUUUAAAAACUUUAUGAUUAUUUGAUACACUAAAUUAUAAUUUUUUUUCUUAAAAAAUUCUUGAAUGAAAAAAGUAUGAAAGUACACAUACUAUAUGAUCAUCUUCAUUCCAAAGUUCAACCAAACUUUCACAGCCAAUGCAACGAAGGAGCUCAAGGUUGAUGGCUCCUGAAAGACUAGGCAUCUUCCUUAAAUUCUUGCAAUAUGAAACGUCAAUUUCCCUUAAAUUAGCAAGGUCCUGUGCAAAAGAAAAAUAUAAAAAAAUAAUUAUAUCACUUUUAAGUAUCAUCUACUUACUUUCGGCAAUAAAAAAUGAAAAAAAAAUUAACAAGAUCCUGCACACGAUGAGAGCAAAAGUAGUUUCAUUACUUUAGAGCAUCAUUUACUUAUUUUAAGACUAUCAAAAUAAAAAUUUAUAUUUGCUGUUUUGGGUGUAUUAAUACACCCACCAUGAAGAUUAAAUUAUGUUGCUUCUUUUAAAAAAUAGAAUAAAAUUAUAUAUAUAUAUUAAAAAAAUUUAAUAAAAAUAUGUUAUCAUAUAAUUAAAUGCUAUAUCAAUUAUAAAUUCUUUUUCUUUUAAAAAAAAUUCAAAUGAAGAAAGUAUAAAAGUAUACAUACCUGAUGUCCAUCCCAAUGAUGUCCAUCCCAAAGUUGUUCCAUGUCUCCAUGUGGUAAUUUCAAUACUACAAGGUUUUCUGGAUUAAAACUUGAUGAUAAAGAUUUACAGGGAUAAUCAUCCCAUCGAAGAUACCUUAGCUCAUCAGGAAGAGGUACAAUAUCAACUUGAUUUGUAUAUAGUUUCUUAUCAUUUCCACACUCUGAAUUCUUAGGAGAAUAGAAGAUGAUAUAUUUAAGAUUAGUCAUGUUUUCAAAAACAAAAGGGUGUAAUAGUAGUUUAUCCAUAUGUGACAUGUUUAACUUCAUUCCUUGAAUUCGAUCCGUCCCCUGAUAACAAAAAUCAAUUUAUCAAAUAUGAGCAUGGAGAAAUUUAUGGAUAUUCCAUUCUAAAAGUGUUUUUUUUUUCCAAAUCAACGCAUAAUGUAUUUAACUAAGCCAUAAACCUUGACCAGAUUUUACAUUAUACUUAAGACAUCGGUCAUUAUGUGUCCAAUAUAGAUUUAUAUAGUGAUGUUGAACCACAUGAUAGUAUAUCAUUAAAGCAUAUUAAAAAAAAUAAAAGAAUAUGAAUACAAGUAAUGCUUACUUGAUUAUAUUUGAGCACUCGUUUGAUGUGUUCAUGACUCCAUAGCCUCCUGCACUUUCCAGGGGUUUUAGAUUUUUGGCGAAUAAUAUCUUUUCCCAACUCUUCAAGCAUAUCAUGCAUACAUAUUAUAUCUUCAUUAUGAGUAGAAGAUGAAGGUGAGAUAUUAAUUAGGCACUUGCUGACCAAUUUGCUUAUUCCAUCCUCUACCCCUCGAUAACAACUUAGAACAUGUUUUAUUCUUUUUAUGGGCUCCCCUUUGAAGAAGCAUGCAAUGUCAAGAAAUAUAUUCUUCUCUACCAUACCUAGCCUAUCAUAACUACUUUUCAAAACCACAAAAAUUUCUGGGUGGGAAUAUUCCCUUAGCUUCUCCAUCUCACUUUCCCAAUCAUUUAUAGUCCUUUCAUAUAAAUUACAACCCAAAACUCUAAGAGCAAGUGGAUUGCCUUGGGCGUACUCCAGAAACUUGCAUGACAGAUCUUGAAAACCAACUGCGGGAUUCAACUGCUUAAAUGCAAAGGUAGAAAAAAGUUGAAGAGAAUCAUUCUUAUUUAAUGCCUUCACCUCAUGUAUUGUGUCAGCUCCUCCACUCUUAAGCACUUGUUUCUCUCUAGAUGUUAUAAUGAUUUUACUUCCAGAGCCCAAAUGUUUAACACCCAUACAAUCUAUUUGGUUUGGGUCACUAAUAUCAUCAAGGACAACAAGUACUUUCUUAUUGUUGAGCCUCUGUUGAGUUAAAGUGGAUCCUAUAGAGGGGGUGUCUAUAUCAACAUUUGAGUUCAAUAAUUUCGAAAGAAGUUCAUUUCGUAAAGAUUUCUUCCCCUGUUUUUCUAUUUCCUCUCUAACAUUAUGAAGAAAGCAACAACUUUCAAACUCUAAAGAGAUUUUUUUAUAUACAGCCUCGGCAAGGGUUGUUUUGCCUUGACCACCCAUUCCCCAAAGUCCUAUUACACGACAGUCUUUUUUCUUAAUCAGCUUCAAAAUCGUCCUUUUCUGAUCAUCUAUUCCAACCAAUUCUUCAGAAGCACUUUCAAACCCAAUAUUCGUCAACUUUUUUAUAACAUAUUCGACAACAUCUUUAAUGUACGCGGUUUCAGGUCUAGAAAACAAUAAAAAAUGUAAAUAAGUAAAUAUGAAAUCUAAAACAAAGAUAAGUUGAAAAUAACAAGAUGAGAAAAAUAUAGUUACCUGUCAAAUUUGCCUCCUUCUAUAUGCCACCCUUUUAAUUUACCGACCUCUGCAAAAGCAGUUUUCCAUUGUUGUACUCUUUCAGCUGGUUGCUUUGAUUCAUGCUCUUCGAAGGAUGUCUUAAAAUGCCCACCACUAUGUCGCACAUCGGAAGGAUCAACAUGGUAAAAGACGGGAAGAACAAUAUGUUUGUCAGUGGGAUUGUGCUUGCGAUCCAUGAUGUCAGAAAGUUGAUCUAAGCAUGAUUCUGAAGAAGCAUAGGCUUUAGAUAAAACGAGGAUUGAGAGAUUUGAGGCCGAAAUUGUUCGAGAAUAUGUUGAUCGAAGUUUCUCUCCCUUUUUCAGUGUUUCGUUAUCGGGGAAGACAUUAAUUCCUACUUUUUCCAAACCAUUGACUAGGUGACUGGAAAAGUUGAGGCAUGUGUCUUCACCUAAGCUUAAGAAAACUUGAUGCUUCAUCAACUUUUGCAUAACAUACGCAACAAUAUCCUUGAUGUACUGGGUUUCAGGUCUAGCAAAUAAUAGAAGUAUAUAUAUGAAAUCCAAAACGAAGAUAAGUCAAAUAUAAGGAGAUGAGGCAAAUAUAGUUACCUAUCCGAGAUGCUUCCAUCUAUAUGCCACCCUUCUAAUUUACCGACUUCAGCAAAAGCAGUUUUCCAUUGUUUCACUUUAUCAACUGACCACCUUGUUUGGUGAUCAUCAAAGGAUUUCUUAAAACUCCCAUCAAUAUUCUCCACAUCGGAGGGGUUAACAUGGUAAAAGAUGGGAAGAACAAUUUGUUGUUUGACGCUAUAGAGCUCCAUGAUGUCAGAGAGUUCAAGCAAGCAUGAUUUCGAAGAGGCGUAGUCUGCAGACAAAACGAUGAUUGAGAUAUUUGAGACUGCAAUUGCUCGAGAAAGUGCAUCUGAAAGCUGCUCUCCCCUUUCCAGUUUUUCUUCAUCGAAGAAAACAUCAAGUCCCUCGUCUUUCAAAGCUUGAAGUAAGUGAGUGGUGAAAUUAAGGCGCGUGUCUUCACCUCUGAAGCUCAAGAAAACAUGAUACUUCAUUAGAGUAGAAGAAGAAGAAGAAGAAGAAGAAGCCAUGGAAGAGUAUUGAAGCAAAAGAGAGAAAAUUUGCUUGGGUUGUGGUAUUAUUGUAAGAAUAAAAAGUGUAAAACAUGCAUAAUCUUUGGUAUCCUUUUAUUAAAUGGGAAAGAGAUUGAAGGCGUUUUCCUUAGACUUCUUAGCCAAUUAUCUUAGACAACACCACCAGAGAGAAUCAAUUCUCCUUUUUAUCUUUUACCGACAAAAGUGGGAGUGUUUUCAUGGUAUUCUUAUUUGAACGAUUAAUAAAAUAUAAAUUUAAAAAUCGCGAUUAAUUGAGCUUAGAUGAGAGGAUAAGUUUACAGUUUUAUAAUAAAGUCCCUCGUGAUAGUUUUAAAUUUUUUAAAUCAAGAUAAAAGGUAAGAGUGCUUUUGAUCAAUUUAGUUUGAUGUAAUUUUUAUUUGUUUGUUUAUUUUUUUACUAAAAAAUCAGUUAUUUUCUUAAACCGAAUCGAAUUGAAUUUUAUUUUUAUUUCAUACAUAAUUAAUUUUAAUUUUUAUGAUAUAAAAAUAUAUAUUUUAUAUUUAAAAUAGUGAAAGUAAUUUAAAAAUUAAAAAAAUGAAAAUGAAUUUAAAAUUUAUCAAAUAAUAUUUAAAAGCCAUAAAAUAAAACUCAUUUUAUCAAAAUAAACCUUAAAAAUUAAAAUAAAAACUUAAUAUAAAAAAUUGUGAACAAAUCGAGCCGAAUUAAACUAUAAUAGACGAUUCAAAAAAUAUAAAUAACCCGACCCUGUGAACCUCUUAGAAACUUCAGUAUCCAUGAAAUUAGCCAAUUUGAAAAGGGGUCAAAAUUUGAUUUUGAGUCUCUCUACUAUUCUCAAAUUCGAGAUUUAGUCCUUUAACUUAAAAUAAUCUCUUUAUUUAUAUGUUGUCAUUAGUUAAUUCAAACAAGACAGUUAACUAUUUCAAUUAAAAUUAAAAUUUUAGUACAUAUUAUUAUUUAAGUGAUAUAAUAUCUUGUGAAAGGUCACCAAAAUAAACAAAUAAAAGAACAAAAAAAAAUUGAGAGAGAAGUGAUGAAGAUAAGGGCAUAGUUAACUUUUUCCAUGUUUAUUAAGGUAAAUAAUCUUAUGAAGCAAAUCCAAAAAAUUUAAUUUGGACCCAAUUCUAAAGUUUGGCUGAAGCAUAGGCAAAGACUUGAAUAACCCACCGCCAUAAAAAAAUUUACUGGAAAACAGUUAAAUUUUAAUUUUGAUCCCUAUAUUAUUUUCAAAUUUAAGAUCUAAUUUCUGAAAAUUAGUAAGUAUUCCUAUUAUGACAUUAUCGAUUUGGAGUAUUCUCAAAUUUAAAAUGGAAUCCCUAUAUUUCAAAAUCACUUGUAGUGAAGCAUAGGCGACGAUUUGAGCUUAGCCAAUUAUCUUUGACGGCAAUAAAAAAUACAUGUGCUUGUGCAGCUUUGAUAAAUUGCAUAGUGAAUCUUGUUUUUUCUUGUCUAGUCUGUUCAAUAAAACUGAACUAUCUGACCCACACAUCUCAAAUGUUAAGUUAACAUGCGAUCUUAAAAGAAAUAUGGGUUAUGGUGAGAAGAAUUCAGAACACUUUUAUCUUCAACUCAAUUAAUCUAGUGGCUCCAAAUUGGCUUUUUUUUUUUUUUUGCUUUUUUUUUUUACCAUUGGAUUCUAUUUGAUAAAACUAAAAAUAAGUUCUUUUCUUCAUAAGCAUUGUUUUUCAAAGUUGAAACCCCACCACCCAUUCAAUCCUAUCCAUUACUUGAUAAAAGCUGAAGCAUAGGCCACGAAUUUAGCUUACCCAAUUUUCUUUUACCGACAGAAUUGAGCAAUAAGAUUUACUCUUUCGACAGAAUUUUUUUAAAUGUCAUUCAUCAUAUAGUCGAUGCUACCCUCAACAAUUGUUCCAUAUCGAGAUUUUGUCCCUAACUUCCACGGAGAGCCAUUGUAUGGUUCACCGGACAGGAAACCUCGAUUGGUGGAGAAGAUACGUACUUGUAGGAGAGGUAAAAUAUUUUUCACGGGCAAAAUAUUUAAAACCAACAUGCUCCCAAGGAGAAGGUUAUUUAUGCCUUGAUUGGUGGUUUGAAUCUCCACGUGCAUAUUUUAAAAUGAUUAAUAUUUUUGCAUAAUGCUCACGCUUCUCUCCUAAUCUCCUAAAAGCACGUAUCUCUUCCACCAAUUGAAGCACUCCACUCCCUAAAUCCACAAGGCUCUCCACUUAGUUGAGACGUAAAAACUUCAACACGGGAUAAUACCUCUAAUAGUUGGGUGAAGUACUGACUGCCCGACAAACAACACCUCAAAGACUUCUCUUGAAAGAGUCGGACCCCCUCAACAAAUUUAAACCGAAGUUCUUUUUUCAUGAAAACCUAAAACAAUAAAAGUGGGACAAAAUAAAAAUUUAGAUUACAAACCAUAAAUAGUUUGAGCAAAAACAUUUAAAAUGAUGUUUUAUAAUGAAAACUUAUUUUAAUUAUGAAAUUUGAUCCAUAAUCAAACAACACAGCUCGUUUGUAUAUGUCAUGCUACGUACCUUAGCUGUAAAGGGUAUCAAGUAACUAGUCGACAAUCCAAAAUUAUAACUUAUUUCAAAUAUGACAUUUCCAUCAUUUUCGGUAUCCAAGAUAUCCAAAAUCUUUCGGGGAUUGAGUUUUAGCAUAGAUAUCAUCGUUGGCAUUACAAUAAUUAAGAGGAUGUGUUUAAAUAUUUUAAAAGUUUGAUAGUUUAUGAUAGAAGUAGGGAUUAUAUAAGAAAAUUAAAAUUCUUCCAAAAUGAUGGUGAUGAUUAGGAAUUUCCAAGUCAAGGUCUUCCAAUGGGACAAAAUUGUUAAGCAAGUGACUAAACUAAUAAAAGAGUCGUUGAACUAGUUAACUACUUGUGUUAAAUAAGUUCAAAUACUUUCGGUCUACUCAAAUAAAACUCUAGUUUGAACUACCCGUUAUUUAAAAUGAAGUAUUAAUUUAUAUUAAAGAUUUUAUUUAAGAUAUUUGGAUAACAUUUAAAGUUUGAAUGCUUAUUUGGGGUAUAAUACAAGUAUAAGAAAUUAUUUAGAUAAAGUGAUAAAACUUAAGGGCCUAUUUCAUAUAUUCAUAUAAGUAAAUUAUCUAUAGGAAAAAAUAUAUUUGUUGAUUUUUUUAUAGAUAUUAUCUAUAUUAGUAGUUUCAACAAAUUGAAAUAAAAUGGGUUUCUUUUUAUAGUUAAAAUUUAUUUUAAUUUAUGAAAUUUCGCUUGUGAUCAAGUAGCUCUGCUCUUAUGUUGUAGGUAUACCUAUUCAUGGGUCGGGUCAUUCGACCCGGUCUGAAGGCUUGUCUGAAAAGUGGGAGAAUUUUAGUAAAAAUAUAGACUCGAAAAAUGGAAUUGAAAAAAAAUAAAGCCUGUUUAAAAAACGGAUUAGGCCCCAGGUAAGACAUUUUUGGCCCAAGCCUGUCCCAAAUUCACUAAAUGACAAAAGAAUAUACUAUUUUUUUGUUAUUUUAAUUAUAUAUUCUUGUUGUUUCCUCCUUAUUUUGCUACCAUUUCACUAUUAUGUUGCUAAUAUUUUGUUGUUAUUAUUUGGAUAUUGUAUAACACUUGUUUUACUGUUAAUUUUGUUAUUAUUUGAAAUAUAUUUGCUUGUUAAGUUGCAUCUAUGUUAGUGAUAUUUAAUUAUACAUAUUUUUUAAAAUUUGUUUUCAAUUUGUUGAGAAAUAUGUAUUUUAAUGUUUUUAAUAUUUUUUAUAUAUUAUAUAUAUUUAAAAAAUCAUAUAAAAAUUUAAUAUGGGUGGGCUAUGUCGGACCCAAGUUUUACAUUUUUAUCUAGGCCCGACUUGGAUAAAUUUUUAAGCCUAUUUUUUAGCCAAACCCAGGUCUAAUAAAUAGACCUAAAUUUUUACUUGAGCUCAACUCAGCCUGACCCAGUCCAUGAGCACCUCUAGUUUUAUGUGAUGCUAUUUUUUAUUUUUGAAGAUAAUCAAUAACUAGUCAACAAUCCAAAAUUAGCCAUUGUUUCAUAUAUGCAUAUUUUUGGAAUGGGAUAAAGCAACAUUCAAUCUGACAUUUUUUCUUAACUUGGUCCUCAACUUGGUUUUUUGUCCAUAUUAAUCUUGAAACAUGUCAAUUUUUAGCAAUUUUGGUACCUGCGAUGAUGUGACACUUUUAGAUUGAGCUACAUCAUCAAUUAAGUUAUUAUAUAUUUUAAAGUGCAACAUCAUUAUAGCGAUCAAAAUUUGAAAAAAAAAAUACUCAUUUUCAUUAAAGUUCCCUGAUAACAAAAACUAAUUUAUCAAAUAUUAGCACGGAAAAAUUUAUAGACAUUCCACUAAAUAACUCAUAAAAAUAAUUAUAUUAGGAUAGGCGUAAACUAAUUGAACACUUUUAAGAAUUUUUACAUACAAAAAGUGUUUUCUUUUCUUUUCUUUUUAUUUUUUCAAAUCAAUGCAUUAAGUAUUUAACUAAGUCAUAAACCUUGAGCAGAUUCUACAUUAUACCUAAGACAUAGUUAUUAUGUAUCAUUAUGCAUCAAUUCUGUCAUACCAGGCCCUUGGUGCUUAAGAAAACUUGAUGCAUCAUUUGAUGAGAAGAAGAUGAAGAAGACGCCAUGAAAGUGUAUGGAUUGUGAGAUUGAGGAAAAAGAGCACAAAUAAACCGUGGGAGCUUUGCUUUUGCUUCUACUUUUUAUUCAAAUUCUCUUAUAUUUUGGAUCAACCUUCGAGCUUGACAUUUGCAUGUUGUUAGUAAUACGAGCUGUUAUCCUUAGAUGAAUAUCCAAUUUAAAGGGACUGUUUUUCUUGCCUAGUCUGUGAAAUAAUUGUUCCAUCCAUUAGUGUACUAUUUGGUCCCCGACGCCCCACAAUUAAGUUCACAUAAUAUUGAUUUUCAUGUGUUUUUUUCCUUACCUUCAUUCAUUGAUUGCAAAAAAGCAAAUCAAUACUAUGCUACAAAGCCGUCAGUCAUCCUCUUGGCUGAAUUUUCAUGGAAAAUCUGCAGAUUACAGUCUUAUAGCUGUAACUUCAUAAUGCACCAAAGCAUGAAAAUUCACCACUUGAUAUUAGACACCUAUCAUCCAGUUUGGUUUUUAAAUAAGCACUUCGUUUCCUAUCAUAUGAGAUUAAUUUAUUUAAAAAUUGUGGAUGCAAGCUUACAACAUCUAUCACUAGCUAAUUUGUAAUGCUAAUGGACCUGAAUUUGUGUAAUUACUGCAAUAUAUAAUAAUCAGAGUUGUAUAAUUUGUGUUUUUUCUUAUAGUAGAUCAUAGUUUAGGAUUACAGAAAAUUAAUUUAAUUACUAAGCUUCGAAUCUUGAACUUGUUGGAUAUCAUCUCAUCAAAACCAAUGUACAAACCAAUUCCAAAACAGAGUAGAACUCUGGAAUUUUAAUUACAAAAAGGGAAAAUUGAUUCAAGUUUUAGCCCAAACUGAUGUAACAAUCAAGUCAAAUAUAUAGCUUUACCAUGAAACCAACUCUUCAUUUUGAAGUUCCAACUAAACCAAAAUCAUUUGGAUUUUUUUUUCCAGGUGUUUAUGUUGGGUUCCUCUAUGGGGUAAACAACAAUCUAGCUUGAGAAUGAAAACUGUGAUAGGGUUGGCAUUGAAAAUAACAUCCAGGCUCCAUGUGUUCAUUCAACGAGUUUUGAGAUGACAGCAACACUGCCAAAUUCUGCAUGCAUUUAUAUGGUCCAUUGAUAAAGCAGGGGAAAAGAAUGCCAUGAGGAUACUAAUAAUCAGAAUGAGUCAAUAGUAAUUUACCCAAGAGCAUAUGCUUCCUCUCAAUGGGAUAAACAAGGCAACUCUGUUGACAAGUUGCAGUACUGCUUCAAUAUCUAAGUCCAACCACAAUAUAAAGAAAUCAUUUAGUAGACGAAAUUGAAGAUCUUAAAAGCUUACUUGUUACAAAAAUCUGUUAUUUAUUCCCUCAUCUGCUUUCCUUACAUCAAUCAUUGCCAUCUUUAUUCCCUUCACAUGAAUCUCUAGGUAAAAGGGCACAUCUAUAAAUGUGGAUUUUGUGGGAACUUCAUUUUUUGGUGAGAAAGAACAUAUCAAAAAACCACCCAUAAUCUGCAACUUAAAUUCCAGUAGAGUAUUGAAUCUGUGUCUGGCUUGACUUUCAUGCAAGUUUUAUGAAAUCUACAGAUCACAGUCAUAAAAAAAAAAAAAAAUAGAACAUAACAAAUAGAAAAUACGUACUCCUAGAUCAAUAUAAAAGCAUAGGUUAUAAGAUUAGCCAAUCUCAAACAUAUGUUGAUUAUAUUUAGGUAAUAGUUGGUAGGUUUAGCUAACAUGAAUGUAAAUUAGAAAUCAUGAACUGAAACAUUAUAUAUAUAUAUAUAUUUACCAACUUUCAAAGGAAACAUGAAACAUAAAUCAAUGGGUGAACAAAUCAUUGAAGUAAAAUGCAGAUAGUAUUGAGAUGCAAUAUGAUUAAAUCUCUACUUGCUGCCUAUGGCAUGAGCACCAAUGGUGGAACCUAAACAAUUAAGCUGAAUGAUGUCCACCACUGAUCCUAUGAAUCAAAACCAGCCAAUAACAAGUCAACUGUCAAAAAGAAUUCAAGUAUGAAUCUUAAUCUCUCCUCACUACAAUGCUCAAACAACAUGAGAGCAGUAACAUACAAAGAAAUUUCAGCCCAAACUGAUAUGAUAAUCAAAAUCCAAGAUAAGAAAAUAUCAACUCCAAUAGCUCUACCAUGAAACUAACCCAAUCUAGCUUGAGAAGAAAACUGUCAAAGGUUGCCUCCAGCUCCAUGUGUUUAUCCCACAAGUUUUGAGAUCUGUUGCAAAUUCUGGAUUUAUAUAAUCCCAUUGAUAAAUAUGGGAAAAAUGGCGAGGAUUCUGAAAAUCAUUAUAUGAACCUAAAAUCAUGAUAAUAAGUCAAAGUCAAAAGGAACUUACUUAUCCACCAAGACUGAAUUGCCAGAACCCAAAAAGGGGCUCAAAAGAUUACUUUGACUUUGUGUUGACAAAUCUGUUGACAACUUGCAUUGUCACCAAAUAUCAGUUCAAACACUUAUAUAAAGCAAGCAUUCAGUAAAUAAAAUUGAAGGUCUUACAGCUCAGGUGUUCCUCCUUGUAUGGCUAAAGCUCCAAUUCAGCAGUGGCAUUCCCAAAGAUUUGUCAUUCCCUAAUCUUACAUCAACACAGAAGCAAAGGAUAUAAGAAAAAACAAUCUCACAAAUAACCAAUCUUUCUAAUGAAUCAAGAUAUGAUUGAAGGAAAAUGCAGCAAGCAUUGAGAUACCAGAUGAUACCAACGCUGGAACUAAACAAUGAAGCUGAACCGAGUCCACCAAAUAGCUAAAGCUCCAAUUCAGCAGUGGCAUUCCCAAAGAUUUGUCAUUCCCUAAUCUUAAAUCAACACAGAAGCAAAGGAUAUAAGAAAAAACAAUCUCACAAAUAACCAAUCUUUCUAAUGAAUCAAGAUAUGAUUGAAGGAAAAUGCAGCAAGUAUUGAGAUACCAGAUGAUACCAACGCUGGAACUAAACAACGAAGCUGAACCGAGUCCACCAUUGGACCUAUGAAUUAAAAAAAAAAAACCCAAUAACAAGUCAACUGUCAAUAAGAAUUAAGUAUGAAUUUUAAUAUCUGAAUUUUGGCAACCACCAAAAUCCCCUAUGGAUAUUUUAUCAACUCCAAAGCAGAAUCAUUUUGCUACUGUAUUGAAAUCUCCAGUUACUGUUCAAUUUUCCUCUAAAUUAAUUAAUAUAUAUGGAGAAUUUCCUUCUUGGACAAUAUAUGCUAUAUCUACAAAAGAACACAGACACGACAGGGGAAUGAAGAUGAGAAAAAUGAUAGUAAGCAACAAUCACAACUGUUGAACAAAUUUCCAAUUUUAUGUUUCAUAAAUUAUGCUUUUAACAUUUACAAUGUGGAACUACAAGGUUUCAGUAUGGUAAAGCACCUUCUAGAAGACAAGUAAUUUAUAAAGCAGAGCAAGUUUAGAUUCAUCCUGGUCGGUUUUAAUUAAUUAAAGCACUUCGUUUGCUGUUAUUAAUUUAUAAGUUCAAAAUUUACUAUUAACAAUUGUGGAAAACAAAAGCAUGGCAAUAUGAAAAAUGAAAUGAAAAAACUGAAAAAUGUAUGAUAAUAUGAAAAAAUGAGAUGAAAUGAAACCCUUACCUAUGCAUUUGGAUGACAUAAUUGACAAGUUGAAACUCCUCAAAAGCAGAGCCAAAGAUGGAAAGAAAUACAAACUAUUUCAAUCUUUUAAGUCCUCCAUCCCCUUCUUCACCAUCAUGGCUAAAGCUUCUUUUGUUCCCAGCAUGUCUCUUUUCAGUAGCAUCUGUACCAUCUGUACCAUCUGUAGCAUCUGUAUCAUCUGUAGCAUCUCUCUGCAUCCACGUAAAAUACAUGAACACCACAUCUCUCCACCUUGAUAUACUCUUUUCCUCCUCUUCUUAAAUCCAAAAGUCUGAUGUAGAAUUUGAAUGAUGCCUCCUCAUAAUUCUGGUCUUCUUUAACCAUAUCGGCGGUAGAUAGAAUAAACAAGUGAUAAUCCUUGUACAUCUCUGGCUUAGGAAACAAUAACAAAGAUAUUUUACUUCUUAGCUUUUCAUAACCACCACCACCACCAUCAUUGCCACCAUCGGCGGCUGUAAGUUGGUACCUACAAAUACAUUCAACAUUACUAAUGUAACGGCAGUGAGUGAGAUCUGCCACAAGGCAGAAAACAAAAACCAAAAAUCUGCUCCCACCACCCCCAUUUGGGGCUAUCUUCAAACUUAAGGAAGAAUUCAUGCUCUGACACUUGAACUUAUUUGCUGAAAUUUUGUUUCCUGGGAAACAACAAAUCAAACUUGACAAAUCAGGAAUCUUGCCACAGCAAUCAAACCUCGCUGCCCAUUUCUUAGCUAGGAAUCGAAUUUUGAGCAUGGCAUUUUCCUCAAUGUUAUUAAUUGACUCUUGAUUCAAGUUGAAGCAAUUACAGAAUAACAUGCGAAACACACCAUCACGUUCAUCACCUAAAGAAUCAAACUGAUAUAAAUUUUGAUCUGCAAAGGAAACUUUUUUUAAUGAUGUGCAGCCAUGUACAUUCAGGUAGAGCAGAUAUGGUGGAAGCUCUGAGAGUAAUUUGAGGCUCUUGCAACGAUUCAUAUGCAUAUACUUAAGGCUUUUAAACCUAAAGCUAGCUGAGCGCACAUCAACAGUUGGAAAUUUAACGAUUGGACAACCACUAAGAUCUAGAACUUCAAGGGAUUUCAACUUUGAAAUAUUGCUUGAUACAUCUUUUACCAUUGAGUUUGUCAAGGUCAACCGUUGAAGUCUGUCGAGAAGCUCAAUGAAAUCAGGUACCAUUUUUAUUCCGGUUUCUGAUAAAUUUAACGUAUCAAAGUUAUUUGGGAUCUCCGGAAACUUCUUGAGACUACGACAUCCCAUAAGGUAAAGGGUUCUAAGUGAUGUCAAAUGGGCGAGGGAAGGAAGUUCGACCAAACUUUCGCAAUUUUCACAGUCAAGUCUUUUAAGGUUGACGGCUCCUGAUAAAUUAGGGAUCUUCUUUAAAUUUUUGCAACUGAAAAGGUUAAUUCUCCGUAAAUGAACAAGAUCCUGCACAUGAUGAGAACAUAAAGUAGUUAGAGCAUCAUUUACUUAGACUCUAUCAAAAUAAAAAUUUAUAUUUGAUGUAUUGUUUCUUUUAAAAAAUAGAAUAAAAUCUUUUAUAUUUAUUUUUUAAAAAAUUUAAUAAAAAUAUGUUAUUUAAAUGCUAUAUCAAUUAUAAAUUCUUUUUCUUAAAAAAAUUCUUGGACAAAGAAAGUAUAAAAGUAUAUAUACCUGAUGAACUUCGUUCCAAAGUUGUUCCAUCUUUCCAUAUGGUAAUUCCAAUGCAAUAAGGUUCUUUGGAUUAUAACUUGAUGAUAAAGAUUUGAAGGGAUAAUAAUGCCAUACAAGAUACCUUAGCUCAUCCGGAAGAGAGAUAAUAUCAUCUUGGUAUGUAUGUAGCUUCUUAUACUCCUCAUGCUCUUUCCUCAACCAACUCCGUGGAAAAUAGAAGAAAAUAUAUCUAAGUUUAAUCAUGCUUUCAAAAGCAGAAGGUUGGAAUAAUAGGUUACCCAUACGUGACAAAUCUACCUUUAUUCCUUGAAUUCGAUCAGUUCCCUGAUAACAAAAACCAAUUUAUCAAAUAUUAGCAUGGAGAAAUUUAUGGACAUCCAUUAAAUAACUCAUAAAAAAUAUAAUUAUAUUAGGAUAGGCGUAGACUAAUAGAGCACUUUUAAGAACUUUUACAUACAAAAAGUGUUCCCUUUUCUUUUGUUUUUAUUUUUUCAAAUCAAUGCAAUAAGUCAUAAACCUUGAGUAGAUUCUACAUUAUACCUAAGAUAUAGUCAUUAUGUGUCCAGUAUGAUGAUAAUUCUAAAUACUAAUUAAAAGGGAUAAUACUUGAUAUGAUAUCAAAUGUAUGGGUUUAUAUAGUGGCAUUCAACCAAAUGACAAUAUCUCAUUAAAGUAUAUUAAAAAUAUAAAAGAAUAUAAAUAUAAUUAGUGCUUACUUUAUUAUGUUUGAGCACUUCUUCCACGUCUUUCAGAUUCCAUAGUCUACUGCACUUACCAAUGUCCUUUCCCAUCUCUUCAAGCAUAUCAUGCAUAGAAAUUGCAUCUCGUAAUAAUUUACGGGGGCCCAUUGUAGAAUAACCAAAAUAAUCAAGAGAGAAAUUAGUAGAUGAGACAUUGAUCAGGCAUUUGUCAACCAAUUUGUUUAUUCCACACUCUGCACCCUUAUAACAACCACUUAGAAUAAGUUUUGCUCUUUCCAUGGGUUCCCCUUUAAAGAAGCAUGCAAUGUCAAGAAAUAUAUUCUGCUCUACUAAAUCUAGCCCAUCAUAACUACUUCUCAAAGCCUCUGAAAUUUUUUUUUCUGGGGGACAGUCCUUUAGCUUCUCCGCCUUACUUUCCCAAUAAUUUAUACUUUUAUUUAAAUCAGAACCCAAAUCAGAACCCAAAACUUUAAGAGCAAGUGGAUUGCCUUGAGUGUACUUUACAAACCUACGAGAUAGAUCUUCAAAACCAACUGCGGGAUUCAACUGCUUAAACGCAAAGGUAGACAAAAGUUGAAGAGAAUGGUUCUUAUUUAACCCUUUCACCUCAUGUAUUGUGUCAGCUCCUCCACUCUCAAGCACUUGUCUAUCUCUUGAUGUUAUAAUUGUUUUACUUCCAUAACCAAAAUGUUUAACACCCAUAUAAUCUAUUUGGUCUGAGUCAUCAACAUCAUCAAGGACAACAAGUACUUUCUUCUUGUUGAGUCUCUCUUGAGUUAAAGUGGAUCCAAUGGAGGGGGUGCCUAUAUCAACAUUUGAUUUCAAUAAUUUCGAAAGAAAUUUAUUUCGUAAAGAUUCCUUCCCUUUUUUUUUUACUUUCACUCUAACAUUUUGAAGAAACCAAUGACUUUCAAACUCUGAAGAGAAUUUUUUAUAUACAGCCUCAGCAAGGGUUGAUUUGCCUUGACCACCCAUUCCCCAAAGUCCUAUUACACGACAGUCUUUUUGCUUAAUCAGCUUCAAAAUCGCAUUUUUCUGAUAUUCUAUUCCAACCAAUUCUUCAGAAGCACUUUCAAACCCAAUAUUCGUCAACUUUUCUAUAACAUAUUCAACAUCUUUAAUGUACUCGGUUUCAGGUCUAGAAAACAAUAAAAAAUGUAAAUAAGUAAAUAUGAAAUCUAAAACAAAGAUAAGUUGAAAAUAACAAGAUGAGAAAAUUAUUGUUACCUGUCAAAUUUGCCUCCUUCUAUAUGCCACCCUUUUAAUUUACCGACCUCUUCAAAAGCAGUUUUCCAUUUUUGUACUCUAUCAGCUGGUUGCUCUGAUUCAUGCACUUCGAAGGAUGUCUUAAAAUGCCCACCACUAUUUCGCACAUCGGAAGGAUCAACAUGGUAAAAGACGGGAAGAACAAUAUGUUUGUCAGUGGGAUUGUGCUUGCGAUCCAUGAUGUCAGAAAGUUCACCUAAGCAUGAUUUUGAAGAAGCAUAGGCUUUAGAUAAAACGAGGAUUGAGAGAUUUGAGGCCGAAAUUGCUCGAGAAUACGUUGGUGGAAGUUUCUCUCCUUUUUUCAGUGUUUCGUUAUCGGGGAAGACAUUAAUUCCUACUUUUUCCAAAGCAUUGACUAGGUGAUUGGAGAAGUUGAGGCGUGUGUCUUCACCUAAGCUUAAGAAAACUUGAUGCUUCAUCAACUUUUGCAUAACAUACGCAACAAUAUCCUUGAUGUACUGGGUUUCAGGUCUAGCAAAUAAUAGAAGAAGUAUAUAUAUGAAAUCCAAAACGAAGAUAAGUCAAAUAUAAGGAGAUGAGACAAAUAUAGUUACCUAUCCGAGAUGCUUCCAUCUAUAUGCCACCCUUGUAAUUUACCAACUUCAGCAAAAGCAGUUUUCCAUUGUUUCACUUCAUCGACUGACCUCCUUGUUUCAUGCUCAUCAAAGGAUUUCUUAAAACUCCCAUCAAUAUUCUCCACAUCAGAGGGGUUAACAUGGUAAAAGAUGGGAAGAACAAUUUGUUGUUCGACGCUAUAGCGGUCCAUGAUGUCAGAGAGUUCAAGCAAGCAUGAUUUCGAAGAGGCAUAGUCUGCAGACAAAACGAUGAUUGAGAUACUUGAGACUGCAAUUGCUCGAGAAAGUGCUUGUGAAAGCUGCUCCCCUUUUUCCAAUUUUUCUUCAUCGAAGAAAACAUCAAGUCCCUCGUCUUUCAAAGCUUGAAGUAAGUGAGUGGUGAAAUUAAGGCGCGUGUCUUCACCUCUGAAGCUCAAGAAAACAUGAUACUUCAUUAGAGUAGAAGACGAAGAAGAAGAAGCCAUGGAAGAGUAUUGAAGCAAAAGAGAGAAAAAUAUAGCGAGUGAGUUUUGCUUGGGUUGUGGUAUUAUUGUAAGAAGAAAAAGUGUAAAUUUUGCAUAAUCUUUGGUAUCCUUUUAUUAAAUGGGAAAGAGAGUGAAGGCCUUUUCCUUAUACUUGAGCUUAGCCAAUUAUCUUAGUCAACACCACCAGAGAUAAUCAAUUCUCCUUUUUAUCUUUUACCGACAAAAGUGGGAGUGUUUUCAUGGUAUUCUUAUUUGAACGAUUAAUAAAAUAUAAAUUUAAAAAUCGCGAUUAAUUGAGCUUAGUUUACAGUUUUAUAAUAAAGUCUCUCUUGAUGUUUUAAAUAUUUUAAAUCAAGAUAAAGUUAAGGGUGCUUUUGAUGUAAUUUAGCUUGUUUAUUUGUUUUUUUACUAAAAAAUAUGUUUUUAUCUGAAAUCGAAUUGAAUUUUAUUUUUUAUUUAAUAUAUAAUUAAUUUUAACUUUUUUGAUAUAAAAAUAUAUAUUUUAUAUUUUAAAUAGUGAAAGUAAUUUAAAAGUUUUUGAAAAAUUAUUGUAUUUUAGAAAUAUUUAUGAAAUUAAAUUUGAAAUUUAUCAAAUAAUAUUUAAAAGCCAUAAAACAAAACUUAUUUUAUCAAAAUAAACCUUAAAAAUCAAAACAAAAAAUUAAUAUAAGAAACUGUGAGCCAAAUCGAGCUGAAUUAAACUAUAAUGGAUGGUUCAAAAAAUAUAAAUAACUCGGCCUGUGAACCUCUUUGAAACUUCACUAUCCAUGAAAUUAGUCAAUUUGGAAAAGGGUCAAAUCUUGAUUUUGAGUCCUCCUACUAUUCUCAAAUUCGAAAUUUAGUCAUUUAACUUAAAAUAAUCUCUUUAUUUAUAUGUUGUUAUUAGUUUAUUCAAACAAGACAGUUCUAUUUCAAAUAAAAUUAAAAUUUUAGUACGUAUUAUUAUCAAAGUGAUAUAAUAUCUUGUAAAAGGUAACUAAAAUAAACAAAUAAAGAACAAAAAAAUUGAGAGAGAAGUGAAGAUAAGGGCAUAGUUAACUUUUUCUAUGUUUAUUAAGAUAAAUAAUCUUAUGGAGCAAAUCCAAAAAUUAGUUUAGAGUCUACUGUUGGAGAGGAUAAUGAUAGUAGUUAUGGAUCAUCUGUUGGUGAUGAAAAUGCUGUUGAUUUUGCAUUAGAUGAAGUGAACAAUGUUGCGGUUGCAAUUAGUGGAAAAGAGGAGGAUGGGAAUAAUACUAAAACUGAGGUAUGGGACUUAGAUGAACAUGGCAGCUUGGUUGGGUUCAAUGAAGAUGAAGAACAUGAAGAUGGUGAGAGAAGAAGAAGCAAGUUUCUUUUAUACAAUGAUCGAUCUAAUCCGUUAAAAUUUAGUUUUGGGAAUGUUGUUUAAAGAUGGCAAAUAGUUUAAGAGUGCAAUUCGAAACUACUCCAAAGAAUGUAGAAGACAACGGAAGUUUCUUAAGAAUGAAUCGAAAAGGGUUGUUGUGAGGUGCAUUGCUUCCCCUAACUGUCCAUGGAGAAUUUUGGCUAGCUAUAAUCCUAUUGCCAAAUACUUGCAAGUAAAAACUUUUCAGGAGAAGCAUCAUUGUUUGGGUAGUUUUGAGAACAAAAUGAUGAUUGCUGCUAUGAUUGCCCAACAUUUUAAAGCAAUUAUCAAUGAUCACUUUAAGAUGCAACUAAGGAAAAUUCAAAGAAAAUGUGCUUCAGAGAUGCAUGUAAAUGUGAGCAUUCAGUGUUGUUAUAGAGCCAAGAAAGUAGUGAAGGAGAAAAUGGUUGGGAAUUAUGAGGAAUUUGGUCAGUUAUAUGACUAUACUCAUGAGUCAAGGUCAAAGAUGUCAGGCAGCACAAUAAAAAUGGUUGUUCACAAUAGAUUCCCCUCCUCAUUUUAAAAGGUUUUAUCUGUGCUUUGAUACACUAAAGAGAGGUUGGAAAGUGAGGUGUAGGCCACUUAUUGGAUUAUAUGAUUGCUUCCUAAAAGGGUCAUUUAAGAGUGAAAUUCUCACAAUUGUUGGAAGGGAAGCAAACAACCAGAUGUUCCCUAUUACAUGGGUUGUGGUUGAAGUGGAAUACAUUGAUUCAUGGGCCUAGUUUCUUAGUCUCCUAUCAACUGAUUUCGGCUUGGAGGAUUGGUAUGGGUUUACAAUUAUCAGGGACCAACAAAAGGUUAGGGAAUUAAUAAAUUUGGGCUUGGUCUUGUUUUUUUAUUUUGUUAAGUAUAAUUAACUAUAUUUUUCUAACAAUCUAUUUGGUUCAUUAAAACACAAUUAAGGCCUUCAGAGUGCAAUUUCUGACAUAUCGCCAAAGGUGGAGCAUAGGAAUUGUGCGAGGGACAUGUUUGCAAAUUGGUCAGGAAGGAAGCUAGGGAAAUCUUAUAAAUAUGAUUUCUGGCAGAUUGUGAAUUCCACGACUGAGAAUGAGUGGGAGGAAUUAUGUGCAGCACUAUGUCCGACUUGACUUUCAUGAAAAUUUUAUGGAAACUACGGAUCACGGUCAUAAAAUUCAAAAUAAUAAAACAUAACAAAUAGAAAACACCUACUCCAAGAUCAAUAUAAAACCAUAUGUUAGAAGAUUAACAAAUCUCAAGCAUCUGUUGAUUAUAUAUAGGGAACAGUUGGUAGGUUUACCUUAUCUAACAUGAAUAUAAAUCAGAAAUCAUGAACUGAAAACAUAUAUAUUCACUAACAUUUUAAGGAAAUAUGAAGCAUAAAUCAAUGGGUAAACGAAUCAUUGAAGUAAAAUGCAGAUAGUCUUGAGAUACAAUAUGAUUAAAUCUCUACUUACUGCCCAUGGCAUGAGCCCCAAUGGUGGAACAUAAACAAUUAAGCUGAAUGAUGUCCACCACAGAUCCUAUGAAUCAAAACCAACGAAUAACAAGUCAAUUGCCAAAAAGAAUUCAAGUAUGAAUCUUAAUAUCUCUUCAUUGCAAUGCUCAAACAACAUGAGAGGCAGUAACAUACAAAAAACUUUCAGCCCAAACUGAUACGACAAUCAAAAUCCAAGGUAAGAAGCUAUCAACUCCAAUGGCUCUACCAUGGAACUAAUCCAAUCUAGCUUGAGAAUGAAAACUGCCGAAGGUUGCAUCUAGCUCCACGUGUUCAUCCCACAAGUUUUGAGAUCUCUUGCAAAUUCUGGAUUUAUAUAAUCCCAUUGAUAAAUAUGGGAAAACAUGGUGAGGAUGCAGAAAUCAUUAUAUGAACCUAAAAUCAUGAUAAUUAAGUCAAAGUCAAUGGUAACUUCUUCACCAAGACUGAAUUUGCCAGAACCCAGAAAGGGCCUCAAAAGAUUACUUUGAAGUUGUGUUCACAAAUCUGUUGACAACUUGCAUUGUCACCAAAUAUCAGUUAAAAAACUUGUAUAAAACAAGCAUUCAGCAAAACAAAUUGAAGCUCUUACAGUUCAGGUGCUCCUCCUUAUAUGGCUAAAGCUCCAAUUCAGCAAUGGCACAAAUAACCAAUCUUUCUAAUGAAUCUAGAUGUCAUUGAAGGAAAAUGCAGCAAGUAUUGAGAUACCAGAUGACACCAAUGCUGGAAACUAAACAAUGAAGCUGAAUCGAGUCCACCACUGGUCCUAUGAAUUAAAAAAACCAACCAAUAACAAGUCAACUGUCAAUAAGAAUUAAGUAUGAAUCUUAAUACCUGAAUUUUAAGAACACAGACACAACAGGGGGAUGAAGAUGAGAAAAUAAAAAUAAAAAUAAAAAUAAUAAUAAUAAUAAUAAUAAUAAUAAUAAUAAUAAGAAAAAAUCACAAGCUUUUGAACAAAUUUCCAAUUUUUAUGUUUACAAAUUAUGCUUUUAACAUUUACAAUGUAGAACUACAAGGUUUCAGUAUGGUAAAGCACCUUAUGAAAGACGAGUAACUUAUAAAGCAGAGCAAGUUAGAUUCAUCCUGGUCGGUUUUAAUUAAUUAAAGCACUUUAUUUGCUGUUAUUAAUUUAUAAGUUCAAAAUUUACUAUUAAUAAUUGUGGGAAAAAAAGUAUGGCAAUAUGAAAAAUGAAAUGAAAAAACUGAAAAAAAUAUGAUAAUAUGAAAAAAUGAGAUGAAAUGAAACAUUGAAACCUUACCUAUGCAUUUGGAUGACAUAAUUGAGAAGUUGAAACUCCUCAAAAGCAGAGCCAAAGAUGGAAAGCGAUACAAACUAUUUCAAUCUUUUAAGUCCUCCAUCCCCUUCUUCACCAUCAUGGCUAAAGCUUCUUUUGUUCCCAGCAACUCUCUUUACAGUAGCAUCUGUAUCACUCUUUGCAUCCACGUAAAAUACAUGAACACCACAUCUCUCCACCUUGGUAUACUUUUCUCCUUCAUCAUUGGCUUCAUCGAAAUGGAAAUUUUUGAUGUAGAAUUCAAAUGUUGCCUCCUCAUAAUUCUUGUCUUCUAUAACCAUGUCGAUGCUAGAUAGAAUAAACACGUGAUAAUCCAUGUACUUAACUGGCUCAUAAAAACUGCGGAAACAUAUCUCACUUCUGAAAUUUUCACAAUCACCUCCACCAUUGCCACCACCGGCGGUUGUAAGUUGGUACUCACAAAUACAUUCACGUAAUUGAAAUUCAAGGCAGUGAGUGAGAUCAGCCACAAGGCAGAUAGCAAAAACCAAAAAUCUGCUCCCACUACCCCCAUUUGGGGCUAUCUUCAAACUUAAGGAAGAAUUCAUGCUCUGACACUUGAACAUAUUUGCUAAAAUUUUGUUUCCUGGGAAACAACAAAUCAAACUUGGAGCUCUGUCAGGGUUGUAUUGCAAAUCAUAUCUCGCUGCCCAUUUCUUAGCUAGGGAUCGAAUUUUGAGCAUGGCAUUUGCCUCAAUGUUAUUAGUUGAGUCUUGAUUCAAGUUGAAGCAAUUACGGAAUCGCAUCAAAAAGUUAUGAUUUAUGCAAAACUCAUCAUCUAAAGAAUCAAACUGAUUUAAAUUUUGAUCUGCAAAGGAUACUUUUUCUAAUGACGUGCAGUCAUUUACACUCAAGACUUCCAGAUAUGGUGGAAGCUCUGAGAGUAAUUCGACCUUUGGGCAACCACUAAGAUCCAGAUAAUGAAGAGAUUCCAACUUGAUCGAUACAUUUUUGACCCCUGAGCUACUCAUAUUUAAGUGCUGAAGAUUACAUAGAGAGUCGAAUGGCAACGACACUUCUUCAAUUUGAGUGCCAGAUAAGUUUAAUUCUAUUAAGCUUCCUGGGAUUUCUGGAAAUUCGACCAGUGGGCAACCACUAAGAUUCAGUUUACGAAGGGAUUCCAACUUGAUCGAUACAUUUUUGACCGCUGAGCUACUCAUAUUUAAAAGCUGAAGAUUACAUAGAGAGUCGAACGGCAACGACACUUCUUCAAUUUGAGUGCCAGAUAAGUUUAAUUUUAUUAAGCUUCCUGGGAUUUCUGGAAAUUUGACAUUGGGCAUCCACUAAGAUUCAGUUUGCGAAUGGAUUCCAACUUGAUCGAUACAUUUUUGACCGCUGAGCCACUCAUUUUUAAGUGCUGAAGAUUACAUAGGGGGUCGAAAGGCAACGACACUUCUUCAAUUGGGCAACCACUAAGAUCCAAUUUACGAAGGAAUUCCAACUUUAAAAUAUUGAUCGAUACUUUUUUCACCUUUGACUUCCCUAACCACAAAGUUUCAAGUUUGUGGAGAUCCUUAAUUGAAUCAGACACUUCUUCUACUUUGGUUUCUGAUAAAUCUAAAGAACAAAAGGGACGUGGGACCAUAGGAAACUUCUUGAGACUAUAACAUCCGUUAAGGCGAAGACUAUAUUGAUGAAGAGAUGCCAAAUGAUUGAGGCAAGGAAGUUCAACCAAACUUUGACAGUUAGAGCAACCAAGGAAUUCAAGGUUGAUUGCUCUUGAAAGAUUAGGUAUCUUCCUUAAAUUCACGCACCCAUCAAAGUAAAUUUUCCUUAAAUGAACAAGGUCCUGUAGAAAAAAUAAUUGUAUUACUUUUGAGAUUCAACCACUUACUUUAGACAGUAAAAUAUGUAAAGGAAAUAAAUAAUUAUAAUACGAUAAAAAAUAAAAAUUUAUAUUUAAUGCAUCCGGCGUGAAAAUUCACCCACAGCUAAUAAAUCAAACGAUGUCACUUAUCUAAAGAUAAUAAAUUCUUUUAUAUAUUUUUUUUAAAAACCUUUAAAUAAAAUGUUAUCAUAUGAAUAUUUGAUACACCAAAUUAUAAAUCAGUUUUUCAAAAAAAGAGAGAGUAUAAAAACGCAUACCAUACGAUCAUCUUCAUUCCAAAGUUCAACCAAACUUUUACAGUAAGAGCAAUCAAGGAAUUCAAGGUUGAUGGCUCUUGAAAGAUUACAUAUCUUCCUUAUAUUUUAGCAUUCUGAAACGUAAAUUUCCCUUAAAUUAACAAGCUCCUGUAUAGAAACAAAAUUUGUAUUACUUUUAAGCAUCAACUACUUACUUUAAGUAGUAAAAAAUGAAAAAGGAAAUAAAUAAUUAUAAUACUAAGAAAAAUAAAAAUUCAUAUUUAAUGUAUUGGGUGUGAAAAUUAACCCACAACCAAUAGAUCAAAUGAUGCCACUAAUUUAUAUAAAAUAAAAUAAAAUCUUUCAUAUUUCUUUUUUAAAAACUUUAAUUAAGAUGUCAACAUAUCAUAUGAUUAUUUGAUACAUUAAAUUAAAAAAAAUCUUAAAUGAAAUAAGUAUGAAAGCACACAUACUAUAUAAUCAUCUUCAUUCCAAAGUUCAACCAGACUUUCACAGCCAAUGCAACGAAGCAGUUCAAGGUUGACGGAACCUGAAAGAUUAUGCAUCUUCCUUAAAUUCUUGCAAUAUGAAACGUCAAUUUCCCUUAAAUUAGUAAGGUUCUGUGCAAAAGAAAAAUAUAUAAAAAAUAUAUAACAAUAAUUAUAUCAUUGUUAAGUAUCAUCUACUUACUUUAGAAAGUAAGAAAUAAAAAGAAAAUAAAUAAUUGACAAGAUCCUACACAGGAUGAUUACUUUAGAGCAUCAUCUACUUAUAUUAAGACUAUCAAAAUAAAAAGUUAUAUUGGGUGUAUUAAUUCACCCACCAUUAAUAGAUCAGAUUGCUUCUUUUAGAAAAAUAGAAUAAAUUUAUAUAUAUAUUUAAAAAAUUAAAUAAAAUGAUUUCACUUAUUCAAAUAAAAUAAAAUAAAACAAAACAAAAUGUUUCAUAUUUAUAUUUUAAAAACUUUACAUAAAUAUCAUAUGAUAUAUUAUUUGACACAUCAAAUUAUAAAUCCUCUUUCUCCUUAAAAAAAACUUCUUAGAUGAAGACAGUAUGAAAGUAUAUACCAUAUCGUCAUCUUCAUUCCAAAGUUGUUCCAUGUUGCCAUGUAAUAGUUUCAACACGACAAGAUUUUUUGGAUUAAAACCAGAUAAAGAUUUGAAAGGGUAAACAUCCCAACGGAGAAACCUUAACUCAUCAGGAAGAGAUAUACUCUCAACUUGAUUUGCAUAUAGCUUCUUAAGCCAUAACAUUUUCUUAGGAAAGCUAAUGUUGAUAUAUCUAAGCUUAUGCAUCUUCUCAAAAGCAGUAGCACAAAACUGUAGACUAUCAACUUCAGUCAUGUCUACCUUUAUUCCUUUAAUUAGGUCAGUCCCCUGAUAAAAAAAAAUAUUUAUCAUGAAUUAACACAAAGAAAUUUAUGUACAUUCCAUUAAAUCAGUCAUAAAAAAGCUAAUUAAAUUAGGAAAGACUUUAAACUAACUUGGCAUACCUUUUUAUUAGUGGAAUUUUUAGAUGCACAAUGUUUUUACUGUUUAAUAUUUUUAAAGUAAUGCAUUAUAUAUUUAACUAACUCAAAAAACCUUUAGCAAAUUCCAUGUUGACUGUUUGUAUCAUAAGACAUUUGGUCAUUAUGUUUAUGGGAAGUAAUAAAUAUUUUAUUUUUUAAAAUAAUAAUUAAAAACGAUAAUACUUUGUACACCACAACAUCUAUUAAACCAUGUGAAAGAAUAAAAAGAAUAUAAAUACAAUUAACACUUACUUUAUCAUGGCUGAUCACUUCUUCCACAUCUUUACAAUUCCAUAAUCUACUGCGCUUUCCAGGGUAUCCAGAUUCUUGCAUAACAAUGUCUUUGCCCAUCUCUUCAAGCAUGUCAUGCAUAGAAAUAGAUUCAUAUUUGACCUCAAGUAGGCACUUGCCGACCAACUAACUUAUUCCACAUCUUGCACCUUUAUAAUAAUUACUUAGAAUUUUUUCUACAUAAUUCAAGUGUUGCCCUUUAAAGAUGCAUGCUACGUCAAGAAAUAUAUUCUUCUCUUCCUCAUCCAGCCCAUCUAAGCUACUCUUCAAAAUAUGUGAAAAUUUUAUUUCUCCACAUUGCUUUAGUUCAUGUUUAACUUCUUUACCUCAUGUAUGUGGUUUGCUCCUCCAUUCCUAAGUACUUGUAUAUCUCUAGAUGUUACAAUGAUUUUACUUCCAGGACCAAAAUAUUUAACACCCAUAAAAUCUAUUUGGUCUGGGUCAGUAACAUCAUCAAAGACAAGAAGUAUUUUUUUUAUUAUUCAGCCUCUCGUGGUAAGGGUAUCCUAUGGAAGGAGUAUUGUUUAAUAGUUUGGAAAGAAGUUCAUUUCGUAAAGAUUCACUCCCCUGUUUCUUUAUUUUCUCACUAAUGUUUUGAAGAAACAAACUACAUUCAAACUUUGGAGAGACUUCCUUAUAUACAGCAUCAGCAAGGGUAGUUUUGCCUAUACCACUCAUGCCCCAAAGUCCUAUUACAUGGAUGCCCGAUUGCUCAAUCAACACCAAAAGCUUCUUUUUUUGAUCAUCUAUUCCCACCAAUUCUUCAGAGACACUUCUACAAUUGCUAUUCAACUUUUUUAAAACAUAUUCAACGACAUCUUUAAUGUACUCAGUUUCAAAUCUAGAAAAUUUAAAAAAAAAAUCAACAGUCAAAAGAUAUAUAUAUAUAUAAGUCAAAUAUAAGAAGAUGAGAAUGUAUAUAUUGUUACCUAUCGGAUUUUCCUCCUAUAUGCCACCCUUUUGAUGCACCGAUUUCAGCGAAGGCGGCUUUCCAUCGCUUCACGUCUUCAAUUGGUCUCUUUGAUUCAUGCUCUUCGAAGGAUGUCUUAAAAGUCCCACCAAUAUUUCGCACAUCGGAAGGAUCAACAUGGUAAAAGAUGGGAAGAACAAUAUGUUUGUCCGUGGGCUUGCGCUUGCGAUCCAUGAUGUCAGAAAGUUCAGCUAAGCAUGAUUGUGAAGAAGCAUAGUCUUUAGAUAAAACGAGGAUGGAGAGAUACGAGGCUGCAAUUGCUUGUGAAAGUGCAUGUGAAAGUUCCUCCCCUUUCUCUAGUUUUUCUUCAUCGAAGAAGACAUUCAGUCCCUUGUCUUUCAAAGCUUGGAGUAGAUGAACGGUGAAGUUAAGGCGCGUGUCUUCACCUAUGAAGCUUAAGAAAAUUUGAUGCUUCAUUUGACGAGAAGAAGAUGAAGAAGACGCCAUGAAGGUGUAUGGAUUGUGAGAUUGAGGAAAAAGAGAACAAAAUAAACCGAGGGAGCUUUGCUUUUGCUUCUAUCUUUUUAAUGGUAAGAAGAAAAAGUGAGUCAAUUAAAUGGGAAUGAGAUUGAAAGGGUGAAGCAUAGCCAAUUUUAUGAGUGAAGAAUGUGCGUGUGGACCUUAGAAACCGCACCACCAAUCAAACUCUAUCUCUCCAAAAGCCUUUAACUCUGCUGCCUACCAUCAAAAACUCGAACCAAAUAAAAUUAACUGUGCUGCUUGCUCUGCUCUUUUUUUCUUUUUUUUUGAAGUUUGAAAUUUUUUUAAUCAAAAUGGCUUUUUAUAAUUAAAAUUUAUUUUAAUAUAUGAAACUUUGAUUUGUAAUCAAGUAACUCAGCUCUUGUGUAUGUAUGUGAUGCUAUUUUUGUCUUAAAGAUUAUUAUCAACAAGAAAAAUUGUUCCAAUGAUGUUGGGGGUGUUAAUUUCCAGGUCAAGGUCUUCCAUUGGGACAAAAUUGUUAAGUAAAUAAAUUUCCAUUCUUGAAUUUCUUUUUGGGUCCUAACAAAAAUAUUGACUUCUACACACUUUGUGAUUUGGGUCAAUUGAACUGAAAUUUCAUAUAAUUUUCUUUUAGGCAAUUUUAAGUGAAUUCAACUUAAAUUUCCCACAACUUUAUAAUUUUCACUUUUUUCCCCUAAAUGAAAAGUCUUUGGAAUGAAGGGUGUUGUGUUUCUAUUUUCCUAGGUAAAAUAAUGAUAGAUUUUCUUUCUGCUUUGGGGGUUUCCUAUUUAAUCCUUUAUUUUGAGCACAGGUAAGGUGAGUUUGGUUAAAAAGACCUCUUUAGUUUCUUUCAAUUUUGGAAUCGAAUAAAUUGGUCACUCUCAAAAAAGAAAAUCAAAGCAAUUUAAUCAUUGUUAAUUUUAAAGGUGAGUAACUAAGGACAAUUAAUCGUGAUGUUAACGUCUUUCGUCAAUUGUACAUAAUUUUGAUUGGUAUAACAAUAAAUUUAGCCUUCAAUGUUUUCAUUUUUUGUCAAUUUGGUCUUGGUUCUAAAAAAUCAAUAAAUUUAGUAUCAACAUUUACACGAAUGUUGUGGGCUAAAUUUGUUAAAUCAAGACAAAAUUGUAAAAUUUAAGGGGUAAAUUUGUUAUUAUACUAAUCAAAAUUAUGUACGUUUGUUGGACAACAUUAAUGUUGUGAUUAAUUUACCUUAAUUGCUCACUUUCGGAAUUGAUGGAAUUUAAAUUGUUCUAAUUUUUUUAAGAGAGAUCAAUUUACUAAAUAUCAACAUUGAGAGAGAUAGAAUAGAUCUUUUACCAACAAAUAUGGUUGCUUACAUUUAUUUUAAACAUAGAUUCGAAUCAGUUUGCUAAUUAAACAUGGAUUCACCUAAACUGUUUAGCAAGUAAGAAUGAGCAAAAUUCUAUUCUAUUUGAAAAAAUUGAAAAAAAAAUUGAAUUUUAAAUUAUUCGACUAUAGUUAAUUGAGUUAAUCAAAUUAAUUGACUCAACUUGAUUUUUUUUCAAAUUUCGAGUUCAAUUCGGAGUUUUCGAAUUCAAAGAAUCCAAAUAAUUCGAAUAAAUCGAAUACCCAAAAAAUUAAGCUAAAUGAUGUCAUUGCCAAAAAGAAUUCAAGUAUGAAUCUUAAUGUCUCUUCACUGCAAUGCUCAAACAACAUAAGAGGCAGUAACAUACAAAGAAAUUUCAGCCCAAACUGAUAUGAUAAUCAAAAUCCAAGAUAAACUCAAUCUAGCUUGAGAAUGAAAACUGUCAAAGGUUGCCUCGAGCUCCACGUGUUCAUCUCACAAGUUUUGAGAUCUGUUGCAAAUUCUGGAUUUAUAUAAUCCCAUUGAUAAAUAUGGGACAAAAAAAGAUUAAGGAUGCUGAAAAUCAUCAUAUGAACCUAAAAUCAUAAUAAUAAGUCAAAGUCAAAGGUAACUUACUUCACCACCAAGACUGAAUUGCCAGAACCUAGAAAGGGCCUCAAAAGAUUACUUUGCAUUUGUGUAGACAAAUCUGUUGACAACUUGCAUUUUCACCAAAUAUCAGUUCAAACACUUGUAUAAAGCAAGCAUUCAGUAAAACAAAUUGAAGCUCUUACAGCUCAGGUGUUCCUCCUUGUAUGGCUAAAGCUCCAAUUCAGCAGUGGCAUUCUCAAAGAUCUGUCAUUCCUUCGUCUUACAUCAACACAAAAGCAAAGGAUAUAAGAAAAACGUAUCUCACAAAUAACCAAUCUUUCUAAUGGAAGAAAAUGCAGCAAGUAUUGAGAUACCAGAUGACACCAAUGCUGGAAACUAAACAAUGAAGCUGAAUCGAGUCCACAUUUGGCCCUAUGAAUUAAAAAAACCAACCAAAAACAAGUCAACUGUCAAUAAGAAUUAAGUAUGAAUUUUAAUAUCUGAGUUUUGGUACCCACCAAAAUCCUCUAUGGAUAUUUUAUCAACUCCAAAGCAGAAUCAUUUUGCUACUGUGUUGAAAUCUCUAGUUUCCGUUCAAUUUUCCUCCAAAUUAAUUAAUAUAUAUGGAGAAUUUCGUUCUUGGACAAUGUAUGCUAUAUCUACAAAACAACACAGACAUUACGGCGGAAUGAAGAUGUUGCGCGGAAGCGUGUGAAAGAGUAAAAUUAUUGUACUGAAAAAUCACACUAAGUUCAAUUCCCAGGAAAGAGAGGUGGAUCACGAGGAUCGCUUACAUACCAGAUCUUUCCUAGCCAGAAUAUCCCUCUAUCGUAAUUUAAUAGCACAAUAAAUCACUACAAUGACACUUGCAAAAUAUGCAGAACAAAAAAUAAAGAACACUAGAAUUUUAACGAGGUUCAGCAAAUUUUGCCUACGUCCUCGAGCACUACCAAAUAUAUUUCACUCCAAAAAUACAAGUGAAAGUUUACAAAUAGGGAGAGAGAACAAUUGCCUUAAGUAGAGAAUGGCAAGUGUGGGAUGAAGAAAGUAAGAAAUGGUUAGGCCUAUUUAUAGUUGAGGUUUAAGGAUCAACUUGCAAUGUCCCUAUACAAUUAGGGACCAAAAUUGCAAUUAUCCCAUGCCAACUAAUCUUACUUUCUACUUUCGGUGCCAACUUUCUGCCACUAUUCAUCUUUGAAAAGUCAAAGAUUGUAGGUAUCCAAUAGAAGAUGAGAAAAAAUAAUAAUAAGCAACUAUCACAAACUAUUGAACAAAUUUCCAAUUUUAUGUUCAUAAAUUAUGCUUUUAACAUUUACAAUGUGGAACUACAAGGAUUCAGUAUGGCAAAGCACCUUCUAAAAGACAAGUAAUUUAUAAAGCAGAGCAAGUUAGAUUCAUUCUGGUUGGUUUUAAUUAAUUAAAGCACUUCAUUUUCUGUCACUAAUUUAUAAGUUGAAAAUUUACUAUUAACAAUUGUGGAAAACAAAAGUAUGGCAAUAUGAAAAAUAACAUGAAAAAUAACAUGAAGAUUUAUGAUAAUAUGAAAAAAUGAGAUGAAAAUGAAACCCCUAACUAUGCAUUUGGAUGACAUAAUUGAGAAGUUGGAACUCCUCAAAAACAGAGCCAAAGAUGGAAAGAAAUACAAACUAUUUCAAUCUUUUAAGUCCUCCAUCCCCUUCUUCACCAUCAUGGCUAAAGCUUCUUUUGUUCCCAGCAACUCUCUUUUCAGUAGCAUCCACGUAAAAUACAUGAACACCACAUCUUUCCACCUUGUUAUAGUCUUCUUCUUCAUUAACUUCAUCAUCAUUGUCGAUGAUGUAGAAUUUAAAUGAUGCCUCUUCAUAGUUCUUGUCUUCUUCAACCAUGUCGUUGCUAGAUAGAAUAAACACGUGAUCACCCUUGUACUUAUUUGGCUCAGAACAAUCGAAGAAAGAUAUCUUACUUAUGUAGCUUUUAGAAUCACCACCACCGGCGGCUGUAAGGUGGUACUCACAAAUACAAUUAAGAUAUUUAAAGCGAUGGCAGUGAGUGAGAUCAGCCACAAGGCAAAUAGCAAAAACCAAAAAUCUGCUCCCACUACCCCUAUUUGGGGCAAUCUUCAAACUCAAGGAAGAAUUCAUUCUCUGACACUUGAACUUAUCUGCUGAAAUUUUGUUUCCUGGGAAACAACAAAUCAAUCUUGGAAAGUCUUCUCGCUGGUAUUUCCAAUCAUAUCUCGCUGCCCAUUUCUUAGCUAGGGAUCCAAUUUUGAGCAUGGCAUUUUCCUCAAUGUUAUCAAUUGACUCUUGAUUCAAGUUGAUGCAAUUACAGAAUAGCAUGCCAAACAAAUCAUCACCUAACGAAUCGAACUGAUAUAAAUCUUGAUCUGCAAAGGAAACUUUUUCUAAUGAUGUGCAGCAUUGUACAUUCAAGUUUUGCAUAUAUGGUGGGAAACUUUUUCUAAUGAUGUGCAGCAUUGUACAUUCAAGUUUUGCAUAUAUGGUGGAAGCUCCGAGAGUAAUUUGAGGCUCUCGCAACGAUCCAUCCUCAUAUGGUUAAGGAUUUUAGGCCUCAAGCUUGGUGUGGGCAAAUCGACAGUUGGAAACUCUCUGGAACCGAACAGGGUGAUAUUACACAUUAGCUUUUGAAUACUUGAGCCGCUCAUAUUUAAGUAUUGAAGAUUACUUAAAGAGUCUAACGACAAGGCAGCUUCUUCAAUUCCAGUUCCAGAUAAGUCUAACCAUGUUAAGCUCCUCGGGAUUUUUGGAAAUUCGACCAUUGGGCAUUCACUAAGAUUCAAUUCACUAAGGAGUUCCAACUUUGAAAUAUUGAUCGAUACUUUUUCUACCUUUGAUUUGCUCAACAACAAUCUUUCAAGUUUGUGGAGAUACUUAAUUGCAUCAGGUACUUCUUGUAUUUCAGUUUCUCAUAAAUCUAAAUAACAAAAGUGACUUGGGACCUGAGGAAACUUCUUGAGACUAUAACAUCCUUCAAGGCGAAGCUUAUCCUCAUCACGAGAUGCCAAAUGAUUGAGGCAAGGAAGUUCAAACAAACUUUCACAGUAAGAGCAAUCAAGGAGUUCAAGGUUGAGGGCUCUUGAAAGAUUAGGUAUCUUCCUUAAUUUUUUGCAAUUUGAGACGUCAAUUUCCCUUAAAUUAACAAGAUUCUGCACAGGAAAAAAAUUUAAAUGUCAUCCACUUACUUUAGGCAAUAAAAAAUGGAAAGGAAAUAAAUAAUUAUAAUAAUAAGAAAAACAAAAACUUAUACCGAUGUAUUGGACUUGAAAUUUCACCCACAAUUAAUAGAUCAAAUGAUGUCACCUAUUUAAAUAAAAUAAAAUCUUUUAUAUUUAUUUUUUAAAAAACUUUAAAUAAGAUGUCAUCAUAUGAUCAUUUGAUACAUCAAAUUAUAAUUUUUUUUCCUUAAAAAAAUUCUUAGAUGGAGAAAGUAUGAAAGCACAUACCAUAUGAUCAUUUUCAUUCCAAAGUUGUUCCAUAUUGCCGCUUCGUAAUAUCAACAUGACAAGAUUCUUUGGAUUAAAACUUGAUAAAGUUUUAAGGGGAAAAUAAUCCCAACAAAGGUACCUUAGCUUAUUAGGAAGAGAUAUACUAUCAACUUGGUCUACAAGAAACUUCGGAUUUCGAUAGCCAUUCUCAAUCUUUGAAUCAUAGAAGCAAAUAUAUUUAAGAUUAAGCAUGUUCUAAAAAACAGAUGGACAUAACUGCAGCUCAUCCAUUUGAAACAUGUCUAAUUUUAUUCCUUCAAUUGAUACCGUCCCCUAAUAAUGAAAAACAUUUUAUCAAGUAUCAGUAUAUAAAGUUACAUUUUGCUGUUUUUUAAAAGCAAGGUAUUAAAUAAGUACCAACCCAGUAAAUCCUUGAGUAGAUCCCAUGUUAUACUCGGAGACAUUUGUCUUUAUUUGUAUGGUAAGUAAACUGAUAUUUUAUUUUUUGAAAUAAUAAUUAAAAUGAUUAACAUUUGAUACAAUAUAAAUACAAACAAUUAAACUUUUAACAUAUGAAAACAUAUAAUUAACUGAAUUUAUAUAUUUACAUGAUAUUACAAAUAAAUUUUAAUUAAAAUAACACAAAUAUAUAAAAUAAUAGAAAACAAUGUAAAUACAAUUAGCGCUUACUUUAUUAUAUCUGAGCACUUGAUCUACGUCUUCAGGAAACCAUAACCUGCUACGCUUUCCCGGGUCUUCUUUACAUUCUUGGCGAACAAUGUCCUUGCCGAUCUCUUCAAGCAUGUCAUGCAUAGAAUAACAAUCUAUGCUAUCAAGUAAGCACUUGUCGACUAAGUUCCUUAUUCCACUCAUUGCACCCAUAUAAUAAUUACUUAGUAUUUUUUCUACAGUAUCCAUUUUUUCUCCUUUAAAUUGAAGCAUGCUAUGUCAAGAAAUAUAUUCUUUUCUAGCUCACGCAACCCAUCUAAGCUACUCUUCAAAAUAUGAGACAUUUUUGGCUCGGCAUAUUGCCUUAGACUAUCCACUUCGCUCUCCCACUCUUUUCUAGACUUUGUAUAUAGUUUAGAACCCAAAACUUUAAGAGCAAGUGGAUUACCUUGGGCAUAUCCUACAAACUUGCAUGAUAGACCUUGAAAAUCAGCUGCGGGAUUCAACAAGUUAAAUGCAAGUGUAGAAAAAAGUUGAAGAGAAUCAUUCUCAUUCAACUUCUUCACCUCAUAUAUGUGGUUAGCUCUUCCAUUUUUAAGUACCUGUCUAUCUCUAGAUGUUACAAUGAUUUUACUUUCUGGACCAAAAUGUUUAACACCCAUAAAUUCUAUUUGAUCUGGGUUACUAACAUCAUCAAGGACAACAAGUACUUUUUUAUUGUUCAACCGCUCUUGGUAAGGGUGUCCUAUGGAAGGGCUGUUAAUACAAAUUCCUUUUCCGUUUAAUAAUUUGGAAAAAAGUUCAUUUCGUAAAGAUUCAUUCCCUACAUUUUUUAUUUUCUCACUAACAUUUCGCAGAAACAAGUGGCUUUCAAAAUUUUGGCAGAUUUCACCAUACACAACAUCAGCAAGGGUAGUUUUGCCAAUACCACCCAUUCCCCAUAGUCCUUGCUCAAUCAGCCCCAAAAUUAUCUUUUUUGAUCAUCUAUUCCAAUUUCCAACCAAUUCUUCAGAAACACUUGUACAAUUGCUAUCCAACUCUUUUGAAAUAUAUUCAACCACAUCUUCAAUGUACUCUGUUUCAUAUCUAGAAAAUAGUUAAAAAAUCGACAGUCAAAAGAAAGAUAGUCGUAUUAGUCAAAUAUAAGGAGAUGAGAAUAUAUAUAUUGUUACCUAUCGGAUUUGCCUCCUAUAUGCCACCCUUUUAAUGCACCGACCUCUUGAAAUGCAGAUUUCCAUCGUUGUACUCUAUCAGCUGGUUGCUUUGAUUCAUGUUUUUGGAAGGAUGUCUUAAAAGUCCCACCAAUUUUUUGCACAUGGGAAGGAUUAACAUGGUAAAAGAUGGGAAGAACAAUAUAUUUGUCAGUAGGAUUGCGCUUGCGAUCCAUGAUGUCAGAAAGUUCACCUAAGCAUGAAUUUGAAGAAGCAUAGUCUUUAGAUAAUGAUGAUCGAGAGAAUUGAGUCCGCAAUUGCAUUCGAAAGUGCUGAUGAAAUUUUCUCCCCUUUCUUUAGUGUAUCGUCAUCGAAGAAGACAGUUCAUCCCUUGUCUUUCAAAGCUUGGAGUAGAUGAGCGGUGAAGUUAACGCUCGUGUCUUCACCUCUGAAGCUCAAGAAAACUUGAUGUUUCACUUGACGAGAAGAAGAUGAAGAAGACGCCAUGUAAGUAUAUGGAUUGUGAGAUUGAGGAAAAAGAGAACAAAAUAAACUGAGGGAGCUUUGCUUUUGCUUCUAUUUUUGUAAUGGUAAGAAGAAAAAGUGAGUCACUUAAAUGGGAAUGAGAUUGAAAAGGUGAAGCAUAGCGGAUUGUUAAGUUUAGUUCCCUAGCAAAGGUGGCCAUGCACGACAUGCAAAGGUGGUCAUGCUCGAAAAAAUAGCAGCAAGCAGUGGUGCCAUGGUGUGCAGCAACUGAAGUUUGAAGCUGCCAAUCCACUUGCUGUUUUUAGUUCCAUUUUGAUUGUUUUGUAAUCUAGUUCAUGUUGAACUAAGUAGGUAAAUGUUUUGAUAUUGAUUGACUGAAAAGUCAGCAAUGCAAGUUGUACAAGCUAAUCUUGUAAGUUUCAAUGCAAAUUAGUGGAGUUAGGUAGUUGAUUAGGUGAUUACUUGUUUGUUUUACUUGUUGACUGAAAUAUGUAAUGGCUUAAUGCCUUGUUGGUGUGUUAAUGAAAAAUAUCAGCUCGUUUUUCAUUCAAUCUUCUUCUCUCUUUUCUGUUAUUCACUAGCUAGUUUCAUUUUCUGUUUUUGCUUCUGAGUUUGUUUCUUCACCAAGGCUCGAGGCUUGCUAUUCAAGCAAGAUACAAAACAGCCUGUUAUUGUCUCUUUGUUCCAACAAUUGGUAUCUAGAGCUUCAUUCUUAGUGGACCUGUUGUAUUAAACUAAGAAAGCUGAAUGUCUUCCUCAAGUUUUUCACCAGCAGCCCCACCAGUCUUCAAUGGAGAUGGCUUCCACAUAUGGCUGGUCAAAAUGAAGACUUACCUGCAGGCCUUUGAUCUGUGGGAAGUUGUUAACACAGAUGCUGAGCCAGCACCACUGAGGGCUAAUCCCACAGUAGCUCAGAUAAGGCAGCAUGCUGAUGAGAGGACCAAAAGGCAUAAAGCCAUGUCCUGCAUCCAGAACUGUGUAUCAGAUGUCAUCUUCACCAGAAUUAUGGCCUGUGAGACUCCAAAACAGGCCUGGGAUAAGCUUAAGGAGGAGUUUCAAGGCACUGAGAGAACAAGGCAACAGCAGCUAUUAAAUUUGAGAAGGGAUUUUGAGAAUCUGAAGAUGAAGGAAGAAGAAACAGUGAAGCAGUAUGCAGACAGAAUCAUAGCAGUGGUUAACAGUAUAAGGCUCCUUGGUGAGCACUUUGAUGAGGCAAGAAUUGUGGAAAAGGUCCUCUCCACUUUGCAUGAGAGAUAUGAGGCCAAGAUAUCCUCCUUAGAGGACUCAAGAGACCUUGCUACCAUCUCUUUGACUGAGCUAAUCAACACUUUCUAUGCUCAGGAACAAAGGAGAGCUAGCAGAGCUGAAGAUCACCAGGAAUGUGCAUUCAAUACCAAGGCCAGAGAAGCCUCGAGAUUCAAUGCUCCAAGAGGCAAAAGGCCUUGGAAAAAUAGGUCUAAGCCUGAUACUGCAAGGAGUAAUGACCAGCCCUGCAGACAUUGCAAAAGGCCAGGUCAUCCAGAAUACAGAUGCUGGUUUAGGCCAGAUGCAGUAUGCCAACACUGCAAGAAGAAGGGCCAUGUUGAAAGGGUCUGUAAAAACAGGAGUAAGCCAAGGCAGAAUCAAUUUCAGCAGUUAAAGGUUGAAGCUCGAGUAGCUGAGGACAGUAGUGACCAAGAAGAACAGAUCUUUGCUGUUUCCUGCUUAGCUGCUGAAAAGAAAUGCUCAAAAGGCUGGUUGUUGGACAGUGGUUGCACUAACCACAUGUCACCAGAUGCCUCCUUGUUUAAAACCUUGGACAGAAGUUAUAAAACCAAGGUCAAGGCUGGAAAUGGUCAGUUUAUAAGGGCUGAAGGAAGAGGAGAAGUGCUGAUAUGUACUCCCACAGGCAACAAGAUCAUUCCAAAUGUGCUGUUGGUGCCAGAGAUUGACAGAAACCGUCUCAGCAUAGCUCAACUGCUCGAGAAAGGUUAUUCUGUUGUGUUCAAGGACAAACAAUGCCACAUUACUGAUCCAAGUGGAUCAAGCCUUAUGACAGUCACAAUGACUGAUAAAUGCUUUGAGGUUCACUGGGCAAAUGACUUAAACUCAGCAUACACAGCCUCUGUUGAUGACUCCAAGCUUUGGCAUCAAAGGCUUGGACAUGCCAACUUCAGAUCAAUGGCUCGAAUGGCCAAAGAGGGCUUGGCAGAGAACUUCACCAACUCAGUGGAGCAUGAUGAUGUGUGUGAAGUUUGCCAGAUGGGGAAACAGGCAAGACUGCUAUUUCCUACAAAUUCAGCUUGGAGAGCUACUGAAAGACUGCAGCUGGUGCACUCUGAUGUAUGUGGCCCGAUGAGGACUGAAUCACUCAGCAAAAACAGGUAUUUCAUCCUCUUCAUUGAUGAUCUUACAAGGUUUUGCUGGAUUUUCUUCUUAAAACACAAGUCUGAGGUAGCUCAAGUGUUUGUGAAGUUUAAAACUGCUGUAGAGAAAGAAACAGGUUGCAAGCUGAAAUCGAUAAGGACAGACAAUGGCAGUGAGUACACUUCAGCUCAGUUUCAAGCCAUUUGCAAUGAUGCUGGUAUCAAACAUCAGCUUACAAAUGUCUACACACCUUAGCAGAAUAGGGUAGCUGAAAGAAAGAACAGAAGCCUGAUGGAUAUGGCCAGAUGUCUCCUGUUUGAAAAGAAACUACCCAAGACCAUGUGGGCUGAGGCAGUAAACACUGCUGUUUACCUUCAGAACAGGCUUCCUACCAAAGCUCUUGCAUCCGAGACACCUUUCGAGGUUUGGUUCAGUUUCAAGCCUUCCUUGGCACAUCUGAAGGUGUUUGGUUGCCUGUGUUAUGCACAAAUACCAGCAGCAAAGAGAGACAAGCUCUCUAAAAGGGCUCAACCAGGUGUUCUAGUAGGCUACAGCUCAGUCAAGAAGGGCUACAGGGUUCUGAAUCCCUUGACAAACAAAGUCCAGGUGAGCAGAGAUGUCAUCUUUGAUGAAAAAGCCUGCUGGAAUUGGGAGAAAAAUUAGCCAGAAGCAGUUUCAGAAGACCUAGUGCCUAAUCAAUUUGAACUUGAGCAGCUAUGACCUGAAAUGGAUGUUGAUGAUGUACCUGUGAGAGGCACAAGGCCCCUAGAUGAUAUUUAUGAAAGGGCACAGGUUGCAAUAGCAGAACCUAGCAGUUUUGAAGAGGCUGAGGCAGAUGAAGGCUGGAAACUAGCUAUGGUCAAUGAAAUCAACAUGAUUGAGAAGAACCAGACAUGGGAGCUAGUUGAUAAACCUGCUGGAAAGAAGACCAUUGGAGUAAAAUGGGUUUAUCGAGUAAAACAGAAUGCAGAUGGCAGUCUAAACAAGCUAAAAGCCAGGCUUGUUGUCAAAGGAUUUAGCCAAAGGUAUGGUCUGGACUACCUAGAGACAUUUGCACCAGUAGCCAGGCUUGACACAGUUAGAAUGAUAGUUGCCUUGGCUGCUCAACAUCAGUGGACCAUUCAUCAGCUUGAUGUUAAGUCUACAUUUCUCAAUGGUUUCCUGGAAGAAGAGAUCUACAUCGAGCAGCCUCAAGGAUUUGUGAUCACUGGCAAAGAACACAUGGUGUACAGACUGAAAAAGGCUUUAUAUGGCCUGAAACAGGCUCCUCGAGCCUGGUAUGCUCGAAUUGACUCUUACUUGCUCAGUUUGGAAUUUGAGAGAAGUCCCAAUGAACCAACACUGUAUGUGAAGAAGAACCAAGCUGAAACUCAGCUUAUCCUGUCACUCUAUGUUGAUGAUUUAUUGGUAACUGGAGGAGAUAGAAGAAUGCUGAAAGAUUUCAAAGGAAAAAUGAUGGAAAUGUUUGAAAUGUCUGAUUUAGGCAGAAUGAACUACUUCCUUGGAAUGGAAGUGAAGCAAACAGAAAAGGGAAUCUUUCUUAGUCAGAAUUCUUUUACUAUGAAGAUCCUGGAUAAGUUCUCUAUGAAGAACUGCAAGCCAACAAGCACACCAAUGGCUGUUGGAGUGAAGCUUUCGAGGCAAGGGAGUGGUGAACCAAUUUGCGAGACUAUGUACAAGAGUCUCAUUGGUAGUCUGUUGUAUUUGACUGCAACAAGACCCGAUAUCAUGUUUGCUGUUAGUGUGCUAUCGAGAUACAUGAAUUGCUGCAAUGAUCAGCACUUUCAAGCAGCUAAAAGAAUGCUAAGAUACAUCAAAGGCACCAUUGAUCAUGGUGUAUUGUUCAAAAGGGCUGAAAACAUGAAGCUGAUAGGCUAUGUUGAUAGUGACCGGGCUGGAUCGAGUGAUGACAUGAGGAGCACAUCCGGAUAUGCAUUUAGUCUUGGCUCAGGCAUGUUUUGCUGGAGUUCUAAGAAACAAAGUCAGGUGGCACAAUCAACAGCAGAAGCUGAAUAUGUUGCUGCUGCAUCUGCUGUGAAUCAAGCCAUAUGGCUUAGAAAAAUCUUGGCUGAUUUAAACCAAAACCAAAAGGAGGCAACAGAGAUUUAUUGUGACAACAAAUCUGCUGUUGCAAUUGCAAAAAAUCCCGUUUUUCAUGGCAGAACCAAGCACUUCAAUAUUAAGUUGCAUGUUAUAAGGGAGAUGGAACAAGCUCAUGAAAUCAAACUGAUUCAUUGCAAUUCAGAAGUGCAAAUUGCUGAUAUCUUCACAAAGGCACUCAAUGUGUCUAAAUUUGUUAAAUUCAAAAGGGAAUUAGGUGUUACUAGCAUGGAAACUAAGGAGGAGUGUUAAGUUUAGUUCCCAUGCAAAGGUGGCCAUGCACGACAUGCAAAGGUGGUCAUGCUCGAAGAAAUAGCAGCAAGCAGUGGUGCCAUGGUGUGCAUCAACUAAAGUUUGAAGCUGCCAAUCCACUUGCUGUUUUUAGUUCCAUUUUGAUUGUUUUGUAAUCUAGUUCAUGUUGAACUAAGUAGGUAAAUGUUUUGAUAUUGAUUGACUGAAAAGUCAGCAAUGCAAGUUGUACAAGCUAAUCUUGUAAGUUUCAAUGCAAAUUAGUGGAGUUAGGUAGUUGAUUAGGUGAUUACUUGUUUGUUUUACUUGUUGACUGAAAUAUGUAAUGGCUUAAUGCCUUGUUGAUGUGUUAAUGAAAAAUAUCAGCUUAUUUUUCAUUCAAUCUUCUUCUCUCUUUUCUGUUAUUCACUAGCUAGUUUCAUUUUCUGUUUUUGCUUCUGAGUUUGUUUCUUCACCAAGGCUCGAGGCUUGCUAUUCAAGCAAGAUACAAAACAGCCUGUUAUUGUCUCUUUGUUCCAAAACGGAUGAGUUUUUACUGAUAAAAAUUUCAAUAUUGCCUCCGCUUAUGGAGUUUAAAACCUCUAUUAUCAAUAUACCAAAUAUUUUCCUAUAAAUUGAAUGCUAAAACUUAUCUAAAUAUAAGUUAAAUAUUAAGGGUUAUUUAGACUUUAAAGGCUUAUUUGGGGUAUGAUAAAAGUACAAGAGAUUAUUUAAAUAAUGAAAUAAAUCAUCUAUAAGAAAAACAAAUAUGACUUAAUUUUUGUUGAAGUUGGUCAGCAUGCAGCAACCUCGCAGACAGCAAGCAGGCCAUGAAGACCAAGCCAUGCAGGAGCCGCUGGAACGAGCUGAAUUUUGUUCAUUUUGUAUUCUUUAGUUGAUGAAAUGAGUUUUAGUUCAUUUCAAACUAAGUUAGGCCUAUGAUUGAUGUAAUUAGCUGGUGUGUGAGCUGUAAACAGAGCUUUGUGCAUGCUUACAAGUUUAGUUUUCAAGUUUCAAUGUAAUUAAUGGUGGUAGGUAUUGUUUAGGUGAAUGCUUACUGUUUUUGACAAGCAAAUUGCUUGGAUAUACUUAUUUAGUAUAUUAGUCUAAGCAAAUCAUCUAUAGGAAAAAAAGUUACUAGUUGAUUUUGUAACUAAAUCUAGUUGAUGGAUAUUAAGUAAUUUUCAAAGCACAAAAUAUUCAAAUAUUUACUGUCAUUUCCUGGAAAGUGUGAGAGUGACAAUUUUCAAAGCACAAUUUUCUUGACUGAGAUUUAACAAAGGCAACGAUUGGAGGAGAUUAGCUAAUUAUCUGAGUUAAGAAAAUUGCCACUCUCACACUUUCCAGGAAAUGACAGUCUUCUUUAUUUGUAUAUUUUACCCACAAAAGUCAAGGUCUUCUAAUGGGACAAUGUUCAGCAAAUGGUUAAAUUCUUAAAAGAGUCCUUGAACUAGUUUACUUUUGUUGUACCCAAAUAAACCCCUAUGUUUUUAUCUGUGUUUAAAUUAGCCCUUAUUUCAAAUGACAUGUUAAUUUUAAGCUAAGUUGGCGAUGAGGGGAGUGUUGAAUUUCAACAUCAACUUAUAAUCACCAUUUAAUAUAUUUUAUUUGUGUUUAUUGUUGUGCAAAGUUUAACUAUUAUUGUUAGUUUUUAAAAACCAAGUUUAACUUAAAUCUUUUGGUAGUUAAAAGGAUAAUAAAUCUCGUAUUGCUUAAGAAUAAAGCACAAAGGGAUUAUGAAUCUAUAUAAAAGCCCAUAUUUCACAUCAUUUAGAAAAACAAAGGAAAAAAGAUUUAGAGUUUAUAUAAAGAACCAUAUUUUAAGCCAUAAGUCUAUAUAUUAGCCUUCUGGUGAUGUGGCCUUUGAUGAAGAAGAAGGCAUGAAAGAGUAUUAAAAGGGAGUUUUGACCAACAAGAAAACUUGUUCCAAAUGACCAUGAUGAUGAUGGGUGUUAAUUUCCAAGUCAAGGUCUUCCAAUGGGACAAAAUUGUUAAGACUAAAACUUUUCUAGAUACAAGUUAAAAAUUAAAAGUUAUUUGGAUAAAAAAUAAAGUUUAAAGGCUUAUGUGGGGUAUGAUAAAAGUACACAAUAUUAUUUAGAUAAUAUGGUAAAGGUUAAGGGCCUAUUUAAUAUGUUAGUAUGAGUAAAUCAUCUAUACCAAAAUAUAUAUUAGUUGAUUUCGUAACCAAACAUAUUAACUUAAAAAAAAAUUGUCACCAUUCAUGAAUUUCUUUUUGGGUUGUGAUGAAAUUUCUUACGAAUUCCUAACAAAAAUAAUGACUUGAACACAUUUUUUCAUUUGGGUCAAUUGAACUGAAAUUUUGUAUAACUUUCUUAAGAAUAAUUUCCACGUUUAGACAAUUUUAAGUGAAUUGAACUUAAAUUUCCUACCACUUUCUUGAAGAAUAAUUUUCACUUUUUUCCCCUAAAUAAAAAGUCUUUGGAAGGAAGGGUGUUGUGUUUCUAUUUUCCUAGCUGAAAUAAUGAUAGAUUUUCUUAUUUCUCCGACAUUGUAGUGGAACAGAUUGAAGUUACAACAGCGAAUCUUACUUCCCCGACAUUGUAGUUGAACAGAUUGAAACUACAACAGCGAAUCUUACUUCCCUGGCGGUGUAGUGGAACAGAUUGAAGCUACAACGACGAAUCUUACUUCCCCGACAUUGCAGUUAAACAGAUUGAAGCUACAACAGCAAAUCCUAUCUCCCUAACGUUGCAGUGGAUUGGAUCGAAGCACCAGUUUCUAUACCCCUAAAGAUGCAGUGGGGUAGAACGAGGCUACUUGAAGAAGAGAAGCACCGAAGAAGUCGAGGCUCGACAGGACUGGGCACAAUUGGGCUUUUAGUCUUUGCUCCGUUCCCGUUACACGACAACGAGCAAAGAGGGGCAGCUAACCACACCCAAACCCAAAUACAUCAAACCCACUAAGCCCAAAUAUUACAAACCCAAUACCAGCCCAAUACCCAGCCCAAAUCAAGGCCGAAACCCUAGUAGUUUCUGAAACAGCAACAGACUCCCCUCCGCGCCGCGCCACCACGCAUCCCCUCCAUGUCACCACGCCUCUGUACGGCCGUACCUGCAACAAACAGCAAAGCAACAACAACAAUAUGCCAACAUAAGAAAAAACAAAGGAAAUAAUAGAAAAAAAAUAAUUGAUUUUUUGUAAUAUUCGGCAAUAUAAAAGCCGAUUGAUUCAUUUUUGUAAGGAUUACACGCACGAAAUCAAUAAAAAAGAUUUCAAAGGCAAAUCAGGUUUUUUUAAGGUGAUCUGAGUUUUUUUCCUUUCGAUUAUUUCCUUUUUCGAUUCUUUGAUUGUUUUCCUUGUUUAUUUAUUAUUUAAGAAAGGAAAAAUGAAAGGAGAGUGGUUUUAAUUGAUAAUGGAAUCGUUGUUUGCUCCGUUGUGAUCAGAGUCGAGCGACGGUUCAAAGAAGAGAGGGGAUUCCGAAUAGCGAGAUUACAGGAGCGGCGCAUGGGGUUUUCCUUCUGCUUUAGGUUUUUUUUUAAAAUAUGAAUAGGCUGUUGAGAUUUAGGGUUUCUUUUGGCUUCUAAGCGACAUACGAAACGACGUUGUUUGAUGCAAAUGCAAUGGUGUCAAAACGGUGUCAUUUAAGACUAAGACCCGCGCAGUGACCCGGCCCGAGGCAGGAUCCGCGCAAUUUGGUUCAAGGGUCUAUUUGUGCAACGAGCCCCUCUGUGUUUUAUGUUGUUUCAAUUUGAUUUUCUUCAAUUUUUAAUCUAUACCGCACAUUUGGUUCCAAUUUCAUUUGGAUCCAUGUUUAAACGGUGUCGUUUUCCACAUUUGAUUUUGAAUAUUCGGAUUUUUGCGUUUAAUUGCUAUUUUAAUCCCUCAAAUUUUAAGUCGAUAAUAAAUUUAGUUUAUCUUUAUUUUCCUUUUUAUUUCUAGUUGUAGUGUUUUAUUUUUAUUUUUAUUUAAAUUCCAAUUUCAUUUUUAAUCCAUUAUUAUUAUUAUUAUUAUAUAUUCUAAAUUAUAUUUCAUGUCCAAUUUAGCCUCCAAAAGUAUAAUUUUAAAAUAAAUUAAUACUUAUCUUAAUACAUUAUUUCUAGUAUUAUUUUAAUAUUUAGCUUGACAUUGCUUUUAAACUUAUUAUUAAUAUGAUUUUAAAAUGUAAUAUACUAUUAUUUUUAAAUUAUUACUAACAUGUUUUAAAAUUAUCAUACAUUUUUUUAAAAACUCCAUUAUAUACUUUUAUUUUCAAACUUGAUAUGUUAUUAUUUGAUUCAUCAUUUAUUAAUAUAUAUAUUUAUUUUUAUAAGAAUUUGAUAUACUUUGUAUAUAUUUUAAUGUUUUAUUUUAUGUUAUAACUUAAAAUUCCUUUUUUUUUAUAUUUCUAUAUGAUUAAUGUUUACAUAAUAAUAUUUUUUAUACUAUUAUUAUUAUAUAUAAAUUUCUAAAUUAUUUUUUUAAAGUAAAUAUUAAUGUUUUGAUAUUUGAUACUAUUAUGAUUAUUAAUUUCAAGUGUUUUUAACAUAUUUAUAUAUAGGAUAUAUUGAUUAUAAUUUUUUUCCUUUCAUUAUCUUGAUGUAUCUUUUAGAAAAUUGAUUAUUAAUUCGAUGGAUGUUUAUUUGUUAAUAUUAGUGUUUGUAUGAUAUGAUUAGCUAUUUUGUAUUUACCUAUUACUUGCUUGUUACUUCUUAGUAUGUGUUUGGAUUACCAUUUAUCUUUUACAUUAUAUAUUACCAUUCAAUCAUGUUACAUUUAUUUAAAAAAAUUGUGUUUUAUUAAAGCACUACAAUCAUUCUAUUCCAUAAUUUUCAAAACUGCUCGAUGUUCACGAUUCUCGAGAGGAUUGUGCCCUAACUUACUGGGCUUCGAUUCUUUUCAAUGAAUUUAGAUAGCCAAGCAUUUAUUUUGCAAUAAAACCAUACAAAUUCUAAAUAAAGUUUUUUUUUUAGGAUUUCAAAAUGUUGGAUCCUAACUCACUGGGUAUGAGAUCUUGCUAUCUCGAUUUAAGGAUUUUUUAAAUAAAGGAAAUAUUCGGUGUUUAGGAAUUUCGAGAAAUUGAACCCUAACUUUCUGGAUUCCGAUUUCUCGUUUGACCUAAAUAAUCAAAUAUCCUUCUCAAAAUGCAUGAAUUUUAAAUUUUUAAAAAGAUAAACUUGAUUUCAAAGAUUAAAUUGUUGCACCCUAACUCACUGAGUGUGACAGUUUAUUUCUUUGAAAUGAGUAUGUCUUGUCAUCCAAUUCAUUUAUUCAAGUUUUUUCUAAAGGAUCAUAUUUUAAAAUCUUUUCAAAUUUUCAGCAGUAAGACGUUAAACAAUCAAUUCGGUACCAAUUUUGGGCAUUACGAGGGUGCUAACCCUUCCUCGUGCGUAACCGACUCCCGAACCUGUUUUCUCAAAUUUCGUAACCAAAAUCGUUAUUUUAGCAAAUCAAAAUGUUUUAUUAAAAUCUCAAAGUGAUCUGAUCACACCUCGAAAAAAGAUUGGUGGCGACUCCAUUUUUGUUUUUUAAGUCGAUUCACGUUUUUCAAAUAAAAAAAUGGUUUCGACAGUUGUUUCUUAGAAUGUCAAGAGAUGGGUGUGAGGCCAAAAUACACACAGUAGGAUGUUGUAGUCCGGUGAUCAUCAAAAUCCAGCCCUCAAUUGGCAUCGACAUAACCAACUAACCAAAGCCUAUAAGAUGGACGAAAGACUAUCCCAUAAUCAAGAGUCUAAAUCAAGCUAGCUUAAAUAAAUAAAUAAAAAGCCUUCAAUUUUGUCUAAAUUUAUUUUUUUUAUUCAAAUUCUCUUAUAUUUUGGAUCAACCUUCAAGCUUUACAUUUCCAUAUUGUUAGUAAUACGAGCUGUUACCCUUAGAUGAAUAUCCAAUUUAAAGGGACUGUUUUUCUUGCCUAGUCUGUGAAAUAAUUGCUCCAUUCAUUAGUGUACUAUUUGGUCCCCGACGCCCCACAAUUAAGUUCACAUGAUAUUGAUUUUCAUGUGGUUUUUUCCUUACCUUCAUUCAUUGAUUGCAAAAAAGCAAAUCAAUACUAUGCUACAAAACUGUCAGUCAUCCUCUUGGCUGAAUUUUCAUGGAAAAUCUGCAGAUUACAGUCUUAUAGCUGUAACUUCAUAAUGCACCAAAGCAUGAAAAUUCACCACUUGAUAUGCGACGCACAAUUUUUAUGUUUUGUGGGUGAUAAAUAAGAAAAAUUAAACACCUAUCAUCCAGAUUGGUUUUUAUAUAAGCACUUCAUUUUCUGUCAUAUGAGAUUUAUUUAUUUAAAAAUUGUGGAUGCAAGCUUACAUCUAUCACUAGCUAAUUUGUAAUGCUAAUGGACCUGAAUUUGUGUAAUUACUGCAAUAUAAAAUAAUCAGAGUUGUAUAAUUUGUGUUUUUUCUUAUAGUAGAUCAUAGUUUAGGAUUAGAAAACUAUUUUAAUUACUAAGCUUCGACUCUUGAACUUGUUGGAUAUCAUCUCAUCAAAACCAAUGUACAAACCUAUUCCAAAACAGAGUAGAACUCUGGAAUUUUAAUUACACAAAGGGAAAAUUGAUUCAAGUUUUAGCCCAAACUGAUGUGACAAUCAAGUCAAAUAGCUGUAUCAUGGAACCAACUCUUCAUUUUGAAGUUCCAACUAAACCAAAAUCAUUUGGAUUUUUUUUUUCCAGGUGUUUAUGUUGGGUUCCUCUAUGGGGUAAACAUCAAUCUAGCUUGAGAAUGAAAACUGUGAUAGGGUUGGCAUUGAAAAUAACAUCCAGGCUCCAUGUGUUCAUUCAACGAGUUUUGAGAUGAGAGCAACUCUGCCAAAUUCUGCAUGCAUUUAUAUGGUCCAUUGAUAAAUCAGGCGAAAAGAAUGCCAUGAGGAUGCUAAUAAUCAGAAUGAGAGCAUAUGCUUCCUCUCAAUGGGAUAAACAAGGCAACUCUGUUGACAAGUUGCAGUACUGCUUCAAUAUCUAAGUCCAACCACAAUAUAAAGAAAUCAUUCGGUAGACGAAAUUGAAGAUCUUAAAAGCUUACUUGUUACAAACAUCUGUUAUUUAUUCCCUCAUCUGCUUUCCUUACAUCAAUCAUUGCCAUCUUUAUUCCCUUCACAUUAAUCUCUAGGUAAAAGGGCACAUCUAUAAAUGUGGAUUUUGUGGGAACUUUACUUGUUGGUGAGAAAGAAGAUAUCAAAAAACCACCCAUAAUCUGCAACUUCAAUUCCAGUAGAGUACUGAAUCUGAGUCUGGCUUGACUUUCAUGCAAGUUUUAUGAAAUCUACAGAUCACAGUCAUACCAAAAAAAAUAAAAAAUAGAACAUAACAAAUAGAAAAUACCUACUCCUAGAUCAAUAUAAAAGCAUAGGUCAUAAGAUUAACCAAUCUCAAACAUAUGUUGAUUAUAUUUAGGUAAUAGUUGGUAGAUUUACCUAACAUGAACAUAAAUUAGAAAUCAUGAACUGAAAUAUUAUAUAUAUAUAUAUAUAUAUUUACCAACUUUCAAAGGAAACAUGAAACAUAAAUCAAUGGGUGAACAAAUCAUUGAAGUAAAAUGCAGAUAGUAUUGAGAUGCAAUAUGAUUAAAUCUCUACUUGCUGCCUAUGGCAUGAGCACCAAUGGUGGAACCUAAACAAUUAAGCUGAAUGAUGUCCACCACUGAUCCUAUGAAUCAAAACCAGCCAAUAGCAAGUCAACUGUCAAAAAGAAUUCAAGUAUGAAUCUUAAUCUCUCCUCACUACAAUGCUCAAACAACAUGAAAGCAGUAAGAUACAAAGAAAUUUCAGCCCAAACUGAUAUGAUAAUCAAAAUCCAAGAUAAGAAAAUAUCAACUCCAAUAGCUCUACCAUGAAACUAACCCAAUCUAGCUUGAGAAGAAAACUGUCAAAGGUUGCCUCCAGCUCCAUGUGUUUAUCCCACAAGCUUUGAGAUCUGUUGCAAAUUCUGGAUUUAUAUAAUCCCAUUGAUAAAUAUGGGAGAAAUGGUGAGGAUGCUGAAAAUCAUUAUAUGAACCUAAAAUCAUGAUAAUAAGUCAAAGUCAAAGGUAACUUACUUCUCCACCAAGACUGAAUUGCCAGAACCCAAAAAGGGGCUCAAAAGAUUACUUUGACUUUGUGUUGACAAAUCUGUUGACAACUUGCAUUGUCACCAAAUAUCAGUUCAAACACUUGUAUAAAGCAAGCAUUCAGUAAAUAAAAUUGAAGGUCUUACAGCUCAGGUGUUCCUCCUUGUAUGGCUAAAGCUCCAAUUCAGCAGUGGCAUUCCCAAAGAUUUGUUAUUCCUUAAUCUUACAUCAACACAGAAGCAAAGGAUAUAAGAAAAAACAAUCUCACAAAUAACCAAUCUUUCUAAUGAAUCAAGAUAUGAUUGAAGGAAAAUGCAGCAAGUAUUGAGAUACCAGAUGAUACCAACGCUGGAACUAAACAAUGAAGCUGAACCGAGUCCACCAUUGGUCCUAUGAAUUAAAAAAAAAAACAACCAAUAACAAGUCAACUGUCAAUAAGAAUUAAGUAUGAAUUUUAAUAUCUAAAUUUUGGUACCCACCAAAAUCCCCUGUGGAUAUUUUAUCUACUCCAAAGCAGAAUCAUUUUGCUACUGUAUUGAAAUAUCCAGUUAUUGUUCAGUUUUCCUCCAAAUUAAUUAAUAUACAUGGAGAAUUUCCUUCUUGGACAAUAUAUGCUAUAUCUACAAAAGAACACAGACACGACUGGGGAAUGAAGAUGAGAAAAAUAAUAGUAAGCAACAAUCACAACCGUUGAACAAAUGUCCAAUUUUAUGUUUCAUAAAUUAUGCUUUUAACAUUUACAAUGUGGAACUACAAUGUUUCAGUAUGGUAAAGCACCUUCUAGAAGACGAGUAAUUUAUAACGCAGGGCAAGUUUAGAUUCAUCCUGGUUGGUUUUAAUUAAUUAAAGCACUUCAUUUUGUGUCACUAAUUUAUAAGUUGAAAAUUUACUAUUAACAAUUGUGGAAGACAAAAGUAUGGCAAUAUGAAAAAUGAAAUGAAAAAACUGAAAAAUGUAUGAUAAUAUGAAAAAAUGAGAUGAAAUGAAACCCUUACCUAUGCAUUUGGAUGACAUGAUUGAGAAGUUGAAACUCCUCAAAAGCAGAGCCAAAGAUGGAAAGAAAUACAAACUAUUUCAAUCUUUUAAGUCCUCCAUCCCCUUCUUCACCAUCAUGGCUAAAGCUUCUUUUGUUCCCAGCAACUCUCUUUUCAGUAGCAUCUGAAUCACUCUUUUUAUCCACGUAAAAUACAUGAACACCACAUCUCUCGACCUUGAUGUACUCUUCUCCUCCUCUUCCUAANNNNNNNNNNNNNNNNNNNNNNNNNNNNNNNNNNNNNNNNNNNNNNNNNNNNNNNNNNNNNNNNNNNNNNNNNNNNNNNNNNNNNNNNNNNNNNNNNNNNNNNNNNNNNNNNNNNNNNNNNNNNNNNNNNNNNNNNNNNNNNNNNNNNNNNNNNNNNNNNNNNNNNNNNNNNNNNNNNNNNNNNNNNNNNNNNNNNNNNNNNNNNNNNNNNNNNNNNNNNNNNNNNNNNNNNNNNNNNNNNNNNNNNNNNNNNNNNNNNNNNNNNNNNNNNNNNNNNNNNNNNNNNNNNNNNNNNNNNNNNNNNNNNNNNNNNNNNNNNNNNNNNNNNNNNNNNNNNNNNNNNNNNNNNNNNNNNNNNNNNNNNNNNNNNNNNNNNNNNNNNNNNNNNNNNNNNNNNNNNNNNNNNNNNNNNNNNNNNNNNNNNNNNNNNNNNNNNNNNNNNNNNNNNNNNNNNNNNNNNNNNNNNNNNNNNNNNNNNNNNNNNNNNNNNNNNNNNNNNNUAUGUUGCAUUGUUGUUUUUUGUUUUACGUGUUGCUUGGAAGCUCCGACUCAAGUUAGCAGUUGAAGCCAUUGAGGCUUUAUUUUAAGGUUUACACUUUGUUUCCUUUAUUUUAUAUGAUCUUCAAACGAUGUUUAAUCAAAUAUAUUCCACUUGAUUGUAAACUUCAUUGUAUUAAACUUAAUCAUUUCCAUUAGAUUGUAAAAUUAGGCAAUCUUAUGAUGAUAGGCAGCAGAGUUAAAAGGCUUUUCAAAAGAUAGAAUCUGAUGGGUUUGUAAGGUCCGUACGCACAUUGAGUGAUAGAUAAUUGGGUAAGCUUAAGUUUUCAUUUUCUUGCAGAGCAAUAGAAACCCAUCAAAUAUCUAAAUAAUUAGACACUGUAAAGACUUACUAAAUAUCACACAAGGGAUCAAAGUAUAUAUAAGCUCUCAAGUGUAGGCAAAUCCAAAUAUUUAUUUGCUUUUAAGACUUACUAUUCUAUAACAAUGGUAUCUCCUAUUGAUCUUUUAAUACUCUUUCAUGCCUUCUUCUUCAUCAAAGCCCACAUCACCAGAAGGCUAAUACAUAGACCUUGACUUGGAAAUUAACACCCAUCAUCAUCGUCGUCGUUUGGAACAAGUUUUCUUGUUGGUCAGAACUCCCUUUUAAUACUCUUUCAUGCCUUCUUCUUCAUCAAAGCCCACAUCACCAGAAGGCUAAUACAUAGACCUUGACUUGGAAAUUAACACCCAUCAUCAUCGUCGUCGUUUGGAACAAGUUUUCUUGUUGGUCAAAACUCCCUUUUAAUACUCUUUCAUGCCUUCUUCUUCAUCAAAGCCCACAUCACCAAAAGGCUAAUACAUAGACCUUGACUUGGAAAUUAACACCCAUCAUCAUCGUCGUCGUUUGGAACAAGUUUUCUUGUUGGUCAAAACUCCCUUUUAAUACUCUUUCAUGCCUUCUUCUUCAUCAAAGUCCACAUCACCAGAAGGCUAAUACAUAGACUUAAGGCUUAAAAUAUGGUUCUUUAUAUAAACUCAAAAUCUUUUUGCCUUUGUUUUUCUAAAUAAUGUGAAAUAUGGGCUUUUAUAUAGAUUCAUAAUCCCUUUGUGCUUUGUUCUUAAGCAAUACGAGAUUUAUUAUCCUUUUAACUAACAAAAGAUUUAAGUUAAACUUGGUUUUUAAAAAUUAACAAUAAUAGUUAAACUAUGCACAACAAUAAACACAAAUAAAAUAUAUUAAAUGGUGAUUAUAAGUUGAUGUUGAAAUUCAACACUCCCCUCAUCACCAACUUAUUUUAAAAUUAACGUGUCAUUUGAAAUAAGGGCUAAUUUAAACACAGAUAAAAACAUAGGGGUUUAUUUGGGUACAACAAAAGUAAACUAGUUCAAGGACUCUUUUAACAAUUUAACCAUUUGCUGAACAUUGUCCCAUUGGAAGACCUUGACUUUUGUGGGUAAAAUAUACAAAUAAAGAAGACUGUCAUUUCCUGGAAAGUGUGAAAGUGACAAUUUUCUUGACUCAGAUAAUUAGCUAAUCUCCUCCACUCGUUGCCUUUGUUAAAUCUCAUUUUCUCAUUGUCAUUUAAUUCUAGAAUACCAAAGCUCCCUUUGUGUACUUUCCUCUCUCCUUCCCAUCUUCUUCAUCUUCUUCUGGUCAAAUGAUGCGUUAAGUUUUCUUAACCUUUGAGGUGAAGACACAUGCCUUAACUCAAAAUUUAUUUUCUCAUAGGUUCUAGUAUGAUAAAAUUAUCGUGACUUUAAUAAAAUUAGAAUUUAGUUGAGAAAAUAAUUUAAUUGAAUGAAUGAAUUAAAUUUAUUUUAAUUAAUUAUAUAAAUAAUAUUUUUACAAUGAAAACUUGAUAUUGGGUUGGAUAAUUAAAUGAGUUGAUUUAAGUUUAUAUAGACUUGAUCAUGGGUCGAGCCGGUGCAAAAUUUUAGGCCCAUUUUCUAAGCCCGGCCUGACCUACCCGUAUUAAUUUCUUUAGAUUAUUUUUAUGUAAAGAUAAAUUUAAAAAAUAUAAUACAUCAAAUACACUAAAAAUAUUAAAAUAAAUGUUUCUCAAUAAAUUAAAAAUAUAUUUUUAAAAUAAAUAUUUAUACUUAAAUAAUACUAAUACAGUUGCAACUCAACAAUCAAAUGUUUUUAAAUAGUAGCAAAAUUAACAAUAAAACAAAAAAUUCAAUAUCCAAACAAUAACAAUAAAAUAUUAACAAUACGAUAAUAAAAUUGUAACGAAACAACAAUAUAACAGCAGCAAACAACAACAGAAAAGAAAUAGUCAAAUUCGAGCUGGGUCAAAAUAUCUAGCCCAAGACCCGAGCUAUUUAGGAAAUGUGCCAAUAUUGGUAAGUUGAAUAAUAUUUUACUCAACAUUUACGUUCUAACACAUAAACUAUUAUUUUCCAGCUUUUAAAUUAAUUGCCAAUGAUAGAAAUAUGAAGUGCUUUAAUUAAUUAAAACCAACCAGAAUCACAUGCUCUACAAAUAGCUUGUGAUUUAUUCUUUGGUGCAUUAUCAACUUACCUUUUUCCUUAUGCAUUUUACAAGCUAUAUGUACGGUUGUGAUGCGCAACUUUUGUGGAACUUCCAUGAAAAUUCAGCCCAGGGGUGGUAGCUGCUUUGAUUUAUCCAAAUUCCUACAUAUGUAGCUUCGAGGAAGCAAAGAAGGUUUAUUAGUCAUUUUGAAAUUGGUGUCAAAAGCAAAAGCAACCCUUUUUUUUUCCUCAGCCAAUAAAAAUAUUUUAUUAAUAAGUCUUUAUCACCUCACCAAAAAAAAAGUGAGUUUCCAUGCUUUGGUGCAUUAUCAACUUUUACUUGUCCUUAUGCAUUUUGGAACAAUAUGUAUGACUGUAAUAUGCAGAUUUUCUUUGUAAAUUCAGCGAAAAAACAAAAGAAAAAAGGCGAAGAUUCUUGACAUCUUUGUAGCAUAUUUUUUUUGCAAUCAAUGAAUUAAAAUAAGACAAUUUUUAAUCUCACUCGUGGCAUUAAAAUAAAAGCUCCACUACAAAUGCUGGUGUACGACCUAUUUUUCACAUUUAUUAAAAGAGGAUUACAUUUUUAAUUUGAUUCUAAAUAGGGCCUUAUUUUAUAUUAUUAUAAUAGUCCAAACUAAUUUGGGCAUCAAUAUUUUGUGCUUUGAAAUUUACUUAAUAUCCAUCAACUAGAUUUGGUUACAAAAUCAACUUGUAACUUUUUUUUUCCUAUAGAUGAUUUGCUUAGACUAAUAUACUAAAUAAGUCAUAAGCUUUAUUCAAUUAAGCUCUUAAAAUUUUAUGGGUAAAUUAUCUCGUUAGUUAUUUUAAAUAAGGGUCAUUCCUAUUUUGGUUGCUCUAAUAUUUUUGUUAAUUUGGUAAUCCAAAAGGGAAAUUGAUCACUCUUCUGUAAAACGAUAAUGGAAUAUUGAUUGUGUAUUUCCAUAUUAGUCAUGCUGAAAUUUUUAUGAUGGAAGCAAUUUUUGUUUUAAAAAUUCACGUCAGUAUUUCAAUUGGAAUAAUUAAUAGUAAUAUUUACUUGGAUUAAUUGAUGAUAUUAUUGUAGUAAAGGAUCAAAUUAUUCCAUUUUAAAGUAUAAAAAUAAAAAUAUAAAUUUAGGAAUAAUAAUAGGACCAAAACAAAAUUUUAAUUGUAAGGACUAAAUUAUAAAAUCUAGAAAUUUUAGAAAAGGGACUGUUUUGUAAAAUUGUACAAAAAGAGGUUUAGAACUGAACUGCAGAAUAAUAAAAUCUAUUUUUGAGGAAUUAAAUUGCAGAAUAGUAGAAUUUUAGAUUCCAGGGACUAAUUCGUAAAAAUAUAAAAUUGAAAUAUGAGGGACUAUUUUCUUCGACAGUGAAGAGACCUUUCCUUUUGUUGCUCUAAAAGCUUCUCCUUUUUGUUUCUUCGACAGUGAAGAUAGUCAAUAUAGUCUUAUUAGUUUGGAAAAUGUCUUAUGGAAAAAAAAAUUGGUAAGAUAUUUUCCUUGAAAAUGUCUUGAUUUUACAUUUUUUUUCAAGAAUGAUUUCCUUUAGUAAUUCAUUUUCCACCAAAUAUAGACGGUAAAACAAUGAAAAUAUUUUACAUACAAACAAAUAGACCAUUAAUUAGAAAAUCGAUUCGAUUCUAUAUUUAAAAUAAAUGUUGGCAAGCAUAUUUGUUGGUAAAAAAUCUAUUAGACUCUCUGAUCAAUUUUGGCAUUAAGCAAAUUGGAGUCGCUUAAAAAAAUCGAAGCAAUUUAAAUCCCAUCAGUUUCUACAGUGAGUAAUUAAGGAUAAUUAAUCACAACAUUGAUGUUUUCCAUCAAAUGUAAAUAAUUUUAAUUGGUAUAAUAACAAAUUUACCCCUCAAAGUUUACAAUUAUAUCACUUGUCUUGAUUUAACAAAUUUAGCCAGCAAUAUUUGUGUAAAUGUUUAUACUAAACUUGUUGAAUUUUCAGAAUUAAGACCAAAUUGACAAAAAUGCAAACAUGGCUAAAUUUUUUGUUAUAUCAAUCAAAAUUAUGUACAAUUGACGAAAAAUAUUAAUGUCGUGAAUAAUUGUUCUUUGUUGCUCACUUUUGAAAUUAAGAAUGAUUAAAUUGCUUUGAUUUUUUUGAGAGGGACUAAUUUAUUCAAUUUCAAAAUUGAUAGAGAUUGGAGAUAUAUUUUUACGCAAACACACCUUACCUUUGUUCAGAAGAAAGGACUAAACAGGAAACCCCCAAAAGCACAAAGAAAAUCUAUCAUGGUUUCACCUAAGAAAAAUAGAAAUACAACAUCCUUCCUUCCAAAGACUUUUCAUUUAGGGGAAAAAAGUGGCGAUUAUUCUUGAGAAAGUUGUAGGAAAUUUAAGUUGAAUUCACCUAAAAUUGUCCAAUUAUUCUUAAGAAAGUUAUACCAAAUUUCAGUUCAAUCGACCCAAAUGACAAAGUGUGUAAAAGUCAAUAUUUUUUGUUAGAAAAUUUAUAAGAAAUUUUAUCACAACCCAAAACGAAAUUCAAGAAUGGUGACAAAUUUUUUUUUUGAAGUUAUACGUUUGAUUACAAAAUCAAUUAAUAUUUACUUUUUGUAGAGAUGAUUUAUCGCAUUAUUUAAAUAAUCUCUUGUACUUUUAUCAUACCCCAAAUAAGCCUUUAAAGUCUAAAUAACCCUCAAGUUUUUUACCUGUAUCUAGAUAAGUUUUAGCAUUCAAUUUAUAGGAAAAUAUUUAGUAUAUUGAUAAUAGAGGUUUUAGACUUCACAACUUGACAAAUUUUUAUCAGUAAAAACUCAUCGGCUAUGCUUCACCCUUUCAAUCUCAUUCCCAUUUAACUGACUCACUUUUUCUUCUUACCAUUACAAAAAUAGAAGCAAAAGCAAAGCUCCCUCAGUUUAUUUUGUUCUCUUUUCCUCAAUCUCACAAUCCACUAUCUGUUUUGCCCUUUGCUCGAUUUCGUAAUCUUCUUCGGGUUUUGCCUAUCGAGAAGAUGAGUGAAUGUUAGAGUAUAGAUAAAGACUCUAUUAGUUUAUUAGUUGUUAGUCUGUUAUACAAGCAGUUAUGCUGUUAACUGAAAUUGUUAGUAGCAAUUACUCAUACACAUAUUAUCAAUACUAUUGUUAUACUGGUUAAAUUCAAGAUAAUAAUACAAAAAUCAUUCUCUGCAUAUUCUAUUUUUCUUUCAACUUAAUGUAGAUAUUAACAUAAAGCAAGGUUGUGCCGUAUGCCUACUUUUUUAUUGUCUUACAUUAUAGAUGUGCUUUUUACUUGCAGAGUUUAAAGCAAGGUAGUAUAAGUCAGCCAAAACCUGGGGAUUAAGCUUUGACUUUUUAAAUAUGCUACUAUGAAGGGAAUGAAGAUGGCAGUGAUCGGUGUAAGAAAAACAGAUGAGGAAACAGAGAGUCAAGAGGGAAUUAAUGGCAGAUCUUUGGAAAGGCCAUUAUGCUUGGAAUUUUAGCUAUUCAAAAAAGAGAGGGAAUGAAGAUGGCAGUGAUCGGCGUAAGAAAAACAGAUGAGGAAAUAGAAAGUCAAGAGGGAAUUAAUGGCAGAUCUUUGGAAAGGCCAUUAUGCUUGGAAUUUUAGCUAUACAAAAAAGAGAGGAAUAAGUAAGCUUCUAAUUUCUUCUACUGAAUUAUUGUCAUAUAUUUGUGGUUAAGCUGAGAUAUUGAGGCUUUAUUGCAACCUGUUAACAGAUUUGGCUUGUUGAUAUCAUUCAACUCUGAUAAUUUUAUAUUGCAUUAUUUACAGAAAUCUGUAGGUGUUUAGCUUAGCUGAACAUGUUAUGCGGCUGCAAUGUGGUGUUUGUGUCUUGAAACAAGCGAUGCGAUUUUCUAUAGCCAUUUGCUGCGUACAGUAAGUCUUCGUUGUGAAUUUACAGUCACUGUUUUGGGAGAAUGAUGUUAAGGGGGUGCUGGAACUCCAGCAAUCGUAAAACGUGGCUGUGAUUCGAGCUAUUAUACUGUGCUUGAAGCUUCGAACUAGAGCAUGACAGUUUCAUUGCGUAUCAAUUCAACCUCAGAUUCUUUGGGGGACGUAUCCGAGCUAAUUAAUUGGUCCAUCAAGUGAAAGAUAUCGAUUUUUGAAAAUGUCUUGCUAAGGCAGCGGCCAAGGAUGGGGUGGAUUGGAUUUUAAUGUUUAUGGAAUGGUAUUUAUUGGCAUUAUACAUUAUGUUGUACUGUUGUUUUUUGUUUACUGUGUUGCUUGUAAGCUGUAACUUUUACACUUGGUUUCCUUUAUUUUAUAUGAUCUUCAAACGAUGUUUAAUCAAAAAUUUUCCACUUGAUUGUAGACUUCAUUGUGUGAAACUUAAUCAAUUUCAUUAGAUUGUAAAAUUAGGUAGUCUUAAGAGUAUAUUGUAAUUUGAUAUUGCUAAUUUUACAUAAAGGUCCAUGGAUAAAUUAUACAUUGCGAAUUCUACAAAUGUUUAAGCUAUGAUAACAAUGUCUAAUUCUUCAUUUUAUCAUUACAAAUUAGCUAGUGAUAGCUGUUGCAAACAAUGUUGUUUGAAUUGGUAAUCAGGGAUUUAGUGAGUAAGAAUUGAGUAUUUUAUUACCCAUAAAUUCAAAACUUGAAUCCUAAACUAUGAUCUAAAACAGAAUUUAUAUUUUAUAGUAUAACAAUGGCAGUCCUUUCAAUGAAAUGCACCAUACUUAAAUAUGGUGGUUAGAAAUUGAGUGGAGCUAAGCUUAAGUUUGCCAUAAAGGGGUCCCAUUUUGUACAUCAAAUAUAAAGACUCAACUGUGUUUAAUGGUCCACAGCCUAUACUUUUGUGUAUACAAAUAUGGAUGUCCAUUUCAUGAUUCCCCUGAAAUUAAGGCACUGUUUUCUUCCACCAUUCAUUCUCUAGGGGUCUUAUCUACUACCCUUUCUGCAUUUAUUGGAGAUAUUUGGCACUAAUGAGCUUUGCAUUUUAGAACAAUAUGUAUGACUGUAAUCUGCAGAUUUUCCAUGAAAUUUCAGCGAAAUUCCUUGUAAUAUAGCUUCGUGGAAAAAAAAGAUGAGAAGAUGACUCUUGACUCUGUUUUGCUACUAUUGAUUUGUUUUUGGUUUUUUUUUUUUCAAUCAAUGAAGGAUGAUAAUAACAAGCUCUUAAAAUUUUAUGGGUAAAUUAUCUCGUUAGUCAUUUUAAAUAGGGGUCAUUCCUAUUUUGGUUGCUCUAAUAUUUUUGUUUAAUUUGGUCAUCCAAAAAGGAAAUUGAUCACUCUUCUGUUAAACAAUAAUGGAAUAUUGAUUGUGUAUUUCCAUAUUAGUCAUGCUGAAAUUUUUAUGAUGGAAGCAAUGUUUUUUUAAAAAAAUUCACGUCAGUAUUUCAAUUGGAAUAAUUAAUAGUAAUAUUUACUUGGAUUAAUUGAUGAUAUUAUUGUAGUAAAGGAUCAAAUUAUUCCAUUUUAAAGUAUAAAAAUAAAAAUCUAAAUUUAGGAAUAAUAAUAGGACCAAACAAAAUUUUAAUUGUAAGGACUAAAUUAUAAAAUCUAGAAAUUUUAGAAAAGGGACUGUUUUGCAAAAUUGUACAAAAAGAGGUUUAGAACUGAACUGUAGAGUAAUAAAAUCUAUUUUUGAGGCAUUAAAUUGUAGAAUAGUAAAAAUUUAGAUUCCAGGGACUAAUUCGUAAAAAUAUAAAAUUGAAAUAUGAUGGACUAUUUUCUUCGACAGUGAAGAGAGCUUUUCUUUUGUUGCUCUGGAAGCUUCCCCUUUUUGUUUCUUCGACGGUGAAGGCAGUCAAUAUAGUCUUAUUAGUUUGGAAAAUCUCUAACGGAAAAAAAAAUUGGUAAGAUAUUUUCCUUGAAAAUGUCUUGAUGUUACAUUUUCUUUCAAGAAUUAUUUCUUUUAGUAAUUCAUUUUCCACCAAACAUAGACGGUAAAACAAUGAAAAUAUUUUACGGAAAACAUUUUCCAUACAAACAAAUAGACCAUUAAUUAGAAAACCAAUUCGAUUCUAUAUUUAAAAUAAAUGUAGGCAAGCAUAUUUGUUCGUAAAAAAUCUAUCGAGACUUUCUAAUCAAUUUUGGUAUUGAGCAAAUUGGAUUCUUUUAAAAAAAAUCGAAGCAAUUUAAAUCCCAUCAGUUUCAAAAGUGAGUAAUUAAGGAUAAUUAAUCACAACAUUGAUGUUUUCCAUCAAAUGUAAAUAAUUUUAAUUGGUAUAAUAACAAAUUUACCCCUCAAAGUUUACAAUUAUAAAACUUGUCUUGAUUUAACAAAUUUAGCCAGCAAUAUUUGUGUAAAUGUUUAUACUAAAUUUGUUGAAUUUUCAGAAUUAAGACCAAAUUAACAAAACAUGCAAACAUGGCUAAAUUUUUUGUUAUACCAAUCAAAAUUAUGUACAAUUGACGAAAAAUAUUAACGUCAUGAAUAAUUGUUCUUGUUGCUCACUUUCGAAAUUAAGAAUUAUUAAAUUACUUUGAUUUUUUUGAAAGGGACCGAUUUAUUCAAUUUCAAAAUUGAAAGAGAUUGGAGAGAUAUUUUUACCCAAACUCACCUUACCUAUGUUCAGAAGAAAGAACUAAACUGGAAACCCCCAAAAGCGCGCACAAAGAAAAUCUAUCAUUGUUUCACCUAAGAAAAAUAGAAACACAACAUCCUUCCUUCCAAAGACUUUUCAUUUAGGGGAAAAGGGUGGCGAUUAUUCUUGAGAAAGUUGUAGGAAACUUAAGUUGAAUUCACCUAAAAUUAUCUAGAAGUGGCAAUUAUUCUUAAGAAAGUUAUACCAAAUUUUAGUUCAAUCGACUCAAAUGACAAAAUGCAUAAGAGUCAAUAUUUUUGUUAGGAAAUUUAUAAGAUAUUUUAUCAUAACCCAAAACGAAAUUCAAGAAUGGUGACAAUUUUUUUUUGAAGUUAUACGUUUAAUUACAAAAUCAAUUAAUAUUUAUUUUUCUUAUAGAUGAUUAUCACAUUAUUUAAAUAAUCUUUUGUACUUUUAUCAUACCCCAAAUAAGUCUUUAAAGUCUAAAUAACCCUUAAUUUUUAACUUGUAUUUAGAUAAGUUUUAGCAUUCAAUUAAUAAGAAAAUAUUUGGCAUAUUGAUAAUGGAGAUUCUAGAUUCCACAAGCGGAGGCGGUAUUAAAAUUUUUAUCAGUAAAAACUCAUCCGCUAUGCUUCACCUUUUCAAUCUCAUUCCCAUUUAAUUGACUCACUUUUUCUUCUUACCAUUACAAAAAUAGAAGCAAAAGCAAAGCUCCCUCAAUUUAUUUUGUUCUCUUUUUCCUCAAUCUCACAAUCCAUACACUUACAUGGCGUCUUCUUCAUCUUCUUCUCGUCAAGUGAAACAUCAAGUUUUCUUGAGCUUCAGAGGUGAAGACACGCGUGUUAACUUCACCGCUCAUCUACUCCAAGCUUUGAAAGACAAGGGAUGGACUGUCUUCUUCGAUGACGAUACACUAAAGAAAGGGGAGAAAAUUUCAUCAGCACUUUCGAAUGCAAUUGCGGCCUCAAUUCUCUCCAUCAUCAUUUUAUCUAAAGACUAUGCUUCUUCAAAUUCAUGCUUAGGUGAACUUUCUGACAUCAUGGAUCGCAAGCGCAAUCCUACUGACAAAUAUAUUGUUCUUCCCAUCUUUUACCAUGUUAAUCCUUCCCAUGUGCAAAAAAUUGGUGGGACUUUUAAGACAUCCUUCCAAAAGCAUGAAUCAAAGCAACCAGCUGAUAGAGUACAACGAUGGAAAUCUGCAUUUCAAGAGGUCGGUGCAUUAAAAGGGUGGCAUAUAGGAGGCAAAUCCGAUAGGUAACAAUAUAUCUAGUCUCAUCUCCUUAUAUUUUACUUAUACGAAUAUCUUUCUUUUGACUCUCGAUUUUUUAACUAUUUUCUAGAUAUGAAACAGAGUACAUUGAAGAUGUGGUUGAAUAUAUUUCAAAAGAGUUGGAUAGCAAUUGUACAAGUGUUUCUGAAGAAUUGGUUGGAAUAAAUGAUCAAAAAAAGAUAAUUUUGGGGCUGAUUGAGCAAGAGCAUAGCCGUGUAAUAGGACUUUGGGGAAUGGGUGGUAUUGGCAAAACUACCCUUGCUGAUGUUGCGUAUAGUGAAAUCUGCCAAAAUUUUGAAAGCCACUUGUUUCUGCGAAAUGUUAGUGAGAAAAUAAAAAAUGUAGGGAAUGAAUCUUUACGAAAUGAACUUUUUUCCAAAUUAUUAAACCAAAAAGGAAUUUGUAUCAACAGCCCUUCCAUAGGACACCCUUACCAAGAGCGGUUGAACAAUAAAAAAGUACUUGUUGUCCUUGAUGAUGUUAGUAACCCAGAUCAAAUAGAAUUUAUGGGUGUUAAACAUUUUGGUCCAGAAAGUAAAAUCAUUGUAACAUCUAGAGAUAGACAGGUACUUAAAAAUGGAAGAGCUAACCACAUAUAUGAGGUGAAGAAGUUGAAUGAGAAUGAUUCUCUUCAACUUUUUUCUACACUUGCAUUUAACUUGUUGACUCCCGCAGCUGAUUUUCAAGAUCUAUCAUGCAAGUUUGCAGGAUAUGCCCAAGGUAAUCCACUUGCACUUAAAGUUUUGGGUUCUAAACUAUAUACAAAGUCUAGAAAAGAGUGGGAGAGCGAAGUGGAUAGUCUAAAGCAAUAUGCCGAGCCAAAAAUGUCACAUAUUUUGAAGAGUAGCUUAGAUGGGUUGCGUGAGCUAGAAAAGAAUAUAUUUCUUGACAUAGCAUGCUUCUUUAAAGGAGAAAAAAUGGAUACUGUAGAAAAAAUUCUAAGUAACUAUUAUAUGGGUGCAAUGAGUGGAAUAAGAAACUUAGUCGACAAGUGCUUACUUGAUAGCAUAGAUUGUUAUUCUAUGCACGACAUGCUUGAAGAGAUCGGCAAGGACAUUGUUCGCCAAGAAUGUAAAGAAGACCCGGGAAAGCGUAGCAGGUUAUGGUUUCCUGAAGACGUAGAUCAAGUGCUCAGAUAUAAUAAAGUAAGCGCUAAUUGUAUUUACAGUGUUUUCUAUUAUUUUAUAUAUUUGUGUUAUUUUAAUUAAAAUUUAUUUGUGAUAUCAUGUAAAUAUAUAAAUUCAGUUAAUUAUAUGUUUUCAUACGUUAAAAGUUUAAUUGUUUGUAUUUAUAUUGUAUCAAAUGUUAAUCAUUUUAAUUAUUAUUUCAAAAAAUAAAAUAUCAGUUUACUUACCAUGCAUACAAAUAAAGACAAAUGUCUUAAGAGUAUAACAUGGGAUCUACUCAAGGAUUUACUGGGUUGGUACUUAUUUAAUGCAUUGCUUUUAAAAAACAGCAAAAUGUAUCUUUAUGUACUGAUACUUGAUAAAAUGUUUUUCAUUAUUAGGGGACCGUAUCAAUUGAAGGAAUAAAAUUAGACAUGUUUCAAAUGGAUGAGCUGCAGUUAUGUCCAUCUGUUUUUCAGAACAUGCUUAAUCUUAAAUAUAUUUGCUUCUAUGAUUCAAAGAUUGAGAAGGGCUAUCGAAAUCCGAAGUUUCUUAUAGAGCAAGUUGAUAGUAUAUCUCUUCCUAAUAAGCUAAGGUACCUUUGUUGGGAUUAUUUUCCCCUUAAAACUUUAUCAAGUUUUAAUCCAAAGAAUCUUGUCAUGUUGAUAUUACGAAGUGGCAAUAUGGAACAACUGUGGAAUGAAAAUGAUCAUAUGGUAUGUGCUUUCAUACUUUCUCCAUCUAAGAAUUUUUUUAAGGAAAAAAAAUUAUAAUUUGAUGUAUCAAAUGAUCAUAUGAUGACAUCUUAUUUAAAGUUUUAAAAAAAAUAAAUAUAAAAGAUUUUAUUUUAUUUAAAUAGGUGACAUCAUUUGAUCUAUUAAUUGUGGGUGAAAUUUCAAGUCCAAUACAUCGGUAUAAGUUUUUGUUUUUCUUAUUAUUAUAAUUAUUUAUUUCCUUUCCAUUUUUUAUUGCCUAAAGUAAGUGGAUGACAUUUAAAUUUUUUUCCUGUACAGAAUCUUGUUAAUUUAAGGGAAAUUGACGUCUCAAAUUGCAAAAAAUUAAGGAAGAUACCUAAUCUUUCAAGAGCCCUCAACCUUGAACUCCUUGAUUGCUCUUACUGUGAAAGUUUGUUUGAACUUCCUUGCCUCAAUCAUUUGGCAUCUCGUGAUGAGGAUAAGCUUCGCCUUGAGGGAUGUUAUAGUCUCAAGAAGUUUCCUCAGGUCCCAAGUCACUUUUGUUAUUUAGAUUUACGAGAAACUGAAAUACAAGAAGUACCUGAUGCAAUUAAGUAUCUCCACAAACUUGAAAGAUUGUUGUUGAGCAAAUCAAAGGUAGAAAAAGUAUCGAUCAAUAUUUCAAAGUUGGAACUCCUUAGUGAAUUGAAUCUUAGUGAAUGCCCAAUGGUCGAAUUUCCAAAAAUCCCGAGGAGCUUAACAUGGUUAGACUUAUCUGGAACUGGAAUUGAAGAAGCUGCCUUGUCGUUAGACUCUUUAAGUAAUCUUCAAUACUUAAAUAUGAGCGGCUCAAGUAUUCAAAAGCUAAUGUGUAAUAUCACCCUGUUCGGUUCCAGAGAGUUUCCAACUGUCGAUUUGCCCACACCAAGCUUGAGGUCUAAAAUCCUUAACCAUAUGAGGAUGGAUCGUUGCGAGAGCCUCAAAUUACUCUCGGAGCUUCCACCAUAUAUGCAAAACUUGAAUGUACAAUGCUGCACAUCAUUAGAAAAAGUUUCCUUUGCAGAUCAAGAUUUAUAUCAGUUCGAUUCGUUAGGUGAUGAUUUGUUUGGCAUGCUAUUCUGUAAUUGCAUCAACUUGAAUCAAGAGUCAAUUGAUAACAUUGAGGAAAAUGCCAUGCUCAAAAUUGGAUCCCUAGCUAAGAAAUGGGCAGCGAGAUAUGAUUGGAAAUACCAGCGAGAAGACUUUCCAAGAUUGAUUUGUUGUUUCCCAGGAAACAAAAUUUCAGCAGAUAAGUUCAAGUGUCAGAGAAUGAAUUCUUCCUUGAGUUUGAAGAUUGCCCCAAAUAGGGGUAGUGGGAGCAGAUUUUUGGUUUUUGCUAUUUGCCUUGUGGCUGAUCUCACUCACUGCCAUCGCUUUAAAUAUCUUAAUUGUAUUUGUGAGUACCACCUUACAGCCGCCGGUGGUGGUGAUUCUAAAAGCUACAUAAGUAAGAUAUCUUUCUUCGAUUGUUCUGAGCCAAAUAAGUACAAGGGUGAUCACGUGUUUAUUCUAUCUAGCAACGACAUGGUUGAAGAAGACAAGAACUAUGAAGAGGCAUCAUUUAAAUUCUACAUCAUCGACAAUGAUGAUGAAGUUAAUGAAGAAGAAGACUAUAACAAGGUGGAAAGAUGUGGUGUUCAUGUAUUUUACGUGGAUGCUACUGAAAAGAGAGUUGCUGGGAACAAAAGAAGCUUUAGCCAUGAUGGUGAAGAAGGGGAUGGAGGACUUAAAAGAUUGAAAUAGUUUGUAUUUCUUUUCAUCUUUGGCUCUGUUUUUGAGGAGUUCCAACUUCUCAAUUAUGUCAUCCAAAUGCAUAGUUAGGGGUUUCAUUUUCAUCUCAUUUUUUCAUAUUAUCAUAAAUCUUCAUGUUAUUUUUCAUAUUGCCAUACUUUUGUUUUCCACAACUGUUAAUAGUAAAUUUUCAACUUAUAAAUUAGUGACAGAAAAUGAAGUGCUUUAAUUAAUUAAAACCAACCAGAAUGAAUCUAACUUGCUCUGCUUUAUAAAUUACUUGUCUUUUAGAAGGUGCUUUGCCAUACUGAAUCCUUGUAGUUCCACAUUGUAAAUGUUAAAAGCAUAAUUUAUGAACAUAAAAUUGGAAAUUUGUUCAAUAGUUUGUGAUAGUUGCUUAUUAUUAUUUUUUCUCAUCUUCAUUCCGCCGUAAUGUCUGUGUUGUUUUGUAGAUAUAGCAUACAUUGUCCAAGAACGAAAUUCUCCAUAUAUAUUAAUUAAUUUGGAGGAAAAUUGAACGGAAACUAGAGAUUUCAACACAGUAGCAAAAUGAUUCUGCUUUGGAGUUGAUAAAAUAUCCAUAGAGGAUUUUGGUGGGUACCAAAACUCAGAUAUUAAAAUUCAUACUUAAUUCUUAUUGACAGUUGACUUGUUUUUGGUUGGUUUUUUUAAUUCAUAGGGCCAAAUGUGGACUCGAUUCAGCUUCAUUGUUUAGUUUCCAGCAUUGGUGUCAUCUGGUAUCUCAAUACUUGCUGCAUUUUCUUCCAUUAGAAAGAUUGGUUAUUUGUGAGAUACGUUUUUCUUAUAUCCUUUGCUUUUGUGUUGAUGUAAGACGAAGGAAUGACAGAUCUUUGUGAAUGCCACUGCUGAAUUGGAGCUUUAGCCAUACAAGGAGGAACACCUGAGCUGUAAGAGCUUCAAUUUGUUUUACUGAAUGCUUGCUUUAUACAAGUGUUUGAACUGAUAUUUGGUGAAAAUGCAAGUUGUCAACAGAGUUGUCUACACAAAUGCAGAGUAAUCUUUUGAGGCCCUUUCUAGGUUCUGGCAAUUCAGUCUUGGUGGAGAAGUAAGUUACCUUUGACUUUGACUUCUUAUUAUGAUUUUAGGUUCAUAUGAUGAUUUUAAGCAUCCUUAAUCUUUUUUUUCCCAUAUUUAUCAAUGGGAUUAUAUAAAUCCAAAAUUUGCAACAGAUCUCAAAACUUGUGAGAUGAACACAUGGAGCUGGAGGCAACCUUUGACAGUUUUCAUUCUCAAGCUAGAUUGAGUUAGUUUCAUGGUAGAGGCAUUGGAGUUUGGGCUGAAAUUUCUUUGUAUGUUACUGCCUCUCAUGUUGUUUGAGCUUUGCAGUGAAGAGAUAUUAAGAUUCAUACUUGAAUUCUUUUUGGCAAUUGACUUGUUAUUGGAUGGUUUUGAUUCAUAGGAUCUGUGGUGGACAUCAUUUAGCUUAAUUUUUUGGGUAUUCGAUUUAUUUGAAUUAUUUGGAUUCUUUGAAUUCGAAAAAUCCUCGAAUUGAACUCGAAAUUUGAAAAAAAAAAUCAAGUUGAGUCAAUUAAUUCGAUUAACUCACUUAACUUGAUUCGAAUAAUUUGAAAUUCGACUUUUUUUUUCAAUGUUUUCGAAUAGAAUCGAAUUUUGCUCAUUCCUACUUGCUAAACAAUUUAGGUGAAUCCUUUUUUAAUUAGAAAACUGAUUCGAUUCUAUGUUUAAAAUAAAUGUAAGCAAGCAUAUUUGUUGGUAAAAGAUCUAUUCAAUCUCUCUCAAUGUUGAUAUUUAGUAAAUUGAUCUCUCUUAAAAAAAUUAGAACAAUUUAAAUUCCAUCAAUUUCGAAAGUGAGCAAUUAAGGUAAAUUAAUCACAACAUUAAUGUUGUCCAUCAAGCGUACAUAAUUUUGAUUGGUAUAAUAACAAAUUUACCCCUUAAAUUUUACAAUUUUGUCUUGAUUUAACAAAUUUAGCCCACAACAUUCGUGUAAAUGUUGAUACUAAAUUUAUUGAUUUUUUAGAACCAAGACCAAAUUGACAAAAAAUGGAAACAUUGAAGGCUAAAUUUAUUGUUAUACCAAUCAAAAUUAUGUACAAUUGACGAAAGACGUUAACAUCACGAUUAAUUGUCCUUAGUUACUCACUUUUAAAAUUAACAAUGAUUAAAUUACUUUAAUUUUUUUUUGAGAGUGACCAAUUUAUUCGAUUCCAAAAUUGAAAGAAACUAAAGAGGUCUUUUUAACCAAACUCACAUUACCUGUGCUCAAAAUAAAGGAUUAAACAGGAAACCCCCAAAGCACAAAGAAAAUCUAUCAUAAUUUUACCUAGGAAAAUAGAAACCCUUCAUUCCAAAGACUUUUCAUUUAGGGGAAAAAAGUGAAAAUUAUAAAGUUUGGGAAAUUUAAGUUCAAUUCACUUAAAAUUGUCUAAAAGUGAUUCUUAUUCUUAAAGAAAAUUAUAUGAGAUUUCAGUUCAAUUGACCCAAAUCACAAAGUGUGUAGAAGUCAAUAUUUUUGUUAGGACCCAAAAAGAAAUUCAAGAAUGGAAAUUUAUUUACUUAACAAUUUUGUGCCAAUGGAAGACCUUGACUUGGAAAUUAACACCCCCCAACAUCAUUGGAACAAUUUUUCUUGUUGAUAAUAAUCUUUAAGACAAAAAUAGCAUCACAUACAUACACAAGAGCUGAGUUACUUGAUUUACAAAUCAAAGUUCCAUAUAUUAAAAUAAAUUUUAAUUAUAAAAAUUUCAAACUUCAAAAAAAAAAAAAGAAAAAAAAAGAGAGAGCAGAGCAAGCAGCACAGUUAAUUUUAUUUGGUUCGAGUUUUUGAUGGUAGGCAGCAGAGUUAAAGGCUUUUGGAGAGAUAGAGUUUGAUUGGUGGUGCGGUUUCUAAGGUCCACACGCACAUUCUUCACUCAUAAAAUUGGCUAUGCUUCACCCUUUCAAUCUCAUUCCCGUUUAAUUGACUCGCUUUUUCUUCUUACCAUUAAAAAGAUAGAAGCAAAAGCAAAGCUCCCUCGGUUUAUUUUGUUCUCUUUUUCCUCAAUCUCACAAUCCAUACACCUUCAUGGCGUCUUCUUCAUCUUCUUCUCGUCAAAUGAAGCAUCAAGUUUUCUUAAGCUUCAGAGGUGAAGACACGCGCCUUAACUUCACCGUUCAUCUACUCCAAGCUUUGAAAGACAAGGGACUGAAUGUCUUCUUCGAUGAAGAAAAACUAGAGAAAGGGGAGGAACUUUCACAUGCACUUUCACAAGCAAUUGCAGCCUCAGAUCUCUCAAUCCUCGUUUUAUCUAAAGACUAUGCUUCUUCACAAUCAUGCUUAGCUGAACUUUCUGACAUCAUGGAUCGCAAGCGCAUGCCCACGGACAAACAUAUUGUUCUUCCCAUCUUUUACCAUGUUGAUCCUUCCGAUGUGCGAAAUAUUGGUGGGACUUUUAAGACAUCCUUCGAAGAGCAUGAAUCAAAGAGACCAAUUGAAGACAUGAAGCGAUGGAAAGUCGCCUUCGCUGAAAUCGGUGCAUCAAAAGGGUGGCAUAUAGAAGGAGGCAAAUCCGAUAGGUAACAAUACAUACAUUCUCAUCUUCUUAUAUUUGACUUAUAUAUAUAUCUUUCUCUUUUGACUGUUGAUUUUUUUUUUUAAUUUUCUAGAUUUGAAACUGAGUACAUUAAAGAUGUCGUUGAAUAUGUUUUAAAAAAGUUGAAUAGCAAUUGUAGAAGUGUCUCUGAAGAAUUGGUGGGAAUAGAUGAUCAAAAAAAGAAGCUUUUGGUGUUGAUUGAGCAAGCGGGCAUCCAUGUAAUAGGACUUUGGGGCAUGAGUGGUAUAGGCAAAACUACCCUUGCUGAUGCUGUAUAUAAGGAAGUCUCUCCAAAGUUUGAAUGUAGUUUGUUUCUUCAAAACAUUAGUGAGAAAAUAAAGAAACAGGGGAGUGAAUCUUUACGAAAUGAACUUCUUUCCAAACUAUUAAACAAUACUCUUUCCAUAGGAUACCCUUACCACGAGAGGCUGAAUAAUAAAAAAAUACUUCUUGUCUUUGAUGAUGUUACUGACCCAGACCAAAUGGAUUUUGUGGGUGUUAAAUAUUUUGGUCCUGGAAGUAAAAUCAUUGUAACAUCUAGAGAUAUACAAGUACUUAGGAAUGGAGGAGCAAACCACAUACAUGAGGUAAAGAAGUUAAACAUGAACGACUCUUUUCAACUUUUUUCUACAUAUGCAUUUCAAUUGUUGAAUCUUCCAGUUGAUUUCAAAUAUCUAUCAUUCAAGUUUGUAGAAUAUGCCCAAGGUAAUCCACUUGCUCUUAAAGUUCUGGGUUUGAAAUUAUAUACAAAGUCUAUAAAAGAGUGGAAGAGCGAGGUGACUAAACUAAAGCAAUGUGGAGAAAUAAAACUUUCACAUAUUUUGAAGAGUAGCUUAGAUGGGCUGGAUGAGUUAGAGAAGAAUAUAUUUCUUGACGUAGCACGCAUCUUUAAAGGGCAACACUUGAAUUACGUAGAAAAAAUUCUAAGUAAUUAUUAUAAAGGUGCAAGAUGUGGAAUAAGUAAAUUGGUCGGCAAGUGCCUACUUGAGGUCAAAUAUGAAUCUAUUUCUAUGCAUGGCAUGCUUGAAGAGAUGGGCAAAGACAUUGUUAUGCAAGAAUCUGAAUACCCUGGAAAGCGCAGUAGAUUAUGGAAUUGUAAAGAUGUGGAAGAAGUGAUCAGCUAUGAUAAAGUAAGUGUUAAUAGUAUUUAUAUUCUUUCUAUUCUUUCACAUGGUUUAAUAGAUGUUGUGGUGUACAAAAUAUUAUCCUUUUUAAUUAUUAUUUUAAAAAAUAAAAUAUUUAUUACUUCCCAUAAACAUAAUGACCAAAUGUCUUAUGAUGCAACAGUCAACAUGGAAUUUGCUGAAGGUUUUUUGAGUUUGUUAAAUAUAUAAUGCUUUACUUUAAAAAAAAUUAAACAGUAAAAACUUUGUGCAUCUAAAAAUUCCUCUAAUAAAAAGGUAUGCCAAGUUAGUUUAAAGUAUUUCCUAAUUUAAUUAACUUUUUUAUGACUGAUUUAAUGGAAUGUCCAUAAAUUUUUUUGUGUUAAUUCAUGAUAAACAAUUUUUUUGUCAGGGGACUGACCUAAUUAAAGGAAUAAAGGUAGACAUGACUGAAGUUGAUAGUCUACAGUUUUGUGCUACUGCUUUUGAGAAGAUGCAUAAGCUUAGAUAUAUCAACAUCAGCUUUCCUAAGAAAAUGUUGUGGCUUAAGAAGCUAUAUGCAAAUCAAGUUGAGAGUAUAUCUCUUCCUGAUGAGUUAAGGUUUCUCCGUUGGGAUGUUUACCCUUUCAAAUCUUUAUCUGGUUUUAAUCCAAAAAAUCUUGUCGUGUUGAAACUAUUACAUGGCAACAUGGAACAACUUUGGAAUGAAGACGACGAUAUGGUAUAUACUUUCAUACUUUCUUCAUCUAAGAAGUUUUUUUUAAGGAGAAAGAGGAUUUAUAAUUUGAUGUGUCAAAUAAUAUAUCGGAUGAUAUUUAUUUAAAGUUUUUAAAAUAUAAAUAUGAAACAUUUUAUUUAUUUAAAUAAGUGAAAUCAUUUUAUUUAAUUUUUUUAAAUAUAUAUAUAAAUUUAUUUUAUUUUUCUAAAAGAAGCAAUUUCAUCUAUUAAUGGUGGGUGUGAAUUAAUACACCCAAUAUAAAUUUUUAUUUUGAUAGUCUUAAUAUAAGUAGAUGAUGCUCUAAAGUAAUCAUCCUGUGUAGGAUCUUGUCAAUUAUUUAUUUUCUUUUUAUUUCUUACUUUCUAAAGUAAGUAGAUGAUACUUAAGAAGGAUAUAAUUAUUUUUAUAUAUUUUUCUUUUGCACAGAACCUUACUAAUUUAAGGGAAAUUGACGUUUCAUAUUGCAAGAAUUUAAGGAAGAUGCAUAAUCUUUCAGGUGCCAUCAACCUUGAACUCCUUCGUUGCAUUGGCUGUGAAAGUCUGGUUGAACUUUGGAGUGAAGAUGAUCAUAUAGUAUGUGUGCUUUCAUACUUAUUUCAUUUAAGAAUAUAUUUUUUUAAUUUAAUGUAUCAAAUAAUCAUAUGUUAUGUUGACAUCUUAAUUAAAGUUUUUACAAAAGAAAUAUGAAAGAUUUUAUUUUAUUUUAUAUAAAUUAGUGGCAUCAUUUGAUCUAUUAAUUGUGGGUUAAUUUUCAUGCCCAAUACAUCAAAUAUGAAUUUUUAUUUUUCUUAGUAUUAUAAUUAUUUAUUUCCUUUUUCUUUUUUUACUACUUAAAGUAAGUAGUUGAUGCUUAAAAGCAAUACAAAUGUUGUUUCUAUACAGGAGCUUGUUAAUUUAAGGGAAAUUUACGUUUCAGAAUGCAAAAAUAUAAGGAAGAUAUGUAAUCUUUCAAGAGCCAUCAACCUUGAAUUCCUUGAUUGCUCUUACUCUAAAAGUUUGGUUGAACUUUGGAAUGAAGAUGAUCGUAUGGUAUGCGUUUUUAUACUCUCUCUUUUUUUUGAAAAAAAUAAUUUAUAAUUUGAUGUAUCAAAUAUUCAUAUGAUAAUAUUUUAUUUAACGGUUUUUAAAAAUAUAUAUAAAAGAAUUUAUUUUAUUUAGAUAAGUGACAUCGUUUGAUUUAUUAAUACAUCAAAUAUAAAUUUUUAUUUUUAUUGUAUUAUAAUUAUUUAUUUCCUUUACAUAUUUUACUGUCUAAAGUAAGUGGUGGAUGCUUAGAAGUAGAACAAUUAUUUUUUCUGUACAGGACCUUGUUCAUUUAAGGAAAAUUUACUUUGAUGGGUGCGUGAAUUUAAGGAAGAUACCUAACCUUUCAAGAGCCAUCAACCUUGAAUUCCUUGGUUGCUCUAACUGUAAAAGUUUGGUUGAACUUCCUUGCCUCAAUCAUUUGGCAUCUCUUCAUCAAUAUAGUCUUCGCCUUAACGGAUGUUAUAGUCUCAAGAAGUUUCCUAAGGUCCCACGUCCCUUUUGUUCUUUAGAUUUACCAGAAACCAAAGUAGAAGAAGUGUCUGAUUCAAUUAAGGAUCUCCACAAACUUGAAACUUUGUGGUUAGGGAAGUCAAAGGUGAAAAAAGUAUCGAUCAAUAUUUUAAAGUUGGAAUUCCUUCGUAAAUUGGAUCUUAGUGGUUGCCCAAUUGAAGAAGUGUCGUUGCCUUUCGACCCCCUAUGUAAUCUUCAGCACUUAAAAAUGAGUGGCUCAGCGGUCAAAAAUGUAUCGAUCAAGUUGGAAUCCCUUCGCAAACUGAAUCUUAGUGGAUGCCCAAUGGUCAAAUUUCCAGAAAUCCCAGGAAGCUUAAUAAAAUUAAACUUAUCUGGCACUCAAAUUGAAGAAGUGUCGUUGCCUUUCGACUCUCUAUGUAAUCUUCAGCACUUAAAUAUGAGUGGCUCAGCGGUCAAAAAUGUAUCGAUCAAGUUGGAAUCUCUUCAUUAUCUGGAUCUUAGUGGUUGCCCAAAGAUCGAAUUACUCUCAGAGCUUCCACCAUAUCUGGAAGUCUUGAGUGUAAAUGACUGCACAUCAUUAGAAAAAGUAUCCUUUACAGAUCAAAAUUUAAAUCAGUUUGAUUCUUUAGAUGAUGAGUAUUGCAUAAAUCAUAACUUUUUAAUGCGAUUCCGUAAUUGCUUCAACUUGAAUCAAGACUCAACUAAUAACAUUGAGGCAAAUGCCAUGCUCAAAAUUGGAUCCCUAGCUAAGAAAUGGGCAGCGAGAUAUGAUUGGCAAUACAACCCUGACAGAGCUCCAAGUUUGAUUUGUUGUUUCCCAGGAAACAAAAUUUCAGCAAAUAUGUUCAAGUGUCAGAGCAUGAAUUCUUCCUUAAGUUUGAAGAUAGCCCCAAAUGGGGGUAGUGGGAGCAGAUUUUUGGUUUUUGCUAUCUGUCUUGUGGCUGAUCUCACUCACUGCCUUGAAUUUCAAUUACGUGAAUGUAUUUGUGAGUACCAACUUACAACCGCCGGUGGUGGCAAUGGUGGAGGUGGUUGUGAAAAUUUCAGAAGUGAGAUACGUUUCCGCAGUUUUUAUGAGCCAGUUAAGUACAUGGAUUAUCACGUGUUUAUUCUAUCUAGCAUCGACAUGGUAAUAGAAGACAAGAAUUAUGAGGAGGCAACAUUUGAAUUCUACAUCAAAAAUUUCCAUUUCGAUGAAGACAAUGAUGGAGGAGAAAAGUAUAUCAAGGUGGAGAGAUGUGGUGUUCAUGUAUUUUACGUGGAUGCUACUGAAAAGAGAGUUGCUGGGAACAAAAGAAAAGCUUUAGCCAUGAUGGUGAAGAAGGGGAUGGAGGACUUAAAAGAUUGAAAUAGUUUGUAUUUCUUUCCAUCUUUGGCUCUGCUUUUGAGGAGUUUCAACUUCUCAAUUAUGUCAUCCAAAUGCAUAGGUAAGGGUUUCAUUUCAUCUCAGUUUUUCAUAUUAUCAUAUAUUUUUUAGUUUUUUCAUUUCAUUUUUCAUAUUGCCAUACUUUUGUUUUCCACAAUUGUUAAUAGUAAAUUUUGAACUUAUAAAUUAAUAACAGCAAAUGAAGUGCUUUAAUUAAUUAAAACCGACCAGGAUGAAUCUAACUUGUUCUGCUUUAUAAAUUACUUGUCUUUCAGAAGGUGCUUUACCAUACUGAAACCUUGUAGUUCUACAUUGUAAAUGUUAAAAACAUAAUUUAUGAACAUAAAAAUUGGAAAUUUGUUCAACAGCUUGUGAUUUUUGCUUAUUAUUAUUAUUAUUAUUUUUUCCAUCUUCAUCCCCCUGUUGUGUCUGUGUUCUUAAAAUUCAGAUAUUAAGAUUCAUACUUAAUUCUUAUUGACAGUUGACUUGUUAUUGGUUGGUUUUUUUUAAUUCAUAGGACCAGUGGUGGACUCGAUUCAGCUUCAUUGUUUAGUUUCCAGCAUUGGUGUCAUCUGGUAUCUCAGUACUUGCUGCAUUUUCCUUCAAUGACAUCUAGAUUCAUUAGAAAGAUUGGUUAUUUGUGCCACUGCUGAAUUGGAGCUUUAGCCAUAUAAGGAGGAGCACCUGAACUGUAAGAGCUUCAAUUUGUUUUGCUGAAUGCUUGUUUUAUACAAGUGUUUUAACUGAUAUUUGGUGACAAUGCAAGUUGUCAACAGAUUUGUGAACACGACUUCAAAGUAAUCUUUUGAGGCCCUUUCUGGGUUCUGGCAAAUUCAGUCUUGAUGAAGAAGUUACCAUUGACUUUGACUUAAUUAUCAUGAUUUUAGGAUCAUAUAAUGAUUUUCAGCAUCCUCACCAUUUUUUCCCAUAUUUAUCAAUGGGAUUAUAUAAAUCCAGAAUUUGCAAGAGAUCUCAAAACUUGUGGGAUGAACACGUGGAGCUAGAUGGAACCUUCGGCAGUUUUCAUUCUCAAGCUAGAUUGGGUUAGUUCCAGGGUAGAGCCAUUGGAGUUGAUAGCUUCUUACCUUGGAUUUUGAUUGUCGUAUCAGUUUGGGCUGAAAGUUCUUUGUAUGUUACUGCCUCUCAUGUUGUUUGAGCAUUGCAGUGAAGAGAUAUUAAGAUUCAUACUUGAAUUCUUUUUGGCAAUUGACUUGUUAUUGGUUGGUUUUGAUUCAUAGGAUCUGUGGUGGACAUCAUUCAGCUUAAUUGUUUAGGUUCUACCAUUGGUGCUUGUGCCAUGGGCAGUAAGUAGAGAUUUAAUCAUAUUGUAUCUCAAGACUAUCUGCAUUUUACUUCAAUGAUUCGUUCACCCAUUGAUUUAUGCUCAUAUUUCCUUAAAAUGUUAGUAAAUAUAUAUGUUUUCAGUUCAUGAUUUCUGAUUUAUAUUCAUGUUAGAUAAGGUAAACCUACCAACUGUUCCCUAUAUAUAAUCAAUAGAUGCUUGAGAUUGGUUAAUCUUCUAACAUAUGGUUUUAUAUUGAUCACAGAGUAGGUGUUUUCUAUUUGUUAUGUUUUAUUUUUUUUGAAUUUUAUGACCGUGAUCCGUAGUUUCCAUAAAAUUUUAAUGAAAGUCAAGUCGGACAUAGUGCUGCACAUAAUUCCUCCCAUUCAUUCUCAAUUGUGGAAUUCACAAUCUGCCAGAAAUCAUACUCAUAAGAUUUCCCUAGCUUCCUUCCUGACCAAUUUGCAAACAUGUCCCUCGCACAAUUCCUAUGCUCCACCUUUGGCGAUAUGUCAGAAAUUACAAUCUGAAGGCCUUAAUUGUGUUUUAAUGAACCAAAUAGAUUAUUAGAAAAAUAUAGUUAAUUAUACUUAACAAAAUAAAAAGACAAGACCAAGCCCAAAUUAGUUAAUUCACUAACCUUUUGUUGGUCCUUGAUAAUUGUUUAAUUCGGCUCGGUUUGGUUCACAAUUUCUUAUAUUAAUUUUUUGUUUUGAUUUUUAAGGUUUAUUUUGAUAAAAUGAGUUUUGUUUUAUGGCUUUUAAAUAUUAUUUGAUAAAUUUCAAAUUUAUUUUCAUAAAUAUUUCUAAAAUACAAUAAUUUUUCAAAAACUUUUAAAUUACUUUCACUAUUUUAAAUAUAAAAUAUGUAUUUUUAUAUCAAAAAAGUUAAAAUUAAUUAUAUAUGAAAUAAAAAAUAAAAUUCGAUUCGAUUUCAGAUAAUAACCAAUUUUUUAGUAAAAAACAAACAAACAAAUAAAAAUUACAUCAAACUAAAUUGAUCAAAAGCACCCUUAACUUUUAUCUUGAUUUAAAAUAUUUAAAACAUCACGAGGGACUUUAUUAUAAAACUGUAAACUUAUCCUCUCAACUAAGCUCAAUUAAUCGCCAUUUUUAAAUUUAUAUUUUAUUAAUCGUUGAAAUAAGAAACAUUUUGGGUUUGAUGGGCCCACCCACCAUCAAAACACUCCCACUUUUGCGGUAAAAGAUAAAAAGGAGAAUUGAUUAUCUCCGGUGGUGUUGACUAAGAUAAUUGGCUAAGCUCAAGUCUAAGGAAAACGCCUUCAAUCUCUUUCCCAUUUAAUAAAAGGAUACCAAAGAUUAUGCAUAUUUUACACUUUUUCUUCUUACAAUAAUACCACAACCCAAGCAAAACUCACUUGCUAUAUUUUUCUCUCUUUUGCUUCAAUACUCUUCCAUGGCUUCUUCUUCUUCUUCAUCUUCUACUCUAAUGAAGUAUCAUGUUUUCCUUAGCAGAAUACCCUUAAAUUCUAUAUGAUGUUGUAAUAGCAUAAGGAAAAAAACUAAAAUAACUAGAAUAUCCUUAGCAGAAUUUUUUUUAGGUAGAUGAUUAUUGUUAUUGUUAUUAAAUUUUAAUAAGAUUAUUAAUAUAAAUAAUAAAUAAUUUAAUCAUAUGUUAUAAAAAAAGUUGACGAAUAUUGGGUUUGAAAGUGCUUCUGAAGAAUUGGUUGGAAUAGAAUAUCAGAAAAGGACGAUUUUGAAGCUGAUUAAGCAAAAAGACUGUCGUGUAAUAGGACUUUGGGGAAUGGGUGGUGAAGGCAAAUCAACCCUUGCUGAGGCUGUUUAUAAAAAACUCUCUUCAGAGUUUGAAACGCAUUGCUUUCUUCAAAAUGUUAGAGGAAAUAAAAAAACAAGGGAAGGAAUCUUUACGAAAUAAAUUUCUUUUGGAAUUAUUGAACUCAAAUGUUGAUAUAGGCACCCCCUCCAUUGGAUCCACUUUAACUCAAGAGAGACUCAACAAGAAGAAAGUACUUGUUGUCCUUGAUGAUGUUGAUGACUCAGACCAAAUAGAUUAUAUGGGUGUUAAACAUUUUGGUUAUGGAAGUAAAACCAUUAUAACAUCAAGAGAUAGACAAGUGCUCGAGAGUGGAGGAGCUGACACAAUACAUGAGGUGAAAGGGUUAAAUGAGAACAAUUCUCUUCAACUUUUUUCUACCUUUGAGUUUAAGCAGUUGAAUCCCCCAGUUGGUUUUGAAGAUCUAUCCCGUAGGUUUGUAAAGUACACACAAGGCAAUCCACUUGCUCUUAAAGUAAAAGAUAAUCUGGCGUGCAAGUAACACCAGUGUUGACUAAAGGAUAGUUGGCUAAGCUCAAGUCGUCGCCUGUGCUUUUGCCUAGGCCUUCAAUCUCUUUCCCAUUUACACUUUUUCUUCUUACAAUAAUACCACAACCCAAGCAAAACUCACUUGCUAUAUUUGUUCUCUCUUUUGCUUCAAGCACACUAUCAAUACUCUUUCAUGGGUUCUUCUUCUUCAUCUUCUACUCUAAUGAAGUAUCAUGUUUUCUUGAGCUUCAGAGGUGAAGACACGCGCCUUAAUUUCACCACUCACUUACUUCAAGCUUUGAAAGACGAGGGACUUGAUGUUUUCUUCGAUGAAGAAAAACUGGAAAGGGGGGACCAGCUUUCACAAGCACUUUCUCGAGCAAUUGCAGUCUCAAAUAUCUCAAUCAUCGUUUUGUCUGCAGACUAUGCCUCUUCGAAAUCAUGCUUGGUUGAACUCUCUGACAUCAUGGACCGCUAUAGCGUCGGACAACAUACUGUUCGUCCCAUCUUUUACCAUGUUAACCCCUCUGAUGUGGUGAAAAUUGAUGGGAGUUUUAAGAAAUCCUUUGAUGAGCAUAAAACAAAGAGGUCAGUUGAUGAAGUGAAACAAUGGGAAACCGCUUUUGCUGAAGUUGGUAAAUUACAAGGGUGGCAUAUAGAUGGAAGCAGGUCGGAUGGGUAACUAUAUUUGUCUCAUCUCCUUAUAUUUGACUUAUCUUCGUUUUGGCUUUCAUAUAUAUACUUCUUCUAUUAUUUGCUAGACCUGAAACCCAGUACAUCAAGGAUAUUGUUGCGUAUGUUAUGCAAAAGUUGAUGAAGCAUCAAGUUUUCUUAAGCUUAGGUGAAGACACACGCCUCAACUUCUCCAAUCACCUAGUAAAUGCUUUGGAAAAAGUAGGAAUUAAUGUCUUCCCCGAUAACGAAACACUGAAAAAAGGAGAGAAACUUCCACCAACGUAUUCUCGAACAAUUUCGGCCUCAAAUCUCUCAAUCCUCGUUGUAUCUAAAGCCUAUGCUUCUUCAAAAUCAUGCUUAGGUGAACUUUCUGACAUCAUGGAUCGCAAGCACAAUCCCAAUGACAAACAUAUUGUUCUUCCCGUCUUUUACCAUGUUGAUCCUUCCGAUGUGCGAAAUAGUGGUGGGCAUUUUAAGACAUCCUUCGAAGACCAUGAAUCAGAGCAACCAGCUGAUAGAGUACAACAAUGGAAAACUGCUUUUGCAGAGGUUGGUAAAUUAAAAGGGUGGCAUAUAGAAGGAGGCAAAUUUGACAGGUAACUAUAUUUUUCUCAUCUUGUUAUUUUCAACUUAUCUUUGUUUUAGAUUUCAUAUUUACUUUUUACAUUUUUUAUUGUUUUCUAGACCUGAAACCGAGUACAUUAAAGAUAUUGUUGAAUAUGUUAUAAAAAAGUUUACGAAUAUUGGGUUUGAAAGUGCUUCUGAAGAAUUGGUUGGAAUAGAAUAUCAGAAAAAUGCGAUUUUGAAGCUGAUUAAGCAAAAAGACUGUCGUGUAAUAGGACUUUGGGGAAUGGGUGGUGAAGGCAAAUCAACCCUUGCUGAGGCUGUAUAUAAAAAAACUCUCUUCAGAGUUUGAAACUCAUUGCUUUCUUCAAAAUGUUAGAGAGGAAAUAAAAAAACAAGGGAAGGAAUCUUUACGAAAUAAAUUUCUUUCGGGAUUAUUGAAAUCGAAUGUUGAUAUAGGCACCCCCUCCAUUGGAUCCACUUUAACUCAAGAGAGACUCAACAAGAAGAAAGUACUUGCUGUCCUUGAUGAUGUUGAUGACUCAGACCAAAUAGAUUAUAUGGGUGUUAAAUAUUUUGGUUAUGGAAGUAAAACCAUUAUAACAUCAAGAGAUAGACAAGUGCUUGAGAGUGGAGGAGCUGACACAAUACAUGAGGUGAAAGGGUUGAAUGAGAACGAUUCUCUUCAACUUUUUUCUACCUUUGCGUUUAAGCAGUUGAGUCCCGCAGUUGGUUUUGAAGAUCUAUCCCGUAGGUUUGUAAAGUACACUCAAGGCAAUCCACUUGCUCUUAAAGUUUUGGGUUCUGAUUUAAAUAAAAGAAGUAAAAAUUAUUGGGAAAGUAAGGUGGAGAAGCUAAAGGACUGUCCCCCAGAAAAAAAAAUUUCAGAGGUUUUGAAAAGUAGUUAUGAUGGGCUAGAUUUAGUAGAGCAGAAUAUAUUUCUUGACAUUGCAUGCUUCUUUAAAGGGGAACCCAUGGAAAGAGCAAAACUUAUUCUAAGUAGUUGUUAUACGGGUGUAGAGUGUGGAAUAAACAAAUUGGUUGACAAAUGCCUGAUCAAUGUCUCAUCUUCUACUAAUUUCUCUCUUGAUUAUUUUGAUUAUUCUACAAUGUGGCCAUGUAAAUUAUUACGAGAUGCAAUUGAUAUGCAUGAUAUGCUUGAAGAGAUGGGUAAGGACAUUGUUUGUCAAGAAUCUAAAACCCUUGGUAAGUGCAGUAGACUAUGGAAUCCGAAACACGUGGAAGAAGUGCUCAAAUAUAAUAAAGUAAGCACUAAUUAUAUUUUUUAAUAUACUUUAAUGAGAUAUUGUCAUUUGGUUGAAUGCCACUAUAUAAACCUAUACAUUUGAUAUCAUAUCAAGUAUUAUCCCUUUUAAUUAGUAUUUAAAAAAUAAAAUAAUUAUCAUCAUACUGGACACAUAAUGACUAUGUCUUAGGUAUAAUGUAGAAUCUGCUCAAGGUUUAUGACUUUGUUAAAUACUUAAUGCAUUGAUUUGAAAAAAUAAAAACAAAAGAAAAGAAAACACUUUCUGUAUGUAAAAGUGCUCAAUUAGUCUACGUCUAUCCUAAUAUAAUUAUUUUUUUAUGAGUUAUUUAAUGGAAUGUCUAUAAAUUUCUCCAUGCUAAUAUUUGAUAAAUUGGUUUUUGUUAUCAGGGAACUGAUCGAAUUCAAGGAAUAAAGGUAGCCUUGUCACGUAUGGGUAACCUAUUAUUCCAACCUUCUGGUUUUGAAAGCAUGAUUAAUCUUAGAUGUAUUUUCUUCUAUUUUCCUCGGAGUUGGUUGAGGAAAGAGCAUGAGGAUUAUAAGAAGCUACAUACAUACCAAGAUGAUAUUAUCUCUCUUCCGAAUGAGCUAAGGUAUCUUGUAUGGCAUUAUUACCCCUUCAAAUCUUUAUCAUCAAGUUUUAAUCCAAAGAACCUUAUUACAUUGGAAUUACCAUAUGGAAACAUGGAGCAACUUUGGAACGAACUUCAUCAGGUAUAUAUACUUUUAUACUUUCUUCAUCCAAGAAUUUUUUUAAGAGCACUACACCAAAACAGGUUUUUAGCGGCUUUUUUUUAGGCCUGUAGCGGCGCUUCUUAGCGCCACUAAAGGUGUUUGCGAUGCUUCCACAAGCGCCGCAAAAAAUGCCGCUAACGACAACGUCGCUAUGUUUGCAGCGUUUAAAAAAAUAAACGCCGCUAAAGGUCAUGUUCUUUAGCGGCGCUUAGAAAUAAACGCCGCUAAAGAUCAUGUUCUUUAGCGGCACUUAGAAAAAAACGCCGCUAAAGAUCAUGUUCUUUAAUGGCGUUUAAAGAAAAACGCCGCUAAAGAUCAUGUUCUUUAGCGACGCUUGAAGAAAACCGUCGCUAAAGGGCAUGUUCUUUAGCGGCACUUUAUACACAAACGCCGCUAUAGGGACACGACUUUUAGCGGCGCUUUUAUAAAAAAACGCCACUAAUUUGGGAUUUCUGUAAAAUAAAAUUUUCCAUUUUUUCAGCAUUCCUGUAGCAACAAAUCAAAAGCAACCAGAUCUAAACCAGCCAAAAGCAAUAAAGUUAUAUAAUAUUUCAAAUUAAAUGAAUAAAAUAAUAUUAAUAUCAAUAAAUAAAAGUGAAUUCAUAUUAUUUUUAAAAAAAUGUUAAAAGUUGAAAUGAUAAAAAUAUUUAUGCAAUACUCUAUGACGCGGAAUUUGCGACUGCUGAAACAUCUUCAACAUACUCUGAAGCUACUGUUGGAGUUCGUCGUACUUUCUGCUCUGCUCUGCUUAUCUCGAGUCCGCAUCUGCUUUAAGUUUUAGUUGGAGUUCUUCAUAUUUCUUUUGAACCUCUGUUUCUCUCACUGUAGCCUCUGCUUCUCUCACUGUAGCCUCUGCUUCUCUCGCUGCAGCCUCUGCUUCCCUCGCUACCGCCUCUACUUUAAGUUGUAGCUGGAGUUCUUCAUAUUUCUUUUGAACCUCAACUGUGGUCGCUUGCAUCUGAGCAAUCUGGUCUUUUAACCUCUGAACUUCAGCUUGAGCCUGACUCCCCGAAGCCAUGUAUUGCUGCGAGCUGGAUCCAAAAUAUUGGGUUGGGCUAGCAAAAGAUCUUUGAAAUCGAACCCGACCAUACCUUUUAGGACCCAAAACUUCAGUAAUAAUUUGGUUAACAAUGUCUUUGGGAUGAACAGAACUAUCACUAGAAGCAAUCGCUUCGUACUCCGCAUUUUUAUUCUUUAGUUUUUCCUAAUAAAUAAAUCACAUAGUUAAGAACGCAAUAUAUAUUAAAAAAAAUAAAUGCAACAUAACAAUAGUCGCAUUACAAGCAAUGAAUUAAACCAUUAGAAAAUAAACACUAUAAAUAACUAAAACAAGUCAAACGGUAUUAAGUAAACGUACCAUAAUUUCACCAGCUUCAAGAGUCAUAGCAGAUCCAUCUUUCUUCCUAUGUGUAAUUUCAAAAAGUUGAAGGCGUCCAACUUUUUGACCGGACGACAGUUCCUACAAUAUAGUAGUAAAAAUAUUAUUUAAUGGAAAGUUAUACAUAUUUGACAAUAUUAAAAAAUUAAAAAUACCUCCGCCUCAGCUACACAUGCAAAACUUCUCGACCCGGCUGUGUGAGUGAAUUUUUGUUUAUGCCUGCUGCUUUUUCCAACUCGUUCACGAUCCUACGUUAUGAAAUUUUUAGUACGUAAAUAGUAAAUACUAUAAACCAAAAUAAUUACAAUAAUUUGGAAGUACGUCAUACCUCGCCUUUCUUCGAAUGCCAAAAUCUAACCGCAUCUUCCCAUUGGUACCUCAGCAUACCCGGCGGGACAUUUUGUAAUUUCUCAUCGAGGGUUGUUUUUUUCUUAUAAUAAUAUUUCUUCAAAGUAUUUUUAUGUUCUCUCCAUCUUUUUCCCAAUGCCUUCUUUACAUAAGCAUCCAAGACCUCUAAAACAAACCUCGCCUACAAAAAACACAAGUUAAUAAAGUAAAUAUAAAUGAAACUAUUUCCCAAGUAUUAUAGAUGACAGUAACAUUUUGUUACCUUAAUAUUAUCGAGGGCUUGGUUUUUGUUGCUAUCAGGCAUUUGAUUCCAUGACUCGUAGUUGAUAGGCAACAUAUCCGUAUUUCGUGCUAAAAUGCUCAUGUAUCCUGCUAAAAGUCGAGCUUCUAAUCCAACAGGCUGACCAAAACUGUUUCUGCAUACAUUGACACACUCAACUAGAUCUAACUUGUAUAAAUCUCUAAGUAGCGUACGUCCUCGACCUCUACGUGUCCCACCAUUUUCAGCUGCAAAUGGUAUAUUAUAAUAUAAGAAUUUGAAAAAUAAAUCAAUUAUAAGUCAACACGCAUGUAAAUUAAAUAUAAAAUUACUUUGAACUUCUGUAGGAUCCUUAGGUGUAAUCGGAACAUUCGAAGAUCCAAUUACUAUUUGUUGUUCAGUACUAUUUGUUUCUGUCGAGUUUGGAUCAUUUUGAACAAUGCUUCCCCUUGGAAUUUUUCUUCUAGGCAUUUUAUCUGCAAUACACAUAAAAUAGUUGAAAACUUAAUAACUAAUUACAACAAUAACAACACAUAUAAAAUAGUUGAAAUAUAUAGUAAGACCAAGAUUUAAAUUAUGAUAUUACAUAUAAUUAAACAAUCGUAAAAUCUUACUACGUCAUUAGUCGUAAAUAUCUUCAUCCGUAUCCUGACAAACCCAUUGAAAUUGUGUAAUAGUACUAGGGAUAUUAUCGUUUAAGUUUUGUUCUGGAAAGGGCAAAGUUUUUGAUCUGUCGUUGAUGUUAUCUCUACUUCCACUGCCCAUGUCAAACAAGUCUCUAGGGAUGUUACGGAGUACAACGUAUCAACCCUCAUCAGUUGGAUCUUUUGAGUAAAAAACUUGUUUGACUUGAGAUGAGAAUACAUGCGGCUCAUCUAUCAGUUGUUGUCCUGUGUGAAUCAAUCGAGCGAAGUUCACCAUUGUAAAACCAAAUUGAUCUUGCUUAAUUCCACAAGCAGUAUUAACAUCGGCCCAAUCACCUCGAAAUAAGACAACUUUCCAUUUGCCAUAGUAAUCCAACUCAAUUAUGUCAGUAAAAAGUCUGAAAUAUUCCACAUUUCCCUCGACAGGAUUAUUGUCCCUAGCACUAGCAUAACUUGUAAUUGAGGAAUUAACAACUAUUCCACAAUUUUGCAUUCUCCUCAACCUCUCGCUAUAUUUUGUAUGAAAUCUGAAUCUGUUGAUGAGGAACGCACUAUAUCUUUUAACCACUUGAUUUGGACCUUGGGAGAGCCAUUUAACUUUGUCGUUUACAUUCUUCCCACUCCAAACCUAUUGAAUGGAAAGUAAACUGAGUAAUUAAAAAUGUUAUAAGAAAACAUUAAUAUUUGUAAGCGGAAGCUCCAACCGCAUACCGUUGGGCUUAACCAUUCAUGAAAAGAUUCUGUAAACAACUUAUUGAUAUCUCGAUAUUGUGUUCUUCGGGAGCGCGAACGAGAUCUCAACAUUUGUUUGUACUCGCUAUGUUAAAAAAUGUUCACUUUGUUAGAAGAUAAUCAAUUUUUAAUUUGAUAAAUAUUUAUCAAAUUUGUAGAACUUACUUCCGUAAAGGUUCCAUUAAUUCGUGGUGAAACAGAACAUAUCGAUGUGCUUGUACCCAUGAUAAAUGAUCUAAUUUUACAAUUUUAACUUUGCCGAUUGGUUCUCUAAAACUUUGGAACAAAUAAGUAUCGAUGAUGUUAUGGUCCGUGAGUCCAGCAUUCCUAUUUGGUCUGUUCAACCUUGUUUCAACAUCUUCCAAAUAUCUUGAGCAGAAGGUCAUACAUUCCUCUUCUAAGUAGCCUUUAGCAAUCGAUCCUUCUGGAUAUCGCUUGUAGCGGCAGUAAGACUUUAAUUUGGAUAGAAACCUAAACACGAUAUACAACACUAUCAAAAGUUGUAACUAAAGGCAUAGAGGUGAAUGAAGGAAAAUUUUAAAAAUUUUAAUUAACACCUUUCUAUGGGAUACAUCCAUUGAUAGAAAACGGGUUCGCCAAGAAUUGCUUCAUGUGGGAGAUGAAUUAUCAAGUGAACCAUAAUGGUGAAGAAGGAAGGUGGGAAGAUUUUCUCCAUGUUGCAUAAAGUCAAAGCGUCUUGAUCCUAUACCUUCUGAAGUUCUUGAACAUCCAAAACUUUGCCACAAAUGGCUUUCAUUAUAUUGGAUAGUUCAAUUAUACAAGACGUCACCUUCUUGGACAUACAACAUCGUAAAGCAACUGGCAGUAAAUCUUGCAUCAAGAUGUGAUAGUCAUGUGAUUUUAGCAAAUAUAAUCUUCGAUCUUUAACACUAACACAUCGAGAUAUAUUUGAUGCAUACGCAUCUAGAACAUUUAUAUUCUUCAACACCGUGCAGAACACUUCUUUUUUCGUCUUCGACAUUGAAAAAAUAGAAGGCGACAACCGAUAUUUCCCAUUCGGAAGUGGAUUGGGAUGAAGAUCAGGCCGAAUUCCCAUUUGGACUAAAUCAAGUCGACUCUAAAGAUUAUCUUUUAAUUUUUCGUCGACAUUCAAAAUUGUACCCACAAUGUUCUCGCAGACAUUUUUCUCAAUAUGCAUAACAUCAAGAUUGUGUCGUAAAAGGUGAUGCUCCCAAUAAGGCAACUCAAAAAAAAUACUUCUUUUUUUCCACAAGUCUGCCUCAUUAGGAUCGUCCUCUUGAUCAGAGUCAUCAUUAGCUUCAUCAUUUGAUCUUCUAUUUCUUUGCGUGUUUGGCGGUUGGUUCAUCUUCCCAUAAAUGAAAUUCAUAUCUUCCAACAUGAACAAGAUUUCAGAGCCACUGGUCUGCGAAGGAGCUUCUCUGAACUCUUCUGUACCGUCAAAUACAGAACUCUAAAAUCUAAAUCUAUGAUUUUUCGGUAACCACCGACGAUGCCCCAUGUAAGAGAACUUCUUCCCAUUGUACAACCAUUGCAAACAUGUUUGUGCAGCACAACAAGGACACGCAUAACGACCCUUGGUACUCCAACCAGAUAAAUAAGCAUAAGCGGGAAAGUCAUUAAUGGUCCACAUCAAAGCUGCACGUAAAUUAAAGUUCUCCUUUCUCAACACAUCGUAUGUCUUGACACCAACCCAUAAUUGUUUUAACUCUUCAAUAAGUGGCUGUAAAUUCCCAGGCCCUUUCUCUCUAAGGAUAAUCAUAGAUAAGAUAAGGGAAGAUUGCUUCAUGCAAAUCCACGGAGGCAGAUUGUAAGGAACAAGCACUACUGGCCAAGUACUGUAUGCAGUGCUCAUGAUCUUGAAAGGAUUAAAUCCAUCAGAUGCUAGUCCAAGCCAAACACUCCUAGGAUUGCUUGCAAAGCUUGGAAAUUUAUUGUCAAAUGAUUUCCAAGCUAAAGAAUCUGCCGGAUGCCUUAGUAAUCCAUCAUCGGUUCAUCCAUCAUGGUGCCACGUCAUAGACUCCGCUUUCUUGGACGACAUGAAAAGCCUUUGAAGUCUUGGUAUAAGGGGAAAAUACCGCAAAAUCUUGACUGGCUUCUUCCUCAACUGUGCAUCAUUUUCAUCGUCAUUCCAAUCUUCUGUGUUUCUAUUUAUCCAACGGGAUUGGCCGCAUACAUGACAGCACUGUUGGUUUUUCUGAUCGCCCCAAUACAACAUGCAGUCAUUUGGGAAACUAUGGAUUUUGUUGUACCCAAGGCCUAAAUCUUUUAUCAUUUUCUUCAUAUCUUUGCAUGACUGAGGGAUUUUUGCAAACGGAAAUAUUUCUCUCAAAAACUCUAACAGCAUUGUCAACGAGUUUCCGGUCCACCCUCCCAAACAUUUUAACUGAAAAAGACGAACACAGAAUGACAUUUUUGAAAAUUUUGAUCCCUCAUACAGUUCUUCGUUCAUGUCAUUAAGUAGAGCGUAGAACUUCGUCGCUUCUCCAUUCGGCUCUUCAUGUGGUACACUACUUCCCGGUUCGGUAAAAGCAGUUCCACCAAUAUUACAAUCAUCAGAUGCCACAAAAUCCACUGGGAACAACUGCACACCAUGAUUGUGCAUAUUAAAUGCAUCCUGCAACAUACCUUUCAUGUCAUCCCCUCUAUCAGACUGUUGGUAAGUAGUAUCAGGAUAAGAUACAUCCAUCGUUGAAGAGGAAGUACUAGGCGGGCAUUCUCCAUGAAAUAACCAUUGUUUAUAACCCCAAACAAACCCAUCAACAAUUAGAUGCCCGUAUACAACCUCACGAUAAUGCCAACUUAUGUUGACACACUUCUUACACGGGCAAAGAAUCAUGUUCUCUUGGCUUGCAUAUUGAAAUGCAAAAUUUAGAAAAGUCUGUACUCCAUUUCGAUAACCGUUGCUAACCCUUGACAAAUUCAUCCAAGACCGGUCCAUUUCUUAAUUCUUGUAGUCUGACGUUGACAAUAAUUUGCACUGUAAGUUAAAACGCUAGUUAUAACCAUAAAUGAGUUAUAUAAGUUAUGAUAUGAUAUAUUUUUAUGUAUUAUGUAAGUUAUGUAAGUUAUAUAUUAUGUAUUAUGUAAGUACUGUAAGUAAUGUGAGUUAUGUAAGUAAUGUAUUAUGUAAGUUGUGUAUAAUAUUAAUUAUGUAAGUUGUGUAUAAUGUAAGUUAUUUAAGUAAAUGUUGUAUUAUGUAAGUUAUUUAAGUUAUGUAAGUUAUGUAAGUUAUGUAAGUUAUUUAAUUUAUGUAAGUUAUGUAAGUUAUGUAUGUUAUGUAUUAUGUUAGUUAUUAUGUUAUUAUAUAAGUUAUGCAAGUUUCUAUAUAUGUUUAUAUAUUGUAUGUUAGUUAUUAUGUUAUUAUAUAAGUUAUGCAAGUUAUAUAAGUUAUUUAAGUUGUGUAAAUGUUGUAUUAUGUAAGUUAUGUAUUAUGUAAGAUAUGUACGUUGUAUUUUAUGUAAUUUCUGUAUUAUGUAUGUUAUGUAAGUUGUGUAGAAUGUAAGCUAUGUAAGUUAUGUAAGUUAUGUAAGUGGUGUAUUAUGUAAGUUGUGUAAGUUAUGUAAGUUAUUAUGUAAGUUAUGCAAGCUUAUAUAUAAGCUUAUAUAUAAUUAUUUAGAAAACUUAUAAAAUUAAUACUAAUAAAUUUUAUUACUAAUAAAUUUAGAACACUUAUUUAGAAAACUUAUAAAUUUAAUACUAAUAUAGAAAACUUAUGAAUUUAGAAAACUUAUAUAGAUAUUAAAACAAUAUUUAUAAUUAUUUAAAAAACUUAUAAAUUUUAUAGUAAUAAGUUUUAAAUAUAGGUUAUAUACCCAUACCAUAUAUGGGGUGAUAUAUUAAAAAUAUUGGUUUUAAUAGAUAUUAAAUUAUCAUUUACAAUUAUUUUUUAAAUUAAAAUAUUAUUAUUACAAAAAUUGAAAUAUAGGUUAUAUAUCCAUAUUAAUAUAUGUAAUAUAUAAAAAGAAUAUAAAUUUUAAUAUUUACGAUAUAAUAUUUCUGUCCAAAAUUUAUUGUGUUUUUGGCACGAAUGAUUGCGUUUUUUGCACGAAUGUAGCAAACCAUAUUCCUUUCUAAGUUGCUGCUGGAAAAUAUUAACAUGCUAGAGAGACUAUGAAAAUUAUGUGUUUAUUUUCUAAGCAUUGCAAACUGUUACCAAUUAAUUAAAAUAUUUCAUUUCAAAUAAAUAAAACCUAACACAUGAGGUACAUCUUGUAUAAAACUAACAAAUAUGAGAAAACCCAAUGUAUAAAAUACGCAGCAUUGAUUUAAAUGCAUAGAUGCAAUUGGCGAUUGCCAAGUUUAAAGCAAAGUCAAAUCCCCUAAUCUUCUUGUCUAUGAAGUCAAAAGUUUAAAGCAAAGUUAAUUUUAAACCCCCAAAUCAGUAACUUACCCUUGCAGAAGAUCAACAACUCCCCAAGCCUUAAUCCUCCAAUAGAUUAGUUGGUCUGUGACCUUCACCAAAAUAAUCCAAAAGAUUAAUAGCGAAAAUAAACCCCGAUUCAACAAGGUAACAAAUAAUGAAAUAAAGGGCUUUAAUCAAAAGAAAUAUAACCUUAAUCGAAACAAAUAACGAAAAAUCGUGCAAUGAGGAAACAAGGAAACUUAUAGUGAAUAGAAGAAGCGGACGACAGAGAAAGCGGGUGACAGAGCGACCGCCAGAGUGGAGACGACUGCAAUGACAAGAGGGAAUUUGGGAAUUUGGGGAUUUGGGGAAAUGAAAUCCGGGAAAUUGGGGGAAAAUGAAUUGGGGGGAAAUGAAAUCGGGGAAGUUGGGGGGAUAGGAAAUGGGAAAUUAGGGAAAUCAGAGUGGGGGAGAACUAAGGAAAUUCAGCGCUAAACAAAUGACGUCGUUUAAGUUAGUUCAAUUAAAAUUUGCGACGUUUAUAAAUAGCGCCACUAACGGAUUAAAAAAUCCUAGACAGAAAACGACAACGUUUAGCAAACACUUAAAACAUAAUUGCGGCGUUUAUAAUAAAAAUGCCACUAAAACAUAUCCUUUACCGGCGUUUUAGUACAAAUGCCAUUAAAAACGUAGAUAAAAACGACAACGUUUAGCGAACACUUGUAACAUAAUUGCGGCAUUUUUAUAAAAACGCCAGUAUCACAUAACCUUUUACGGCAUUUUCGUAAAAAUGCCACUAAUAAUGUAGAUAAAAACGACAACAUUUACAGAAGACUAAUAACAUAAUUGUGGCGUUACCUAACAACGCCACUAACACAUAUCAUUUUGCGGCGUUUUGGCAAAAACGCCACUAAAAACGUAGAUAAAAACGACAACAUUUAACAAAGACAAAAAACAUAAUUGCGGCAUUUUUCGUAGAAACGCCACUAAUAUAACUCCUUUUGCGGCAUUUUAGUAAAAACGCCACUAAAAAAUCAGACAAAACGAAACCGUUUUGCUACCUUUCAAUGAAUAUUUGUGGAGUUUUCAAGAAAAACGCCACUACUGGUCAAACUUAAAAUUAUUUUCAAAUUAUUUUAAAUAGUACUAUUUUAUUUUUUCUAUUUUUAACAUAUAUUUUUCUAUUUUUUUAGCAUAACCCUUAAAUGUGGAAAAUUAAAAUUUAAACCCUAAACCAUAAGCCCCUAACCCUUAGACUCUAAACCCGUAACCUUUAAACUUUAACCUCUUAAACCCAAAACAAUAAACACUCGACCAUAAACCUACACCAUAAAUCGUAAACACUAAACUCUUAACACUAAACCAUAAACCUUAAACUUUAUACCCUAAACAUGCACCCUAAGCUAUAAACCCUAAAUUAACCAUAAAUCGUAAAUCAUAAAUUAUAAACCCUAAAACCAUAAAUCUUAAACCUUAAACCAUAAAUCAUAAACCCUAAACCACUAAAGCCCAUGAACCCCUAACCCCCUAACCUAUAAACCCUUAAGCCCAAAACCCAAAGCCACUACCCCUUAGACCCUAAGCCUAUAACCCCUAAAUCCUAUGCUCCUAACCACUAAACACUAAACCAUAAACCAUGAACGGUAAAUCAUGAACUCUAAACUUAAAACUCUAAUCCUAAUAUAAUAAACAUUACUUCAUAAAUCCUAAAACCCUAAACUAUAAAAAUUAAACCUUAAAUACUAAACACUUAAACCUAAAAUAAAUUUAUUUUUACUUGUGGGGCUUACAAUAAAGCGCCACUAAUGUCUCUAAACCUCCACAACAAAACGAAGCCGUUUCCUUAAAUAUAUUUGCGGCGCUUAACACAAAUCACCUCUAAUGCUUGAAAUCUGCGGCGUUUAUAAAGUUGCGCCGCUAAUGUAACUAAACCUUAACAACAAAACGUUGUCGUUCUCGCAAAGCGCCACUAAUGUCCCUAAGCACAACAGGAAACGACGGCGUAUGCUUAAAACAUUUUGCGGCGCUUCCUCUUAAGCGCCGCUAGUGAUUGACUUUAGCGGCGAUUUCUCUAAAGCGCCACUAUUGUGUCUAAAACUCAACAAGAUCCAAACGACUUCGUUCGGUAAAANNNNNNNNNNNNNNNNNNNNNNNNNNNNNNNNNNNNNNNNNNNNNNNNNNNNNNNNNNNNNNNNNNNNNNNNNNNNNNNNNNNNNNNNNNNNNNNNNNNNNNNNNNNNNNNNNNNNNNNNNNNNNNNNNNNNNNNNNNNNNNNNNNNNNNNNNNNNNNNNNNNNNNNNNNNNNNNNNNNNNNNNNNNNNNNNNNNNNNNNNNNNNNNNNNNNNNNNNNNNNNNNNNNNNNNNNNNNNNNNNNNNNNNNNNNNNNNNNNNNNNNNNNNNNNNNNNNNNNNNNNNNNNNNNNNNNNNNNNNNNNNNNNNNNNNNNNNNNNNNNNNNNNNNNNNNNNNNNNNNNNNNNNNNNNNNNNNNNNNNNNNNNNNNNNNNNNNNNNNNNNNNNNNNNNNNNNNNNNNNNNNNNNNNNNNNNNNNNNNNNNNNNNNNNNNNNNNNNNNNNNNNNNNNNNNNNNNNNNNNNNNNNNNNNNNNNNNNNNNNNNNNNNNNNNNNNNNNNNNNAAAUUAAAGUCUUACUGCUGCUACAAGCGAUAUCCAAAAGGAUCGAUUGCUGAAGGCUACUUAGUAGAGGAAUGUAUGACCUUCUGCUCAAGAUAUUUGGAAGAUGUUGAAACAAGGUUGAACAGACCAAAUAGGAAUGCUGGACUUACGGACCAUAACAUCGCCAAUACUUAUGUGUUCCAAAGUUUUAGAAAACCAAUCGGCAAAGUUGAAAUUGUAAAAUUAGAUCAUUUAUCGUGGGUACAAGCACAUCGAUAUGUUCUGUUUCACCACGAAUCAAUGGAACAUUUACGGAAGUAAGUUUUACAAAUUUGAUAAAUAUUUAUCAAAUUAAAAAUUGAUUAUCUUCUAACAAAGUGAACAUUUUUUAACAUAGUGAGUACAAACAAAUAUUGAGAUCUCGUUCGCGCUCCCGAAGAACACAAUAUCGAGAUAUCAAUAAGUUGUUUACAUAAUCUUUUCAUGAAUGGUUAAGCUCAACGAUAUGCAGUUGGAGCUUCCGCUUACAAAUAAUAAUAUUUUCUCAUAACAUUUUUAAUUACUCAAUUUACUUUCCAUUCAAUAGGUUUGGAGUGGGAAGAACGUAAACGACGAAGCUAAAUGGCUCUCCCAAGGUCCAAAUCAAGUGGUUAAAAGAUAUAGUGCGUUCCUCAUCAACGGAUUCAGAUUUCAUACAAAAUAUUGCGAGAGGUUGAGGAGAACGCAAAAUUGUGGAAUAGUUGUUAAUUCCUCAAUUACAAGUUAUGCUAGUGCUAGGGACAACAAUCCUGUCGAGGGAAAUGUGGAAUAUUUCAGACUUCUUACUGACAUAAUUGAGUUGAAUUACUAUGGCAAAUGGAAAGUUGUCUUAUUUCGAGGUGAUUGGGCCGAUGUUAAUACUGCCUGUGGAAUUAAGCAAGAUCAAUUUGCUUUUACAAUGGUGAACUUCGUUCGAUUGAUUCACACAGGACAACAACUGAUAGAUGAGCCGUAUGUAUUCUCAUCUCAAGUCAAACAAGUUUUUUACUGAAAAGAUCCAACUGAUGAGGGUUGGUACGUUGUACUCCGUAACAUCCCUAGAGACUUGUUUGACAUGGGCAAUGGAAGUAGAGAUAACAUCAACGACAGAUCAAAAACUUUGCCCUUUCCAGAACAAAACUUAAACAAUAAUAUCCCUAGUACUAGUACACAAUUUCAAUGGGUUUGUCAGGAUACGGAUGAAGAUAUUUACGAAUAAUGACGUAGUAAGAUUUUACGAUUUUUUAAUUAUAUGUAAUAUCAUAAUUUAAAUCUUGGUCUUAUUAUAUAUUUCAACUAUUUUAUAUGUGCUGUUAUUGUUGUAAUUAGUUAUUAAGUUUUCAACUAUUUUAUGUGUAUUGCAGAUAAAAUGCCUAGAAGAAAAAUUCCAAUGGGAAGCAUUGUUCAAAAUGAUCCAAACUCGACAGAAACAAAUAGUACUGAACAACAGACAGUAAUUGGAUCUUCGAAUGUUCCAAUUACACCUGAGGACCAUACAGAAGUUCAAAGUAAUUUUACAUUUAAUUUACAUGCGUGUUGACUUAUAAUUGAUUUAUUUUUCAAAUUCUUAUAUUAUAAUAUACCAUUUGCAGCUGAAAAUGGUGGGACACGUAGAGGUCGAGGACGUACGCUACUUAGAGAUUUAUACGAGUUAGAUCUAGUCGAGUGCGUCAAGGUAUGCAGAAACAGUUUUGGUCAGCCUGUUGGAUUAAAAGCUCGACUUUUAGCAGGAUACAUGUGGCAUUUUAGCACGAAAUGCGGAUAUGUUGCCUAUUAACUACGAGUCAUGGAAUCAAAUGCCCGAUAGCAACAAAAACUAAGCCCUCGAUAAUAUUAAGGUAACAAAAUGUUAAUGUCAUCUGUAAUACUUGAGAAAUAGUUUCAUUUAUAUUUACUUUAUUAACUUAUGUUUUUUGUAGGCGAGAUUUGCUUUAGAGGUCUUGGAUGCUUAUGUAAAGAAGGCAUUGGGAAAAAUAUGGAGAGAACAUAAAAAUACUUUGAAGAAAUAUUAUUAUAAGACAAAAACAACCCUCGAUGAGAAAUUACAAAAUGUCCCGCCGAGUAUGCUGAGGUACCAAUGGGAAGAUGCGGUUAGAUUUUGACAUUCGAAGAAAGGCGAGGUAUGACGUACUUUCAAACUAUUGUAAUUAUUUUGGUUUGUAGUAUUUACUAUUUACGUACUAAAAAUUUCAUAACGUAGGAUCAGUGAACGAGUUGGAAAAAGCAGCAGGCAUAAACAAAAAUUCACUCACACAGCCGGGUCGAGAAGUUUUGCAUGUGUAGCUGAGGCGGAGGUAUUUUUAAUUUUUUAAUAUUGUCAAAUAUGUAUAACUUUCCAUUAAAUAAUAUUUUUACUACUAUAUUGUAGGAACUGUCGUCCGGUCAAAAAGUUGGACACCUUCAGCUUUUUGAAAUUACACAUAGGAAGAAAGAUGGAUCUGCUAUGACUCCUGAAGCUGGUGAAAUUAUGGUACGUUUACUUAAUACCGUUUGACUUGUUUUAGUUAUUUAUAGUGUUUAUUUUCUAAUGGUUUAAUUCAUUGCUUGUAAUGCGACUAUUGUUAUGUUGCAUUUGUUUUUUUAAUAUAUAUUGCGUUCUUAACUAUGUGAUUUAUUUAUUAGGAAAAACUAAAGAAUAAAAAUGCGGAGUACGAAGCGAUUGCUUCUAGUGAUAGUUCUGUUCAUCCUAAAGACAUUUUUAACCGGAUUAUUACUGAAGUUUUGGGUCAUGAAAGGUAUGGUCAGGUUCGAUUUCAAAGAUCUUUUGUUAGCCCAACCCAAUAUUUUGGAUCCAGCUCGCAGCAAUACAUGGCUUCGGGGAGUCAGACUCAAGCUGAAGUUCAGAGGUUAAAAGACCAGAUGGCUCAGAUGCAAGCGACCACAGUUGAGGUUCAAAAGAAAUAUGAAAAACUCUAGCUACAACUUAAAGUAGAGGCGGCAGCGAGGGAAGCAAAGGCUGUAGUGAGAGAAGCAGAGGUUCAAAAGAAAUAUGAAGAACUCCAGCUAAAACUUAAAGAAGAUGCAGACUCGAGAGAAGCAGAGCAGAGCAGAAAGUACGACUAACUCCAACAGCAGCUUCAGAGUAUGAUGAAGAUGUUUCAGCAGUCGCAAAUUCCGCCGUCAUAGAGUAUUGCAUAAAUAUUUUUAUCAUUUCAACUUUUAACAUUUUUUUAAAAAUAAUAUGAAUUCACUUUUAUUUAUUGAUAUUAAUAUUAUUUUAUUAUUUAAUUUGAAAUAUUAUAUAACUUUAUUGCUUUUGGCUGGUUUAGAUCUGGUUGCUUUUGAUUUGUUGCUACAAUAAGGCUGAAAAAAUGGAAAAUUUUAUUUUACAGAAAUCCCAAAUUAAUGGCGUUUUUUUUAAAAGCACCGCUAAAAGUCGCGUCCCUAUAGUAGCGUUUGUGUAUAAAGCGCCGCUAAAGAACAUGUUCUUUAGCGACGUUUUUCUUCAGGCGCCGCUAAAGAACAUGCCCUUUAGCGGCAGUUUUCUUCAAGUGCCGCUAAAGAACAUGAUAUUUAGCGGCGUUUUUCUUUAAACGCCAUUAAAGAACAUGAUCUUUAGCGGCGUUUUUUUCUAACCACCGCUAAAGAACAUGAUCUUUAGCGGCGUUUAUUUCUAAGCGCCGCUAAAGAAUAUGACCUUUAGCGGCGUUUAUUUUUUUAAACGCUGCAAACAUUAGCGACGUCGUUAGCGGCAUUUUUUGCGGCACUUGUGGAAGCGUCGCAAACACCUUUAGUGGCGCUAAGAAGCGCCGCUACAUGCCUAAAAAAACGCCGCUAAAAACCUGUUUUGGUGUAGUGCUCUUAAAAAAAAUUCUUGGAUGAAGAAAGUAUAAAAGUAUAUAUACCUGAUGAACUUCGUUCUAAAGUUGCUCCAUGUUUCCAUAUGGUAAUUCCAAUGUAAUAAGGUUCUUUGGAUUAAAACUUGAUGAUAAAGAUUUGAAGGGGUAAUAAUGCCAUACAAGAUACCUUAGCUCAUCCGGAAGAGAGAUAAUAUCAUCUUGGUAUGUAUGUAGCUUCUUAUAAUCCUCAUGCUCUUUCCUCAACCAACUCCGAGGAAAAUAGAAGAAAAUACAUCUAAGAUUAAUCAUGCUUUCAAAACCAGAAGGUUGGAAUACUAGGUUACCCAUACGUGACAAGGCUACCUUUAUUCCUUGAAUUCGAUCAGUUCCCUGAUAACAAAAACCAAUUUAUCAAAUAUUAGCAUGGAGAAAUUUAUAGACAUUCCAUUAAAUAACUCAUAAAAAAAUAAUUAUAUUAAGAUAGACGUAGACUAAUUGAGCACUUUUACAUACAGAAAGUGUUUUCUUUUCUUUUGUUUUUAUUUUUUCAAAUCAAUGCAUUAAGUAUUUAACUAAGUCAUAAACCUUGAGCAGAUUCUACAUUAUACCUAAGACAUAGUCAUUAUGUGUCUAGUAUGAUGAUAAUUAUUUUAUUUUUAAAUACUAAUUAAAAGGGAUAAUACUUGAUAUGAUAUCAAAUGUAUAGGUUUAUAUACUGGCAUUCAACCAAAUGACAAUAUCUCAUUAAAGUAUAUUAAAAAAAUAUAAUUAGUGCUUACUUUAUUAUAUUUGAGCACUUCUUCCACGUGUUUCGGAUUCCAUAGUCUACUGCACUUACCAAGGGUUUUAGAUUCUUGACAAACAAUGUCCUUUCCCAUCUCUUCAAGCGUAUCAUGCAUAGAAAUUGCAUCUCGUAAUAAUUUACAUGGCCACAUUGUAGAAUAAUCAAAAUGAUCAAGAGAGAAAUUAGUAGAAGAUGAGACAUUGAUCAGGCAUUUGUCAACCAAUUUGUUUAUUCCACACUCUGCACCCGUAUAACAACUACUUAGAAUAAGUUUUGCUCUUUCCAUGGGUUCCCCUUUAAAGAAGCAUGCAAUGUCAAGAAAUAUAUUCUGCUCUACUAAAUCUAGCCCAUCAUAACUACUUUUCAAAACCUCUAAAAUUUUUUUUUCUGGGGGACAGUCCUUUAGCUUCUCCACCUUACUUUCCCAAUAAUUUUUACUUCUUUUAUUUAAAUCAGAACCCAAAACUUUAAGAGCAAGUGGAUUGCCUUGAGUGUACUUUACAAACCUACGGGAUAGAUCUUGAAAACCAACUGCGGGAUUCAACUGCUUAAACGCAAAGGUAGAAAAAAGUUGAAGAGAAUCGUUCUUAUUUAACCCUUUCACCUCAUGUAUUGUGUCAGCUCCUCCACUCUCAAGCACUUGUCUAUCUCUUGAUGUUAUAAUGGUUUUACUUCCAUAACCAAAAUGUUUAACACCCAUAUAAUCUAUUUGGUCUGAGUCAUCAACAUCAUCAAGGACAACAAGUACUUUCUUCUUGUUGAGUCUCUCUUGAGUUAAAGUGGAUCCAAUGGAGGGGGUGCCUAUAUCAACAUUUGAGUUCAAUAAUUUCGAAAGAAAUUCAUUUCGUAAAGAUUCCUUCCCUUGUUUGUUUAUUUCCUCUCUAACAUUUUGAAGAAACCAAUGACUUUCAAACUCUGAAGAGAAUUUUUUACAUACAGCCUCAGCAAGGGUUGUUUUGCCUUGACCACCCAUUCCCCAAAGUCCUAUUACACGACACUCUUUUUGCUUAAUCAGCUUCAAAAUCGCAUUUUUCUGAUAUUCUAUUCCAACCAAUUCUUCAGAAGCACUUUCAAACCCAAUAUUCGUCAACUUUUUUUAUAACAUAUUCGACAACAUCUUUAAUGUACUCGGUUUCAGGUCUAGAAAACAAUAAGAAAUGUAAAUAAGUAAAUAUGAAAUCUAAAAUAAAGAUUAGUUGAAAAUAACAAGAUGAGAAAAAUAUAGUUACCUGUCAAAUUUGCCUCCUUCUAUAUACCACCCUUUUAAUUUACCAACCUCUGCAAAAGCAGUUUUCCAUUGUUGUACUCUAUCAGCUGGUUGCUCUGAUUCAUGCUCUUCGAAGGAUGUCUUAAAAUGCCCACCACUAUUUCGCACAUCGGAAGGAUCAACAUGGUAAAAGACGGGAAGAACAAUAUGUUUGUCAGUGGGAUUGUGCUUGCGAUCCAUGAUGUCAGAAAGUUCACCUAAGCAUGAUUUUAAAGAAGCAUAGGCUUUAGAUACAACGAGGAUUGAGAGAUUUGAGGCCAAAAUUGUUCGAGAAUACGUUGGUGGAAGUUUCUCUCCUUUUUUCAGUGUUUCGUUAUCGGGGAAGACAUUAAUUCCUACUUUUUCCAAAGCAUUGACUAGGUGAUUGGAGAAGUUGAGGCGUGUGUCUUCACCUAAGCUUAAGAAAACUUGAUGCUUCAUCAACUUUUGCAUAACAUACGCAACAAUAUCCUUGAUGUACUGGGUUUCAGGUCUAGCAAAUAAUAGAAGAAGUAUAUAUAUGAAAUCCAAAACGAAGAUAAGUCAAAUAUAAGGAGAUGAGACAAAUAUAGUUACCCAUCCGACCUGCUUCCAUCUAUAUGCCACCCUUGUAAUUUACCAACUUCAGCAAAAGCAGUUUCCCAUUGUUUCACUUCAUGAACUGACCUCUUUGUUUUAUGCUCAUCAAAGGAUUUCUUAAAACUUCCAUCAAUUUUCACCACAUCAGAGGGGUUAACAUGGUAAAAGAUGGGACGAACAGUAUGUUGUCCGACGCUAUAGCGGUCCAUGAUGUCAGAGAGUUCAACCAAGCAUGAUUUCGAAGAGGCAUAGUCUGCAGACAAAACGAUGAUUGAGAUAUUUGAGACUGCAAUUGCUCGAGAAAGUGCUUGUGAAAGCUGGUCCCCCCUUUCCAGUUUUUCUUCAUCGAAGAAAACAUCAAGUCCCUCGUCUUUCAAAGCUUGAAGUAAGUGAGUGGUGAAAUUAAGGCGCGUGUCUUCACUUCUGAAGCUCAAGAAAACAUGAUACUUCAUUAGAGUAGAAGAUGAAGAAGAAGAACCCAUGAAAGAGUAUUGAUAGUGUGCUUGAAGCAAAAGAGAGAACAAAUAUAGCAAGUGAGUUUUGCUUGGGUUGUGGUAUUAUUGUAAGAAGAAAAAGUGUAAAUGGGAAAGAGAUUGAAGGCCUAGGCAAAAGCACAGGCGACGAUUUGAGCUUAGCCAACUAUCCUUUAGUCAACACUGGUGUUACUUGCACGCCACAUUAUCUUUUUGAAGAAAGCAAUGAGUUUCAAACUCUGAAGAGAGUUUUUUAUAUACAGCCUCAGCAAGGGUUGUUUCGCCUUGACCACCCAUUCCCCAAAGUCCUAUUACACGACAGUCUUUUUGCUUAAUCAGCUUCAAAAUCGUCCUUUUCUGAUAUUCUAUUCCAACCAAUUCUUCAGAAGCACUUUCAAACCCAAUAUUCGUCAACUUUUUUAUAACAUAUGAUUAAAUUAUUUAUUAUUUAUAUUAAUAAUCUUAUUAAAAUUUAAUAACAAUAACAAUAAUUAUCUACCUAAAAAAAAUUCUGCUAAGGGUAUUCUAGUUAUUUUUAGGGGUGUGCAUAAUUCGGGUAAAACCGAAAAAAUUCGGUUAACCGACCAAAUUCGGUUAAUCGGUCGGUUAACCAAAUUUUUACGGUCGGGGGUCGGUUAAUUUUUUUUAUGAUUUUUUGUUAACGGUUAAUUCGGUUCGAAACCGGUCGGUUAACCGAAUUUUUUCGGUUAACCGAAAAAAUUAAUAAAUAAAAUUAUUCAACCCAACCCAAUUACCAACCUAACCCAAUAAAACUAAAACAAAAGUCUACCCAAUUACCUAACCUAAUAAAACUAAAACAAAAGCCUACCAAAUUACCAACCCAAUAAAAAUAAAACUAAAGUCUAACUCUUAAGUAUCUACCCAAUUACACAUGUUUUUUUGUUAGGUUUAAUGCAAAUGAAGAUUUUUUGGAGAGAAGAAAUGGAUAUAAAUGGAGAAUAUUAAAGACUUACAUUUAAACUAUGUGUUAUUUCAAGAAUUAAUUUCAAGAAUUAUGUAAUGUUUUUAAUUAUGUAGUGGUUCAAAGACUUAUGUAAUAUUUUUAAUUAUGUAGUGAUUCAAUUCGGGUAAUUCGGUUAAUUCAGUUAAUUCGGGUAAUUCGGUUAAUUCGGUUAAUUCGGUUAAAUCGGUUAAUUUGGUUAGUUUUUAACCAAAAAUAAAUACCAUACAAUUUUUGGUUAAUUCGGUUAACUAAUCUAAUUAACCGAAAAAAUUUCGGUUCGGUUAAUUUCUUUUUAAAAAAAUUCGGUUCGGUUAACGGUUAAAAAUUUUAGAAAGUCGGUUAAUUCGGUUAUAGCUAUUUCGGGUCGGUUAACCGGUCGGUUAACCGAAUGCACACCCCUAAUUAUUUUAGUUUUUGUCCUUAUGCUAUUACAACAUCAUAUAGUUUAAGGGUAUUCUGCUAAGGAAAACAUGAUACUUCAUUAGAGUAGAAGAUGAAGAAGAAGAAGAAGCCAUGGAAGAGUAUUGAAGCAAAAGAGAGAAAAUUUGGUUGGGUUGUGGGAUUAUUGAAAGAAGAAAAAGUGUAAAAUAUGCAUAAUCUUUGGUAUCCUUUCAUUAAAUGGGAAAGAGAUUGAAGGCGUUUUCCUUAGACUUGAGCUUAGCCAAUUAUCUUAGUCAACACCAGCGGAGAUAAUCAAUUCUCCUUUUUAUCUUUUACCGCAAAAGUGGGAGUGUUUUGAUGGUGGGUGGGCCCAUCAAACCCAAAAUGAUUCUUAUUUCAACGAUUUAAAAUACAAAUUUAAAAAUCGCGAUUAAUUGAGCUUAGUUGAGAGGAUAAGUUUACAGUUUUAUAAUAAAGUCCCUCGUGAUGUUUUAAAUAUUUUAAAUCAAGAUAAAAGUUAAGGGUGCUUUUGAUCAAUUUAGUUUGAUGUAAUUUUUAUUUGUUAGUUUGUUUUUUACUAAAAAAUUGGUUAUUAUCUGAAAUCGAAUCGAAUUUUAUUUUUUAUUUCAUAUAUAAUUAAUUUUAACUUUUUUGAUAUAAAAAUACAUAUUUUAUAUUUAAAAUAAUGAAAGUAAUUUAAAUUUUUUGAAAAAUUAUUGUAUUUUAGAAAUAUUUAUGAAAAUAAAUUUGAAAUUUAUCAAAUAAUAUUUAAAAGCCAUAAAACAAAACUCAUUUUAUCAAAAUAAACCUUAAAAAUCAAAAAAAAAAUUAAUAUAAGAAACUGUGAACUAAACCGAGCCGAAUUAAACUAUAAUGGAUGAUUCAAAAAAUAUAAAUAACCCGGCCCUGUGAACCUCUUUGAAACUUCACUAUCCAUGAAAUUAGCCAAUUUGGAAAAGGGUCAAAUUUUGAUUUUGAGUCCUUUUACUAUUCUCAAAUUCGAGAUUUAGUCCUUUAACUUAAAAUAAUCUCUUUAUUUAUAUGUUGUCAUUAGUUAAUUCAAACAAGACAAUUAACUAUUUCAAUUAAAAUUAAAACGUAUUAUUAUCAAAGUGAUAUAAUAUCUUGUAAAAGGUAACUAAAAUAAACAAAUAAAGAACAAAAAAAAUUGAGAGAGAAGUGAAGAUAAGGGCAUAGUUAACUUUUUCUAUGUUUAUUAAGAUAAAUCAUCUUAUGGAGCAAAUCCAAAAAUUAGUUUAGAGUCUACUGUUGGAGAGGAUAAUGAUAGUAGUUAUGGAUCAUCUGUUGGUGAUGAAAAUGCUGUUGAUUUUGCAUUAGAUGAAGUGAACAAUGUUGCGGUUGCAAUUAGUGGAAAAGAGGAGGAUGGGAAUAAUACUAAAACUGAGGUAUGGGACUUAGAUGAACAUGGCAGCUUGGUUGGGUUCAAUGAAGAUGAAGAACAUGAAGAUGGUGAGAGAAGAAGAAGCAAGUUUCUUUUAUACAAUGAUUGAUCUAAUCCGUUAAAAUUUAGUUUAGGAAUGUUGUUUAAAGAUGGCAAAUAGUUUAAGAGUGCAAUUCGAAACUACUCCAAAGAAUGUAGAAGACAACGGAAGUUUCUUAAGAAUGAAUUGAAAAGGGUUGUUGUGAGGUGCAUUGCUUCCCCUAACUGUCCAUGGAGAAUUUUGGCUAGCUACAAUCCUAUUCCCAAAUACUUGCAAGUAAAAACUUUUCAGGAGAAGCAUCAUUGUUUGGGUAGUUCUGAGAACAAAAUGAUGAUUGCUGCAAUGAUUGCCCAACAUUUUGAAGCAAUUAUCAAUGAUCACUUUAAGAUGCAAAUAAGGAAAAUUCAAAGAAGAUGUGCUUCAUAGAUGCAUGUAAAUGUGAGCAUUCAGUGUUGUUAUAGAGCUAAGAAAGUAGUGAAGGAGAAAAUGGUUGGGAAUUACGAGGAAUUUGGUCAGUUAUAUGACUAUACUCAUGAGUUAAGGUCAAAGAUGUCAGGCAGCACAAUAAAAAUGGUUGUUCAUAGUAGAUUCCCCUCCUUAUUUUAGAAGGUUUUAUCUGUGCUUUGAUACACUAAAGAGAGGCUGGAAAGUGAGGUGUAGGCCAUUUAUUGGAUUAGAUGGUUGCUUCCUAAAAGGGUCAUUUAAGAGUGAAUUUCUCACAAUUGUUGGAAGGGAUGCAAACAACCAGAUGUUCCCUAUGGCAUGGGUUGUGAUUGAAGUGGAAUACUUUGAUUCAUGGGCCUAGUUUCUUAGUCUCCUAUUAAUUGAUUUGGGCUUGGAGGAUGGGUAUGAGUUCACAAUUAUCAGGGACCAACAAAAGGUUAGGGAAUUAACUAAUUUGGGCUUGGUCUUGUCUUUUUAUUUUGUUAAGUAUAAUUAGCUAUAUUUUUCUAACAAUCUAACUGGUUCAUUAAAACACAAUUAAGGCCUUCAGAUUGUAAUUUCUACAUAUCGCCAAAGGUGGAGCAUAGGAAUUGUGCGAGGGACAUGUUUGCAAAUUGGUCAGGAAGGAAGCUAGGGAAAUCUUAUGAGUAUGAUUUCUAGCAGAUUGUGAAUUCCAUAACUGAGAAUGAAUGGGAGGAAUUAUGUGCAGCACUAUGUCCGACUUGACUUUCAUUAAAAUUUUAUGGAAACUACGGAUCACGGUCAUAAAAUUCAAAAAAAUAAAACAUAACAAAUAGAAAACACCUACUCCGUGAUCAAUAUAAAACCAUAUGUUAGAAGAUUAACCAAUCUCAAGCAUCUAUUGAUUAUAUAUAGGGAACAGUUGGUAGGUUUACCUUAUCUAACAUGAAUAUAAAUCAGAAAUCAUGAACUGAAAACAUAUAUAUUUACUAACAUUUUAAGGAAAUAUGAAGCAUAAAUCAAUGGGUGAACGAAUCAUUGAAGUAAAAUGCAGAUAGUCUUGAGAUACAAUAUGAUUAAAUCUCUACUUACUGCCCAUGGCACAAGCACCAAUGGUAGAACCUAAACAAUUAAGCUGAAUGAUGUCCACCACAGAUCCUAUGAAUCAAAACCAACCAAUAACAAGUCAAUUGCCAAAAAGAAUUCAAGUAUGAAUCUUAAUAUCUCUUCACUGCAAUGCUCAAACAACAUGAGAGGAAGUAACAUACAAAGAACUUUCAGCCCAAACUGAUACGACAAUCAAAAUCCAAGGUAAGAAGCUAGCAACUCCAAUGGCUCUACCCUGGAACUAACCCAAUCUAGCUUGAGAAUGAAAACUGCCGAAGGUUGCAUCUAGCUCCACGUGUUCAUCCCACAAGUUUUGAGAUCUCUUGCAAAUUCUGGAUUUAUAUAAUCCCAUUGAUAAAUAUGGGAAAAAAUGGUGAGGAUGCUGAAAAUCAUUAUAUGAACCUAAAAUCAUGAUAAUUAAGUCCAAGUCGAUGGUAACUUCUUCACCAAGACUGAAUUUGCCAGAACCCAGAAAGGGCCUCAAAAGAUUACUUUGAAGUUGUGUUCACAAAUCUGUUGACAACUUGCAUUGUCACCAAAUAUCAGUUAAAACACUUGUAUGAAACAAGCAUUCAGCAAAACAAAUUGAAGCUCUUACAGUUCAGGUGCUCCUCCUUAUAUGGCUAAAGCUCCAAUUCAGCAGUGGCACAAAUAACCAAUCUUUCUAAUGAAUCUAGAUGUCAUUGAAGGAAAAUGCAGCAAGUCUUGAGAUACCAGAUGACACCAAUGCUGGAAACUAAACAAUGAAGCUGAAUCGAGUCCACCACUGGUCCUAUGAAUUAAAAAAAAAACCAACCAAUAACAAGUCAACUGUCAAUAAGAAUUAAGUAUGAAUCUUAAUAUCUGAAUUUUAAGAACACAGACACAACAGGGGAUGAAGAUGAGAAAAAAAUAAUAAUAAUAAUAAGCAAAAAUCACAAGCUGUUGAACAAAUUUCCAAUUUUUAUGUUCAUAAAUUAUGUUUUUAACAUUUACAAUGUAGAACUACAAGGUUUCAGUAUGGUAAAGCACCUUCUGAAAGACAAGUAAUUUAUAAAGCAGAGCAAGUUAGAUUCAUCCUGGUCGGUUUUAAUUAAUUAAAGCACUUCAUUUGCUGUUAUUAAUUUAUAAGUUCAAAAUUUACUAUUAACAAUUGUGGAAGACAAAAGUAUGGCAAUAUGAAAAAUGAAAUGAAAAAACUGAAAAUGUAUGAUAAUAUGAAAAACUGAGAUGAAAUGAAACCCUUACCCAUGCAUUUGGAUGACAUAAUUGAGAAGUUGAAAGUCCUCAAAAGCAGAGCCAAAGAUGGAAAGAAAUACAAACUAUUUCAAUCUUUUAAGUCCUCCAUCCCCUUCUUCACCAUCAUGGCUAAAGCUUCUUUUGUUCCCAGCAACUCUCUUUUCAGUAGCAUCCACGUAAAAUACAUGAACACCACAUCUCUCCACCUUGAUAUACUUUUCUCCUCCAUCAUUGUCUUCAUCGAAAUGGAAAUUGUUAAUGUAGAAUUCAAAUGUUGCCUCCUCAUAAUUCUUGUCUUCUAUAACCAUGUCGAUGCUAGAUAGAAUAAACACGUGAUAAUCCAUGUACUAAACUGGCUCAUAAAAACUGCGGAAAGAGAUCUCACUUCUGAAAUUUUCACAACCACCUCCACCAUUGCCGCCAACGGCAGUUGUAAGUUGGUACUCACAAAUACAUUCACGUAAUUGAAAUUCAAGGCAGUGAGUGAGAUCAACCACAAGGCAGAUAGCAAAAACCAAAAAUCUGCUCCCACUACCCCCAUUUGGGGCUAUCUUCAAACUUAAGGAAGAAUUCAUGCUCUGACACUUGAACAUAUUUGCUGAAAUUUUGUUUCCUGGGAAACAACAAAUCAAACUUGGAGCUCUGUCAGGGUUGUAUUGCCAAUCAUAUCUCGCUGCCCAUUUCUUAGCUAGGGAUCCAAUUUUGAGCAUGGUAUUUGCCUCAAUGUUAUUAGUUGAGUCUUGAUUCAAGUUGAAGCAAUUACGGAAUCGCAUCAAAAAGUUAUGAUUUAUGCAAAACUCAUCAUCUAAAGAAUCAAACUGAUUUAAAUUUUGAUCUGCGAAGGAUACUUUUUCUAAUGAUGUGCAGUCAUUUACACUCAAGACUUCCAGAUAUGGUGGAAGCUCUGAGAGUAAUUCGACCUUUGGGCAACCACUAAGAUCCAGAUAAUGAAGAGAUUCCAACUUGAUCGAUACAUUUUUGACCGCUGAGCCACUCAUAUUUAAGUGCUGAAGAUUACAUAGAGAGUCGAAAGGCAACGACACUUCUUCAAUUUGAGUGCCAGAUAAGUUUAAUUUUAUUAAGCUUCCUGGGAUUUCUGGAAAUUUGACCAUUGGGCAUCCACUAAGAUUCAGUUUGCGAAUGGAUUCCAACUUGAUCGAUACAUUUUUGACCGCUGAGCCACUCAUUUUUAAGUGCUGAAGAUUACAUAGGGGGUCGAAAGGCAACGACACUUCUUCAAUUGGGCAACCACUAAGAUCCAAUUUACGAAGGAAUUCCAACUUUAAAAUAUUGAUCGAUACUUUUUUCACCUUUGACUUCCCUAACCACAAAGUUUCAAGUUUGUGGUAGAUCCUUAAUUGAAUCAGACACUUCUUCUACUUUGGUUUCUGAUAAAUCUAAAGAGCAAAAGGGAGGUGGGACAUUAGGAAACUUCUUGAGACUAUAACAUCCGUUAAGACGAAGACUAUAUUGAUGAAGAGAUGCCAAAUGAUUGAGGCAAGGAAGUUCAACCAAACUUUUACAGUUAGAGCAACCAAGGAAUUCAAGGUUGAUUGCUCUUGAAAGAUUAGAUAUCUUCCUUAAAUUCACGCACCCAUCAAAGUAAAUUUUCCUUAAAUGAACAAGGUCCUGUACAGAAAAAAUAAUUGUUUUACUUUUAAGCAUCAACCACUUACUUUAGACCGUAAAAUAUGUAAAGGAAAUAAAUAAUUAUAAUACGAUAAAAAAUAAAAAUUUAUAUUUGAUGUAUCAAGGGUGAAAAUCCACCCACAGCUAAUAAAUCAAAUGAUGUCACUUAUCUAAAUAAAAUAAAUUCUUUUAUAUAUAUUUUUAAAAACCUUUAAAUAAAAUAUUAUCAUAUGAAUAUUUGAUACAUCAAAUUAUAAAUUAUUUUUUUCAAAAAAAAAAGAGUAUAAAAAUGCAUACCAUACGAUCAUCUUCAUCCCAAAGUUCAACCAAACUUUGACAGUAAGAGCAAUCAAGGAAUUCAAGGUUGAUGGCUCUUGAAAGAUUACAUAUCUUCCUUAUAUUUUUGCAUUCUGAAAUAUAAAUUUCCCUUAAAUUAACAAGCUCCUGUAUGGAAACAACAUUUGUAUUGCUUUGAAGCAUCAACUACUUACUUUAAGUAGUAAAAAAUGAAAAAGGAAAUAAAUAAUUAUAAUACUAAGAAAAAUAAAAAUUCAUAUUUGAUGUAUUGGGUGUGAAAAUUAACACACAAUUAAUAGAUCAAAUGAUGCCACUAAUUUAUAUAAAAUAAAAUAAAAUCUUUCAUAUUUCUUUUUUAAAAACUUUAAUUAAGAUGUCAACAUAUCAUAUGAUUAUUUGAUACAUUAAAUUAAAAAAAAUCUUAAAUGAAAUAAGUAUGAAAGUACACAUACUAUAUGAUCAUCUUCAUUCCAAAGUUCAACCAGACUUUCACAGCCAAUGCAACGAAGGAGUUCAAGGUUGAUGGCACCUGAAAGAUUAUGCAUCUUCCUUAAAUUCUUGCAAUAUGAAACGUCAAUUUCCCUUAGAUUAGUAAGGUUCUGUGCAAAAGAAAAAUAUAUAAAAAUAAUUAUAUAUCAUUGUCAAGUAUCAUCUACUUACUUUAGGCAGUAAGAAAUAAAAAGAAAAUAAAUAAUUGACAAGAUCCUGCACAGGAUGAGAACGAAAGUAGUUUCAUUACUUUAGAGCAUCAUCUACUUAUAUUAAGAUUAUCAAAAUAAAAAUUUGUAUUGGGUGUAUUAAUUCACCCACCAUUAAUAGAUGAAAUUGCUUCUUUUAGAAAAAAAAAAUAUAUAUAUUUAAAAAAAUUAAAUAAAAUGAUUUCACUUAUUCAAAUAAAAUAAAAUGUUUCAUAUUUAUAUUUUAAAAACUUUAAAUAAAUAUCAUAUGAUAUAUUAUUUGACACAUCAAAUUAUAAAUCCUCUUUCUCCUUAAAAAAACUUCUUAAAUGAAGAAAGUAUGAAAGUAUAUACCAUAUUGUCAUCUUCACUCCAAAGUUGUUCCAUGUUGCCAUGUAAUAGUUUCAACAUGACAAGAUUUUUUGGAUUAAAACUAGAUAAAGAUUUGAAAGGGUAAACAUCCCAACAGAGAAACCUUAACUCAUCAGGAAGAGAUAUACUCUCAACUUGAUUUGCAUAUAGCUUCUUAAGCCAUAACAUUUUCUUAGGAAAGCUGAUGUUGAUAUAUCUAAGCUUAUGCAUCUUCUCAAUAGCAGUAGCACAAAACUGUAGACUAUCAACUUCAGUCAUGUCUACCUUUAUUCCUUUAAUUAGAUCAGUCCCCUGAUAAAAAAAAAUAUUUAUCAUGAAUUAACACAAAGAAAUUUAUGUACAUUCCAUUAAAUCAGUCAUAAAAAAGUUAAUUAUAUUAGGAAACACUUUAAACUAACGCAUACCUUUUUUUUUUUUUGAAGUUUGAAUUUUUUUAAUCAAAAUGGCUUUUUAUAAUUAAAAUUUAUUUUAAUAUAUGAAACUUUGAUUUGUAAUCAAGUAACUCAGCUCUUGUGUAUGUAUGUGAUGCUAUUUUUGUCUUAAAGAUUAUUAUCAACAAGAAAAAUUGUUCCAAUGAUGUUGGGGGGUGUUAAUUUCCAAGUCAAGGUCUUCCAUUGGGACAAAAUUGUUAAGUAAAUAAAAUUCCAUUCUUUGAAUUUCUUUUUGGGUCCUAACAAAAAUAUUGACUUCUACACACUUUGUGAUUUGGGUCAAUUGAACUGAAAUUUCAUAUAAUUUUCUUUAAGAAGAAGCACUUUCAGACAAUUUUAAGUGAAUUGAACUUAAAUUUCCCACAACUUUAUAAUUUUCACUUUUUUCCCCUAAAUGAAAAGUUUUGGGAAUGAAGGGUGUUGUGUUUCUAUUUUCCUAGGUAAAAUAAUGAUAGAUUUUCUUUCUGCUUUGGGGGUUUCCUAUUUAAUCCUUUAUUUUGAGCACAGGUAAGGUGAGUUUGGUUAAAAAGACCUCUUUAGUUUCUUUCAAUUUUGGAAUCGAAUAAAUUGGUCACUCUCAAAAAAGAAAAUCAAAGCAAUUGAAUCAUGGUUAAUUUUAAAGGUGAGUAACUAAGGACAACUAAUCGUGAUGUUAACGUCUUUCGUCAAUUGUACAUAAUUUUGAUUGGUAUAACAAUAAAUUUAGCCUUCAAUGUUUCCAUUUUUUGUCAAUUUGGUCUUGGUUCUAAAAAAUCAAUAAAUUUAGUAUCAACAUUUACACAAAUGUUGUGGGCUAAAUUUGUUAAAUCAAGACAAAAUUGUAAAAUUUGAGGGGUAAAUUUGUUAUUAUACUAAUCAAAAUUAUGUAAGUUUGAUGGACAACAUUAAUGUUGUGCUUAAUUUACUUUAAUUGCUCACUUUCGAAAUUGAUGGAAUUUAAAUUGUUCUAAUUUUUUUAAGGGAGAUCAAUUUACUAAAUAUCAACCUUGAGAUAGAUUGAAUAGAUCUUUUACCAACAAAUAUGCUUGCUUACAUUUAUUUUAAACAUAGAAUCCAAUCAGUUUUCUAAUUAAACAUGGAUUCACCUAAACUGAUUAGCAAGUAGGAAUGAGCAAAAUUCAAUUCUAUUUGUAUUGGCAAGCAUGCAAUCUUUGAUUUUUUCAAAGAUGAAUGGUGUCAGAAAGUUGGCACCGAAAAUCUAAGCAUUUAAGGCAUAGAUUUUUGAGUUGAAAUUUGGCUUGGAAUAAUUGCAAUUUUGGUCCCUAAUUGUAUAGGGACUUUGCAAGUUGAUCGUUGAGCUUCAACUAUAAAUAGGCCUAGCUAUUUCUCAUUUUCACCAUCCCACAAAUGCCAUUCUCUACUUAAGGCAUUAUUCUCUCUCCUUAUUUGUAAAAUUUCACUUGUAUUUUGGAGUGAAAUAUAUUUGGUAGUGCCCGAGGACGUAGGCAAAAUUUGCUGAACCUUGUUAAAAUUCUAGUGUUCUUUAUUGUUUAUUUUGCAUAUUUUGUAAGUGUGAUUGUAGUGAUUUAUUGUGCUAUUAAAUUACGAUAGAGGGAUAUUCUGGCUAGGAAAGACCUGGGAAUUGAACUUAGUGUGAUUUUUUAGUACAAUAAUUUUACUCUUUUACACGCUUUCGCGCAACAAUUGGUAUCUGAGCUAGAUUCGUACUUGGGGAAUACGACCAUUUACGAUACUAUUUACGUAUACGAUAUUGUUCAUCCACGGCACUAUUCACGUAGACGGUACUGUUCACAUAAACAGUAGUUGGGAUCGAGGAGAAGAAUGGCAGAGGCAUCGUCAUCAACAAAGACUACCGUGACCAAUGCAAAAUUUGAAGUAGAGAAAUUUGAUGGUACAAAUAAUUUUGGUAUGUGGCAAUGUGAGAUCCUGGAUGUCUUAUGUCAGCAAGAGUUGGAUAUAGCUCUUGAAGAAAAACCUGACAAGAUGGAUGACAAGGAGUGGGCCAAGAUCAAUAGACAGGCGUGUGGUACAAUCCGCUUAUGUCUGGCCAAAGAGCAGAAGUACUCUGUCAUGAGGGAGACAUCAGCAAAGAAGUUAUGGGAUACACUGGAAGAAAAGUUUCUAACGAAAAGUCUUGAAAAUAGGCUUUAUAUGAAAAAGAAACUUUUUCGAUUCACGUAUGCACUCGGUAUGUCGAUGAAUGACCAUGUGAACUCAUUUAAUAAAAUUUUAGCAGACUUGCUAAAUUUGGAUGAGAAGUUUGAAGAUAAGACAAGGCAUUAUUGUUGUUGAAUUCUCUUGCCGAUGAAUAUGAUCAUCUUACCACCACAUUGCUUCAUGGGAAGGAUACGAUCACAUUUGAUGCAGUCUGCAGUGCGUUGUACAGAUCUGAGACUCGAAAGAAAGAUAAAAGAGAUCACAGAGAUACAACUGCAGAAGUCUUAACAGUAAGAGGUCGUUCACACAGCAACAAACCUGGUAGAAGGGGCAAGUCCAAAGGGAGACCCGCCAAAGAUGAAUGUGCUUUUUGUCGUGAGAAAGGGCAUUGGAAAAAGAAUUGUCCUAAGUUACAAAAGGGCAAGGCUAUUUCUAAUGCAUGUGUAGCGGAGCAUGAUGAGGAGUCAGACUUUAGCUUGGUUGGCAUGGCAAUGACAUGUCAUACAGAUGAGUGGAUAUUGGAUUCGGGAUGUACUUACCAUAUGUGUCCUAAUAAGGACUGGUUUUCUAGUCUUGAAGAACUAGAAGGUGGAGUUGUUUUUAUGGGCAAUGACAGUGCCUGUAAGACAAUGGGAGUAGGUACAAUCAAAUUAAAGAAUCACGACGGCUCAAUCCAAGUCUUGAUAGAUGUUCGCUAUGUACCUAGCUUGAAGAAAAAUCUCAUCUCAUUAGGGGCCCUAGAAUCUGGGCUCACAGUCACUUUGAGAGAUGGAUUACUAAAGGUAGUAGCUGGGGUAUUGACAGUGAUGAAAGACACUAGAAGAAAUAACUUUUACUAUUUAAAUGGAAGUACAGUUAUUGGAUCAACAUCAACAGCUUCUGCAAAAGAUGCAGAUUCAGAGGCUACCAGUUUAUGGCAUAGGCGAUUGGGACAUGCUGGUGAAAAAGCUUUGCAGACUUUGGCGAAGCAAGGCUUGUUGAAAGGUGCAAAUUCUUGCAAAUUGGAAUUCUGUGAACAUUGUGUUCUGGGCAAGCAGACGAGGGUAAAAUUUGGUUCAGCAAUUCACAAUACGGAAGGAAUUCUGGACUACGUUCACAGUGACGUGUAGGGACCUACCAAAGUGGCUUCUUUGGGAGGUAUGCACUAUUUUGUUACUUUUGUUGAUGAUUAUUCAAGAAAAGUAUGGGUGUAUCUAAUGAAAAGAAAAAGUGAAGUUUUGGAUGCAUUUCUGAAGUGGAAGAAGAUGGUGGAGACUCAGACUGGUCGAAAGGUCAAACGACUUCGAUCAGAUAAUGGUACUGAGUACAAAAAUGAUCCAUUUCUACAAGUAUGUCAAGAUGAGGGCAUUGUGCGACACUUCACUGUCCGGGAUACACCACAGCAGAAUGGGGUGGCAGAACGUAUGAAUCGGACUAUACUGGAGAAAGUUCGAUGUAUGUUGUCCAAUGCUGGAUUGGGCAAGGAAUUUUGGGCUGAGGCAGUUACAUAUGCGUGCCAUCUAAUCAACCGGUUUCCAUCAGCUGCAAUAAAGGGAAAAACUCCUAUGGAGAUGUGGACUGGUAAACCUGCUACUGAUUAUGAUUCUUUACAUGUUUUUGGUUCCACUGCAUAUUAUCAUGUAAAAGAAUCUAAGUUAGACCCAAGAGCAAAGAAAGCAUUAUUCAUGGGUAUAACUGGUGGAGUAAAAUGAUACCGUCUCUGGUGUCCUGAUACAAGGAAGAUUGUUUUCAGUAGAGAUGUGACUUUUGAUGAAUCAACCAUGAUGAAGAACAAAGAUUCACAAAAGGAUGACAAAACCAGUAGUACUUUGCAGCAGGUGGAGCUUGAAAAGGUUAAUGAUGAUCCAGCUAAUAUUGAAGAAACAAAUGAUGAAGAAGUUUUGACUCAAGAACUUCUACAGCAACAAGAUUCAAUUGCAUAUAGGAGGCCAAGAAGAGAGAUUCGUAAGCCUGCUCGCUUUGAUGAUAUAGUGGCCUAUGCACUUUCAAUUGCAGAUGAUGAUGUUCCUUCUACUUACACAGAAGUAAUAAGUAACCCUGAUAGUGUAAAGUGGAAGCAAGCUAUGAAUGAAGAAAUGCAGUCUCUUCAUAAAAAUAGGACUUGGGAGUUGGUGACACUGCCCAAGGGAAAGAAGGCAAUUGGAUGUAAAUGGGUAUAUGCAAAGAAAGAAGGAUUUCCUGGUAAAAAUGAAAUUCGAUACAAGGCUAGAUUGGUAGCAAAGGGUUACGCUCAGAAAGAAGGAAUAGACUACAAUGAAGUGUUUUCUCCAGUUGUGAAGCAUUCGUCUAUUCGGAUUUUGCUAGCCUUGGUUGCGCAAUAUGACCUUGAACUAGCUCAGCUUGAUGUGAAGACGGCUUUUUUACACGGUGAUUUGGAAGAGGAAAUCUAUAUGACUCAACCUGAUGGAUUCAAGGUUGCUGGUAAAGAAAAUUGGGUUUGCAAACUGAUGAAGUCGCUUUAUGGAUUGAAAUAAUCUCCGAGACAGUGGUACAAGCGAUUUGAUCAGUUCAUGAAAGGGCAAAGGUACACAAGAAGUAAAUUUGAUCAUUGCGUGUAUUUUCAGAAGCUACAAGUAGGAACUUUCAUAUACUUGCUCUUAUAUGUUGAUGAUAUGCUGAUAGCAUCUAAGAGCAAAGUUGAGAUUGAGAAAUUGAAGACUCAACUCAAUCUUGAAUUUGAGAUGAAAGAUCUAGGUGAAGCUAAGAAGAUUCUUGGCAUAGAAAUAUGUAGAGAUAGAGCUCAAGGCAGAGUUAGCUUGUCUCAGAAGCAGUAUUUGAAGAAAGUACUACAGCAGUUUGGCAUGAACGAGCAGACCAAACCAGUAAGUACCCCGUUGGCUUCUCAUUUCAAGCUUUCUGCACAACUAUCUCCUUCGACGAAUACGGAACAAGAAUACAUGUUACAAGUUCCGUAUUCUAAUGUAGUGGGUAGCUUGAUGUAUGCAAUGGUGUGUACAAGACCCGACAUUUCACAAGCAGUUAGUAUAAUGAGCAGAUAUAUGCAUAAUCCUGGAAAAGGACAUUGGCAAGCUGUGAAAUGGAUUCUACGAUAUAUUCUGAAGACCGUGGAUGUUGGAUUACUGUUCAAGCAGGAUACUACACUUGGUAAAGGUGUUAUUGGGUACGUUGAUUCUGACUAUGCCGGUGAUUUGGACAAACGAAGAUCAACCACCGGUUAUGUGUUUACACUUGCUGGAGGACCAAUAAGUUGGAAGUCUACACUACAGUCUACAGUUGCGUUGUCAACCACAGAAGCCGAAUACAUGGCUGUAACAGAGGCUGUAAAGGAAGCUAUUUGGUUACAAGGUAUGGUUAAAACCUUGGGAUUGGUUCAGGAGCAUAUUGACGUGUAUUGUGAUAGUCAAAGUGCUAUUCAUUUAGCAAAGAAUCAAGUCUAUCAUGCACGUACAAAGCAUAUCGACGUACGAUUCCAUUUUGUGCGGGAAAUUAUUGAUGAGGGGAAAAUUCGUCUUCAGAAGAUCAAGACUGCAGAUAAUCCCGCAGAUAUGAUGACCAAGGUGGUAACAACAAUCAAGUUCGAACAUUGUUUGAGCUUGAUCAAUAUUCUGGAAGUCUAACAGUUGAAGAAGGCACUAUCAAGUAUUGUUGUCAAAGGCAGAAAGAAUUGUGUGAAGAUAAGAUUAUCCUAAUCAAAUCUUCAAGGUGGAGAUUAUUGGCAAGCAUGCAAUCUUUGAUUUUUUCAAAGAUGAAUGGUGUCAGAAAGUUGGCACCGAAAAUCUAAGCAUUUAAGGCAUAGAUUUUUGAGUUGAAAUUUGGCUUGGAAUAAUUGCAAUUUUGGUCCCUAAUUGUAUAGGGACUUUGCAAGUUGAUCGUUGAGCUUCAACUAUAAAUAGGCCUAGCUAUUUCUCAUUUUCACCAUCCCACAAAUGCCAUUCUCUACUUAAGGCAUUAUUCUCUCGCCUUAUUUGUAAAAUUUCACUUGUAUUUUGGAGUGAAAUAUAUUUGGUAGUGCCCGAAGACGUAGGCAAAAUUUGCUGAACCUCGUUAAAAUUCUAGUGUUCUUUAUUGUUUAUUCUACAUAUUUUGCAAGUGUGAUUGUAGUGAUUUAUUGUGCUAUUAAAUUACGAUAGAGGGAUAUUCUGGCUAGGAAAGACCUGGUACUUAAGCGAUCUUCGUGAUCCACCUCCCUUUCCUGGGAAUUGAACUUAGUGUGAUUUUUUAGUACAAUAAUUUUACUCUUUUACAUGCUACCGCGCAACAAUUUGAAAAAAUAGAAAAAAAAUCGAAUUUCAAAUUAUUCGAAUUGAGUUAAUUGAGUUAAUCAAAUUAAUUGACUCAACUUGAUUUUCUUUCAAAUUUCGAGUUCAAUUCGAGGAGUUUUCGAAUUCUAAGAAUCCAAAUAAUUCGAAUAAAUCAAUUGCCCAAACAAAAUUAAGCUAAAUGAUGUCCACCACAGAUCCUAUGAAUCAAAACCAACCAAUAACAAGUCAACUGCCAAAAAGAAUUCAAGUAUGAAUCUUAAUGUCUCUUCACUGCAAUGCUCAAACAACAUGAGAGGCAGUAACAUACAAAGAAAUUUCAGCCCUAACAGAUAUGAUAAUCAAAAUCCAAGAUAAGGAAAUAUCAACUCCAAUGCCUCUACCAUGAAACUAACUCAAUCUAGUCUGAGAAUGAAAACUGUCAAAGGUUGCCUCCAGCUCCAUGUGUUCAUCUCACAAGUUUUGAGAUCUGUUGCAAAUUCUGGAUUUAUAUAAUCCCAUUGAUAAAUAUGGGAAAAAAAUAUUUAAGGAUGCUGAAAAUCAUCAUAUGAACCUAAAAUCAUAAUAAUAAGUCAAAGUCAAAGGUAACUUACUUCUCCACCAAGACUGAAUUGCCAGAACCUAAAAAGGGCCUCAAAAGAUUACUUUGCAUUUGUGUAGACAAAUCUGUUGACAACUUGCAUUUUCACCAAAUAUCAGUUCAAACACUUGUAUAAAGCAAGCAUUCAGUAAAACAAAUUGAAGCUCUUACAGCUCAGGUGUUCCUCCUUGUAUGGCUAAAGCUCCAAUUCAGCAGUGGCAUUCUCAAAGAUCUGUCAUUCCCUCGUCUUACAUCAACACAAAAGCAAAGGAUAUAAGAAAAACCUGUCUCACAAAUAACCCAUCUUUCUAAUGAAAGAAAAUGCAGCAAGUAUUGAGAUACCAGAUGACACCAAUGCUGGAAACUAAACAAUGAAGCUGAAUCGAGUCCACAUUUGGCCCGAUGAAUUAAAAAAACCAACCAAUAACAAGUCAACUGUCAAUAAGAAUUAAGUAUGAAUUUUAAUAUCUGAGUUUUGGUACCCACCAAAAUCCUCUAUGGAUAUUUUAACAACUCCAAAGCAGAAUCAUUUUGCUACUGUGUUGAAAUCUCUAGUUUCCGUUCAAUUUUCCUCCAAAUUAAUUAAUAUAUAUGGAGAAUUUCGUUCUUGGACAAUAUAUGCUAUAUCUACAAAACAACACAGACAUAACGGGGGAAUGAAGAUGAGAAAAAAUAAUAAUAAGCAACUAUCACAAACUAUUGAACAUAUUUCCAAUUUUAUGUUCACAAAUUAUGCUUUUAACAUUUACAAAGUGGAACUACAAGGAUUCAGUAUGGCAAAGCACCUUCUAAAAGACAAGUAAUUUAUAAAGCAGAGCAAGUUAGAUUCAUUCUGGUUGGUUUUAAUUAAUUAAAGCACUUCAUUUUCUGUCACUAAUUUAUAAGUUGAAAAUUUACUAUUAACAAUUGUGGAAAACAAAACUAUGGAAAUAUGAAAAAUGAAACGAAAAAACUGAAAAUUUUAUGAUAAUAUGAAAAAAUGAGAUGAAAAUGAAACCCCUACCUAUGCAUUUGGAUGACAUAAUUGAGAAGUUAAAACUCCUCAAAAGCAGAGCCAAAGAUGGAAAGAAAUACAAACUAUUUCAAUCUUUUAAGUCCUCCAUCCCCUUCUUCACCAUCAUGGCUAAAGCUUCUUUUGUUCCCAGCAACUCUCUUUUCAGUAGCAUCCACGUAAAAUACAUGAACACCACAUCUUUCCACCUUGUUAUAGUCUUCUUCUUCAUUAACUUCAUCAUCAUUGUCGAUGAUGUAGAAUUUAAAUGAUGCCUCCUCAUAAUUCUUGUCUUCUUCAACCAUGUCGUUGCUAGAUAGAAUAAACACGUGAUCACCGUUGUACUUAUUUGGCUCAGAACAAUCGAAGAAAGAUAUCUUACUUAUGUAGCUUUUAGAAUCACCACCACCGGCGGCUGUAAGGUGGUACUCACAAAUACAAUUAAGAUAUUUAAAACGAUGGCAGUGAGUGAGAUCAGCCACAAGGCAGAUAGCGAAAACCAAAAAUCUGCUCCCACUACCCCUAUUUGGGGCUAUCUUCAAACACAAGGAAGAAUUCAUUCUCUGAUACUUGAACUUAUCUGCAGAAAUUUUGUUUCCUGGGAAACAACAAAUCAAUCUUGGAAAGUCUUCUCGCUGGUAUUUCCAAUCAUAUCUUGCUGCCCAUUUCUUAGCUAGGGAUCCAAUUUUGAGCAUGGCAUUUUCCUCAAUGUUAUCAAUUGACUCUGGAUUCAAGUUGAUGCAAUUACAGAAUAGCAUGCCAAACAAAUCAUCACCUAACGAAUCAAACUGAUAUAAAUUUUGAUCUGCAAAGGAAACUUUUUCUAAUGAUGUGCAGUAUUGUACAUUCAAGUUUUGCAUAUAUGGUGGAAGCUCUGAGAGUAAUUUGAGGCUCUCGCAACGAUCCAUCCUCAUAUGGUUAAGGAUUUUAGACCUCAAGCUUGGCGUGGGAAAAUCGACAGUUGGAAACUCUCUGGAACCGAACAGGGUGAUAUUACACAUUAGCUUUUGAAUACUUGAGCCGCUCAUAUUUAAGUAUUGAAGAUUACUUAAAGAGUCUAACGACAAGGCAGCUUCUUCAAUUCCAGUUCCAGAUAAGUCUAACCAUGUUAAGCUCCUCGGGAUUUUUGGAAAUUCGACCAUUGGGCAUUCACUAAGAUUCAAUUCACUAAGGAGUUCCAACUUUGAAAUAUUGAUCGAUACUUUUUCUACCUUUGAUUUGCUCAACAACAAUCUUUCAAGUUUGUGGAGAUACUUAAUUGCAUCAGGUACUUCUUCUAUUUCAGUUUCUCGUAAAUCUAAAUAACAAAAGUGACUUGGGACCUGAGGAAACUUCCUGAGACUAUAACAUCCCUCAACGCGAAGCUUAUCCUCAUCACGAGAUGCCAAAUGAUUAAGGCUGGGAAGUUCAACCAAACUUUCACAGUAAGAGCAAUCAAGGAGUUCAAGGUUAGUGGCUCUUGAAAGAUUAGGUAUCUUCCUUAAUUUUUUGCAAUUUGAGACGUCAAUUUCCCUUAAAUUAACAAGAUUCUGUACAGGAAAAAAAUUAAAUGUCAUCUACUUACUUUAGGCAAUAAAAAAUGGAAAGGAAAUAAAUAAUUAUGAUACUAAGAAAAAUAAAAACUUAUACCCGAUGUAUUGGGCUUGAAAAUUCACCCACAAUUAAUAGAUCAAGUGAUGUCACUUAUUUAAAUAAAAUAAAAUCUUUUAUAUUUAUUUUUUUAAAAACUUUAAAUAAGAUGUCCUCAUAUGAUCAUUUGAUACAUCAAAUUAUAAAUCCUUUUUUUCCUUAAAAAAAUUCUUAGAUGGAGAAAGUAUGAAAGCACAUACCAUAUGAUCAUUUUCAUUCCAAAGUUGUUCCAUAUUGCCACUUCGUAAUAUCAACAUGACAAGAUUCUUUGGAUUAAAACUUGAUAAAGUUUUAAGGGGAAAAUAAUCCCAACAAAGAUACCUUAGCUUAUUAGGAAGAGAUAUACUAUCAACUUGGUCUACAAGAAACUUCGGAUUUCGGUAGCCGUUCUCAAUCUUUGAAUCAUAGAAGCAAAUAUAUUUAAGAUUAAGCAUGCUCUCAAAAACAGAUGGACAUAACUGCAGCUCAUCCAUUUGAAACAUGUCUAAUUUUAUUCCUUCAAUUGAUACGGUCCCCUAAUAAUGAAAAAACAUUUUAUCAAGUAUCAGUAUGUAAAGAUACAUUUUGCUUUCUUUUAAAAGCAAUGCAUUAAAUAAGUACUAACCCAGUAAACCCUUGAUAUUUUUUUUUUUGAAAUAAUAAUUAAAAUGAUUAACAUUUGAUACAAUAUAAAUAUAAACAAUUAAACUUUUAACACAUGAAAACAUAUAAUUAACUGAAUUUAUAUAUUUACAUGAUAUCACAAAUAAAUUUUAAUUAAAAUAACACGAAUAUAUAAAAUAAUAGAAAACACUGUAAAUACAAUUAGCGCUUACUUUAUUAUAUCUGAGCACUUGAUCUACAUCUUCAGGAAACCAUAACCUGCUACGCUUUCCCGGGUCUUCUUUACAUUCUUGGCGAACAAUGUCCUUGCCAAUCUCUUCAAGCAUGUCAUGCAUAGAAUAACAAUCUAUGCUAUCAAGUAAGCACUUGUCGACUAAGUUUCUUAUUCCACUCAUUGCACCCAUAUAAUAAUUACUUAGUAUUUUUUCUACAGUAUCCAUUUUUUCUCCUUUAAAGAAGCAUGCUAUGUCAAGAAAUAUAUUCUUUUCUAGCUCACGCAACCCAUCUAAGCUACUCUUCAAAAUAUGUGACAUUUUUGGCUCGGCAUAUUGCUUUAGACUAUCCACUUCGCUCUCCCACUCUUUUCUAGACUUUGUAUAUAGUUUAGAACCCAAAACUUUAAGAGCAAGUGGAUUACCUUGGGCAUAUCCUACAAACUUGCAUGAUAGAUCUUGAAAAUCAGCUGCGGGAUUCAACAACUUAAAUGCAAGUGUAGAAAAAAGUUGAAGAGAAUCAUUCUCAUUCAACUUCUUCACCUCAUAUAUGUGGUUAGCUCUUCCAUUUUUAAGCACCUGUCUAUCUCUAGAUGUUACAAUGAUUUUACUUUCUGGACCAAAAUGUUUAACACCCAUAAAUUCUAUUUGAUCUGGGUUACUAACAUCAUCAAGGACAACAAGUACUUUUUUAUUGUUCAACCUCUCUUGGUAAGGGUGUCCUAUGGAAGGGCUGUUAAUACAAAUUCCUUUUUGGUUUAAUAAUUUGGAAAAAAGUUCAUUUCGUAAAGAUUCAUUCCCUACAUUUUUUAUUUUCUCACUAACAUUUCGCAGAAACAAGUGGCUUUCAAAAUUUUGGCAGAUUUCACUAUACACAACAUCAGCAAGGGUAGUUUUGCCAAUACCACCCAUUCCCCAAAGUCCUAUUACACGGCUAUGCUCUUGCUCAAUCAGCCCCAAAAUUAUCUUUUUUUGAUCAUCUAUUCCAACCAAUUCUUCAGAAACACUUGUACAAUUGCUAUCCAACUCUUUUGAAAUAUAUUCAACCACAUCUUCAAUGUACUCUGUUUCAUAUCUAGAAAAUAGUUAAAAAAUCGACAGUCAAAAGAAAGAUAUUCGUAUUAGUCAAAUAUAAGGAGAUGAGAAUAUAUAUAUAUAUUGUUACCUAUCGGAUUUGCCUCCUAUAUGCCACCCUUUUAAUGCACCGACCUCUUGAAAUGCAGAUUUCCAUCGUUGUACUCUAUCAGCUGGUUGCUUUGAUUCAUGCUUUUGGAAGGAUGUCUUAAAAGUCCCACCAAUCUUUUGCACAUGGGAAGGAUUAACAUGGUAAAAGAUGGGAAGAACAAUAUAUUUGUCAGUAGGAUUGCGCUUGCGAUCCAUGAUGUCAGAAAGUUCACCUAAGCAUGAAUUUGAAGAAGCAUAGUCUUUAGAUAAAAUGAUGAUGGAGAGAAUUGAGGCCGCAAUUGCAUUCGAAAGUGCUGAUGAAAUUUUCUCCCCUUUCUUUAGUGUAUCGUCAUCGAAGAAGACAGUCCAUCCCUUGUCUUUCAAAGCUUGGAGUAGAUGAGCGGUGAAGUUAACGCGCGUGUCUUCACCUCUGAAGCUCAAGAAAACUUGAUGUUUCACUUGACGAGAAGAAGAUGAAGAAGACGCCAUGUAAGUGUAUGGACUGUGAGGUUGAGGAAAAAGAGAACAAAAUAAACUGAGGGAGCUUUGCUUUUGCUUCUAUUUUUGUAAUGGUAAGAAGAAAAAGUGUGUCAAUUAAAUGGGAAUGAGAUUGAAAAGGUGAAGCAUUGCGGAUGAGUUUUUACUGAUAAAAAUUUCAAUAUUUAAUCCGCUUAUCGAAUCUAAAACCUCCAUUAUCAAUAUACCAAAUAUUUUCUUAUUAAUUGAAUGCUAAAACUUAUCUAAAUAUAAGUUAAAAAUUAAGGGUUAUUUAGACUUUAAAGGCUUAUUUGGGGUAUGAUAAAAGUACAAGAGAUUAUUUAAAUGAUGCUAUAAAUCAUCUAUAAGAAAAAUAAAUAUUAAUUGAUUUUUGUAAUUAAACGUAUAACUUCAAAAAAAAAUUGUCACCAUUCUUGAAUUUCGUUUUGGGUUAUGAUAAAAUUUCUAAUAAAUUUCCUAACAAAAAUAUUGACUUUUAUACACUUUGUCAUUUGGGUCAUUGAACUGACUUUCAUAAGAAUAAUUGCCACUUUUAGACCAUUUUAGGUGAAUUCAACUUAAAUUUCCUACAACUUUCUCAACAAUAAUCGCCACUUUUUUCCCCUAAAUGGAAAGUCUUUGGAAGGAAGGAUGUUGUGUUUCUAUUUUUCUUGGGAAAUAAUGAUAGAUUUUCUUUGUGCUUUUGGGGGGUUUCCAUUUUAGUCCUUUCUUCUGAAAUAGGUAGGGUGAGUUUGGGCAAAAAUAUCUCUCCAAUCUCUUUCAAUUUUGAAAUUGAAUAAAUUGGUCUCUCUCAAAAAAAUCAAAGCAAUUUAAUCAUUCUUAAUUUUGAAAGUGAGCAACAAAGAACAAUUAUUCAUGACGUUAAUGCUUUUCGUCAAUUGUAUAUAAUUUUGAUUGGUAUAAUAAAAAUUUUAGCCAUGUUUACAUAUUUUGUCAAUUUGGUCUUAAUUCUAAAAAUUCAACGAGUUUAGUAUAAACAUUUACACAAAUAUUGCUGGCUAAAUUUGUUAAAUCAAGACAAGUGAUAUAAUUGUAAACUUUGAGGGGUAAAUUUGUUAUUAUACCAAUUAAAAUUAUUUACAUUUGAUGGAAAACAUCAAUGUUGUGAUUAACUAUCAUUAAUUACUCACUUUAGAAAUUGCUCCGAUUUUUUUAAGAGACUCCAAUUUGCUCAAUACCAAAAUUGAUCAAAGAGAUUGGAUAGAUUUUUAACCAACAAAUAUGCUUGCCUACAUUUAUUUUAAAUAUAGAAUCGAACCGGUUUUCUAAUUAAUGGUCUAUUUGUUUGUAUGUAAAAUGUUUUCCAUAACAUAUUUUCAUUGUUUUACCGUGUUUGUUUGGUGAAAAAUGAAUUAUUAAAGGAAAUCAUUCUUCAAAAAAAAUGUAAAAUCAAGACUUUUUCAAGGAAAAUAUCUUACCAAUUUUUUUUCCCGUAAGAUAUUUUCUAAACUAAUAAGACUAUAUUGACUAUCUUCACUGUCAAAAAAACAAAAAAAAAGGGAAGCUUUCAGAGCAACAAAAGGAAAGCUCUCUUCACUGUCGAAGAAAAUAGUCCCUCAUAUUAUAAUUUUAUAUUUUUACAAAUUAGUCCCUGGAAUCUAAAUUUUUACUAUUCUACAAUUUAAUUCCUCAAAAAUAGAUUUUAUUAUUCUACAGUUCAGUUCUAAACCUCUUUUUGUACAAUUCUGCAAAACAGUCCCUUCUCUAAAAUUUCUAGAUUUUAUAAUUUAGUCCUUACAAUUAAAAUUUUGUUUUGGUCCUAUUAUUAUUCCUAAAUUUAGAUUUUUAUUUUUAUACUUUAAAAUAGAAUAAUUUGAUCCUUUACUACAAUAAUAUCGUCAAUUAAUCAAAGUAAAUAUUACUAUUAAUUAUUCCAAUUGAAAUACUAACGUGAAUUUUUUAAAAAAACAUUGCUUCCAUCAUAAAGAUUUCAGCAUGACUAGCUAAUAUGGAAAUGCACAAUCAAUAUUCCAUUAUCGUUUUACAAAAGAGUGAUCAAUUUCCCUUUUGGAUGACCAAAUUAACAAAAAUAUUAGAGCAACCAAAAUAGGAAUGACCCCUAUUUGAAAUAACUAACGAGAUAAUAAUUUACCCAUAAAAGUUUAAGAGCUUAACUGAAUAAAGCUUAUGACUUAUUUAGUAUAGUAGUCUAAGCAAAUCAUCUAUAGGAAAAAAAAAGUUACUAGUUGAUUUUGUAGCCAAAUCUAGUUGAUGGAUAUUAAGUAAAUUUCAAAGCACAAAAUAUUGAUGCCCAAAUUAGCUUGGAUUAUUAUAAUAAUAUAAAAAUAGGACAUAUUUAGAAACAAAUUAAAAAGGUAAUCCUCUUUUAAUAAAUGUGAAAAAUAGGUCGUACACCGGCAUUAGUAGUGGAGCUUUUAUUUUAAUGCCACGAGUGAGAUUAAAAAAUUGUCUUAUAUUAAUUCAUUGAAUAUUGCAAAAAAUAUGCUACAAAGAUGUCAAGAAUCUUCUCCUUUUUCUUUUGUUUUUUAGCUGAAUUUACAAAGCAAAUCUGCAUAUUACAGUCAUACAUAUUGUUCCAAAAUGCAUAAGGAGAUAAUGCACCAAAUUAAGCAUGGAAACUCACUUUUUUGUUUUUGAUGAGGUGAUAAAGACUACAUUAAACUUAUUAAUAAAAUAUUUUUAUUGGCUGAGAAAAAGAAAAGGUUGCUUUUGCUUUUGACACCCAUUUCAAAAUGACUAAUAAACAGCACUUCAAAAUAUCAUCCAACCUUCUUUCUUUCCUCGAAGCUACAUAUGUAGGAAUUUGGAUAAAUCAAACCAGAACCACCCCUGGGCUGAAUUUUCAUGGAAGUUCCACCAAAUUUGCACAUCACAACCGUACAUAUAGCUUGUAAAAUGCAUAAGGAAAAAAGUAAGUUGAUAAUGCACCAAAGAAUGAAAAUUCUAAAUCACAAGCUAUUUGUACAGCAUGUGAUUCUGGUUGGUUUUGAUUAAUUAAAGCACUUCAUAUUUCUAUCAUUGGCCAUUAAUUUAAAAGUUGGAAAAUAAUAGUUUAUGUGUUACAACGUAAAUGUUGAGUAAAAUACUAUUCAACGUACCAAUAUCGGCACAUUUUCUAAAUAGCUCGGGUCUUGGGCUAGAUAGUUUGGCCUCGCUCAAAUUUGAUUAUUUCUUUUCUGUUGUUGUUUGCUGCUGUUAUAUUGUUGUUUCGUUACAAUUUUAUUAUUGUAUUGUUAAUAUUUUAUUGUUAUUGUUUGGAUAUUGAAUUUUUGGUUUUAUUGUUAAUUUUGCUACUAUUUUAAAACCAUUUGAUUGUUGAGUUGCAACCGUGUUAGUGUUAUUUAAGUAUAAAUAUUUAUUUUUAAAAAUAUAUUUUUAAUUUGUUGAGAAACAUUUAUUUUAAUAUUUUGUGUAUUUGAUAAAUUAUAUUUUUUAAAAUUAUCUUUACAUAAAAAUAAUCUAAAGAAAUUAAUACGGGUAGGUCAGCCCGAGCUUAGAAAACGGGCCUAAAAUUUUGCACUGGCUCGACUCAUGAUCAAGUCUAUAUGAACUUUAAAUAAUCAACUCAUUUAAUUUAUCCAACCCAAUAUCAAGUUUUCAUUGCAAAAAUAUUAUUUAUAUAAUUAAUUAAAAUAAAUUUAAUUCAUUGAUUCAAUUAAAUUAUUUUCUCAACUAAAUUUUAAUUUUAUUAAAGUCAUGAUAAUUUUAUCGUACUAGAACCUAUAAUUAAAUAAAUUUUGAGUUAAGGCACGUGUCUUCACCUCUCAAGGUUAAGAAAACUUAAUGCAUCAUUUGACAAGAAAAAGAUGAAGAAGAUGCCAUGAAAGUGUAUGGAUUGUGAGAUUGAGGAAGAAGAGAGGAAAGUACACAAAGGGAGCUUUGGCAUCCUAGUAUUAAAUGACAAUGAGAAUAUGAGAUUUAACAAAGGCAACGACUGGAGGAGAUUAGCUAAUUAUCUGAGUCAAGAAAAUUGUCACUCUCACACUUUCCAGAAAUGACAGUCUUCUUGAUUUGUAUAUUUUACCCACAAUAGUCAAGGUCUUCCAAUGGGACAAUGUUGAGCAAAUGGUUAAAUUCUUAAAAGAGUCCUUGAAUAGUUUACUUUUGUUGUACCCAAAUAAACCCCUAUGUUUUUAUCUGUGUUUAAAUUAGCCCUUAUUUCAAAUGACAUGUUAAUUUUAAACUAAGUUGGUGACGAGGAGACUUAUAAUCACCAUUUAAUAUAUUUUAUUUUGUGUUUAUUGUUGUGCAAAGUUUAAUUAUUAUUGUUAAUUUUUAAAAACCAAGUUUAACUUAAAUCGUUUGUUAGUUAAAAGGAUAAUAAAUCUCGUAUUGCUUAAGAACAAAGCACAAAUUGGGAUUAUGAAUCUAUAUAAAAGCCCAUAUUUCACAUUAUUUAGAAAAACAAAGGCAAAAAGAUUUUGAGUUUAUAUAAAGAACCAUAUUUUACGCCUUAACUCUAUAUAUUAGCCUUCUGGUGAUGUGGACUUUGAUGAAGAAGAAGGCAUGAAAGAGUAUUAAAAGGGAGUUUUGACCAGCAAGAAAACUUGUUCCAAAUGACGAUGAUGAUAAUGAUGGGUGUUAAUUUCCAAGUCAAGGUCUUCCAAUGGGUUUUGACCAACAAGAAAACUUGUUCCAAAUGACGAUGAUGAUGAUGGGUGUGUUAAUUUCCAAGUCAAGGUCUUCCAAUGGGAGACUAAAACUUUUCUAGAUACAAGUUAAAAAUUAAAAUUAAUUUAUUUGGAUAACAAAUAAAGUUUAAAGGCUUGUGUGGGGUAUGAUGAAAGUACACAAGAUUAUUUAGAUAAUGUGAUAAAGGUUAAUGGCCUAAUUAAUAUGUUAGUAUGAGUAAAUCAUCUAUACGAAAAUAUAUAUUAGUUGAUUUCGUAACCAAACGUACAACUUCAAAAGCAAUUGUUACCAUUCAUGAAUUUUUUUUGGGGUUGUGAUGAAAUUUCUUACGAAUUUCCUACCACUUUCUUGAAGAAUAAUUUUCACUUUUUUUCCCUAAAUAAAAAGUCGUUGGAAGGAAGGGUGUUGUGUUUCUAUUUUCCUAGGUGAAAUAAUGAUAGAUUUUCUUUGUUAGUCCUUUCUAACAUAGGGAAGGCAAGUUUGGGUAAAAUGACUUCUUUAGUCUUUCUUAAUUUCAAAAUUGACUAAAUUGAUCCCUUUAAAAGAAGAAAAAUUUAAUCUUUGUUAAUUUUGAAAGUGAGCAACACAUAAAUUUUGAAAAUUGAAUAAGGACAUUUAACUACAUCGUUAAUGUCUUCUAUCAAAUUCACAUAAUUUUGAUAUUGAUAUCAAAUUCACAUAAUUUUGAUAUUGAUAUAACAAUAAAUUUAGCCCUUCAUGUUUGCAUUUUUGUCAAUUUGAUCUUGAUUCUAAAAAAUCAACAAAUUUAGCAUUAACAUUUACACAUUUACACAAAUGUAACAGUUUGAAUUUGUUAAAUCAAGACAAAUUAAACAUGAAUUCACCUAAACUGCUUAGCAACUGAUUUAGAGCUUAGAUCAAUAGGAGAUACCAUUGUUAUAGAAUAGUAAGUCUUUAAAGCAAAUAAAUAUUUGGAUUUGCCUACCCUUGAGAGCUUAUAUGUACUUUGAUCUCUUGUGUGAUAUUUAGUAAGUCUUUACAGUGUCUAAUUAUUUAGAUAUUUGAUGGGUUUCUAUUGCUCUGCAAGAAAAUGAAAACUUGAGCUUACCCAAUUAUCUAUCACGCACAUAUGUGCGUAUGUACCUUACAAACCCAUCAGAUUCUAUCUUUUGAAAAGCCUUUUAACUCUGCUGCCUAUCAUCAUAAUUUUACAAUCUAAUGAAAAUGAUUAAGUUUAAUACAAUGAAGUUUACAAUCAAGUGGAAUAUAUUUGAUUAAACAUCGUUUGAAGAUCAUAUAAAAUAAAGGAAACAAAGUGUAAACCUUAAAAUAAAGCCUCAAUGCCUUCAACUGCUAACUUGAGUCGGAGCUUCCAAGCAGCACGUAAAACAAAAAACAAUAAUACAACAUAAUGUAUAAUGUCAAUAAAUACAAUGACAUGAACAUCAAAAUCCGAUCCACCCUGUCCUUGGCUGAUAUGCCUUGGCAAGACAUUUACGAAAAUCAAUAUCUUUCACUUGAAGGAUCAAUUGAUUAGCUCGGAUACGUCCCCAAAAGUAUUCGAGGUUGAAUUGAUACACAAUGAAACUGUCAUGCUCUAGUUCGAAGCUUCAAGCACAUUAUAAUAGCUCGAAUCACAGCCACGUUUUAUGACUGCUGGAAUUCCGGCACCCCCUUAACAUCAUUCUCCCAAAACAGUGACUGUAAAUUCACAACGAACGAUCACCGUAUGCAGCAAAUGGUUAUAGAAAAUCGCAUCGUUUGUUUCAAGACACAAACACGACACUGCAACCGCAUAACAUGUUCAGCUAAGAUCAAACACCUAUAGAUUUGUGUAAAUAAUGCAAUAUAAAAUAAUCAGAGUAGUAUAAUUUGUGUUCUCUUGUAGUAAAAUCAUAGUUUAGGAUUAGAGAAAGUGACUGUAAAGACAAAGUUUCGAAGCUCAUAAAAAUGAAUGCAUGAACCAAAUGGAUUAAAUCCAAAUUAUAUGAAGAACAUAAGGUGAUAGAAUAGUUAAUGCUUAGUGACUAAAGUCCCUGAUUGCCAGCUCCAGUAUUCAUCCUUUCUAUCCAAAAAGAGAGUAAAAAUCUGGAAUUUUAAUCACAAAAAUCAAAUCAAAGUUCAAUCUCUGAUAAUCUAAAAUACAAAAAAAGGAAAAUUAAUUCAAAUUUCAGCCCAAACUGAUAUGAUAAUGAAGUCAAAUGGCUCUACCUUGAAACCAACUCAAACUAAACCCAAAUCAUUUGUUUUUAAAAAGCAGAUGGCCAUGAGGGUUGUAAAAGAUCACAAUGAAACAAAGGUAAUUAAGCUCACAAGGAAGGCUAAAUUGGCAAGAGCAUAUGGCUCCUCAAAAGCUCCAA
RNAcentral lists this long non-coding RNA (214368 nucleotides) under Gossypium barbadense (sea-island cotton). Its description in RNAcentral is "long non-coding RNA (GBAR_LNC020382)". Lineage: Eukaryota; Viridiplantae; Streptophyta; Magnoliopsida; Malvales; Malvaceae. The record is from RNAcentral.